UCACCUCCGGUUGCAAGCCCUUCAUCUCGAACCGCAUUCACAUCAUUCUUCCACCAUUCUCCUGCAUUUCAACAACUUCAAUAAUUUUAGAUUUUGCUUUGUUGGUUAAUUCAUAAUAUGUAAAUUAACCUUUAAAAGUAACAACACUUAUACCUAAUAUGAUAGGGACCUCUCUGUCAGGUUUGUGAAAAGGAUACUUGGUUCCAUUCUUGGGAUAGAUAAUUAUAGCUCCAUGAACAGUGGCUCGGGUCCAAUCACUGUGAGCAUGCCACCAUAGAGUGCCUUCUUCAGUGGAAAGGAUGAUCUUCUGUGUAAACUUUGACCCUGGCCGAAUUGGGCAUUGUGUGAUAUACUCGGGACCAUCUGUCCAUGGAUAUCUAGGCAUGGUCACCCCAUGCCUGCGAAACCAUAACUAUACGUUAAAACUAGUACUAAUUUUCAAAGUAACAAAAGAUGGCAUGCAACAACAUAUUAUCAUAGUAACAAGAGGCAUCAAUUGUAUUUCAAUGGAACUAAAGCAAAUAACCUUAAAGUAUUGUUUUAAAUUUGACUUUAUUUUCAAAGUUAUAUAUUGUAGCCCCCUCUUAGAUAUAAAAGAAUGUAUGUCAUGCAAGCAUGCUACCACUGCUCUUUCUUUGAGACACGCACAGGACCUACCAAUGAAUGGUGAUGUUUUCGUUUCCCUUGUUAUAAACGUCGACAAUGAUCGUCUCUCCUUUCGUAGCAUAUAUGGUUGGUCCCGGAAAUUUUCCAUUUACUGUUAAGAUGUUCUUGGUGCUACAAAGCCUUUUAUAUGAAGCUUCCCUCACCUGCAACCAAUUAAAAGUUAGCCAUGCAACCUCAUCCCAAAAGAAAUAUUACAUGCAUGAAUAGUUGUAUCGAUCCAUUCAUGUAAGUGUAUAACCAAUUAGAAAUUGAUAGCAUGCAUGAAUGACUCAACGACACCAAGGUAGUAGGUCAUAUGGUACGAAAUGAGAGCCAUACCACUCCCUAAAUAUCAUGAUUACAAGGUGGCGUUAAGGCCAGAAUCAUAUAUAGAAUUUACCACAAAAGUAAGCCGACGGGUCGAAGCUUGGCAAUGGAUUCCACCACCAAAAACUAGAAACGCUAAAAUUUGCAGGAGGAAAACCUUCAUGAUCAGCCACAUUUUCCUUGGAAUAAAAGCCUCUUCUCUUGUCCUAAACACAACUCCUUCAAUUCUCUUACUGCUUUUGAUGUAUUUCUUUCAUAUAUGGUUCAUUAUAUAGGCAUGGUAAUUCUCUCGGGAUACAAUACGUGUCAAUAUAAGAGGAAGUGAUUUGAAUGUGUAUUGGUUUUCAAUGUUCUUUCAGGACGACUUCAAUGAGCAGGACCACUUCAAAAAUAAUUAAUUACGUACACGUUAUUGAUUAUUUUAGAAUAUUCUUUCAAAAGUCUUUUAUUGAUUAUUUCAACAAAUUUUAAUUAAUUAAAUAUAUGUAGAAUAAUUUUAAAACUUUGACUUCCCGUAUGAGUACAAUUUGUCAUGAUCGUUGGUGUAGAUAUAAAAAGAGACUAAAUUAAAGGAUUUUGAAAAUGUGUCGACAAGAACAUCAUUGAAAAAUUUGAAGGUUCCAAUUUUGUGGGUCAUGCAAUUUAUUGGACACUGAAUGGAUAAACAAGCCACGCUCUCCACUUAUUUUCUUUCAAUAUAUAAGCCUUGUACGUGAUGUUGGUUGACUAUUAUGAUAGUAAAUUCGGGAGGAUGUUUAAAUGGACGGGCAAGAUAAGAAAUAGAUUUUCUAUUAAGAUAUUUGAAUGGAGAUGAAAGCAUGGGUAUAGGUUUGUACUAAGGAAAUGAACAUAUGAUUAAAAUAAACCUGAUACAGUUAGUCUAUAAGAAUGGAUCCUGUUUCUAACCUUUUAACACACAAAUUUGGAAACCUAAACCUAUGGAUUGUUUCUUUCCUAUAAUGGAAUCCUAUGUUCCUUCUCAAAGCAGCGCUGACUUUUCCCUUCCUACCAACUACAAAGAGAAAAUCUUGACUAAUCUCGAUAAAGGUUUAUUUUAUCUAUACAUGCGAGGUCAAAGUUUUAAAAGUAUUCUACAUAUAUUUUAAAUUUAUUCUAAAAUAAUGUGUUUGAUUAAUUUCUUGGUCAAUUCUCAAAGUCAAACUUGUAUUUUGAAUUGGAAAAUUCUAGAGAUUCUAAGAAACUCGUCUUCUACGAUACACAACCUGAUUGAAGCUGAGCUGUGAGAAAUUUUCACAAUUGUUAGCAUUCUUCAGGCAUUUGGUUUAUUUAAAUUUUGGUAAUAGUCAUAUGAUAGUAAAUUCGGGAGGAUGCUUGCAUGCAUGGGCAUCAUGAUUUUUUUUGAGAUGUUUAAAUGGACGUGAAAGAUAAGAAAUAGAUUUUCUAUUAAGAUAUUUGAAUGGAGAUGAAAGCAUGGGUAUAGGUUUGUACUAAGGAAAUGAACAUAUGAUUAAAAUAAACCUGAUACAGUUAGUCUAUAAGAAUGGAUCCUGUUUCUAACCUUUUAACACACAAAUUUGGAAACCUAAACCUAUGGAUUGUUUCUUUCCUAUAAUGGAAUCCUAUAUUCCUUCUCAAAGCAGCGCUAAACCUAAACCUGAUACAGUUAAUCCUAUAUUUAAAAUACAAGUUUGACUUUGAGAAUUGACCAAGAAAUUAAUCAAACGCAUUAUUUUAGAAUAAAUUUAAAAUAUCCUUUCACAAGUCUUUUAUUGAUUAUUUCAACAAAUGUUAAUUAAUUAAAUAUAUGUAGGAUAUUUUUAAAACUUUGACCUCCCGUAUGAGUACCCUUCUGAAAAGUCGGGAGGAUGUUGGUUGACUAUUAUGAUAGUAAAUUCGGGAGGAUGCUUGCAUGUAACAAUUUUAUUUUAUUUUAUUUUAAAAUUUAUUCUAAAACCAUAGGUUUAGGUUUCCAAAUUUGUGUGUUAAAAGGUUAGAAACAGGAUCCAUUCUUAUAGACUAACUGUAUCAGGUUUAUUUUAAUCAUAUCUUCAUUUCCUAAGUACAAACCUAUACCCAUGCUUUCAUCUCCAUUCAAAUAUCUUAAUAGAAAAUCUAUUUCUUAUCUUUCACGUCCAUUUAAACAUCCUCCCGAAUUUACUAUCAUAAUAGUCAACCAACAUCACGUACAAGGCUUAUAUAUUGAAAGAAAAUAAGUGGAGAGCGUGGCUUGUUUAUCCAUUCAGUGUCCAAUAAAUUGCAUGACCCACAAAAUUGGAACCUUCAAAUUUUUCAAUGAUGUUCUUGUCGACACAUUUUCAAAAUCCUUUAAUUUAGUCUCUUUUUAUAUCUACACCAACGAUCAUGACAAAUUGUACUCAUACGGGAAGUCAAAGUUUUAAAAUUAUUCUACAUAUAUUUAAUUAAUUAAAAUUUGUUGAAAUAAUCAAUAAAAGACCUUUGAAAGAAUAUUCUAAAAUAAUCAAUAACGUGUAGGUAAAUAAUCAAGAACAUCUUAACAGUAAAUGGAAAAUUUCCGGGACCAACCAUAUAUGCUACGAAAGGAGAGACGAUCAUUGUCGACGUUUAUAACAAGGGAAACGAAAACAUCACCAUUCACUGGUAGGUCCUAUGCGUGUCUCAAAGAAAGAGCAGUGGUAGCAUGCUUGCAUGACAUACAUUCUUUUAUAUCUAAGAGGGGGCUACAAUAUAUUACUUUGAAAAUAAAGUCAAAUUUAAAACAAUACUCUAAGGUUAUUUGCUUUAGUUCCAUUGAAAUACAAUUGAUGCCUCUUGUUACUAUGAUAAUAUGUUGUUGCAUGCCAUUAUAGGAUUCCAUUAUAGGAAUAUAGUUAUGGUUUAGGUUUCCAAAUUUGUGUGUUAAAAGGUUAGAAACAGGAUCCAUUCUUAUAGACUAACUGUAUCAGGUUUAUUUUAAUCAUAUGUUCAUUUCCUUAGUACAAACCUAUACCCAUGCUUUCAUCUCCAUUCAAAUAUCUUAAUAGAAAAUCUAUUUCUUAUCUUGCCCGUCCAUUUAAACAUCCUCCCGAAUUUACUAUCAUAAUAGUCAACCAACAUCACGUACAAGGCUUAUAUAUUGAAAGAAAAUAAGUGGAGAGCGUGGCUUGUUUAUCCAUUCAGUGUCCAAUAAAUUGCAUGACCCACAAAAUUGGAACCUUCAAAUUUUUCAAUGAUGUUCUUGUCGACACAUUUUCAAAAUCCUUUAAUUUAGUCUCUUUUUAUAUCUACACCAACGAUCAUGACAAAUUGUACUCAUACGGGAAGUCAAAGUUUUAAAAUUAUUCUACAUAUAUUUAAUUAAUUAAAAUUUGUUGAAAUAAUCAAUAAAAGACUUUUGAAAGAAUAUUCUAAAAUAAUCAAUAACGUGUAGGUAAAUAAUCAAGAACAUCUUAACAGUAAAUGGAAAAUUUCCGGGACCAACCAUAUAUGCUACGAAAGGAGAGACGAUCAUUGUCGACGUUUAUAACAAGGGAAACGAAAACAUCACCAUUCACUGGUAGGUCCUAUGCGUGUCUCAAAGAAAGAGCAGUGGUAGCAUGCUUGCAUGACAUACAUUCUUUUAUAUCUAAGAGGGGGCUACAAUAUAUUACUUUGAAAAUAAAGUCAAAUUUAAAACAAUACUCUAAGGUUAUUUGCUUUAGUUCCAUUGAAAUACAAUUGAUGCCUCUUGUUACUAUGAUAAUAUGUUGUUGCAUGCCAUUAUAGGAUUCCAUUAUAGGAAUAUAGUUAUGGUUUAGGUUUCCAAAUUUGUGUGUUAAAAGGUUAGAAACAGGAUCCAUUCUUAUAGACUAACUGUAUCAGGUUUAUUUUAAUCAUAUGUUCAUUUCCUUAGUACAAACCUAUACCCAUGCUUUCAUCUCCAUUCAAAUAUCUUAAUAGAAAAUCUAUUUCUUAUCUUGCCCGUCCAUUUAAACAUCCUCCCGAAUUUACUAUCAUAAUAGUCAACCAACAUCACGUACAAGGCUUAUAUAUUGAAAGAAAAUAAGUGGAGAGCGUGGCUUGUUUAUCCAUUCAGUGUCCAAUAAAUUGCAUGACCCACAAAAUUGGAACCUUCAAAUUUUUCAAUGAUGUUCUUGUCGACACAUUUUCAAAAUCCUUUAAUUUAGUCUCUUUUUAUAUCUACACCAACGAUCAUGACAAAUUGUACUCAUACGGGAAGUCAAAGUUUUAAAAUUAUUCUACAUAUAUUUAAUUAAUUAACAUUUGUUGAAAUAAUCAAUAAAAGACUUGUGAAAGGAUAUUUUAAAUUUAUUCUAAAAUAAUGCGUUUGAUUAAUUUCUUGGUCAAUUCUCAAAGUCAAACUUGUAUUUUGAAUUAGAAAGUUCAAGAGAUUCUAAGAAAGUCGUCUUCUACGAUACACAACCUGAUUGAAGCUGAGCUGUGAGAAAUUUUCACAAUUCUUAGCAUUCUUCAGGCUUUUGGUUUAUUCAAAUUUUGGUAAGUAAUCAAAUAUCAUACACAACUUGAAGUGGUCCUGCACAUUGAAGUGGUCCUGGAAGAACAUUCAAAACUGCACAUUGAAGUGGUCCUGGAAGAACAUUCAAAACCAAUACACAUUCAAAUUACUUGGCUUAUAUUGAUACGCGUCGAGGAAUUGUUGAUACCCAAGCCACAUGUGAUCUGAUUUAAUGAAUCUCUGCCCUUCAUCCGAAGAAUUCUGGUGUUCUGGAUUGAUGGGAGCAAAAAGGUGACCAGUUUUACCUUGAGUCAAAUUCAAAUGACAAAAUAUAUUACCAGGGCAAUCAUGGACACCACCCUUAACUACAAAAAUAGCGCACACAGCCAAUCCCAUCAACCUAGUAUACACCAAUUUGGAGGCAGAUGUACCAUAUUACUGUGGAGUCUAUACUCUGUUGGCUGAACCACUCAAGAAUUCAACUUCCAGGAACAAAAGUACUGGAUUCAAUAUGUGGAGUAUAUGGCACCAUCUGGGUCAUGAAAAUCAAUGUCAAGUUAUAUGGAAAUAAUGUAGGAGUAGUGCUCAAAGGAGUAUAAGAAUUAUUCCAUAGGAUUUAAUUGAUUUACUUUUACAAUAUGAUCAAGAGAGAGAGGAGAGAAACCUGAAUUGGGAAUUGAAAUCUUGGUAAUUUAUUUGCCAGACUUUGCAUUUCCCUUAAUGUAGCUGCCACAAAGUUGCUGCUUUCAUUCUCAGACAGUCUGAAGCAAUUAGAAAAUGUGAAUCGGAGGCCCCCACAUUCCUUGGAUCUGUAGACACUUGAUGGACACAAAAUGUUUUCCAUAACUGUGCCAUCAUGGGCAUCUAUUUCUUCUAUACUUGAUGGAAGCUCUGGUAAUGAUUGAAGCCUCUUGCAACAACCCAGCCUAAGGCCUUUGAGCUGUGAAAGUUGAUUGAGACGUGCAGGUAGGGUAACAAAAUUGUUUCUGCUCAGAUCUAAAUAUUCCAAUGAGCACAGAGAGCUAAAGUCAUUGGGAAUUGCUCCUUCCAAUAUGUGGCAAUCACUUAGAUUUAACUUUCUUAGGGAUCUUAAACCAAAGAAAGAUGCAGUUGCCACACUAUUCUUAGAUUUAACUUUCUUAGGGAUCUUCAUAUUUAGUUUCAUAGGAAAGAUGUUUUCAAAGAAAUCUGCAUUCUUUGUUUCUAUUAUAGUAUUGACAUCUACCAGAUUAUUUUCUGACUUAGUAACAAGAAACCUAUAUGCCACACUAUUCUUAGCAUAGCCAAUGAACAUUGCAUCAAAGGUUUUAGGACCUAGUUUUCGUUUUUUAGGUUCGGGGAGAAGAACUUUAGCUAAACACCCCCACACUUUCAGGUAUGCUAUAUUAGGUGCAUAACCUUUCCACAACUCAUAAGGAGUUUUACUAGUUUUCUUGUAAGGUAUUCUAUUUUGAAUAUGGCAGGCGGAUAGGAUAGCUUCCCCCCACAAGUUCAAGGGUGCUCCUGAACUUACUAACAUUGCAUUCAUAAUUUCUUUUAAGGUCUUAUUUUUCCUUUAUGCUAUUCCAUUAGACUCAGGGGAAUAAGGAGGAAUAAGGAGGAGUAGUUUCAUGAAUGAUCCCAUGAUCUUCACAAAAAGAAUUAAAGGGGUUGGACUCAUACUCUCCUCCUCUUUCAGUUCUAAGCCUUUUAAUUUUCUUACUUAGUUGAUUUUCCAUUUCAUUUUUGUACUUGAUGAAAGCAUCUCUUGCUUCAUCUUUGUUUCUCAAAAGAUAUACCCUUGUAUACCUUGAGUAGUCAUCUAUGAAAGUUAUGUAGAAUUGUUUACCACCUCUAGUCAUUGUAUUUUUUAGGUCUCCUAAGUCACUAUGUAUUAAACUUAGUAGAUCUGAUUCUCUUUCAACUGAUUUGCAAGAUUUCUUUGUGGUUUUAGAUUCUACACAAGAUUCACAUUUUCCAUGGUUUUCUAAGGACAGAUUAGGGAUUAAACUCAAUUCAACCAUUUUCUUCAUAUAUGAAAAGUUCACAUGUCCUAGUCUACCAUGCCAAAUAUCACAAGAAUCAACUAUGUAAGCAAAAGAAGAAGAUGUAUUAUUAUUGAUAAUAUCAUAAACAUUCAACAUAAAUAAACCCUGAUUACAAUAGCUCUUUCCCACAAAUGCAUCAUUCUUGGUUAAAACUAUUUUAUCAUAGUCAAACAAGAUCCUCACUCCUGCUUUUCCAAGUAGAGAUACCGACACCAAGUUCCAACGGAUAUCUGGCACAUGAAGAACAUCACAUAGGGCAAGCACUUUUCCAGAUGUUAGCUUGAGGAGAACUUUCCCUUUGCCAAUCACUGGAGUAGAUCUAGAAUCACCCAUGAACACUUGGUCCUCUCCUUUCUUUAUAGUGGUAUAGGAAGUAAAUGCAUUUCUAUUCCCACAGAUGUGCCUAUUAACCCCAAAGUCUACCACCCAUUCCUUCAUAUUGGUGACCAUGCUCACCUCAGAGGAGAUUACUGUUGUGAUCACCUCUGUCUCUGCCAGAUUUGCCUUUGAACUGGUCUUCUCAAUUCUCUUCCUAUGGCGACAUUGAGUUGCAUGGUGUCUAGACUUGCCACAGACAAAGCAAUUACCGCGUUUUUUAAUAAUUAGAUUUUGGACCUUAUUUAAUGCAUUGGGCUUGGUCCUAAAGUUUUGUUUCCUGAACCUAUUAUUUUUGGGUUUAGAUUUUUCUUCUACUACAUUAGCUUUAGAAGACAAUUCCUUAGCUUUCUCAAUAUUGUCCCUAUUUCGGUUUUGUUCCUCAAUCCUAAUAUGGAUUAUGACAUCCUCUAAGGACAUUUGUUUCCUUUUAUGUUUCAUGUUGUUUUUAUAGUCUUUCCAAGACUCCGGAAGAGCCUCUACUAAAUAACCAGCCACAAAAGGUUCGGGUAAUUUAAUGUCUUCAAUAGCUAAGUCAUUAAUCAACAAGUGGUAGUCAUGGAUUUGAGAUGAGACAACUCUAUCCUCACUCAUUUGGAAAUUUAUAAAAUUCCCUAUGGCAUAUUUAUGAGUUCCCGCAUCUUGCAAAAUAUAUUUUUUAUUCAUUGCAUCCCAAAUUUAUUUUGCAACUUUAAAUUGACAAUAAAUAUCAAAAAGUUCAUUAGAAAGUGUACUCAGAAUAGCAUGGCUAACUUGUUUAUUUCCAGUUUCCCAGGUUGGUAACAUAUGAGAACCAUCUUCUGGUUUUGGAUCAGUCAAAAUAUGUCCUAAGUUCACCACAUCAAUUGUAGAGAAAACCCUUUCCUGCCAUCUCUUAAAGAAUGUCCCAUUAAAUGGAUUAAUUUUAGAGGUGUCAGGAUGGGUGUGAAUUAGGGAAGCUUUCAUUUGAAUUUAUUUCAAGAUUGUUGGAUUUUAAGGGUAUGGAAACAAAGACUAGCCCAAAAGACACAAACAAAGAACAUAAUGAAUAAAAAAAAAAAACUUAUCGGCUGAGGCAUGACAAGCACUGUCCUUGAAAUAGAUCCACCCUCCUCGAAGACGAACUCGGUGCACUAUGUGAGAAAGGGUAUAAAUAAUGUGAGAUAAGGUACAAAAAAAUGUGAAAAAAUGUACGAAUAAUGUGAGAAAAUGGUAUGCACAAUGUUAUAAAAUGGUAUGAACAAUGUGAAAAAAGAUACAAAUAAUAUGAGACAUGGUAUGAAUUAUGUGAGAGGGGAUACAAAUAAUGUGAGGGAAGGUACAAACACUAUGAGAAAGAGUACAAACAAAACAAGGAAAUGUACGAACAAUGUGAUAAAUGGUAGGAAAAAUGUAAGACAUGGUAUGAACAAUGUAAGAAAAAUAAAAAAUAGAUAAGAUUAAUAAAUUAUUUUUUCAUUAAUAUAAAUUAAAUAAUUAAAAUACCUAAGUUUUUCAAAAAUUUUAAUCAUGGUAGUGGGCCUUUGAUCAACCAAAGAUAGCCCAUGUAUCAUUUUCCAAAGUGAAGCACAACAACCUUAUAACAGUGAUGUCACAUAGCAAUUCAUUAUUCAUUAUUUUGUUUUCCCUUUUCAAUGUGGAUUUUCUUAAAGCUAUUAAAAAAACACACAAAAUCAAGAUUUGAGCAUGGGUCUUUCACAAUAUCUUUUAUAUACUAAUAAUUAUAAAUUAAUUAAAAUGAAAUUAUUAUAAAUAAGUUAAUUUUAAUUAUCUUAUUAUGUCUCAUAUAAAGUGAUUAGAUAUAGGAUAAAUAUAAAUUUAUAAAUAAAAUUAUUAACAUUUUCAAAUAAAAAAUAUAAAUAUAUAUCAAUUUUUUUUAUAUCCUUUAGUAUAUCUAAACUUAAUGCAUUAUCAUUUUAGUAUUAAUAUUUCCCAAUUCGGUAUAUUAUUGUCUGAGAUUACAAAUUUAUUAUACAUUUAUCAAUUUUUCUUAAAACAAUAUCAUUAUAUACAUUAUUACUUUUCUAUCAUUUUUUGAGUUAUUUCCAACAUUUCAUAAGGUUUUAUCAAUUUCCAUCUUAUAUAUAUAUAUAUAUAUAUUUCAGAAUUUUCAUUGAUAUUUCUUUAUAUAUCUAUAAACUCCAACUAAUGAUAUAUCGGUAAAAAUCAAUAUUUUUAUUCUUACUUAACAUAAGAAAGAAAAUUAUUCAAAUGGUGCAUAAAUUAAUGUGACCUCCUGAUGAGAAUGACAAUGACAACCAUGAGUCAUAAUUAGUGUAUGUGUGUGGUAAAUUAACUUAGUGUUUGAUAAAAUAAUUAUUUAUCAUCAUUUAAAAUUUAAAAAUAAAUUUAAAUGUUAAAUCAAAAUAAUUAACUUAUUCUAAAUACUAAUUUUUUUUAUUCUCUUUGUUCAUAUUUGGUGAUAACCAUGCUUUAUUUUUAGAAUUCUUUUUUUUUUUAGUAAAUAUUUUGUAGUUAUUUUGUAGCUUCACAAUAGUACUUUUUAAUAUAAAUGUUUAACAAGCUUGAGUUUAUGAAGAUAAAUAUUAAGAAAAAUUAAUGAGUUUAAAUAUAUCAAUAUAAUAACUUUUAAAAAAUUAAGUUGAUUUUACCAAAAUAAAAAUAAAAAUAAUUCAUCUUAAAAUUAAUUUCAAUAAUUAAGUAAUAAGGAUUAAGUUUUAUCAUACACUCUCUUAAUUAAUAAAUGACAUAACUUCUUUCAACAACUUCUUCGUUCUACUUUUGAAAAAAAAUAAUAAUAAUGUGAUAUUUAUUUAUUUAUGUCUAAAAUUUAAAUAUACUUGAAUUUGACUUAAAUCUAAAUAUAGCUUAAUAUUAUUAAGUGUUCAGACUAUUUUUUUUUAUUUGUGUCUAAAUAUUAUUAACUGUUAAAUUGUUUCUUUUUAUUAAUAUCAAAAUAUGUGAAGUGUUAAAUUUAUUUAUUUUUGGUUAAAAACAUUUAUAAAAGUAAUUGUUAUAUUUCUUCUUAUUUUAAUUUGAAAAGUUAUAAUUUAACAAAAUAGUAAUUUAAUUAACACAUCUAAAAAAUAUUAUAAUACAUUGUCAAAGUAAAAAUUUUAUAAUGAUAAUUAUGUAAUUAGUAAAUUAUAUUAUUGUACAAUCCAUUGUUCCAUGUCGUAUAAUAUAGAAUAGCUAUGCAUACCCAUCAGUGCAUAGACAUAUAUCUUUUGAUAAUCUAUCAUGAAUGUCACCUGGACUCUAAGUGAAGUAUGUAGCUAUUAUACUAUAAAGAUGGCAUAGGAAGAGGCUCCGGGUUUACUAGUUCUCACUCAACCAUAGAAAUAGGGAAUAUAUUGCACAUUAUUUUCAUCUAAAAGAAAGGUAGAAAGACCUUAGAAAUGGAACUUUUAGAUAAAACCUAAGGGUGGCAAUGAGAUGAGUCUAAGAAGGAUCACCUCAAUCUCAAUCUUAUGCCAUUUAUUUAUAUUAAAUGGGGUGAGAUAAGACAAAAUUAUAUUCGAACCUGUCUUGAAUUUGGUUCGAGGGCAAGAAGGGUCUUUACAAAAAUCAGCCUCAUUGUCAUUCUUAGGUACGCAUCUAUACCAAUGAAAGUUUUUACAUCUAUUAAAAAAUUUAAUGUUCCCGAUGUUAAUUAACUUCACCAGACUACAUACACUUCAUAAUCGUGAAAAAGUGUUAAAAUUCUCAACCAAUCAAUGACAUAAACUACAAUCAAGUUUAGUACAUCGUAACCCUAAAAUACCUCCAAACCCCAUUUCUUGUAAGACCCCCUUCUGAUUAGGUUGCAAAUGUUGAAGUGCAUUAUACAACUAAUUAGGCGAACAACAAGUGUCAAGGUAAGACUGCAAGCCAUACAUAUACAUAUGCAUAUAAAUUCGAAAUUGAAAGAAAAUAUUAUCAAAUUUUAAAAAGAUAAAUUUCAAUUUUUUUUUUGUCUUUGAUACAUUUUUUGAGCUUGUACCAUUUUGUUUUACAUAUUCAUUGGAGUAUUUCUUCAUCAUGGGUCUUCAUCCAUUAGGGCACCAAGGAGAGCAAGUUCAUUGGCACGUGCUUUAAUGGUAUGUAGGAAGGUAGUGAUGCUUUGCAAACCCUUGGUGUGAUUCUUAAGGUGGUUGUUGACUUGUUUAAUGUAGACAUGUGAUAGUUUGACAUAGGUAUUGGUGAAGAUGAUCUAUGCUUCACGAAAGGUUGUGGCACAGGCAAUGAAUGGAAUUAUGGUGGGUGAAACGGAGCCAAUAAGUGCAUUUAGGAUCAAUUGAUCUUGAUGAAGCAAGAAUAGGUUGGGUUGGGUAUUACAGUGUCGUUGGCAUAGUGGUGGGUGGACAAGGUUUGGUUCUAUCAAUAUAGCUAAGGCGGUCAAAGCCAAUAAAUAGUGUUUGGAAUUGAAAUCUUUAUGAUAUAUAGUUGGUAGUGGUUAGUUUAAGUGGGGCUCGAGCAAAAACAUUUAUUGAGAUGAGUAUUUGGUGUGACUCAUGGGUGUUGUGAAUAUUGAGAGUAGAAGUUACAGAAGUGGUGACAUCUUAGGUGGCCAUGAGGCUAUGAUGAUGGGGAGGAGCAUUAGAUGGCUUUGGCAUAGAAAAAGAGGUAAGAAGGAAGAACAAGUGGUGGUGAGGGUUUUCAGGUUAAGAAGCUUGAAUGCUCUGAUGUCAUAUUGAAGAAUGAGAUUGGUAAAUUAUUUUUCUAGGUUGAUUCUAUGUUGCUUAUAUGCAUGAUUCACCAAGGGUUUCUGACAAGCAUUAGCUAAGGGUGGCUGAACCCAAUGACAGACCAGAUGAAGGAUUAAUAAUAUAUUGCACUCCAGCAGUUCAACCAAUUCCCUUCGUUUCCUUAAUGACUUCUUUUGGUGACCUAUCAAUUUCUCUCUUGGAAAGUCUAGUAAUGGGUUGCCAAUUACCUAAAAGUUACUUCUGAGGUUUUGUUUUGUUGAUUCUAUGCUAACUGAUAAUCUGCAGAGGAAACAACUUGUUCGUCUGGAGAAGGUCUUGAAGCAUGCACUGUGAUGAAUUUGACCAGAAGAGUAAACUCAUCAAGUCCAUAUUAAGUCAUCAGGUUCCAGUAGAGCUAUUUCAAAAACUUCUUUAAUGCAUUAGCAUUUAAAAAUUGAAACAAUAAAAUAACAUAUAUUAUUGAUACUAUCAUUUAAAACAAGAAAUAUAUUGUUGAUAAUGGCAUUUAAAACAAUAAAAUAGUGCAUUAGACCUGCAUUCAAAUCUUCAAUUCUCAAACACCACCAACCCACCCAUGAAUAGAGAAAGAGAAGAGAACCCUAGCAAAAGUAGAGAGGUUCGAUUCUCAAAUCUUCAAUUUUCUUUUUAUGUGUUCAAGUCAUUUUUAUUUGUUAAAUGAUUCCAGCUACUACUUGGGUCUAGUAUUUCCUUGGUGUAUAUAUCAUGCACUUCUCAGUAGAAUGCCCAUAGACAUGGAGAAACAAUUUUUUAUUUAUUUGCAAUGCCUAAUAUAAAUUAAUAAGCACCUAAUUUUUUGUUUCAGCUAUGAAUGGUAUUUUUCUCUAGAUCAUAAGUACGUUGGUUGAAUUUUAAAAAAUUUAUACCAUUUCAGCGACUAAUUAAUAUCAUGCAAUAGAAAAACAAAGUUGAAAUUUGGGAUAAUAAAUAUCAUUAAAGUACAAAGAAAGUAACUUAUUGGGAGCAAAUUCUUCACAACCUGGCAUUCGCCUUUAGAUUAAAUAAUUUAUUAAUAAUCUCCUCUUUCUUUCUAAACUUAUACCGCUGUUUAUGAAAGUUUCUAAAAACCAAAGCCCAAAGCCUAGACUAUAAAAAGGAAAUAAUCACUUGGAGAGGGGUUGUUUGUUUUUCUUGAGAGCCUAAUAAAUGCAACGACAUAGACAGAAAGAGGCGGAAGAGUUGAGUCGGAGGAUCAAGAAACACAACCAUUCUUCUCUUUCAUUAGGGUUUUUGGCUGACUCUAAGGCCGUCUUACCUUCCUCUUAGAAUGAUGGCCUCUCGUUUCUAUACAUAUCCUUUCAUGCAUUUUCUGGCUCUCCCAUUCUCUUUUUCAAAGCUACGUCUUUCCUCAUAGACCCUGUUUGGUUUCUAAGAAAGUGGUCUAGGUCUCUUUCUUUUUCUUGAUUUAUCUUUUGGUUUACAAGAAUCAGCGACACAAUAAGACUGCCAUGAACGCAUGACGCAGCCACGUGGGAGAAGGCAGCAACCACUUUCGCAUUUUUACUAUGUAUCUCCAGAAACUCCUUUGUACAGCCCACACACGCGCUAAUGAAGCAGAUUCAGCAGAUUUUAAGAGGGGGAAUCUUGAAACCACACAACAUCAAGAGACUUGGCCGGAAGUGUGAUGAUGGGUGUUUCCGAAGAAGAGUUAUAAUUCGCCCACUGUUAAAUAUGGUCAUAGCCGUGAAGGGUCCCACGAGCCUUGAAUUUGUCACUACAUGCAAAAUAUAUGCAGAAGUGAUUGAAAAUGCAUGGCCACCUUUUCCUGCAUGUGAAUGUGUUGAGCUCUAUGGUGCAAUUACUAAUGGAAUUCUCAAUUUAGCUGAUAAGUAUUUUGAGAUGCAAAAGCAUGAUGCUGUCCGGGCAUCGGAAAUUUAUCAGAAAGCAGGAGAGCCAUCAAGCAUUCACUCGACAAGCAAGAGUAACACAUAGGCCACACCAUUCUCCAAAUAGACACAACAACAUACAUUCUUGAAGGCAAGUCCCUUUUUAAAAUUUUAUCUUAGUUUAAUUUUAAUUUAUUUAGUUAGUUUAGAUGUUUUUUUCAAAAUUAGUUUAAUUAAUUCUACAUGAUAAAGCUCUUAUUUUUCAUUUCGAUUUAGUUUAGUGUUGAUUUUUCUUUUAGUUUAAGUGUGUUUGCGAUUUUAAUUCAAUAGCUUAAUUAUUCUUAUUAGAUAAAGUUCAUAUAUAUAUAUAUAUAUAUAUAUAUAUAUAUAUUAUCCCAAAUUAGUUUAGUUUUAAUCUAUCUUUUAGUUUAAGUGUGUUAGUAAUUUUAAUUUAGUUGUUUAAAUAAUCAUGUGAGAUAAAGUUCAUGUUUUUAAUUCUAAUUAGUUUCAUCUUAAUUUAUUCUUUAGUUUAGAUUUGUUGUUGACAGUAAUUUACUAUUUUAAUUAAUCUUAUUAGAUAAAGUCUAAUUAAAAUUAGGUUAGUUUUAAUUUAUUCUAUAGUUUGAGUGUGUUUGCGAUUUUAAUUCAAUUGUUUAAUUAAUCCUCUUAGGUAAAGAUCUUGUUUUUAAUUCCGAUUUAGUUUAGUUUUAAUUUACUUAUUUAUUUAUUUUAGUUAAGAUGUGUUUGUAAUUUUAAUUCGACAAUUUAAUCGACCUUAUUAGAUAAAGUUGAUGUUUUUAAUUCCAAUUUAGUUUAAUUUUAAUUUAUUUUUUAGUUUAAAUGUGUCUGUGUGUUUAAUUGACCUUAUGCUAGCUCUUGAUUUGUUAUUCUCAAUUUAGGUGUUUUCUUGAAUCUUAGUCAUUAAUUCUUGGUGGAUAUCUCAUUAGUUUAUUUUAUCUAAGUCUUAAUAAUUUAUUAUUUCGAUAGUCUCUUGUCAAAUUUACUUUUCAGAGGCCAUCGGAAAAUAGUGAAGAUUGACCUCCAUUCUCACCACUUUAGUUUGUUUGGUUGUCAAAAUUUUUACUUUGUGAUUUUGUUUGCUUUUAUUUUGCUUGUUUCUUAUGUUUUGAUUGUUUUCAAAUUAAUUUCUUUUAUUUUAAAAUAAAAUAUUUUUCUCAAAAGAUCCAUUUGAAAAUUCUAUUUUAAAAAUCAUUCAUUUAGACUCCUUAGAAUCAAAAUCUCAUUUUUUAAUAAUAUGUAACCAUGUCUUGAUCGGUUUGUAUCUUUCACAGUUUUCAAUCAAAAUUCCGAUUUGGAAUGGAAUAUGAAUCCGAGCUUGUGGUCCCAAACAAAUGGGAUAAUUCUGGUCUAGAUUUGUGUAUAUCAAUUGAGGAAUUGGUGGAACCCCUACAUAAGAAAAUUCUUCAAAACUCAUCUUUGCAGCCACCUUUGCUAUUUCAUGAAAUCAUGUAUAUUUAUUAUUUAGGAAUUAUAUACAAGAUGUAUGUGAUAAUUGAUGAUUUCGUAUACUUUGAUCAUUUUUGCUAGGCUAAUUAGAUAACAAGCACAUUAGGAUUUUUUUUAUUUUAUUAUCUAACCCCUCAUGUCUUGUAGAAGCAUGUUACAAGUCAUCUAUCCUAAUAUAUAUUUUAUUAUAUAUUAGUUUUUUUUUUCUUUUUUUAAUCCUAUCUAUGUUGUUGAUAUUAAUGCAUUGAAUUUGAUGCUACCUAAAACAAAAUUAUAUUUCAUGUCCUCUAUUAUAAGUGGACAAUCAUUCCUUAUUUUAGAUUUUAGAUAAAGAACGAAUAAUGAAGAUUGGAGUUGUAAGAAAUUAGGAGAUCCUAAUUUUAAAUAUGUAACAAAGUUCUAUAAUCACUCCAGUACGUUUAAAAUUUGUAUUUCUUUCUAAUAUGGGAGCAAACUUUUUCCUUCUUUCUUAUAAUUUUCAUUUGGGAAUGAUUUAAAAAUAAAUAAAUAAAGGCCCUUCUAAAUAUUAAAAAAACACUCUCUUAUAAAAAUUAAUUAGGUGGAUGGUAAGGUCAAAUUCGGGAUAGCUUCAUAUUUUUUGCUUUAACUGAAAAUUAAAAUCAAAAUUAAAGUAAGAAUUUUUAAGAUGUUGUAAAAGUUUUAUUAAACAUGAAAGAACUUAUUGUGUAAACAAAAAUAGAACUAUAGAAUUUUUAUAAGAAAUAACAUUUUUAUGACUUCUAUAUGAAACCUUUUUUAAAAGUGAUAAGUUUUUUUUUUUAAAUAAUUAAAUAGGUAUAAAAACUUUUAUUCAACUUAAUUUUUUUUAACGGUUAAAAGUCAAUUCAAAUAAAAUUUAAAUAUAUUUGAAAAUCAUUUUUAAAAAUAAAAAAAAAAAACCACUUUUUUUUUAAUUUACAUUUAAUUCAUGAAAUUUCAUUUAUUGUUAUUUAUUUUCGGGAUUUAAUUCUUUGCAAUUGUUUUUGAGUGUUUAUAAAGUAUAAUUAGGUUAUGCCCAAAUUUAUUCCUUUAACUCUAUCCAUUAGAUAUAAGUAGCGUGAAAUUUUGGCCCAUCUCCACCUUUCUUCACUUCUGACAUUGUCAUGCACUACUUCAUCAACUCCAAACACAACCGCUGAGGAUCGAAGAAAAUGAGACAAUGGUCAAUAAAAUGAAAGUUUAAUCAUUUAAUCUUUUUUAGCACACCCCUCAUAACUGUCAGUGAUUUCCUGCCAACUUAACAUAUUGACAUGGACUUGGAGAGUUCGGUCAAUUGCAGCAGCUUGGUUAAUUGUAAGUGUCUUUUCUCUAAACCAUAAAUUCCUACGUUUUAAUUUACAAAAGCCAGUGAUUUUUUUUUACUUAAGGAAGCAGGAAAGGGUUUAAAAUAAGAGUUGAAAAGUAUGCCAAUUAUUUUAACUUUAAGAAAAAACGUUUAUUUUAAUUUAAAAUAAGUAAAUCAAAAGGAAUUGAUUUUAUCUCAAUUGUAUAAGAUUUUAUAAAAAUUAUCUUAUUUGCAAAAUAUUUUCAGAUGUAAAAGUAAAAAAUUAAACAAAUCAUUUGAUGAUCAUAGUCUAAUUUUAAAUUAUUAGAAUAAGUCAAUCCUCUAAACUAUAUCAUUUAUAAUUUUUUUGAUUAUUAAUAUGAUACGUAACCUUCCACGGAAUUGGAAUAAAAUAUGGAUAAUUAAAAAAUGUCAACUAUCCCAUUUCAAACUUUUCUAAUAUAGCAUGAUAUUUUAACAUGAUGAAUGAAAUGGGAAUGACCAAAAAUUGUAAAAUCAAAGAUAUAUCUAUUGUGGACAUGGCAUUCGGAGGCUUCUUAACAUUGUAUUGGUCUACUUAAUGAGUUGAAACAGGAACACAACACCAAAUUCUCUUUUUAUAAUCAAAGACUUCCAUGGAAAAUUCCACCAUAUCAUAUCUCAAAGAUUAGUCAAAUUCCAUUAUCUUUAUAGACUUUUAACAAUCCAAGAAAUUGACAUUAAUAAUCCCAUACACAAUAUUCUACAACUUUACAUUAUCUUGAUUGAAGAUAAUCAUAUUAUUUCAUUAACAAUUCAAGAAAUUCCAUUAUCAAUCAAAAAAUAAAUCAUGAAAGCUAAAUAAUACAAAUAUUCAAUGAAAUCUUUGGCGUGUUAUUUCUUUACAGCUUCAACAUGGUGGCAUGUCCGACGGAGGAGGCAGCAUUUGAGCUUCCGGGUGUUUACCAUUUUUCAUUAUGAACGCAGUUUCCAUGCCCCAAGUCAGAUGGCGUUCUACAUGGCAGUGCAUGAACCACACUCCUGCAACAGAGAAAAUAUACCAACAUUACACCUAACUUAAUUGUAAUAUUAAGAAAAAUUAUUUCCUUGGUAUGCAGGUUAGCAGUUUCAAGGGUUUUUAUUUUUUAUUUUUAAUAGACGACAUGAGUGCUUGGAACAUACCAGGGUUGGAUGCCUCAAAUCUGAUUGCAACCCAACCAUUCGAAGGAACGGAGAUGGUAUUCUGAAAGGGAGGAUCCACCAAAUUAUAGCGUAAAGGGUCCUUAUUUCCAUCGAAAUUCCCAAAUCCCCAUCCAACAACAUAGAAACUGUAUCCAUGGAGAUGCAUGGGGUGGUGUGUUGCUGCAAGCACGUUUGUCCCUUGAAAAACAAUCUCCACUGUGGAGUUAUACUCGAGCACCCUUACUUCUGUUCCGCUGCUUGGCAACUGAUAGAUUAAUGGAAGAUAAUCAGCUGUAAAAUCGAACACCAGUGGUAGAUCGCUAGGAAAUUUAUCUCCAUAAACACCACUGAUGUUAUAAUAGUAAGCUUGUAGUAUGUCAACUGUAGGGGUAUCGAAGCUUAUGUUGUUUAUACUUGAGGAGAACCGCGUCCCAUUGGCCCCUGCACAUGAAUUAUUGACGCAUGGGUACGAGUUUACAGAAACAGUGUAAAUCAGGUUAGUGCUUGUGCUCAAUGGGACAUUGCAAGGAUGUUCCGCAUCUACUAAGCUUCGAAGGCCGGCCAUGACCUGAACCGACGCAUUUGUGUCAUUGUAUGCAGGAAGAAGAGGGAAGGAUGGAGGCGAAGAUGGAGUGUAGUAUCCGUUGUACUGUACAAUAGCUGUGGUGGUUGUGUUAUCAUAAAAAUCUUGAUAUUUCGGGGCAACAGAAUAAGUUAUAGCUGCCAUGUAAUAGUGAUCCGGGCGUUGGUUAGCUUCUAGUAAGACAUCGUAGGUUUGGCCAGGAAAUAUUGUGAUAAAAUCUCGUGUCAAUGGUUUCGUGUAGCUACCAUCUGUUCCAACCACUGUCAUUUUAUGCUUGGCAAUGGAGAAGAAGAGAGCCUCUUGUAAGGCAGCAUUGAUUAUGCGAAGUAGAUAGGUCUUUCCAUGAUCCACUGUUAGCUUGAAUGUGUCUGCAAUUAGAAAGGGAAAGUUGUAUACUUAUGACUAGCCAAAAAAAAAACAAAAAGUUUCCAUGAGGAUCCACCAAUUAUGAAGUGAUUGAUUGAUUAGGUGUGUAAAUUUGGCUGCAUAGUUCAAAAUUAUAUUUGGACUAGCCUUUUUUUUGUGUGUUAAAUCAUGGCUCUACCAUCCUUAUAGCUAUAUUCCUCUUUCUUAGCAUUAACCUUUAAAUAUGUUGAUGUUAAUAAGAAAAAGUACUAGGGUUAACAUACAAGAAAAUGAAAUCAUGUACAAUUUUAAAACGGGAAGUUAAACUUUGUACCUGAUUUUGAGCAUGGAUAUAGAUCACCGGGUUGUCCAUUUAUCAAUAAAGCAUCAGAGGGGUCAGGGUCACCUCCGGUUGCAAGCCCUUCAUCUCGAACCGCAUUCACAUCAUUCUUCCACCAUUCUCCUGCAUUUCAACAACUUCAAUAAUUUUAGAUUUUGCUUUGUUGUUUAAUUCUUAAUAUGUAAAUUAACCUUUAAAAGUAACAACACUUAUACCUAAUAUGAUGGGGACCUCUCUGUCAGGCUUGUGAAAAGGAUACUUGGUUCCAUUCUUGGGAUAGAUGAUUAUAGCUCCAUGAACAGUGGCUCGGGUCCAGUCACUGUGAGCAUGCCACCAUAGAGUGCCUUCUUCAGUGGAAAGGAUGAUCUUCUGGGUAAACUUUGACCCUGGCUGAAUUGGGCAUUGUGUGAUAUACUCAGGACCAUCUGUCCAUGGAUAUCUAGGCAUGGUCACCCCAUGCCUGCGAAACCAUAACUAUACGUUAAAACUAGUACUAAUUUUCAAAGUAACAAAAGAUGGCAUGCAACAACAUAUUAUCAUAGUAACAAGAGGCAUCAACUGUAUUUCAAUGAAACUGAAGCAAAUAACCCUAAAGUAUUAUUUUAAAUUUGACUUUAUUUUCAAAGUAAUAUAUUGGAGCCCCCUCUUAGAAAUAAAAGAAUGUAUGCCAUGUUGGCAUGCUGCCACUGCUCUUUCUCUGAGACACGCAUAGGACCUACCAGUGAAUGGUAACGUUUUCGUUUCCCUUGUUAUAAACGUCGACAAUGAUCGUCUCUCCUUUCGUAGCAUAUAUGGUUGGUCCCGGAAAUUUUCCAUUUACUGUUAAGAUGUUCUUGGCACUACAAAGCCUUGUAUAUGAAGCUUCCCUCACCUGCAAUCAAUUAAAAGUUAACCAUGCAACCUCAUCCCAAAAGAAAUAUUACAUGCAUGAAUAGUUGCAUCGAUCCAUUCACGUAAGUGUAUAACCAAUUAGAAAUUGAUAGCAUGCAUGAACGACUCAAUGACACCAAGGUAAUAGAUCAUACGGUAUGAAAUGAGAGCCAUACUACUCCUUAAAUAUCAUGAUUAGAAGGUGGCGUUAAGGCCAGAAUCAUAUAUAGUAUUUACCACAAAAGUAAGCCGACGGGUUGAAGCUUGGCAAUGGAUGCCACCACCAAAAACUAGAAACGCUAAAAUUUGCAGGAGGAAAACCUUCAUGAUCAGCCACAUUUUCCUUGGAAUAAAAGCCUCUUCUCUUCUCUUGCCCUAAACACAACUCCUUCAAUUCUCUUACUACUUUUGAUGUAUUUCUUUCACAUGUGAUUCAUUAUAUAGGCAUGGUAAUUCUCUCGGGAUACAAUACUUCCUCUCCACGUGUCAAUAUAAGAGGAAGUGAUUUGAAUGUGUAUUGGUUUUUAAUGUUCUUUCAGGACGACUUCAAAAUAAUUAAUUAUGAUAUUUCUUACAAGUUACCUACGCGUUCUUUUAGAAUAAAUUUAAAAUAUUCUUUCACAAGUCUUUUAUUGAUUAUUUCAACAAAUGUUAAUUAAUUAAAUAUAUGUAGGAUGCUUUUAAAACUUUGACCUCCCUAUGAGUAGCCUUCUGAAGAUCGUUGGUGGCAAAGUUGUUUUCGUAUAGUUAAUACAAUUUGUCAUCGUCGUUGUUUUCGUUUGAAUGGGACAAAGUUGUUUCCAAUUUUUUUUAAAACUUGGGAAUUGAGAUUAUAAAAGACAAAGUUGUUAAUACAACUUCAGAAUCGAUGAUAAACUAAUUCGGUAUUUCAGAAUUUUCCAUAAAAAAACACAAAAAUAUAUUUUGUAAAAAGUUGAAAAUAGGAUACAAACAACCCCUUGUAGUAUUUUUUUUUUUCUCAACAAAAACCAAUUUAAUAACAAUAAUAAUAAAUAAUUAUAGAUUUAAAAGAUAAUCUGAAAUUUCUUUCAAUAUAUAAGCCUUGUACGUGAUGUUGGUUGACUAUUAUGAUAGUAAAUUCGGGAGGAUGCUUGCAUGUAAAAAUUUUAUUUUAUUUUAUUUUUAAUCAUGGAGCACAUUUUGAUAGAUUCUGAUUUAUAAUACUGCAUCAAUGGUCAUGAACAUUGCAAUCAUGAUUUUUUUUGAGAUGUUUAAAUGGACGUGAAAGAUAAGAAAUAGAUUUUCUAUUAAGAUAUUUGAAUGGAGAUGAAAGCAUGGGUAUAGGUUUGUACUAAGGAAAUGAACAUAUGAUUAAAAUAAACCUGAUACAGUUAGUCUAUAAGAAUGGAUCCUGUUUCUAACCUUUUAACACACAAAUUUGGAAACCUAAACCUCUGGAUUGUUUCUUUCCUAUAAUGGAAUCCUAUAUUCCUUCUCAAAGCAGCGCUGACUUUUCCCUUCCUACCAAAUACGAAGAGAAAAUCUUGACUAAUCUUGAUAAAGUUUUAAAAGUAUUCUACAUAUGUUUUAAAUUUAUUCUAAAAUAAUGUGUUUGAUUAAUUUCUUGGUCAAUUCUCAAAGUCAAACUUGUAUUUUGAAUUAGAAAAUUCAAGAGAUUCUAAGAAACUCAUCUUCUAGGAUACACAACCUGAUUGAAGCUGAGCUGUGAGAAAUUUUCACAAUUGUUAGCAUUCUUCAGGCAUUUGGUUUAUUUAAAUUUUGGUAAGUAAUCAAAUAUCAUACACAACCUGCUCUUUGAAGUGGUCCUGGAAGAACAUUCAAAACCAAUACACAUUCAAAUUACUUCGCUUAUAUUGAUACGCGGCGAGGAAUUGUUGAUACCCAAGCCACAUGUGAUCUGAUUUAAUGUAGCUGCCACAAAGUUGCUACUUUCAUUCUCAGACAGUCUGAAGCAAUUAGAAAAUGUGAAUCGGAGGCCCCCACAUUCCUUGGAUCUGUAGACACUUGAUGGACACAAAAUGUUUUCCAUAACUGUGCAAUCAUGGGCAUCUAUUUCUUCUAUACUUGAUGGAAGCUCUGGUAAUGAUUGAAGCCUCUUGCAAUAACCCAACCUAAGGCCUUUGAGCUGUGAAAGUUGAUUGAGGCUUGCAGGUAGAUUAACAAAAUUGUUUCUGCUCAGAUCUAAAUAUUCCAAUGAGCACAGAGAGCUAAAGUCAUUGGGAAUUGGUCCUUCCAAUAUGCGGCAAUCACUUAGAUUUAACUUUCUUAGGGAUCUUAAACCAAAGAAAGAUGCAGUUGCAAACGCCUAGAGCGUGGAAUUUCUGCAGGCAACAACUGGAAAGAGAGGAGCAAAUUCCUUGGCUUGGAUUCUAGUCCUUUACAUCCCUCAAAUGAUAAUACUUCAAGGUUUUCUGAAAGAGAAAUAGAGGGCGGCAGCUCUUUUACAGAGUUCCAGCUGCUCCGAGCUUCUCUAAACCUUGUAGGCUCCCCGAACCUCUGGCAAAUUGUCUAGUUUUGAGCAACCAGAUGGAAUAAGAGUUUGAAGAGAUUUCAACUUACAAAUGCUAUGUGGAAGAAUUGCAAGGCUUUUGCAUUCUCUCAGAUUCAACAGAACAAGUCCACUUAGAUGUUGGAUAGGUGAAGUUAGCUCUUUUAGAGCAGUUCCAUCUAAGAAAAGUUCCAACAAACUCCCCAUAUUUUCCAAGACUUCUGGAAGCUCUUUUGAGUUUUAAGCAAUCUGAGAGAAUAAGAAUUUCAAGGGAUCUCAACCUAUAAAUACAGCUUGGUAAUGACUCAGGGUUUUGACAGUUCCUCAGAUUUAAUAAAACAGGUCCAGUCAGAUAUUCAAUCGACAAGGGCAAUCCUUUUACUGCAGUGCCCUCCAAGGAAAGCUCUGAUAAAUGUUUCAUGCACCCUUGGACCUCUGGAAACUUCUUGAGUUUCGAGCACCCGGAGAGAGUAAGAAUUUUGAAGAGAUUCCAUACAGAUGCUUCUUAGAAAACUCUUAAGAUUCUCGCAGCCUUCUAAAUUAAGGAAAACAAGCUUGUUUAGAUCUCCAGUGGAUGGGUGAACCUUGGACAAACUUGUACAACCUUCAAGAAUUAGUCUCCUAAGGUUUGGGGCCCCCGAGAAGUCUGGGGUUUCAAUCAGGUGUUGGGAGUAGCUAAGUUUUACGAAUUUCAAUUGCUGAUACAUCUGUCAAAAACAAAACAGAAAAAAUGAUUAUAAUUCGUUUAAAGUGAAAGACGAAACUUGCAAAGAUUAUAAUCAUAUACCUUGAGUCCUUUCCAAAGUUGUUCAACUCGACUGUAACUCAUAUUUAGCUCGACAAGCUGCUCAGGAUGAAAAUUUAAUGGGAGGGAUUUCAGAGGGUAUCCAUGCCAAUAUAGACAUCUUAAGUUGUUCGAUAGAGAUUUGAAGUCUCCAGAAAGAAGCAAUUUACAGUCUUUGAAUUGAUUGAGCUUAUUCAUCCUUGUGCAAGCAUCAGCCAGCACAUAACUGUUUCCAAGAAAAAUAUUCAAAGCUUCCACAUAGCCGCACGUUACAGACUUUGAGCAAUCUUAAUUUGUUCAUCUUCAUGAAGGCAUCAAAACUGAAGUGUAGUUCCUUUGAUGCUGACAAGUCAAGGACUAUGCCUUCAACUACUUCAGUUCCUUGCAAUUAACCAGGAACAGAGUAUGGAUUGGAAAUUAAAAUCACAAAAUUCUAAAAGGAAAAGCACAGAAAGCAUCAAACUAAUGACUUGUUUUCUUGUUUUUUUAGGCAGUGUUCUAGGAAGCAAGUAUGAAGAUAAAAGAAAAUGCAUCUACUAAGACAGAAACUCAGGGAAAAGUUAGCAAAGGAUUCAAAUCAAAUCAUUCCCCCAGCUUUAUAUCUGCCUUUGCAUACAUAAAUAUGCAAUACCUUAUUAAAAUUGUACAUAUAUGUGAGUUUCUCAAAUAAGUUGAAAUUAUUCAAACUUCCUCUUCACCUAUAGAGCUUAUAUAUACAAAAAGGGAACACACACACAAAGUUCAUGUAUUUAGGUCUUACUAUGUUUCUAGUUAAUGCAUCACUAACAUCUUCAUGAAUCCACAAUCUGCUGUGUUUUCCAGGAUAUUUAAGAGAUUCUUGCCAAACAAUUUCCCAACCCAUUUCUUGUAACAAAUCAUGCAUGCACAACUUAUUAUCUGAAACAAUUAUGAGUGACUUAUCAACGAGAACCCUUAUUCCAAUAUCCGGAAAGAAACCACAACUCUCUAGUAUUUCUGUGACAAAAUCUUUGUCCUCCCAUUUUCAAAAGCAUGCAAUAUCGAGAAAUAUAUCUCUUUGUCAUCUAAUCCAUCAAAACCCAUUUUAAGCACGUUCUGAAUUUCCAUGUUGCUAAUUCUUUUUAGUUUGUCCAAUUCACUUUUCCAUUCAAGUAUGCUCUUGCUAUACAAAAAAGCACCUAAGACUUCAAGAGCUAAGGGAAGACCCUUACUAUAAUGUAUUACAUCAUAGCAUAGCUGCAUAUAAUCUUCUCCAGGGUGGUUAUGUUUAAAGGCAUACUGACGAAAGAGUUGAAAAGCUUCACUAUCCUCUAAUCCCCUAACUUCAUAAAUUGCACUGACUCCAUGUGUAACAAGCAAAUGCUUUUCUCUGCUUGUUAUAAUAAUUCUACUUCCUGAACCAAACCAAUCAUGGUUUCCUGCUUAAUAUUCUAACUGUUCCAAGUUAUCCACAUCAUCAAGAACAAUAAGAACCUUCUUAGAGUGGAGCCUAUCCUUUACAAAAUUGAUUCUUGUAUUGGAAAUUCCUACAUUUGGAUUUCCAUCCUUCAAUGUCUUUGAGAGAAGUUCCACUUGUAAAUGAUCUAGAACACAUUUUUGUGAGCCUUCUCUAACACUUGUAAAUGAUCCAAUAAUUGGUUCAAACAGUUCAAAAUUGGUCCAAUAAAUAUACCCUUCAAAAGGAGAAAUUGAACCAGAAAUGUCGCUUGGUGGUUGGAUCAAUUAGACCAACUGAUUUGUUUCAAUUUUCAAAAAAUAUUGCUUUAACAUGUAUGAUAAUCAAAAUAUAGGAAAAAAAACUAUUUACUAAGAAAUGAGAUUAUUAUAACAAAAUAGAAAAUGUAAUCUAUUUUAAUGAUAUGAUGACUUGUAACUAGAUGAAACUUUGACCAGCAAAGAAAAACAAACAAAUCUUGAGGAAUUAGAAAAUAUUAUCUUUUAUAUUAAACUUAUCUUUGUGUAAAAGCUCUCUACAAUUAACUAUGGGUUUUCAUAAAGCUUUAUUUAGGCUAUGUUACAUUCUUGGAAAUUAAAAAAAAAAAAAUGUAAGAAAUUAAUAAAUUAUUUUUUUCAUUAAUAUAAAUUAAAUAAUUAAAAUACCUAAAUUUUUCAAAAUUGUUAAUCAUGGUAGUGGGCCUUUGAUCAGCCAAAGAUAGCCCAUGCAUCAUUUGCCAAAAUUGUUAAUCAUAGUAGUGGGCCUUUGAUCAGCCAAAGAUAGCCCAUGCAUCAUUUGCCAAAGUGAAGCACAACAACCUUAUAAUAGGGAUGUCACAUAGUAAUUCAUUAUUCAUUAUUUUGUUUUCCCUUUUCAAUGUGGAUUUUCUUAAAGCUAUUAAAAAAUCACAUAAUAUCAAGAUUUGAGCAUGGGUCUUUCACAAUAUCUUUUAUAUACUAAUAAUUAUAAAUUAAUUAAAAUGAAAGAAUUAUAAAUAAGUUAAUUUUAAUUAUCUUAUUAUGUCUCUUAUACAAUGAUUUAAUAUAGGACAAAUAUAAAUUUAUAAAUAAAAUUAUUAACAUUUUCAAAUAAAAAAUAUAAAUAUAUAUCAAUAUAUUUUUUAUAUCCUUCAAUAUAUCUAAACUUAAUGCAUUAUCAUUUUAGUAUUAAUGUUUCCCAAUUCGGUAUAUUAUUAUCUAAUAUUACAAAUUUUUUAUACAUUUAUCAAUUUUUCUUAAAACAAUAUCAAUAUAUACAUCAUUAUUUUUCUAUCAUUUUUUGAGUUAUUUCCAACAUUUCAUGAGGUUUUAUCGAUUUCCAUCUCAUAUAUAUAUAUAUAUUUCAGAAUUUUCAUUGAUAUUUGUUUAUAUAUCUAUAAACUAGAACUAAUGAUAUAUCAGUAAAAAUCAAUAUUUUCAUUCUUAUUUAACAUAAGAAAGAAAAUUAUUCAAAUGGUGCAUAAAUUAAUGUGAUCUCCUGAUGAGAAUGACAACAACAACCAUGAGUCAUAGUUAGUGUAUGUGUGUGGUAAAUUAACUUAGUGUUUGAUAAAAUAAUUAUUUAUCAUCAUUUAAAAUUUAAAAAUAAAUUUAAAUAUUAAAUCAAAAUAAUUAACUUAUUCUAAAUACUAAAUUUUUUUAUUCUCUUUGUUCAUAUUUGGUGAUAACCAUGCUUUAUUUUUAGAAUUCUUUUUUUUAGUAAAUAUUUUUUAGUUAUUUUGUAGCUUCACAAUAGUACUUUUUAAUAUAAAUGUUUAACAAGCUUAAGUUUAUGAAGAUAAUUAUUAAGAAAAAUUAAUGAGUUUAAAUAUAUCAAUAUAAUAACUUUAAAAAAAUUAAGUUGAUUUUACCAAAAUUAAAGUAAAAAUAAUUCAUCUUAAAAUUAAUUUCAAUAAUUCGGUAAUAAGGAUUAAGUUGUAUCAUAUACUCUCUUAAUUAAAAAAUGACAUAACUUCUUUCAACAACUUCUUCAUUCUACUUUUGAAAAAAUAAGAUAAAUUAAAUUAAAAAUUAAAGUGAUAUUUAUUUAUUUAUUUAUGUCUAAAAUUUAAUGUACUUGAAUUUGACUUAAAUCUAACUAUAACUUAAUAUCAUUAAGUGUCUAGACUCUUUUUUUUUAUUAGUGUCUAAAUAUUAUUAACCGUUAAAUUGUUUAUUUUUAUUAAUAUCAAAAUAUGUGAAGUGUUAAAUUUAUUUAUUUUUGGUUAAAAACAUUUACAAAAGUAAUUGUUAUAUUUCUUCUUAUUUUAAUUUGAAAAGUUAUAAUUUAACAAAAUAGUAAUUUAAUUAACACAUCUAAAAAUAUUAUAAUACAUUAUCAAAGUAAAAAUUUUAUAAUGAUAAUUAUGUAAUUAGUAAAUAAUAUUAUUGUACAAUCCAUUGUUCCAUGUCGUAUAUUAUAGCAUAGUUGUGCAUACCCAUCAGUGCAUAGACAUAUCUUUUGAUAAUCUAUCAUGAAUGUCUCGUGGACUCUACAGGAAGUAUGUAGCUAUUAUAGUAUAAAGAUGGCGUAGGAAGAGGCUCCAGGUUUAGUAGUUCACACUCAACCAUAGCAAUAGGGAAUAUAUUGCACAUUAUUUCCAUCUAAAAGAAAGAUAGAAAAGACCUUAUAAAUGGAACUUUUAGAUAAAAACUAAGGGUCACAAUGAGAUGACUCUAAGAAGGAUCACCUCAAUCUCAAUCUUAUGUCAUUUAUUUAUAUUAAAUGGGGUGAGAUAAGACAAAAUUAUAUUCGAACCUGUCCUGAACUUGGUCUGAGGCCAAGAAGGGUCUCUAAAAUAAUAAGCCUCAUUGUCAUUCUUAGGUACACAUCUAUACCAAUGAAAGUUUUUACAUCUAUUAAAAAAUUCAAUGUUCCCGAUGUUAAUUAACUUCACUAGACUACAUACACUUAAAAUGCAUGAAAAAAUGUCAAAAUUCUCAACCAAUUAAUGACAUAAACUAAAAUCAAGUUUAGUACAUCAUAACCCUAAAAUACCUCCAAACCCCAUUUCUUGUAAGACCCCCUUCUGAUUAGGUUGCAAAUGUUGAAGUACUUUAUACACUUAAUUAGGUGAACAACAAGUGUCAAGAUAAGACUUCAAGCCAUACAUAUACAUAUGCAUAUAUAUUUAAAAUUGAAAGAAAAUAUUAUCAAAUUUUAAAAAGAUAAAUUUCAAAUUUUUUUUUUACCUUUGAUACAUUUUUUGAGCUUGUACCCUUUUGUUUUACAUAUUCAUUGGAGCAUUUCUUUGACUUCCCAAAGAACUUUUUUUUUUCUAGGACUAAAAACUUUUUUCCUUAAUCGACUUGGGAUAUUAUAUACACCCACAACCUAACUUAGUAGUUUUAAAAUUAAUUGGUUAAAAAGAAUGAAAUAAUCCCAAAAUUUGUAAAUAUAACAAGAUUGUGUUUUUACUUGAAAAGUAGCCCAUUUUGACAUAAAUGUCUUUCGCCAUUUCAAUUAUUUACAUUUAAAUUUAAAAAAAAAGUUAUGACAUUUUUGUCAAAAGAAGGACACAAAAAGAUCAAAAGUUAAAUUUCCAGAUUUAGUUUUUUAAUAGAUAUUUUAAUAAAAUAAACCUUAGUUUUAUAUCACAUAAUGUUUCUUCUUUAUUGUUCUUUAAUCCCUUUUAUUUAUUUAUUUAUUUUAUCAUACACGACCUAUUAAAUUUGAAAAUUUUAACAAUUUCUUGCAGUGCAUGCCUACGUGCUUAUCACAUGAGCUUCUCCAUCUAUACUAGCUAGGGAUCCAUUUGAUAAUUUCUUUUAGUGUCCACAUGCUUAUCACAUGGACCUCUUCACUUCUAUUAAUAGGGGUCCAUUUGGUAUUUCAAAAUAGUUCAAGGGCUUUGCUUAAGAAAAGCUUAGAGACUAGUUCGAAACAAUGUUUUUAGAACCCAACUAGUUAUUGAAUAAAAAAAGUUAUUGAUUCAUUGUCUAGUGGUCAAAUUAAUGUUUGAACUGCAGUCAAAUUGGUGACAUCAUAAAUAUAUAAAUUAUAUAUUAAAAAAAAUUAUAAAAUUAUAAAACUUAUUUUUCAUCUUUGACAUUUCCAAACUUAAAUCAUGAAUAAAUAUAAAUAUAUUAAUAUUUUAAAUUUUAUAAAUAAAAUUUGUGUAACAUUCAUAUGUAAAGAAAUAUAUUUAAAUAGAAUAAAAUUCUUUUGUUCAUAAUUUAUUUUACUUAUAUUAUAUUAUUUAGUUGUAUUACAAAAUUUAAAAUAAUUAUGUUAAUUUAGGUUUAGUUUGCAUUUUUUAAAUUAUAAUCAUUAAUAACAAAGUGGUGAUAGCCUAAACAUGAUCUAAAGGUCCAUGGUUCAAACCCUUGGUUCCUCAUCAUUUUCCUGGUCUCAUUAGGUGGGCUAGGCUUGGUAUGCGAAGGGCUAACCUUCCACCCAUGAUCCAACCUUUUAGUUGAUGAAAAAAGAAGGCUAACCUAGAAUCGAUAGACCAUGGUUCAAAGUUGUGGUUGCGGUCACUAACUUGGAGGGUCUUGCGGCACAUUGGUCUUGACAUCUUAGCUUGAUAUUAGAUGAUAUGUAAAAUAAGAUAAAUAAAAAUUAUAAAAUUAUAAAAUAUUAUAAUAAAUAUUUAAAAAAUAAAUAUAAUUAAAUAAACUUAAAAUUUAAUAAAAUAAAAUAUUAUGAAAAUUAAAAUUGUUCAAUAAAUUUUUAAUAUUGAAAUUGAAAACAAAAACUCUUUAAUUACCAAACUCAAAUUAAAAAAUAAAAUAAAAUGUGAUGAUUUUUACCACACAUUAGCAUUUAAAAAUUGAAACAAUAAAAUAACAUAUAUUAUUGAUACUAUCAUUUAAAACAACAAAUAUAUUGUUGAUAAUGGCAUUUAAAACUAUAAAAUAGUGCAUUAGACCUGCAUUCAAAUCUUCAAUUCUCAAACACCACCAACCCACCCAUGAAUAGAGAAAGAGAAGAGAACCCUAGCAAAAGUAGAGAGCUUCAAUUCUCAAAUCUUCAAUUUUCUUUUUAUGUGUUCAAGUGAUUUUUAUUUGUUAAAUGAUUCCAGCUACUACUUGGGUCUAGUAUUUCCUUGGUGUAUAUAUCAUGCACUUCUCAGUAGAAAGCCCAUAGACUAAUAUAAAGGAGAAACAAGUUUUUAUUUAUUUGCAAUGCCUAAUAUAAAAUUUAAUAAGCACCUAAUUUUUUAUUUCAGCUAUGAAUGAUAUUUUUCUCUAGAUCAUAAGUACGUUGGUUGAAUUAAAAAAAAUUUAUACCAUUUCAGCCACUAAUUAAUAUCAUGCAAUAGAAAAACAAAAUUGAAAUUUGGGAUAAUAAAUAUCAUUAAAGUACAAAGAAAGUAACUUAUUGGGAGCAAAUUCUUCACAACCUGGCAUUCGCCUUUAGAUUGAAUAAUUUAUUAAUAAUCUCCUCUUUCUUUCUAAACUUCACCGCUGUUUAUGAAAGUUUCUAAAAACCAAAGCCCAAAGCCUAGACUAUAAAAAGGAAACAAUCACUUGGAGAGGGGUUGUUUGUUUUUCUUGGGAGCCUAAUAAAUGCAACGGCAUAGACAGAAAGAGGCGGAAGAGUUGAGUCGGAGGAUCAAGAAACACAACCAUUCUUCUCUUUCAUUUCUAUACAUAUCCUUCCAUGCAUUCUCUGGCUCUCCCAUUCUCUUUUUCAAAGCUACAUCUUUCCUCAUAGACCCUGUUUGGUUUCUAAGAAAGUGGUCUAGGUCUCUUUCUUUUUCUUGAUUUAUCUUUGGUUUACAAGAAUCAGGAGUGAAGUAAAGUGGGCUCUUGAUUUAUGUUUGAUUUUUCUUAUUCAAACCUAUGUUUUGAUCUUUUCUCUCCAGCUCUUGUGGUCUAGGUCUAAUAUGCGUUGUGUUUUCUUUCUUUUUUCUUGGUUUUUGUUUGGUUUUCCAAGAAAGUGAAGGAAAAGGAACUCUUUACUCUCUUGGCAUAUUCCACUUAGGAUUGUCCUCCUACAUCCUUUGAUGCUUUAGUGUUUGGUCAUUAGUUGUUUUUAAGCCCUUAUUGAUGGUCCAUUAAGACAUUUUAAAGGGAUUAGGCGGAUCCCUAUCUUGAUUUUAGUGAUUUUUGAAUCUUAGUUUUAAUUGAUUUAUAACAUAUUUAGGCUUGUUUAGAACUUUUAAAAUUCAUAAUUUUGAAUGUGCCAAAUACCCCCUUCCAUCAAUUCCAACUGCAGCAACUGCCAUUCAAAGAUGCUAGCCACAUAUUAAACCCAUGCAUGAACCCCCAGCCAGAUACCCAUUUUUUCCUCCAUCCAUCAACCACCUUCUUACUCCCACCACCGCCACUGCUCACCAUUCCCACUUCUCCUCCACCACCAUGGCCACCACCGCUUCUGGCUCUGUCUUCCUCCUUCUGCUCCUUGCUGCCAGCGCUGCCGUUGAUGGCAGAGUCAUAAGCAACCGCACAUCGUCCACCGGCCUAGUCUCUGACGGCGUCCACGACCACCGCAAUGGUUUGCCUUAUCUUCUUCUCAGGUCUUUUUCGGCCGUUUCAGCCUCGGAUUCAUGUGAUCAUAUAGUAAACCCAAAUGGAAAUCAAACCUUCACAACCCGCUCACCUUUCCGAUGCCCGUGAUGAUCAAGUCUGGCACUCGAAAGAGAGAGGACAACUGGGUCAUCUCCCUCUUCGUGAUCCUCCACAUUGGGCCCUUCUUGCAUCGCCUUGGAUUUGAAACUGACCGGUUUAGAACCAUAACUCCUGCACGCGAGAGAGAUCACCAUAAGCCAUGCAAGGGAGCAUGCCAGUCACGUUCUCUAACUGCCAUGCAUCCGGUGAAGCGGUUUUGCGAGGAGAAGCCUCCAGAAGAGAAUCUUUUCGGUUGCGGGAAUAUAAAGAUCACGCCAGAAAGAAUAAAGAGGGCUGUUCUAGAGACUUCGGAGGAGGAGAGAGGAAAGGAAAACUGACAUAGAGAGUCUCUGUUUCUGGGCGUUUUUUGGAAGAGAGUUCAAAGAUCUUCUUUCUGUAGAAGAUCAUCACAUGCACCGAUUCAAAGAAUUUAGAGAACUUCUCGUUAGAGUCAAGGUUCUCAUCAUUCUAGACCUUCAUGAACAUCUUCUUCACGGCGGCAUUGGCAUCCCGAUUCCUGAACCUCCAUGAUUGAUUGAUCUCCAUCAUCUUCACGAUCGUGCACAAGUUCUGAAAGUAGAGACGUGAAUCUCUUCAUCGUCUUCACUCUCUAUACUUGUAUCUCGAAGGUUAUCCCGGUUUCUAUGUGCAUCGGAUCUCCAUAGGAAAAAUUAGAGAAUGAAUAGAGGUUGACUGUCAGCCCCUUAGACCCUUGACUUAACCAUGGAGGAAUAGGCCUCAUGGGUAGGCCUUGCACCCAUGAAAGCCUAGGAUGAAAGCAGGGAAAUCCUGGAGGUUUGGUGGUUCAAACUCUAGGAGGCAUGUGAGGAGGCCGCAGGUGAGCCAGACAAGCACUGCGCGCGCAUCGCGGGCGAGGCAGACACGCACCACGCGCACACAGUGGGCAAGCCAGACGCGCACCGCGCGCGCACAGUGGGCGAGCUAGACGCGCACCGCAUGCACACCACAGGCGAGCCAGACAUGCACCGCGUGUGCACCAGAUGGGCAUCGCGCGCGCAUCUGACUUAGGUGGUGCAGAUGAAGGCUGAGGGACUUGGAAUUUUAAUUUAUAAUUAAAAUUAUUAUUCCAUUAUGCCUUCUCAGACAUAUUGAUGUCUCCUCAAGAAACAAUGAAAAUGGCUCGUAUUGCUCUUUAAGGGGGGGGGUAGGUGACUCAAAGGAGGGAGCCACCAAGAGAAGCCUUGACCGCACCAAGGGGGCACCAUGGCAUGGCCUUGGGCGUGCCUAAGACACACGACAUGACUCGAGCACGCACACAUGGGCUCCACGACAUGUGUGGUGUGCACCCCAUGGCCGCAACGGCACGGGGCCUGGUGCGGCCUGACCCCUCCCCGUGCAGGCACGAGGGAACCUAAGCCUUGUGCGGUAAGCCAGUUAAUGAAACCAUGGGCACAAUGCCAUGGUCUGAUGGCUCCAAUAGCUGACUCGCAUCAAGAUGCCUACGCAAAGCACAGGGUGCAAUGCCCUGUGCACCAAGAGGGAUCAGUCAUGGGCGCAAUGCCAUGGCUCGUUGCUUGGAAGCUGGGAAGCAAGCAACAAGCCCAAGCCAUGGGCACCUAGACAUGGCAUGGGUUCAUUCAUUAGUGUGGGGAAGGCACACUGAUGCACUAGACGCUUGGUCAAAUGGGUGGAGCACGUUGCCUGGCUUAGAGGGCCUUGAUCAAAGACAUGCUGAUGGGCACCUGGUCACAAGAGGCACCUUACGGGGGAGGGGUCAGCUUGUUAGGGGGACUCACCAGUAGCUUGGCGAGCAAGACCUGAGGAGAUGGCAGUGCAGCUAGCUAGUGGCAGCUAGCUCAGUGACCAAGUCAAGCCGUCAUUUGAACUGCAGUUGGCUGAGGGAUGAUGGCUGGUGCAAGUGGGUGGCAUGUGCAGGCCACUAUCUAGGUGGUGGGUGGUUAUGCAGGGCAGUUGAGGGCGGUUCUGGCCAGUUGCAUAACCACCAAAGUUGGCUUCAAGAUUUGAAUUGGAAAUUCAAAUUUGUAAUUGCAGCUUGAGUCUUUUAAAAGGGCUCCUGCAGCCUUCAAACAGGGAGAGAGAGUUUUGGGGAAAGGGUUCCUUCUCGUAUGCCUUGGGUGAGAGCAUUGUACUCUAGUUCAGGAAGCAAUUUUGUCUUGCAAGAGUGAUUAAUACAAGUUAGGAAAGGAUUCUCGUAACCUCAUGUGUCCCUGUUGCUUUGUUAUUUCUGUGUUCUACUCUGUUUUUCUAAACGUUAGGAUGGAAGGUUGGCUAAGGACUGGUCCUUAGCACCGCGCACUCGUGAAAAAUUCAGUGAGAUAUUCAGGGGUAUGACACUGACCAUGAUUACUAUAUCUAGAUAUAUGUUAUGGAAUAAUGGCAGUUGUAGUAAAUAAUACACAAUGGGUUACAGGAUAAUGUUGAUGCUUGUUGAUUUUUUUAAUAAAUACUACAUAUAGAAAAGUAGAUGUAUAACCAGCCAUAAGUGUUUUUAGUGGCUCUUGAUUACAAGUUAUUGUGCCUUGUUCAUAUGUAUUAUUUUUUUCUUCUACAUGUUUAGUGUUGUCAUUUUAGUUCCAAGUAUAAUAUUCGAUUCCUUAAUUCUAAUCUUUAUUGCCAAUAUUUUCACUUUAUUCAUGAUUUUUUUGAAUACAUGUUAGUUUAGGUUGGGUGUGGACAAUUUGGGCUACGCAUGAGUGUUGUUAGAAUUUGAUAUUUAGGAAACUAAAUGAUUAAAUGUGGAUUGCUUGGUGAAUUAUGAUUGAGAUUGAGUUAUUUUUUUCUCUUUUUAUUCAAAACUUCUUUUCAUCUAAAUAAGUCAUUGGAUAAUCACAUGAUAAUUGGCUUUGAAUAAAUUCUCCUCAUUUUGAUUCUUAGAAAUUUGAUUUGUCUUAAUUUUCUAAAAUAAUUCACACAUGUACAUUUACAUUUUUUAAUAAUCCAAAUUUAAAAAUAUACAUGAACCGUUUUCCUUUUUUGGAAAAUUGAUUUUAUACCUCAUUCAUAACAAGAUCAAUCUUAGUCUCUUUGAUAAUGGAUGGCUUUUGUAUUUAAAACCUAUCUUAGUCUCUUUUAAGUAGAAAAUUUCAAUUUCUAAAAAGAAUAAUGCUGCCCAUUUUAUUUGGUAUGCAACUUUGAAAGGUUUUAAAAUAUUUUUCCCUUAAUCUAGACUUCUUAAAUUUAAUUUUUGACAUAUUAAAUAUUAAGAAAAGAUUUCUGAAAUGAGAGAUAUAAUUUUUUUCUUUUUGACCUUGCUGCACCUAUGCUCCCCUAGAGCUGAAGGAUGUUUACUUAUUUUUAAAUGUGUCAUGAAUGUAACAUUGCCUUGUGAUUAUUAUUUUUUAUUAAAAAUAGACAUGUUAGCUAGUUGUACGAAUUUUUGUAUGAUUUUAGGACAUCUCCAAGUUAAUUAAAAAAAUAAGUUCUUGAGUAUUUUAACAAAAUGCCCUGUUCUGAACCUACUAAUAUCAUUAUGAAAUCUAGUACUAAAUGAGAGCUAAUUGAUAAAUUGGAUGAUAAAGUAGACAUAUAGAAGAUAUUCUUUGAAAAUUUUUGUAAUGAAAUUCAACUUCUAGAUAUUUGUUUUUGAUUUAUUAUAUCCCCUGUUUUGACCAUUUGCUGACUUUUUUUUUUUCUUUUUUUUUUUUUUUUUGUAAAAGAACUCAUUUGUAAAUAAAUUUGACAUUGAUUAUAUAUAAGUUUAGUUUGUAAUUCCUUUUUGAAUUCAUUACUAUUAUUUGUGAGUUAAUCUCAUUUCUAUGAAAAUGCUUUAAGAUGCUAAAACAGGUAUGCAAACCCUCUUUUCAUAAUUUAUUUAAAUUAAAGCUUAUGAUUGAACAUUGUCUAUUAGAGUUUGCUAGUUGUGUUGAGAUUUAUGACUUUAAAUUUGACUUGUUAUGGAAUAUGUGAUUGCUUAGAAUACAAUGUGAUGCUAUUGCUUGUUAUCUAACUUUUGUGUUUUUUGGAACCGCUCAAAUUAGGUAUGCCUUUCUUCAUAUAAUUGAUGAAUUGUAUUGAUGUGUUUUAUUUAGUUCAUAGUAUCCAUGAAUCAACCAAUUGAUCUUCGGAAUUAUUUCAAUUUACUUAGUAGAGACCUAGCUUUUAGGGCUUAGAGGGACGCUAUAGUUCUUCAUUGUACCUUCCUGAUAAGUAAUCUGAUACUCGAACUUAGACUCGGGUUUUCAAAGACAAGCAUUUCUAAAUAAAAAGGAGUCAUUUUCUAGGGUUUUUCUUUCUUAUUUUGUUUGUCAUUUUAAAAAAAUAAAACGAAAAUAAGUGGUGACUCCAUUAUUUAUAAAAUUGGUUUUUCACAAACAAAAAGUGAGUGUUGCCAUCGAGUGAGAAUGCAUGUGAAAAUGCGGGAUCACAAACGGUGAAGUAAAGUGGUUCUUGAUUUAUGUUUGACUUCUGUUUUUUAAACCUCCAUUUUGAUCUUUCCUCUUCGGUUCUGUUUGGUUUCCAAGAAAGUGGUCUAGGUCUAAUAUGGACCAUAGUUUCUUUCUUUUUCUUGGUUUUUGCUUGUGUUUUUCUUUUUCUUGGUAUAUCUUUGGUUUACAAGAAACAGGAGUGAAGUAAAGUAGGUUCUUUAUUUUUGUUUGGUACUUUGGUUUCUCGUUCUCAAACCUACGUUUUUAUCUUUCCUUUUAUGCUCUGUUUGGUUUCCAAGAAAGUGGUCUAGAUCUAAUAUGCACUGUGCUUUCUUUCUUUUUCUUGCUGUCUGUUUGGUUUACAAGAAGCAGGAAUGAAGUGCAGUGCAUUCUUGAUUUCUAUUUGGUUUCGAAUAAAGUGAAGGAAAAUGAUGUCUUGCUUGUUAUAUAAUCAUUGAUAAGACGCCCAGGGUAAGAACCUCAUAUUCCUAAAAACAUGCUUACCAAUGAUUUUGCUUGAGCUCUUAGAAAUAAUCUCAAAUAAUCUCACUUAAAGCUCUCAAAUAGUAAUCUAUGUCCACCAUGAUAAGACAUGAUGAAAUAAGCCCCACAAAAAUAGUAUUUCAGUGCCAUUAUUUGAACCCAAGAUGAGCCCCAUGGCUCUAUCGUUUGCCUUUCUCAAGCAAACCCUACAAAGUGAAGGCUUCUUUUCUAUUAUUUAACUGUGGAGUGAGGUAACCACAAGGGAGAACCAUCAAGUAGACGCUAUCUCUUUUGCUUUCACUCUUUAUCACUGCUUUAAGUCUAAUUAUGCCUUAGAAGUAGAAACUAUGCACUAACCAUUCUCAGGUCCCACAACCCACUAUUCAUAAGCAUCAGAGUGAUGCUGUGCAUGAAGAUACUUGUACAAGGGUUUUAUGUCAUGCAACUUUCGGUGAAUCCAAUAUGUUACGAACUCCACAAAAACAAUAUAUGCCAUGAUGUACACCAAGUAGGCAAACCAGCCAACUUCACUUAUUCUUGAAAAGCACUUUGUCCACCCAUUUUCGACUGCAUACUCUGAAAAUGUUGGGAGAGCAGCAAACCAGGGAAAACUCCUCAUGGAAGCUUUGACGUGCAAAACAAAAAUGCACUAUUGGAAUAACAUGUAAUUAAGAGCUCAAGAAGACAUGCCAUUCCCUAAUGAAACAACGCUAAGCACUAUUGGAAUAAGCACGCAUUUAAACAAAACUGACAUAGAGAGUCUCUGUUUCUGGGCGUUUUUUGGAAGAGAGUUCAAAGAUUUUCUUUCUGUAGAAGAUCAUCACAUGCACCGAUUCAAAGAAUUUAGAGAGCUUCUCAUUAGAGUCAAGGUUCUCGUCAUUCUAGACCUUUAUGAACAUCUUCUUCACGGCAGCAUUGGCAUCCCGAUUCCUGAACCUCCAUGAUUGAUUGAUCUCCAUCAUCUUCACGAUCUUCACGAUCGUGCACUAGUUCUGAAAGAAGAGACGUGAAUCUCUUCAUCGUCUUCACUCUCUAUACUUGUAUCUCGAAGGUUAUCCCGGUUUCUAUGUGCAUCGGAUCUCCAUAGAUGAACUCGGAUUUUGCAUUGAUCUGAAUCUCAAGCAUGCAUUAUUUCCAUAUUGUGCUGCCAAACUUGGUGUUUUUCUUCAUUUAUUCUUCACCACAACAGUUGGACAUAAAGGUUAGUCUCAAUGAAUCUUUACCAUUUGAAUUAGUUUAUUAAUGAUUUUUAAGUUAUUCAUUGAUGAAGUUAAGGCUAAUAGAUGAAAUUGGUUUGUUGAUUUUGAAACUCACGGCUGUUUGUGACAUGCUUUUAUCAAAAUUAGAGAAUGAAUAGAGGCUGACUAUGAUUACUAUAUCUAGAUAUAUGUUAUGGAAUAAUGGCAGUUGUAGUAAAUAAUACACAAUGGGUUACGGGAUAAUGUUGAUGCUUGUUGAUUUUUUUAAUAAAAGCUACAUAUAGAUAAGUAGAUGUAUAACCAGCCAUAAGUGUUUUUAGUGGCUCUUGAUGACAAGUUAUGAUGCCAUGUUCAUAUAUAUAUAUAUAUUAAUUUUUUCUUUUUUUAAUCCUAUCUAUGUUGUUGAUAUUAAUGCAUUGAAUUUGAUGUUACCUAAAACAAAAUUAUAUUCAUGUCCUCUAUUAUAAGUGGACAACCAUUCUUUAUGUUAGAUUUUAGAUAAAGAACGAAUAUUGAAGAUUGGAGUUGUAAGAAAUUAGGAGAUCCUAAUUUUAAAUAUGUAACAAAGUUCUAUAAUCACUUCAAUCCACAUUUAAAAAUUGUAUUUCUUUCUAAAAUGGGAUCAAACUUUUUCCUUCUUUCUUAUAAAUUUCAUUUGGGAAUGAUUUAAAAAUAAAUAAAUAAAAGCCCUUCUAAAUAUUAAAAAAACACUCUCUUAUAAAAUUUAAUUAGGUGGAUGGUUAGGUCAAAUUCGGGAUAGCUUCAUAUUUUUUGCUUUAACUGAAAAUUAAAAUCAAAAUUAAAGUAAUAAUUUUUAAGAUGUUGUAAAAGUUAUAUUAAACAUGAAAGAACUUAUUGUGUAAACAAAAAUAGAAUUAUAGAAUUCUUAUAAGAAAUAACAUUUUUAUGACUUCUAUAUGAAACUUUUUAAAAAAUUUAUCAGUUUUUCUUUUUAAAAAAUAAUUAAAUAGGUAUAAAAAACUUUUAUUCAACUUAAUUUUUUUUAACUCUUGAAAGUAAAUCCAAAUAAAAUUUAAAUAUAUUUGAAAAUCAUUUUCAAAAAUCCAAAAAAUCACCUAAAAAUAAUUUCAAAUUUUUUUUAUUUACAUUUAAAUACUAAGUGAUUCUUUUAAAAAUCAUUUGUAAUGUCAAAAUAUUUUUUUAUGGAUAAAAAUAUUACAAAUAAAAAACAUUUCAAUCACAAUUAAUUUAUUUUUAAUUCAUGAAAUUUCAUUUAUUGUUACUUAUUUUUUGGGAUUUAAUUCUUUACAAUUAUUUUUGAGUGUUUACAUAGAAUAAUUAGGUUAUGCCCAAAUUUAUUCCUUUAACUCUAUCCAUCAGAUAUAAGUAUCGUGAAAUUUUGGCCUGUCUCCACCUUUCUUCGCUUUUGACAUUGUCAUGCACUGCUUCCUCAACUCCAAACACAACCGCUGAGGAUCGAAGAAAAUGAGACAAUGGUCAAUGAAUAAUUUAUUAAUUUUUUUCUUAAUUUAAUAGCAUUGGAAUGUCAGUUGGAACAAACCAUUUGAUGAUCUUUUUCAUAAGUAUCCAUUUAGAUCAUAGUCUUUUUAAAAUAUUAGAAUAAAUCAAUUAGUCUAAGCUAUAUCAUUUAUAAUUUUUUUAUUAUUAAUAUGAUACCUAUCCUUUCACGGAAUUGAAAUAAAAUAUGAAUAAUUAAAAAAUGUCAACUAUCCAUGAUAUUUGAUACCAAACUUUUCUAAUACAACAUGAUAUCAUGUUGAAUGAAAUGGGAAUCACCAAAUGUUCUCAAAUCAAAGAUAUAUCUACAGGGGACACGUCAAAUUCUCUUUUUAUAAUCAAAGGCUUCCAAAAAAAUUCAACCAUAGCAUAUCUCAAAGAUUAGUCAAAUUCCAUUAUUUUUAUAGACUUCUAACAAUUCAAGAAAUUGACAUUAAUAAUCCCAAACACAAUAUUCUGCAACUUUACAUUAUUCUUUUUAUUGUAAUUGAAGAGGAAUACCAACUUAGUCAAAUAGAAAAUAAAUCAUGAAAGCUGAAUAAUACAAAUAUUCAGUGAAAUCUUUGGCAUGUUAUUUCUUUGCAGCUUCAACAUGGUGGCAUGUCGGAUGGAGGAGGCAGCAUUUGAGCUUCUGGGUGUUUACCAUUUUUCACUAUGAAUGCAGUUUCCAUGCCCCAAGUCACAUGGCGUUCUACAUGGCAAUGCAGGAACCACACUCCUGCAACAGAGAAAAUAUAUCGAGAUUACACCUAACUUAAUUGUAAUAUUAAAAAAAAAUUAUUUCAUUGGUAUGCAAGUUGGCAGUAUCAAGGGUUUUUUUCUUUAAUAGAGGACAUGAGUGCUUGCAACGUACCAGGGUUGGAUGCCUUGAAUCUGAUUGCAACCCAACCUUUCGAAGGAACAGAGAUGGUAUUCUGAAGGGGAGGAUCCACCAAAUUAUAGUGCAAAGGGUCCCUAUUUUCAUCGAAAUUCCUAAAUCCCCAUCCAACAACAUAGAAACUGUAUCCAUGGAGAUGCAUAGGGUGGUGUGUCUCUGCAAGCACGGCUGUCCCUUGAAGAACAAUCUCCACUGUGGAGUUAUACUCGAGCACCCUUACUUCUGUUCCACUGCUCGGCAACUGAUAGAUUAAUGGAAGAUAAUCAUAUGUAAAAUCGAACACUAGUGGUGGAAAGCUAGGAAAGUUAUUUCCAUAUACACCACUGAUGUUAUAAUAGUAAGCUUCCAGUAUGUCAACCGUAGGGGUAUGGAAGCUUAUGUUGUUUAUACUUGAGGAGAACCGCGUCCCAUUUGGCCCUGCACAUGAAUCAUUGACGCAUGGGUACGAGUUCAUAGAAAGAGUGUAAAACAACUUAGUGCUCGUGCUCAAUGGGACAUUGCAAGGAUGUUCCGCAUUUGCUAAGCUUCGGAGGCCGGCCAUGACCUGAACUGAUGCAUCUGUGUCAUUGUAUGCAGGAAGAUGAGGCAAAGAGGAGGUGAAGAUGGAGUGUAGUAUCCCCUAUAUUGUACAAUAGCUGUGGUGGUUGUGUUAUCAUAAAAGCCUUGAUAUUUCGGGGCAACAGAAUAAGUUAUAGCCGCCAUGUAAUAGUGAUUUGGGCGUUGGUUAGCUUCUAAUAAGACAUCAUAGGUUUGGCCAGGAAAUAUUGUGAUAUAAUCUCGUGUCAAUGGUUUCGUGUAGCUACCAUCUGUUCCAACCACUAUCAUUUUAUGCUUGGCUAUGGCGAAGAAGAGAGCCUCAUGCAAGGCAGCAUUGAUUAUGCGAAGUAGAUAGGUCUUUCCAUGAUCCACCGUUAGCUUGAAUGUGCCUGUAAUUAGAAAGGGAAAGUUGUAUACUUAUGACUAGCAAAAAGAAAAAGAAAAAUUUUCCAUGAGAAUCCACCAAUUAUGAAGUGAUUGAUUAAUUAAGGGUGUAAAUUUGGCUCCAUAGUUCAAAAUUAUAUUUGGACUAGCCUUUUCUGAUGUGUUAAAUCAUGGCUCUACCAUCCUUAUAGCUAUAUUCCUCUUUCUUAGCAUUAACCUCUAAAUAUGUUGAUGUUAAUAAGAAAAAGUAGUAUGGUUAACAUAUAGGAAAAUGAAAUCAUGUACAAUUUUAAAAUGGGAAGUUAAACUUUGUACCUGAUUUUGAGCAUGGAAAUAGAUCACCGGGUUGUCCAUUUAUCAAUAAAGCAUCGGAGGAGUUAGGGUCACCUCCGGUUGCAAGCCCUUGAUCUCGAACCUCAUUCACAUCCCUCUUCCACCAUUCUCCUGCGUUUCAACAACUUCAAUAAUUUUAGAUUUUGCUUUGUUGGUUAAUUCAUAAUAUGUAAAUUAACCUUUAAAAGUAACAACACUUAUACCUAAUAUGAUGGGGACUUCUGCGUUAGGUUUGUGAAAAGGAUACUUGGUUCCAUUCCUGGGAUAGAUGAUUAUAGCUCCAUGAACAGUGGCUCGGGUCCAAUCACUGUGAGCAUGCCACCAUAGAGUGCCUUCCUCAGUGGAAAGGAUGAUCUUCUGGGUAAACUUUGACCCUGGCUGAAUUGGGCAUUGUGUGAUAUACUCGGGACCAUCUGUCCAUGGAUAUCUAGGCAUGGUCACCCCAUGCCUGUGAAACCAUAACCAUAUGUUAAAACUAGUACUAAUUUUCAAAGUAACAAAAGAUAGCAUGUAACAAGCAUCAACUGUAUUUCAAUGGAUAUGAAGAAAAUAACCCUAAAGUAUUGUUUUAAAUUUGACUUUAUUUUCAAAGCAAUAUAUUGCGGCCCCCUCUUAGAAAUAAAAGAAUUUAAGCCAUGUCUUUCUCUAAGACACACACAGGGCCUACCAGUGAAUGGUGACGUUUUCUUUUCCCCUGUUAUAAACGUCGACAAUGAUUGUCUCUCCUUUCAUAGCAUAUAUAGUUGGUCCCGGAAAUUGUCCAUUUACUGUUAAGAUGUUCUUGGCGCUACAAAGCCUUGUAUAUGAAGCUUCCCUCACCUGCAACCAAUUAAAAGUUAACCAUGCAAUCUCAUCCCAAAAGAAAUAUUACAUGUAUGAAUAGUUCCAUCGAUCCAUUCAUGUAAGUGUAUAACCAAUUAGAAAUUGAUGGCAUGGAUGAACGACUCAACGACACCCAUAACAUGCAUGAACAACUCAAUGACACUAGGGUAAGAGGUCAUAUGGUAGAAAAUGAGAGCCAUACUACUCCUUAAAUAUCAUGAUUAGAAGGUGGUGUUUAGGCCAAUAUCAUAUAUAGUAUUUACCACAAAAGUAAGCUGACGGGUCGAAGCUUGGCAAUGGAUGCCACCACCAAAAACUAGAAACGCUAAAAUUUGCAAGAGGAAAACCUUCAUGAUCAGCCACAUUUUCCUUGGAAUAAAAGCCUCUUCUCUUCUCUUGUCCUAAACACAACUCCUUCAAUUCUCUUACUACUUUUGAUGUAUUUCUUUCACAUGUGAUUCAUUAUAUAGGCAUGGUAAUUCUCUCGGGAUACAAUACUUCCUCUCCACGUGUCAAUAUAAGAGGAAGUGAUUUGAAUGUGUAUUGGUUUUCAAUGUUCUUAUGAUAUUUCUUACAUGAGCAGGACCAUUCAAAAUAAUUAAUUAUGAUAUUUCUUACAAGUUACCUACACGUUACCUUAGAAUAUAUAAAUUUUAAAUAUUCUUUCACAAGUCCAACAAAUGUUAAUUAAUUAAAUAUAUGUAGAAUACUUUUAAAACUUUGACCUCCCGUAUGAGUACCCUUAUCAAGAUCAGUCAUGAAAACUGUUUUUCAUUGACAACUACUUUUAAGAAUUAUUUUAAAAUUAUUUUUGAAGAAUUAUUUUUAUAAACAUUAUUUAACCAACCCUUAUUAUUAAUUUUACUUGUUUUCGUGUUACUUAAGAUAAUUAAUAGUGCAGAACCCAUGACUUUGGUGGUUGGUGGCAAAGUUGUUUUCGUAUUGUUACGUAAUGCAAUUAUAAUAAUAAUAAAAUAAUUAAUUUUACUUGUUUUCGUCUGAAUGGGACAAAGUUGUUUCCCUUUUUUUUUUAAACCUGAGAAUUGAGAUUGUAAAAGACAAGAUGAUAAGCUAAUUCGGUAUUUCAGAAUUUUUCAUAAAAAACACAAAAAUAUAUUUUGUAAAAAGUUGAAAAUAGGAUACGAACAACCCCUUGUAGUAUUUUUUUCUCAACAAAAAGCAAUUUAAUUAUAAUAAUAAUAAAUAAUUAUAGAUUUAAAAAAAAAUAUUUUUUUUUUGGGGCAAUUUCUAGUAGUUCCAACUCCCAAAAACUUCUCCACCUUUGAUCUUUUAUUUGGUUAGGUUGGGUUGGGUCACCUCGACUUGGGCACCCACCCAACUCCAACAAUAUUUAAGUAAUUAAUAAAGUAAAUGAUUGAAUUACAAUGAACAAGUAUAAUGAUCAAAAUAAAAAUAAAAAAAUCUUUUUUGUUUUAAUACAAAUCAUUUACCAUUCAAAAAUAUUCUUAAUAUCUUCAUUUUCUUUUUGUGUUUUUGAAAGUUCAUUUUUGUUUUAACUAGAUCAAAUAAUAUUUGUACAAUAAUGCCUUUAACAUACAUUUUUGAUCAGUAAUACCAAAUAAACAUCUCAACAAAUAUUAUAUUAGAUGAUCAUUAAUUUCACUAUCUUCAUUUUAUUUAUCUUAUUCUUCUUUAUCCAGUGCAUUUAAUUAUGUGUUGUAAAAUGAACAAGGACCUCUACAGUUAUAAUCUCACCUAAAAAGUUGGAGAAGUUAUCUCUACAUUUAUGGUUCAUGCAUGAAAUAAAUUGUUUUUGUACUUCCAUCAUCAAAGAUGCAUGUAUGUCUAUGUGGACCCACAUUUCUCACAUGUGCCUCCACUCAAUCGGUGAGACUCACUUUUAUUAGUGAAAAAUUAAGUUUUGGAAAAGUCGGAGUCGCCACAUAUUUUAUUUUAUUUUAAAGGGAAAAUAAAACAAGAAAUAAAACCCUAAAAAAUAACUCCAUAGUUUUGGAAAAAACAUGUUUUUGAAAAACCCGAGUCUAGGUCCGGGGAUCAGGUUACCUAUUGGGAAGGUACCCCUAAAAGGUAGCACCCCUCUAAGCCCUAUAAAGGUCUCUACUAACUAAGUUAAAGGAGAUGUGACAAUUAAUUGGUUAAUUAUAAAUACCUAAGUAAGCAAGGUGAUUUCAAAAAUAGCAUGUCUAACAAGAAAACCAAUCAUAAUCAUAAAGAAGAUUUAGGGUGCGUACUUGGACUGCUUCUUAUGCGCUAUCACAAGACACCAAAGUUAGUUCAAAUAAUAUAUCAUCUAGCAUGCACUUUAUCAGAAAUAAUUUAACAAUGAAACUAAUAUCAAGGCACCCAAGCAUUAUCAAACAUAGACAUAGUUCACAAUGACAAGCAUAUUCACAGAAUUUAGAAGGCAGGUGUUAGGGGGCAUACCUGGAUAGCAUAGAUAACUUGUAACAUGUUUCCUUAAGACAUGAUGGGUUAGAUAAUAAAAUAUAAAACAAAGAAAUCCUAGCAUGCUUGUUAUCUAAUUAGCAUAGCAAAAAUGAUCAAAGUAUACGAAAACAUCAAUUAUCUUGUAUACAAUUCCUGAAAAAUAAAUAUAAAUAUGAUUACAACAAGUAACAAAGGUGGCAACAAAAAUAAAUUUUGAAAAUAUUUUCUUAUGUAGGGGUUUCACCAAUUCCCCAAUUAAUAUACAUGAAUCUAGCCUAGAAUUAUCCCAUUUGUUUGGGACCAUAAGAUUGAAUUCGUAUUCCACUCAAAACCAAAAUUUUUAUUGAAAACUGAAGAAGAUGCAAACCAACCAAAACAUGGUUGCAUAUUACUUAAGAAAAUGAGAUUUUGGUUCUAAGGACUCUAAAUGGAUUUUUAAAAUGGAUUUUUAUGAGGAACAUCUUGAGAAAAGCAUUUUAUUUUACAAUGAAGAAAUUAAUCUAAAAACAACAAAACACGAGAAACAAACUACCAAGUGAAACAAAAGAAAAAAAAAAUCACAAAACGGAAUUUUUUUACAACCGAGCAAACUAAAGUGGUAAGAAUGGAGGCCAAUCUUCACUAUUUUUUUAUGGCCUCUGAAAAGUAAAUUUUACCGGAAACUACCAAAGCAAUAAACUAUUCAAACUUAAAUCAAUUAAAUUAAUGACUAAUAUUCAAGAAACAUAUCAAUUAAGAGUAAUAAUCAAGAAUUAGCGCGUGAUCAAUUAAACACACAAAUGUAUCUUGACUAAUUAAAAUGGACCAAAUUAAAUCAGGGCAAACAUGAAUUCUCAAUCAUAGAAUUAUUUUAUUAGUGAGCUAACAUUAUAGAAAAUGCCUAAAUUAAAUAGAUGAGUGAAGCUAAAUCGGAAUAAACUAAACACAAGCACCUGCUAAUAUAGAAUUGAUUUUAUUAAUAACUUAAAAUUAUAAAAAAUACUUAAAAUAAUUAAAAUGAAUCAAAUUAAAUGAAAGCAAACUAAAAACAAAAUAUGAAUUCAUGGAAUCAACUUCCUAAAUAAAUUUACAUUAUUGAAAUGAAAUCUAUGCUCAAAAUGAAUUAAACACUAAUUAAGGCAAAUCUAAAAAUCAAAUAUUUAACACAUGAGGUCAAUUAUUUUAACAAACUAAAAUUUUACUUAAACCUAAAAUUAAAUUGAAAAACUAUCCAAAACUAAUUUUAAAACUAAACUAUAAAAUCAAUCUCAUUAACAAAUAGAUAAAUAGAUAACACAUGAAUAAAUAAGUAUGACUAAAACGAAAUAUGAACUCAUGAAAUCAAUUUUUUUUAAAUAAAUUUACAUUACUAAAAUGAAAUCUAAAUUUAAAAAUAUUUUUAACACCAAUUAUGGAAAUCCUAAAAUCAAAUAUUUAACACUUAAUAUUAACUACUUUAACGAACUAAAAUUUCACUUAAACCAAAAAUUAAAUUAAAAAACUAUCUAAGACAAAUUUUAAAACUAUGUCUCUAACCUAUAACAUAAAUCUUGCUAAUAAAUGGAUAAAUAGAUAGCAUAUAGAUAAAUAUAUCUCAAAUUGAAAAUGACUUACAAAGGUGUAACAAUAAAUUCAUAAAGAACCUUUAAUAUAUUGUAUUGAUUGGUUAAAAAUAUAAUAGGAGAAUAGCUCACCUAAUCGAAUAUGUGUAUGGGUAGUAGGCUUCUCAAAGUGGCAGCCGCGUGACUGAUUCGACUAGCCAAAUCCAACUGGCUGUGCAAAUAUGCAAACUUCCAAAGACCUCCGGGGCUUGCUUAGAUCACGACUUCAAGACGCAUGCUGUCAUGGACCAAACCAUCUUUCAGAGAACGUGUUGCAAUAUCUCCUCUCCAUAGGUCGGAAAUCUUCUUCCAAUAACUCAGACUGAUCUUUCAAAACUCGGAUUGAGUUUCGAAGAAAAACGGACUGACCUUCAUCUUCCAGUUUUGGUGUUCGACUCGUCCUUCCUCUUACCUCCUGAAUGCUCGAUAUCCUCCUCUUGCCUCUUCGUACAACUGUUGCCAAUUUGUUUCUUUUCUGGAUGCCUGCUUCAUAAAAGCUUUUCUUCGGUAAAACCGAGCUUUCCCAGCCUUCUCCACGUGCUGGAAAAUUUCCUUCAAGGGUGCAGCUGCACUUGUUUUUUUUUUUCAAUGGUGUGGCUGCACCUUUCUCACCAUCCGAAUCCCAAACUUUCCUUUGGUCUUAAUGGUGUGGCUGCACCUACUCCCACUCCCAGAAUGAUGUGGCUAUCGAUCUACUCCUCCAGAUUCAACAAGGUAGGUAUGCACUCAUCUUCCCAAUCGCGGGGUGAAUAGCCGGUGAAUAUCAACAAGCAGUCGUGUAUGUGGGUUCCAAAACAGCAGUUUGAAUCCACUUUGAAACCUGGACUGAUCCUCCUCAAACAGCAGCUCCCAAAUGCCUUUUUUUUUUUACACAGACUGAUUCCUCCACUUUAAAAUCACAACUUAACUCCCAAAAAUAAUCCUUCUGAAAACCCCUUCAAUCGUGCGUCGUUCUUCAUUUUUCUUUUUCUUUUUUCUUAAUCCAUCACUUCGUCAGCUCCUCUACUGCCACAGUGAUGGAAAAAACAGCAGAAAAUGGUUUCCUUAUCCUCUUCCAAUCACCCUCAAUCCCCUCCAAUUAUUCCUUUUGUUUCCUUUGCCUUACCUUUUCUCUCUUCCUCUCUCUCCAAUCCACUAGUUGUCUUCAUCUUUCCUCUUAAUGGUGUCUUUUCUUUUCUCCCUUACUCUCUCUCCAAUUACCGACUGCCUCCGUCUUUCCUUUCUAAUGGUGUCUUUCUUUUUCUUUUGGGAGAAUUAUGUUUUAGGGGUAGAUGGCCCCCAAAUUAACAAAAGGUCCAUGUAACUCUUCAAAUUGAGCCCAAGACCUAAUGAAAGUAUGGAAAUUGAGUUGAAGGAUAUCAUUCUUUAGUAUUUUCAAAAAUGCCCUUUGUUGAUUUUGAGAAAAAAAUUAAUAUUUUUGAAAAAUACUUUUAUUUAAUUUAAUAUUUUUUAUUUAAUUUAAUAUUUUUAAAAAAUACUUUUAUGUAAUUUAAUAUUUUUUAAAAUACUUUUAUUUAAUUUAAUAUUUUUUAAAAAUAAAUUUAUUUAAUUUAAUAUUUAAAAAAAAUUAAUUUAAUAUUUUUUUAAAUACUUUAAUUUAAUUUAAUAUUUUUGAAAAAAAAAUUUAAUUUAAUAUUUUUGAAAAAAAAAUUAUUUAAUUUAAUAUUUUUGAAAACUACUUUUAUUUAAUUUAGUAUUUUUGAAAAAAAAUUAUUGAAAAAAAAUUAUUUAACUUAAUUUUAUAAAAUAUUUUAUAUGUGUUCUUAAAGGGUAUAUUUGUCCGUUACUAUUUCAUAUCCUUCAACUCAAUUUGAAGAGUUAUAUGGACCUUUUGUUAAUUUGGGGGCCCAUCUACCCCCAAAAGAUAAUUCUCCCUUUUCUUUUAUGGAGCAUGUGGGAUCCAUGCAAAACAAAUAAUAAAAAAAAAAAAAAGUAAUAGGAAAAUUAAAAUACAAAUAAAAGAAAACUAAGGGUUAGAAUAAUAAAAAAAAACAUGCAACUAAGAAUUAAAAAUCCAAAUUAUGUAAUUUUAAACGAAAUUAAAAAAUAUAAAUCACAUGCAUAACUAAAAUGAAUUAUCAACUCAAGCAACUCUCUAUCAAAAUAAAUUAAUAAAUAAAUAAAUAAAACAAAAUGAAUAUGAUUAUUAAGUUCAUGCAAUUUUCUAAAAAUAAGUAAAUAAAUUAAUAAAACUAAUAAAUAGAUAAAGAUAAAAAAACAAAAACAAAAUCAAGCACAUGCAAGCCAUAUGAGCUAUGCAACCAUGCAAGCCAUGCCAACCAUGCAUCCAUAUAAAAAUGAUCUAAAUGGGCCUAGGGUGCCUAAGUGGGCCUAGGGUGGUGCCUAAUGGGCCUAGGGUGGUGCCUAAUGGGCCAAGUGUGUCUAAAUGGGCCUAAGGUGCUUAAGUGGGUCUAGGAUGGUGCCUAAUGGGCCAAGUAUAUCUAAAUGAGCCUAAAGUGGUGCCUAAGUGGGCCUAGUGGGCCAAGUGUGUCUAAAUGGGCGUAAGGUGCUUAAGUGGGUCUAAGGUGGUGCCUAAUGGGCUAAGUGUAUCUAAAUGGGUCUAAAGUGGUACCUAAUGGGCCUAAGGUGCCUAAGUGGGCCUAGGGUGGUGCCUAAUAGGUCAAGUGUUCCUAAACGGGCUUAAGGUAUCUAAGGUGGGGCCUAAUGGGCCAAGUGUAUCUAAAUGAACCCAGGGUGCCUAAGUGAGCCUAAGUCUAAACUAGGGCUGCCAAGAAUCACAAUGGAGUUAUAUAAAUCACUCAAUCAAAGUCCCCAAGGUGGCUUAGAAAAGAUAGGUUACAUGAGUAGUAGUGGGCCACCAAGGAAUUGUUGUAAAGUAUCAAACGAACACAUAAUAGGACAUGUGCUAGUAUGACAAAAUGGAGGGUCUACAGUCUAACAAUGGCAAAAGAAUCUAUGAGGUCAAGAAAAAAAUGAAAAAAAAUUAUAUGUUUUUUUAAUUCAUUUCAUUUAUUUAUUUUUCUAUUCUAUAUAAAAAUUCAAUAUAUAUAACUUUUUAACUAAUUUUAAUUAUAUUUUUCUUUCAUAUUUUAUAUAAUAAAUCAAAAACUAAAAAAAGAAGAUAUUUUUUAAUAUUUCAACUAUAACAAGGUGGGCAAAAUUAAUUUAUAAUGCUAGGAUAUCCUAACAACCUAACCUUCAAAUUUCCUUAAAUAAAUAAUCACUUCACUAGUAAUAUAUUUUCUUAUUCCACCCUAUUGUGAUUAGCACCAUAGUAUUUGUUAUACUUUGAAGCAUUUUGGUAUGAUUCUUAUCUCAUAAUAAGUCAUUUUUGAAGUAAACCCAACAUGGUUGAUAGAAAUCCUCUUCCUAAAUGAACCUCUAGGUUUCUUAUUCAUGAGUGUUGGUACAUUAAGUUAUAUAGUUUAAGAUUGAUAAUUUUGUUUCAUUCAUUUUGACUUAGGACUUUUUUAGAUUAUGUCUUUCUCUCCUUUGAAAACUCGAAGUUGUCGUGUGAUUAACUGGAAUAACAAAGGUAAGUAUCGAAUGAUCUAGAAAGGAAAAUUAGAGUUAGUUAAGGUUGGCACGAAUGUCCAAUUCUUAAACCGAGUUUUUUUUAAAAUAAGAAAUAAAUAAAAAAAACAGUUUUAAAGAACUCCUUGAGUUCUCUAAUGAUGCAGAGAGCGCUUAAGCGCUCAUUGCAGCACUCAAGUGUGAUAGAAUUCUUUAGAAUUUCACAGCUUUAAUUUUCCAACUUUUACAAGCUUUAUUUUGGGAAAAUUCUAAAUCUGAUCCACUAGGAUCUUGGCCUAAUAAAUAACUUUCCUAAAGAGGAUUUUCUCUUUUUGAUGUUAAUGUUUCAAAAAACCUAAUUUGUCAUCUUGCUCCCAAAACUAUGAAAGAUGAUUGUCUUCGCUUUUACUAGGUUGAGAAAGAGAUUUGCAUCUCCACAAACACUAAAGUAAGAUUCACGGGGAGCACAAGUGGUGUUGUACUACAAAUGUGAAGUAUAGUAGAAGUGAUAGUGAGCUCACGACCCAGAGUUGUUUGCAUCCUUCACAUCCCUGAGAUGUUUGGUUUUCAUCAUUCUAGCCACUUGCAAGUGGCCUCGACUCGACACCAUGAGUUAGAAAGAAUCUUGAUCGGUUAUCUAUUUAAAGCCAUGAGCUCACGACCUAGAGUCGUUCUUCUUAUUUAUGACCCAGAGUCAUUCUUCUUGGUGACAAUGGAGGUGCACUACCUGCAGGAAACAUGGAAGGUAAUGAGUUUCUUGUAGCAACAUUUUUUGUAAAAGAAUUUCCAGGGACAUUCAAGGGAACAUCGGCCUUUGCAUCAUUUAGCAAUGAAGUCACCAGACGAUCAAUCUCAAGAAGCGAAAGCCAUUGGUCAAAAAGCUCCUCGGAGACCCUAAGGUUCGACUUGAGAGCAAAAGGCAACACUUUCGGGAGCUGCAACAUUCGGUGUCCAAAGACACCAUAUUGCCAACUAUCUCCAUAUUCAUUGUUACACAACUUGAUUAAAGCUGAGCUGUGAGAAAUUUUCACAAUUGUUAGCAAUCUUCAGGCAUUUCAAUUAUUUAAAUUUUGGUAAGUAAUCAAAUAUCAUACACAACCUACUCUUUGAAGGGGUCUUGCACAUUGAAGUGGUCCUGGAAGAACAUUCAAAACCAAUACACAUUCAAAUUACUUCGCUUAUAUUGAUACGCGACGAGGAAUUGUUGAUACCCAAGCCACAUGUGAAUCUGUGCCCGUCAUCCGAAGAAUUCUGGUGUUCUGGAUUGAUGGGAGCAAAAAGGUGACCAGUUUUACCUUGAGUCAAAUUCAAAUGACAAAAUAUACUACCAUGGACAACGCCCUUUACUACAAAAAUAGCGCACACGGCCAAUCCCAUCAACCUAGUAUUACACCGAUUUGGAGGCAGAUGUACCAUAUUACUCUGUUGGCUGAACCACUCAGGAAUUCAACUUCUAGGAACAAAAGUACUGGAUUCAAUAUGUCGAGUAUAUGGCACCAUCUGGGUCAUGAAAAUCAAUGUCAAGUUAUAUGGAAAUAAUGUAGCCAUGUAGGAGUAGUGCUCAAAGGAGUAUAAGAAUUAUUCCAUAGGAUUUAAUUGAUUUACUUUUACAAUAUGAUCAAGAAAGAGAGGAGAGAAACCUGAAUUGGGAAUUGAAAUCUUGGUAAUUUAUUCUCCAGACUUUGCAUUUCCCUUAAUGUAGCUGCCACAAAGUUGUUGCUUUCAUUCUCAGACAGUCUGAAGCAAUUAGAAAAUGUGAAUCGGAGGCCCCCACAUUCCUUGGAUCUGUAGACACUUGAUGGACACAAAAUGUUUUCCAUAACUGUGCAAUCAUGGGUAUCUAUUUAUUCUAUACUUGAUGGAAGCUCUGGCAAUGAUUGAAGCCUCUUGCAAUAACCCAACCUAAGGCCUUUGAGCUGUGAAAGUUGAUUGAGGCUUGUAGGUAGAGUAACAAAAUUGUUUUUGCUUAGAUCUAAAUAUUCCAAUGAGCAUAGAGAGCUGAAGUCAUUGGGAAUUGCUCCUUCCAAUAUGUGGCAAUCACUUAGAUUUAGCUUUCUUAGGGAUCUUAAACCAAAGAAAGAUGCAGUUGCAAACCCCCAAAGCGUGGAAUUUCUGCUGGCAACAACUUGAAAAAGAGGAGUGAAUUCCUUGGCUUGGAUUCUAGUCCUUUACAUCCCUCAAAUGAUAAUACUUCAAGGUUUUCUAAAAGAGAAAUAGAGGGUGGCAGCUCUUUUAUACAGUUCCAGCUACUUCGAGCCUCUCUAAACCUUUUAGGCUCCCCGAACCCUUUGGCAAAUUGUCUAGUUUUGAGCAACCAGAUGGAAUAAGAGUCUGAAGAGAUUUCAACUUACAAAUACAAUGUGGAAGAAUUGCAAGGCUUUUGCAUUCUCUCAGAUUCAACAGAACAAGUCCACUUAGAUGUUGGAUUGAUGAAGGUAGCUCUUUUAGAGCAGUUCCAUCUAAGAAAAGUUCCAACAAACUCCCCAUAUUUUCCAAGACUUCUGGAAGUGUUGAGAUAUUAGGAAUGUUUAGAUAUUAGGAAAGUUGAGAUAUUAGGAAUAUUGAGAUAUUAGGAAAGUUGAGAUAUUAGGAUAUUAGUUGUUCUUUCCUUGUAUCAUUCUUUCCCAUUCUUAGAAUGGUGAUUACCCUCUAUAUAUACUUUGUACAUGAACGAAUGAAAGGAAGAAUGAAAAAACUACCAUUUAUCAAUUUGAAGAUGGUAUCAGAGCCAUGGAAUUGAAAUCCUGGAUAUUUUGUCGCUAUGGUAGUCCGACAACGAUCAACCCAUAAUUGGCAAGACCAAUCCAAGACCAACCAUCCUAAGACAAACCCUAACAUUAAUAAGUCAGCCUUCAAAUGCACUCACUGCAAUAAGACUGGUCAUACCAAGAGUUGUUGCUUUGAAAUUUGUGGGAUAUCUAGACUGGUGGGAUCAUAAUCGUGAUAAACGGAAGAAGGAUUCCGAGAAAGCCUCUGCAUUGGUAGCCACUAUAGAUUAUGGUGGUAAGUUUUUAAAUACUUUUACACCUGUUAUUAAUAGUGCAUGGAUAAUUGAUUCUGGUGCUACAGAUCAUAUGACUUUUUAUUCUAGACAGGUUUCAUCCCUUAGACCUUCCUCACAAAAAAUUGUUUCCACAGCCAAUGGUAACACAACCCCAAUCAUUGGGAAAUGAUCCUUGACUCUUACUGAUACUUUGAAUUUGGAUUCUGUUUUAGUUGUUUCAUCUUUAAAUUACAAUCUUUUGUUAGUUUCUCAAAUCACUGCAGGCUUAUCUUGUAUUGUCAUUUUUUGCCCUGAAUUUUGUGUUAUUAAGGACAUCCAAACAAGACAGACGAUUGAUUGUGGUAUUAAGCGGGGAAAACUCUAUUACUUGGACUUGCAAUCAAAGGAUUCAAAUAAGUUGCAACAAGCCUUGAUGGUAGAUGGAUCUGAGGGGGAGAAGAAAAAGUCUAAAAUUUGAUUGUGGCAUCGAUGUUUGGGACAUGCUUCCUUUGGUUAUUUAAAAAAAUUGUUUCCUAGUUUGUUUGCAAAGAGUGAUAUUUCUGGUUUCCGUUGUGAUAUUUGUGAAUUGGCUAAAAGCCAUCAUGCUUUGUUUCCAUUAAUUUUGAAUAAAAGUUUGCUUCCUUUAUGGUUAUACAUUCUGAUGUUUGGGGCUCAUCCAAAGUCCCAUCUUUGAGUGGCUCACGUUGGUUUGUUACUUUUAUUGAUGAUUGUACCAUAAUGACUUGGUUAUGCUUGAUGAGGACCAAAGAUGAAGUGAACUUGUUGUUUUAAAAUUUUCAUAAAAUGAUUGAAACUCAAAACAAUGUAAAGGUUCAGGUUCUAUGUAGUGAUAAUGGUGGAGAAUAUCAGAGUUUUAAUCUUCAAAAGCAUUUGGAAGGACAUGGCAUCAUUCAUCAGACUACUUGUUCCAAUACACCCGAACAAAAUGGAGUCGCUGGAUGGAAAAAUAGGCACUUGUUAGAGGUUGUUCGUGCUUCCUUGAUAGUAGCAAAAAUACCGAUAUCUUAUUAGGGAGAAGCAAUCACAUCUGCCGUAUACUUGAUCAAUCGGGUACCUUACAGCUCAAUUGACUUCCAAACACCUCUCCAAUCUUUUUUAAUGUUGUAGUUGUCCCAACUGUCCCAAAUCUACCUCCUUGUGUUUUUGGUUGGGUGGCAUUUGUGCAUCUACACAAACACCAAUGCACCAAGUUAACUUCCCGUGCAUUGCGAUGUGUGUUUGUUGGAUAUGCAUUGCACAAAAAGGGAUAUUAAUGUUACCAUCCUCCAACUCGACGACUGUUUAUUAUAAUGGAUGUGGUGUUUNNNNNNNNNNNNNNNNNNNNNNNNNNNNNNNNNNNNNNNNNNNNNNNNNNNNNNNNNNNNNNNNNNNNNNNNNNNNNNNNNNNNNNNNNNNNNNNNNNNNNNNNNNNNNNNNNNNNNNNNNNNNNNNNNNNNNNNNNNNNNNNNNNNNNNNNNNNNNNNNNNNNNNNNNNNNNNNNNNNNNNNNNNNNNNNNNNNNNNNNNNNNNNNNNNNNNNNNNNNNNNNNNNNNNNNNNNNNNNNNNNNNNNNNNNNNNNNNNNNNNNNNNNNNNNNNNNNNNNNNNNNNNNNNNNNNNNNNNNNNNNNNNNNNNNNNNNNNNNNNNNNNNNNNNNNNNNNNNNNNNNNNNNNNNNNNNNNNNNNNNNNNNNNNNNNNNNNNNNNNNNNNNNNNNNNNNNNNNNNNNNNNNNNNNNNNNNNNNNNNNNNNNNNNNNNNNNNNNNNNNNNNNNNNNNNNNNNNNNNNNNNNNNNNNNNNNNNNNNNNNNNNNNNNNNNNNNNNNNNNNNNNNNNNNNNNNNNNNNNNNNNNNNNNNNNNNNNNNNNNNNNNNNNNNNNNNNNNNNNNNNNNNNNNNNNNNNNNNNNNNNNNNNNNNNNNNNNNNNNNNNNNNNNNNNNNNNNNNNNNNNNNNNNNNNNNNNNNNNNNNNNNNNNNNNNNNNNNNNNNNNNNNNNNNNNNNNNGUGAACCAGGAAGCGGGUGAGUUGGAUAUGAGUGGUACAACUUUGGAACCAAGUAGUAAUGACCACCCAGAAAUUGAAGAAGUGAUAGAAGAAGGAAGAGACAAUACAAUUGAAUAAUCACCACCAUCUGAACAAUUUAGGUCCGAAGAUGUUUUCACUGAAAUACCAAACCAAUCGUCGUCUGCUGAGGGUGUUCUUAAUUUGGAACUUGAUCCAUUCAUGAAACGGUUACCACACUUUCAUAAUAGAGGUAUUCCUAAACCCACAUAUGAACCUGAAUUGUCUAUUAAAGUCAAAUAUCCCAUGAGCAACUAUGUGUCUAGCCAUUGUUUGUUUGAAUCAAAUAAGUCAUUUGUAAAUCAAUUAUCUACUGUAGCUAUUCCUAACAGUGUGUAAGAAGCCUUAGCUGAUCCAAGGUGGAAAACAACCAUGAAUGAAGAGAUGAAAUCAUUGUAGAAGAAUGAAACAUGGGAACUCGUAGAAUGUCCACCAGGAAAGAAGCCAGUUGGGUGUCGUUGGAUCUAUACUGUGAAGUACAAGGCAGAUGGUAGUAUUGAACGAUUUAAAGCAAGGCUGGUAGAAAAAGGGUACACUCAAACUUAUGAAAUUGACUACACAGAGACAUUUUCACCUGUAGCUAAGAUCAACACAGUUCGAGUAUUACUGUCUUUAGCUGCAAACCUAGAUUGGCCAUUACAACAAUUCAAUGUAGAAAAUGCCUUUCUGCACAGCGAGUUAUCUGAAGAAGUAUAUAUGGAUCUUUCACCAGGAUGCAUGGUGUCAAAAAGCAAUGUCAGAAGGUGUGUAAAUUGAAAAAGUCAUUGUAUGGGUUGAAGCAAUCCCCGAGAGCAUGGUUUGGAAGGUUCACAAAGUUAAUGAGAGCAUUUGGCUAUCAUCAAAGUAAUUUAAAUCACACUUUAUUCUUGAAAAAACAACAUGGUAAGAUUAUGGCACUCAUCGUAUAUAUGGAUGACAUGGUAGUUACAGGAAAUGAUCCUAAAGAAAGAAAAGCUCUGUAGAAUUAUCUAUUUAGAGAAUUCGAAAUGAAGGAUCUAGGUCCUCUGAAAUACUUUCUUAGGCUUGAAGUUUCUCGAUCAAGUGAAGGAAUUUUUCUUUCUCAAAGAAAGUAUGCCUUAGAUCUUUUAUAGGAGACUGGAAUGUUGGGAUGUCAACCUGUUGAUACACCAAUAGAAGAAGGUUUGAAAUUAUGUGUUGAGCCUAAUCAAGGGUCAACCGAUAAGGGAAGAUACCAGAGACUUGUGGGGAGAUUAAUGUACUUAGCUCAUACAAGACCAGAUAUUGCUUAUGCAUUGAGUGUAAUGAGUCAAUACAUGCAUAAUCCUGGAAAGCAAUAUAUGAAUGCAGUCAUGCGUAUUUUGAGGUAUUUGAAGAAUGCUCCUGGGAAGGGAAUUUUGUUCACUAAAAAUGUUGAUCAUUAAAGUAUAGAAGUGUAUACUGAUGCUGAUUGGGCCAGUGUAGUGGAUGAUAGGCGAUCUACAUCUAGUUACUUUACCUUUGUAGGUAGUAAUCUUGUGACAUGGAAAAGUAAGAAGUAGAAUGUCCUCACUCGUUCAAGUGCAGAAGCGGAAUUUAGGGGUAUAGCUUUAGGACUUUGUGAGGCAUUAUGGCUAAGACUCCUCUUACAAGAUUUAGGUUACCUAUCUAGGCAACCAAUCCGAUUGUUUUGUGACAAUAAAACCGCAUGUGAUAUUGCUCAUAAUCCAGUACAACAUGAUCUUACAAAGCAUGUCGAGGUAGACAGAUUCUUCAUUAAGGAGAAGUUGGAUGAUAAGAUUGUGGAAUUGCCUAAGAUUCGAUCAAAAGAUCAAUUGGCCGAUAUCCUCACCAAAGUUGCAGUCUCAAAUCGAGUGUUCUCAAAAUUUUUAGACAAGUUGGGCAUGUGUGACAUCUAUGCACCAACUUAAGGGGGAGUGUUGAGAUAUUAGGAAUGUUUAGAUAUUAAGAAAGUUGAGAUAUUAGGAAUGUUGAGAUAUUAGGAUAUUAGUUUUUCUUUCCUUAUAUCAUUCUUUCCUUAUAUCAUUCUUUCUCAUUCUUAGAAUGGUGAUUACCCUCUAUAUAUACUCUGUACAUGAACGAAUGAAAGGAAGAAUGAAAAAACUACCAUUUAUCAAUUUGAAGAGGAAGCUCUUUGAGUUUUAAGCAAUCUGAGAGAAUAAGAAUUUCAAGUGAUCUCAACCUAUAAAUACAGCUUGGUAAUGACUCAAGGUUUUGACAGUUCCUCAGAUUUAGUAGAACAAGUCCAGUCAGCUAUUCAAUCGACAAGGGCAAUCCUUUUAUUGCAGUGCCCUCCAAGGAAAGCUCUGAUAAAUGUUUCAUGCACUCUUGGACCUCUGGAAACUUCUUGAGUUUGGAGCACUCAGAGAGAGUAAGAAUUUCAAGAGAUUCCAUACAGAUGCUUCUUAGAAAACUCUUAAGAUUCUUGCAGCCUUCUAAAUUAAGGAAAACAAGCUUGUUUAGAUCUCCAAUGGAUCGGUGAACCUUGGACAAACUUGUACAACCUUCAAGAAUUAGUUUCCUAAGGUUUGGGGCCUCCGAGAAGUCUGGGGUUUCAAUUAGGUGUUGGGACUAGCUAAGUUUUACGAAUUUCAAUUGCUGAUACAUUUGUCAAAAACAAAAUAGAAAAAAUGAUUAUAAUUCGGUUAAAGUGAAAUACGAAACUUGCAAAGAUUAUAAUCAUAUACCUUGAAUCAUUUCCAAAGUUGUUCAACUCGACUGUAACUCAUAUUUAGCUCGACAAGCUGCUCAGGAUGAAAAUUUAAUGGGAGGGAUUUCAGAGGGUAUCCAUGCCAAUAUAGACACUUAAGUUGUUCGAUAGAAAUUUGAAGUCUCUAGAAAGAAGCAAUUUACAGUCUUUGAAUUGAUUGAGUUUAUUCAUCCUUGUGCAAGCAUCAAAAUCACCACAUAACUCUUUCCAAGAAAAGUAUUCAAAGCUUCCACAUAGCCGCACGUUACAGACUUUGAGCAAUCUUGAUUUGCCCAUCUUCAUGAAGGCAUCAAAGCUGAAGUGUAGUUCCUUUGAUGCUGAUGAUUACUACUCAAAAAGUGCUAUUUUGUAGCUUGUAAUUAAUCCUUUUAAACACUUUUGAGUAGUAGUUAUUGCCUUUUAACUCAAUUAACAUGUUAAGGACCCUUGCAAUCAUUUCUAAUCAAAUUGUGUAAGUUUUGGUGUUUUUGUUAGUAAUUUGAUCACCAAAACAAUCCAAGAUUGAGGAGAGUUAUUUGGAAUCCAUGGCAAAGCAAUGAAGAGCUCAAAUUCAUGAAGAACCAAGCAUUGGAGCUCCAUAGCCCUUUGCCAAAGUCGUUCAAAGUAUGCAAGGAGAGAAGCAAGGAGAAGAGGAAAACAGAGUGAAGAAAAUAGAGGACAGCAGCUGCAGUCUUCUUUUAUACUUUUGGAGCACUUCCCGAAGUCCAUUUUCUACAUUUGUAUAUACCAUUUCAAAGCUCAGGAAGUCAAGAAUCCAAUGCUUCAAACGGUGUGCGAUUCGGAGUUGAAACGAAGAAGUUACAGCCACUGCAAGUCAAUCACUCUAAAGUGUUGCGAAAUCAGCCUUUUGUUGCGAGAAUUUCGCAGCCUUUUUGUACAGUGUUGUGGAUUUCCUCCUGAAGUUUCACGCCACGAUGGAAGCCAAACACCACAAGGUGGAAGCCAACUUAGCAGCCCUGCGAGUUUAACUUGUUGUUGCGGAAAUAUUUCGCAGCCCUCUUGAGUGUCUGCGAAAUCUCGCAGACACCAUUUUUCACCUGCGAAAUGUUCCUGGAGCUUCCCGAUAUUUGCCACCGACUCUUUUGGAUAUUUUUAUUCAGAUAUUUUUGUAUAAAUUUCCAUUUUCUCCUUGUAUUCAGCCACUCAUGUAAUUCCUUAGCUAGGAAGUAUCCAAGGAAGGGUAAAUUACCUUCCUAUAUAAACUCUCUUGUAAACACUCUCAGGAGACGUUGGGGGGGGGGGGGGAAGUAUGUAAUAUAUAUAAUAUCAUAUAUCAUAUAUAGAAUAUACAGAGCCUUGCUCUGUUUUUCCUUCUCUUUCAUUUUUCAUUUCUUUUUCUUUCUAGCCAACCAAACUCUGAGGAUUUUUCCACAGAGGAUGAGAGGCUAAGCUUUUUGUCUCUUGGAGUGAGGAAAGCCGGGUAAGUUUCCACAUGCAUAAUUUGGAAGUUUUGUUGUUUUAGUUUUUAAUGAAGAGAAAGUGUAACCCGUUAGUGAUUUCUAUGUUUUUAGUUAACUUAAAACACCUUUAAAUCACCUGGGCCAACAGUUGGUAAGGCAAGUGAUUUCCAACCAUGGAAAUGCACUAGUUUACCCCUUGCGAGCCUUUGGGAGGUGACUUGAAGGUAGGAUUUUCUAGAAUAGCCAACACUUGGUAAGCUUUUGGACUCCAAGGAGACAUCCAUUAGUUAUCUCUUGCGAGCUUUUGACGGGUAAUCCAAGGUUAAAGAUCAUCUUGAAUGGUAAGUGCUCGUGAGAGGCAUGAACCAUUGCAAGUUGCAUCAGUGAGAGGGAUUUGGUGUUUGAACCCAUUAAUGGAAAGCAUCUGUACAACACCGGUUAGAGAAUUAACUAUAUGUUAAUUCUCUAAUGCGAGGAAAAGAAACAAGUGACCGGAACUCCCUUUUUGUAUGAGGAAUCUGAGCCUAGUGAUCUGAACUCCAAGAAACAUCUUUUCUUUGUAGUUAAAAUCAGUUACUAUUUUUGGUUAGUUUAAAUCUAAACCUUUUUUCAUUCAAGCAUCUUUAUGUUUUCUUUUAAAGCUAACCUUGCAAUGAAAAGGCACCAAUUCAGCUUUGAAUUAAUAUCAUUUGUGAAGUGAAAACACAUCCCAGUGAACGAUCCUAGAGCCACUAUGCUAUAGUAGCUUUGUCUUUGCUACCCUAGUAUAUGGUGUAAUAGGUUAUAAAUUUUGUUGAUUACUCCCUCAAUCAAGGAGCACCAGCUGGACAUGAAUCAGUUGAGACACCAAUUGGGCACGAAUCAAAUGGUGCCGUUGCCGGGGAUCGAACCUCGAAUCAAAUGGUGCCAUUGCCACUGCCACUGCUAGGCACGAAUCAAAUGGCGCCGUUGCUGGGGAUCGAACCCCGAAUCAAAUGGUGUCAUUGUCACUGCCACUGUUAGGGACGAAUCAAAUGGCGCCGUUGCCGGGGAUGGUGCCACUUUGCAGUGAUAUGAUCUUUUGAGAACACUUGUGAUCUUCAUUACAAGUUUGGUGACUUUUCUUUUCCUUUUACUAACUCUUUUUUAUUUCUUUAUUGUUCAUAUUUGAGUAUACCUUUUAUUUAGUUUUUAGUUUACCUUAAUUUUCUUUCUUUGAAUUGUUUUUCUUUUGUUUUCUUUUGUGUUCUCUGUUUUUAAUUCACAAGUUGCUAGUUGUGCAUGCCAUAUUGAAUACCAUAGCAGAAGAAGCCAUGAACUUCUUGAUAUAUGUGGCUGAAUUUUCAAGAGAAUGGGGUGAACCAAAUGCUAGAGAUAUGGGAAGAAUGACGUCUCAACCUAAAGCUAAGGGUGAGAUGUAUAUUUUGAAUGACGGCAUGGACAUGAAGGCAGAGAUUGCAGCUAUGGAAAGGAGAUUGGAUGAGCUAGAAAUGAACCAUAUGCAAGAAGUGCAAGCCAUUUCUCAAACACCAUUGCUACCUAUGCCUUGUGCCAUUUGUCGAUCAUAUGAGCACUUGGUGGAUGAGUGUCCUACCAUUCCAGCCAAGAGGGAAAUGUUUGGUGAUUGCAACACCUACAAUUCCAAUUGGAGGGACCAUCCAAAUUUCUCUUGGAAACCAUAGCCACAUCAGUAUCAGCAACCUGCUCAAGCACCACAGCGAGCCUCAAGCCUUGAACAAGCUAUGGUGAAUCUUAGCAAGUUCGUGGGAGAUUUUGUUAGAAAGCAAGAAGCCAUCAAUGCUCAAAUCAAUCAAAGAAUUGACAGAGUGGAGAGUACUUUGAAUAAAAGAAUGGAUGAAAUGCAAAAUGAUCUAUCUCAGAAGUUAGAUAUUCUCCAAGAUUCAAUCUCAAGGCUUGCUAACCUCAACACAAUGCAAGAGAAAGAAAACUCUCCUUCUCAACCUUGUCAAAAUUCUAUGAGUAUCCAUGAAAUGGAGGCUAAGGAGGGAAAAUCUUCACAAAAGAAGGAAGUCAAAGAAGUGAUCACUCUGAGGAGUGGUAAAGAGGUUGAUCUGCCCACAUGCAAGCUAGAGCAUAAGGUAGAGAGUGAAACAGAGAAAGAAAAGAGGGAGGAAAUCAAAGGAAAGAAAAAUGGCAAAAGCAUAGAGAAAGAUGACUAUGAUGUUAAUGUACAAAGAGAACCACAGAGGAUAGUCAUCAAAAAAGAAUUGAUGAAGAAACACAUGCCUCCACCUUUUCUCCAAGCUUUGUAUGAAAAAAUCAUACAGAUCACAUCUCAAGUGAGGGAUGCAAACUUCAUAUGGGAUCCGGGCAAGCUAAAUAAGGAUCAAAUUUUUUGAUGGACUUAGUCUUUCUAAAGACUAGCUAGUCCAUAUCUUUUUAUUUUACUUUUUACUUGUUUUAAUUUUGAUUUCAAUGUUUUAAUUUUGAUUUCAAUGUUUUAAUUUUGAUUUCAAUGCUUUAAUUAUGUUUGUUUUGAUGUAAUAUAGGUUUUUGGAUGAUCAAAAUCAAGAGGAAUUGUAAAGAAAUUGAAGGAAGUCUUUCGGAGCAAAAUCGGAGCAAAAUCGGAGUCAAACGGAGCGAAAACAGGGGUCUGCGAGAUUUCGCAGCCUCUGCGAAAUCGGCACUUUGCUGCGAAACCAGUUCGCAGCCCAAUUACCCUCUCUGCGAAAAUUUUCGCAGCUGCGAAACCACUUUUGGCACACGAGUGCCACUUCGCAGCACAGGAGCCCCCAUUUCGCGGCUGCGAACCACCAAAGCAUGAAAUCCUCCAUUUCGUAGGGAAAACUCCAUUUGGAAGGGUGUUUUGCAGCUGCGAAGCCAACUUUUGGCACACGAGUGCCAUUUCGCAGCACAGUACCCUCAUUUCGCAGCUGCAAAAAUGGCUGCGAAACCUAAAAAAAAAAAAAAAAUUCAUUUUUUUUGGCAAUAAAAGUCCCAUUCCGCAGAGGAUUUCACGGCUGCGAAAGCACUUUUGGCACACGAGUGCCAUUUUGCAGCACAGUGACCCUCAUUUCGCAGCUGCGAAACGGCUGCAAAGUUCUAAAACGUGAAAAAUCCCAAUUUCACAGCCACACCCCCAUUUCGGCAACUGUUGGACACAUUUCGAUCACUUCCUGAAGUUCAAAUUAUGCAUGAAAUAUCUUGUUUCAAAGCUUGGGAAGUCACGAGUCCAUAGCUUCAAACGGUGCUCGAUUUGGAUUUGAAAUGGAAAAGUUAUGGCUGUUUGAAGAUGACUGUGCAAACCAUGAACGGAAAUGUCGCACCUCCAUUUUGCUACUAUUGGACACGUUUUUGAAGCACUUCCUGGAGCUAAAAUUAUGCAUGUGAUAUCUCGUUUCAAAGCUUGGGAAUUCAGGAGUCCAGAGCUUCAAAUGGUAUGCGAUUUGGAGGUGAAAUGAAGAAGUUAUGGUCGUUUGAAGACAAGCGCGCAAAGCUGAGCGAGAAUUUCGCAGCCGAGACGCCAUUUGGAAGGGUGUUUCGCAGCUGCGAAACCACUUUUUGGCACACGAGUGCCAUUUGCAGCAUAGUUCCCUUCAUUUCGAAGCUGCGAUACAACUGCGAAAUCACCUUUGAGCUGCGAAACCACUUUUUGGCACAUGAGAGCCAUUUUGCAGCCCCGUACACUCAUUUUAGAGCUGCGAAAUCACUUUUGAGCUUUGAAAUGGCUGUGAAAUGAUCUCCGAGCUUCGAAAUGGCUGUGAAAUCACCUCCAAGCUUAGAAAUGGCCUGCAAAUUGCGAAAUUGACUUGCGAAAUGGAGGAAGGUUUGCAAAAACACCUUGCAAAGCCAAGAGAAGUUGCUAAAAUGCCAUCAGAGCCCUGCAACCAUGCAUAUGAAGAGGAGAGCCCCACACACCCUGGGAUCACACACACAAAGUCUCUCACUCCAUUUCUGACCUCCUUAAACCAUCAAAUCCCAUAGCUACCAACUGAGAGCUCCAGUUGAGGAUACUAUGCCACCUAAGGAGACUACCAGAACAGAGGCCAAAGUCCUGAUCCAACCUAUUCAAGAGGGCCACACAGACACAUCAGCUCCACAGGACCUUACCAUUACUUGAUCAUCUCUUUACUUUUUGUCUUUACAUAUUAUAUUAGUAUAGAUAAUUCCAUAUUUUGAUGUUUUAUAUUCUAGGAUUGGAUGUAUUACUGGUGAUACAUCAUAUAUAGACAUCAAUUUUUGUUUAAACUUAGCAUUUUUCUAUUUCCUCUACUCACUAACUCUUAUGUUUUCUUUGAAACAUGUGGUUUCUCCUAUACGACUCAGACUCCAUGUCACUCAAGAGGUACCACUUCCUCCCUAUUUUUUAAUCGCUUUUGUCACAUUGAGGACAAUGUUCAGCUUGGUUGGGGGGAGAGUUGAGGAAGUAAGUAUUGUUAAUAAUGCUAAGUUAUUUUGGUAAUUUAGUUGUUUUUUGCUUAAUUUUUAAAAUUUUUAAAAGUUUUUAUUCUACUCUCCAUGGUUAUUAAGGAAAAAUUUUCAAAAUGAAAUGGGAGAAAUUGAAUUUUUGUCUUUUUACUUGACUUAGAUUUUGUAUUAUGCUUAUUAAAGUUGGUGAAUUGUUGAAACUUCUAUUGAAGUCAACCUUAGUUCUUCCACUUUAAGCUAUCCACACACUAUGCACAAUAGGUUCCGAGUAUAAGAUGAAAAACUAUUUCCCUCUUGACUUAGGAAAAUUUUAGACUUGGUACCUUUGACCUCUCUUUAAUAGUGUUGGGACACCUCAUAAAGACCAAUGAGUCUUUGAAAAAAUAGAAAAAAAAGAAAAAGAAAAAGAAAAAGAAAAAGAAAAAAAAUAUAUAGAAUAAACUUCUUUGCUUGCCUUGAAACCCGAGCAAGGUCUGAGGGGUAUAUGGUGAAAAUCUUUAAAACCUGGUGCCCUAAGCCUUCAUUGGUUGGGAGUCACCGACCUCAAUGCUCGUUACAAGGGUGGAUAGGUGGAGUUUAACAUACUGUAGGUGCUUGAGUAUUAAAAUUCAUUCUCAAAAGUCCGGGGUAAAAUCCGAGGAGUUAGUGGUUGAAAGAUCCUUAAAGCUUGAUGCCCUAAACCUUUAUUGGUUGGGAGUCAUCGAUGGACCCCUGUUACAUGGACAAUUUAUAAAAAAAUACCUUUAAGCCUUGUACUCCUACAAUGAAAAAAAUUGUGAAAAAAGAGGUGCGUUCUUAGCCUUUUGGAGGUUGAUUAGUUUGCUAAGCUUUGAAAAAGAACUAGGUUGGGGGGAGAGAUUAGUUCAACAUACUAUAUUCGGAAGCUAAUAAAUAACACUUAGAUUUUUGUGGAAGAGUAAGGUUUGACCUUUUGGAAGUGCAAAUGAUUUUAAAGCUUAAAUUUGCAUAAUGCCUUCUCUUUAUGAAUUGUGAUUAGACAAGUUAUUUGAUAACUCUUGUUGAAGUUUGAGUUUUAUUUCUUUAAUGUUCCAUGUGAGAGUUAGAUCAUCAUGCCACUUGAGAAUUGUUUUUUUUUUAUCAGCAUGAUGUUGUAAAUUAUAGUAUUGUUUAUUUUUAGUUUUUAUCUCCUUCAUUGCUAAGGGACUAGCAAUAUGUCGGUUGGGGGGAGUGAUUACUACUCAAAAAGUGCUAUUUUGUAGCUUGUAAUUAAUCCUUUUAAACACUUUUGAGUAGUAGUUAUUGCCUUUUAACUCAAUUAACAUGUUAAGGACCCUUGCAAUCAUUUCUAAUCAAAUUGUAUAAGUUUUGGUGUUUUUGUUAGUAAUUUGAUCACCAAAACAAUCCAAGAUUGAGGAGAGUUAUUUGGAAUCCAUGGCAAAGCAAUGAAGAGCUCAAAUUCAUGAAGAACCAAGCUUUGGAGCUCCAUAGCCCUUUGCCAAAGUCGUUCAAAGUAUGCAAGGAGAGAAGCAAGGAGAAGAGGAAAACAGAGUGAAGAAAAUAGAGGACAGCAGCUGCAGUCUUCUUUUAUACUUUUGGAGCACUUCCCGAAGUCCAUUUUCUACAUUUGUAUAUACCAUUUCAAAGCUCAGGAAGUCAAGAAUCCAAUGCUUUAAACGGUGCGCGAUUCGGAGUUGAAACGAAGAAGUUACAGCCACUGCAAGUCAAUCACUCUAAAGUGUUGCGAAAUCAGCCUUUUGUUGCGAGAAUUUCGCAGCCUUUUUGUACAGUGUUGUGGAUUUCCUCCUGAAGUUUCACGCCGCGAUGGAAUCCAAACACCACAAGGUGGAAGCCAACUUAGCAGUCCUGCGAGUUUAACUUGUUGUUGCGGAAAUAUUUCGCAGCCCUCUUGAGUGUCUGCGAAAUCUCGUAGACACCAUUUUUCACCUGCGAAAUGUUCCUGGAGCUUCCUAAUAUUUGCCACCGACUCUUUUGGAUAUUUUUCUUCAGAUAUUUUUGUAUAAAUUUCCAUUUUCUCCUUGUAUUCAGCCACUCAUGUAAUUCCUUAGCUAGGAAGUAUCCAAGGAAGGGUAAAUUACCUUCCUAUAUAAACUCUCUUGUAAACACUCUCAGGAGACGUUGGGGGGGGGAAGUAUGUAAUAUAUAUAAUAUCAUAUAUCAUAUAUAGAAUAUACAGAGCCUUGCUCUGUUUUUCAUUCUCUUUCAUUUUUCAUUUCUUUUUCUUUCUAGCCAACCAAACUCUAAGGAUUUUUCCACAGAGGAUGAGAGGCUAAGCUUUUUGUCUCUUGGAGUGAGGAAAGUCGGGUAAGUUUCCACAUGCAUAAUUUGGAAGUUUUGUUGUUUUAGUUUUUAAUGAAGAGAAAGUGUAACCCGUUAGUGAUUUCCAUGUUUUUAGUUAACUUAAAACACCUUAGAGUCACCUGGGCCAACACUUGGUAAGGCAAGUGAUUUCCAACCAUGGAAAUGCACUAGUUUACCCCUUACGAGCCUUUGGGAGGUGACUUGAAGGUAGGAUUUUCUAGAAUAGCCAACACUUGGUAAGCUUUUGGACUCUAAGGAGACAUCCAUUAGUUAUCUCUUGCGUGCUUUUGACGGGUAAUCCAAGGUUAAAGAUCACCUUGAAUGGCAAGUGCUAGGUGAGAGGUAUGAGCCAGUGCAAAGUGCAUCAGUGAGAGGGAUUUAGUGUUUGAAUCCAUUAAUGGGAAGCAUCUGUAUAACACCGGUUAGAGAAUUAACUAUAUGUUAAUUCUCUAAUGCGAGGAAAAGAAACAAGUGACCGGAACUCCCUUUUUGUAUGAGGAACCUGAGCCUAGUGAUCUGAACUCCAAGAAACAUCUUUUCUUUGUAAGUAAAAUCAGUUACUAUUUUUGGCUAGUUUAAAUCUAAACCUUUUUCAUUCAAGCAUCUUUAUGUUUUCUUUUAAAGCUAACCUUGAAAUGAAAAUGCACCAAUUCAGCUUUGAAUUAAUAUCAUUUGUAAAGUGAAAACCCAUCCCAGUGAACGAUCCUAGAGCCACUAUACUAUAGUAGCUUUGUCUUUGCUACCCUAGUAUAUGGUGUAAUAGGUUAUAAAUUUUGUUGAUUACUCCCUCAAUCAAGGAGCACCAGCUGGACACGAAUCAGCUGAGACACCAAUUGGGCACGAAUCAGCUGACAAGUCAAGGACUAUGCCUUCAACUACUUCACUCCCUUGCAAUUAACCAGGAAUAGAGUAUGAAUUGGAAAUUAAAAUCACAAAAUUCUAAAAGGAAAAGCACAGAAAGCAUCAAACUAAUAACUUAUUUUAUUUUUUUUAGGCAGUGUUCAAGGAAGCAAGUAUGAAGAUAAAAUAAAAUUCAUCUACUAAGACAAAAACUCAGGGAAAAGUUAGCAAAGGAUUCAAAUCAAAUAAUCCCCCCAACUUUAUAUUUGCCUUUGCAUACAUAAAUAUGCAAUACCUUAUUAAAAUUGUACAUAUAUGUGAGUUUCUCAAAUGAAUUGAAAUUAUCCAAACUUCCUCUUCACCUAGAGCUUAUAUAUACAAAAAGGGAAUGCACACACAAAGUUCAUGUAUUUAGGUCUUACUGUAUUUCUAGUUAAUGCAUCAUUGACAUAUGCAUGAAUCCACAAUCUAUUGUGUUUUUUAGGAUAUUUAAGAGAUUCUUGCCAAACAAUUUCCCAACCCAUUUCUUGUAACAAAUCAUGCAUGCACAACUUAUUAUCUGAAACAAUUAUGAGUGACUUAUCAACGAGAACCCUUAUUCCAAUAUCCAGAAAGAAACCACAACUCUCUAGUAUUUCUGUGAUAAAAUCUUUGUCCUCCCAUUUACAAAAACAUGCAAUAUCGAGAAAUAUAUCUCUCUUUGUCAUCUUAUCCAUUAAAACCCAUUUUGAGCACAUUCUGAAUUUCCAUGUUGGAAAUUCUUUUUAGUUUGUCCAAUUCACUUUUCCAUUCAAGUAUGCUCUUGUUAUACAAAAAAGCACCCAAGACUUUAAGAGCUAAAGGACAUUUAACCGUUUGAUCCAAACAAUUCAAAAUUGGUCUAAUAAAUAAACCCUUCAAAAAGAGAAAUUGAAACAGAAAUGUCACUUGGUGGUUGGACCAAUUUGACCAAUUGAUUUGGUUCAAUUUUCAAAAAAUAUUACUUUAACAUGUAUGAUAAUCAAAACAUAGAAAAAAAAAACUAUUUUUCAAGAAAUGAGAUUAUUAUAAAAAAUAGAAAAUGUAAUCUAUUUUAAUGAUAUGAUAACUUGUAACUAGAUGAAACUUUGAUUGGCAAAGAAAAAGAAAAAGAAAAAGACCUUAAUGAAUUAGAAAAUAUUAUCUUUUAUAUUAAACUUAUCUUUGUGUAAAAGCUCUCUACAAUUAACUAUAUGUUUUCAUAAAGCUUUAUUUAGGCUAUGUUACAUUCUUGGAAAUUAAAAAAUAAAAAAUACAUAAAAUUAAUAAAUUAUUUUUUUCAUUAAUAUAAAUUAAAUAAUUUUAAAUACCUAUAAUUUUCAAAAUUUUUAAUCAUGGUAGUGGGUCUUUGAUCAACCAAAGAUAGCCCAUGCAUCAUCUGCCAAAGUGAAGCACAACAACCUUAUAAUAGUGAUGUCACAUAGCAAUUCAUUAUUCAUUAUUUUGUUUUCCCUUUUCAUUGUGGAUUUUCUUAAAGCUAUUAAAAAAACACACGAUAUCAAGAUUUGAGCGUGGGUCUUUCACAAUAUCUUUUAUAUACUAAUAAUUGUAAAUUAAUUAAAAUAAAAUUAUUAUAACUAAGUUAAUUUUAAUUGUCUUAUUAUGUCUCUUAUAUAGUGGUUAAAUAUAGGACAAAUAUAAAUUCAUAAAUAAAAUUAUUAACAUUUUCAAAUAAAAAAUAUAAAUAUAUAUCAAUAUAUUUUUUUUUAUAUCCUUCAAUAUAUCUAAACUUAAUGCAUUAUCAUUUUAGUAUUAAUGUUUCCCAAUUCGGUAUAUUAUUGUCUAAUAUUACAAAUUAUUAUACAUUUAUCAAUUUUUCUUAAAACAAAUUCAAUAUAUUCAUUAUUAUUUUUCUAUCAUUUUUUGAGUUAUUUCUAACAUUUCAUGAGUUUUUUUUUUUUAUCAAUUUCCAUCUCAUAUAUAUAUAUUGCAGAAUUUUCAUUGAUAUUUCUUUAUAUAGCUAUAAACUCCAACUAAUGAUAUAUUAGUAAAAAUCAAUAUUUUCAUUCUUACUUAACAUAAGAACGAAAAUUAUUCAAAUGGUGCAUAAAUUAAUGUGACCUCUUGAUGAGAAUGACAACGACAACCAUGAGUCAUAGUUAGUGUAUGUGUGUGGUAAAUUAACUUAGUGUUUGAUAAAAUAAUUAUUUAUCAUCAUUUAAAAUUUAAAAAUAAAUUUAAAUAUUAAAUCAAAAUAAUUAACUUAUUCUAAAUACUAAAUUUUUUUAUUCUCUUUGUUCAUAUUUGGUGAUAAUCAUGCUUUAUUUUUAGAAUUCUUUUUUUUUUUAGUAAAUAUUUUAUAGUUAUUUUGUAGCUUCACAAUAGUACUUUUUAAUAUAAAUGUUUAACAAGCUUAAGUUUAUGAAUAUAAAUAUUAAGAAAAAUUAAUGAGUUUAAAUAUAUCAAUAUAAUAAAUUUAAAAAAAUUAAGUUGAUUUUACCAAAAUUAAAGUAAAAAUAAUUCAUCUUAAAAUUAAUUUCAAUAAUUAAGUAAUAAGGAUUAAAUUUUAUCAUACAUUCUCUUAAUUAAUAAAUGACAUAACUUCUUUCAACAACUUCUUCAUUCUACUUUAGAAAAAAUAAAAUAAAAUAAAUUAAAAAAUUAACGUGAUAUUUAUUUAUUUAUGUCUAAAAUUUAAAUAUACUUGAAUUUGACUUAAAUCUAAAUAUAGCUUAAUAUCAUUAAGUGUUUAGACUUUUUUUAUUAGUGUCUAAAUAUUAUUAAUUGUUAAAUUGUUUAUUUUUAUUAAUAUCAAAAUAUGUGAAGUGUUAAAUUUGUUUAUUUUUGGUUAAAAACAUUUAUAAAAGUCAUUGUUAUAUUUCUUCUUAUUUUAUUUUGAAAAGUUGUAAUUUAACAAAAUAGUAAUUUAAUUAACACAUCUAAAAAUAUUAUAAUACAUUAUCAAAGUAAAAAUUUUAUAAUGAUAAUUAUGUAAUUAGUAAAUUAUAUUAUUGUACAAUCCAUCGUUCCAUGUUGUAUAUUAUAGCAUAGUUGUGCGUACCCAUCAAUGCAUAGACAUAUGUCUUUUGAUAAUUAUGUAAUUAGUAAAUUAUAUUAUUGUACAAUCCAUUGUUCCAUGUUGUAUAUUAUAGCAUAGUUGUGCAUACCCAUCAGUGCAUAGACAUAUAUCUUUUGAUAAUCUAUCAUGCAUGAAUGUCUCGUGGACUCUAAGUGAAGCAUGUAGCUAUUAUAGUAUAAAGAUGGUGUAGGAAGAGGCUCCAGGUUUACUAGUUCACACUCAACCAUAGCAAUAGGGAAUAUAUUGCACAUUAUUUCCAUCUAAAAGAAAUGUAGAAAAGACCUUAGAAAUGAAACUUUUAGAUCAAACCUAAGGGUGCCAAUGAGAUGACUCUAAGAAGGAUCACCUCAAUCUCAAUCUUAUGUCAUUUAUUUAUAUUAAAUGGGGUGAGAUAAAACAAAAUCAUAUUUGAACCUGUCUUAAACUUGGUCCGAGAGCAAGAAGGGUCUCUAAAAAAAUCUGCCUCAUUGUCAUUCUUAAGUACGCAUCUAUACCAAUGAAAGUUUUUACAUCUAUUCAAAAAUUCGAUGUUCCCGAAUUAAUUAACUUCACCAAACUACAUACACUUAAUAUGCAUGAAAAAGUGUCAAAAUUCUCAACCAAUCAAUGAGAUAAACUGUAAUUAAGUUUAGUACAUUGUAACCCUAAAAUACCUCCAAACCCCAUUUCUUGUAAGACCCCCUUCUAAUUAGGUUGCAAGUAUUGAAGUACUUUACACAUCUAAUUAGGCGAACAACAAGUAUCAAGAUAAGGCUGCAAGCCAUACAUAUACAUAUGCAUAUAAAUUUAAAAUUGAAAGAAAAUAUUAUCAAAUUUUAAAAAGAUAAAUUUCAAUUUUUUUUUUUUUUUUUUACCUUUGAUACAUUUUUUAAGCUUGUACCCUUUUGUUAUACAUAUUCAUUGGAGCAUUUCUUUGACUUCCCUAAGAACUAUUUUUUUUCCAGGACUAAAAACUUUUUCCUUAUUCGACUUGGGAUAUUAUAUACAACCACAACCUAACUUUCAUAUAUAAAGAAAUAUAUUUAAAUAGAAUAAAAUUCUUUUAUUCAUAAUUUAUUUUAUUUAUAUUAUAUUAUUUAGUUAUAUUAAAAAAUUAAAAAUAAUUAUGUUAAUUUAGGUUUUGUUUGCAUUUUUUAAAUUAUAAUCAUUAAUAACAAAGUGGUGAUAGCUUAAACAUAAUCUAAAGGUCCAUGGUUCAAACCCUUGGUUUCUCAUUGUUUUCCUGGUCUCAUUAGGUGGGCUAGGCUUGGAAUGUGAAGGGCUAACCUUUCACCCAUGAUCCAACCUUUUAGUUGAUGAAAAAAGAAGGCUAACCUAGAACCGAUAUACGCAAACCUAGAACUGAUAGACCAUGGUUCAAAGUUGUAGUCGCGAUCACUAACUUGGAGGGUCUUGAGGCACAUCAGUCUUGACAUCUUAGCUCGAUAUUGGAUGAUAUGUAAAAUAAGAUAAAUAAAAAUUAUAAAAUAUUAUAAUAAAUAUUUAAAAAAUAAAUAUAAUUAAAUAAACUUAAAAAUUAAUAAAAUAAAAUAUUGUGAAAAUUAAAAUUGUUCAAUAAAUUUUUAAUAUUGAAAUUGAAAACAAAAACUCUUUAAUUACCAAACUCAAAUAAGAAAAUAAAAUAAAAUGGGAUGAUUUUUACCACACAUUAGCAUUUAAAAAUUGAAACAAUAAAAUAACAUAUAUUAUUGAUACUGUCAUUUAAAACAACUAAUAUAUUAUUGAUGAUGGCAUUUAAAACAAUAAAAUAGUGCAUUAGACCUGAUUUCAAAUCUUCAAUUCUCAAACACCACCAACCCACCCAUGAAUAGAGAAAGAGAAGAGAACCCUAGCAAAAGUAGAGAGCUUCCUCUACAACCCACACCCACUCCCACACCGACAUCGACACUACGGAGAUAAAGUAGAGAGAUAAGAGAUCAACACCCAAGAUCAUCACUAAUGGAGGAGGAGGGGUCCAUGAAGGUGUUGCAGUCCACCAUGUGGUGAGGUUAGCAAAGAAAUGCCCUCCACCUCCUCUUCUCAUACACCUCAAAGACAAUCACGACUUGGACUAAAAAACUUUUCAAAGACUUCAUUGGGGUCAUCCUCUUCAUCAUGGGUCGUGAUUCUCAUGAAAUUUUUUUUCCUUUGAAGAGUCAUUGUUUUUAAAAAAAUUCUCAGUUAUGGUUGUUGUUUUGGUGUUUUUUCUCAGUUUUGGGUGUUGUUUUGCUAUGAUUUAGAAGGACAAUUGUUUGUAUUGAGUUUAACUCAAAAAAAAAUUUAGUAACUCGAAUGAUUCGUGCAAGUUAACUCAGUAUCUCGACUAAAUCAACUGAGUUUAAUCGAUUCCUGCUCGGGUCUUUACUUAAGAUGAUAUUGAGUAUCGGACUUGGCGUGGAAGGGGUUGAGGCGGAUACAACUCGGCCAAGUCAUACCGGACUUGAUCGAUACUUUGAACCAUGCGACAUACUGGUUCAUUGACUCACUAGUCCAACUGUUAGUCUAUCCGAUUCAAGGCUGAUUCAUUGUGUACUCCAACCUAAAGGCCAAACUAGACCAGGCUUCGGUGACAGUCCAACUUGGUCCUAGCUAGAUUUUUUAAUUUAUCCAAUUAAGAAAUCUCAAAUUAAUAAUAAUAAUAAUAAUAAUAAUUCAACUUUUGAAAAAGAAGAAAAUAUAUUAUUAUUUUCUAAUAGUUAAAUUACAUAUUAUAUAAUGGUAAAGCUUAAGAGGAAUCUAAAAUAUAAAAAACUAAUAUUACCAUUUCCAAUUUCUCAAAAUGAGAAAAAUGACUUUUAUUUCCAAUGACAAUAAAUUGUAUAGUUUGAUAAAUAUAUAAAAAAAAAAGGGUGCCAUAUGUAUCUUAGGGCGUGUUUGGUACAUAAGAAUGAUGAAUGAGAAUGAAUAUUUUGUUUCCAUUCUUAUUUCCUCUUGAAUAGGAAUGAAUUUGGUAAUUCCAAUUUUUGUGUUUGGAUGCAUAUAGGAAUGUAAAGUUGGAAUAACAAUUUGUUUCCAUUUUAAUGUUAAGUAAAAAUGGGAAUGAAAAUGGAAGAAAAGAAAUAAAUUAUCAAUAAUAUUCGUACAUAUGGUUUAAAAUAUUUGUUUUAAAAUUUUUUUAAGAGUUUUUCUACUUAAUAUUAACAAUAUAUUUCAAUGUAUGAUUUCAAAAAAAAAAAAUUGUUUUAAAAAAAUUAUACCUAGUUAUUGUUCUUUAGAAACAAUUUUUAAAAAUAAAGUAAAAUAUAAAAUUAUUAUUCCAUUUUUUUUUUCAUUUGAGAAAAUAAAUUUCAAAUCAAGUGAAACUUUGUAUUAAAUUUAUUAAUAACUUUAAUAAUUUUAAAAAAUAAUUUAAAACUAAAAAAAUAUAUGUAACGACUAUAAAAAAUAAUAGACAUAAUUAAUACUUUAAAAUUCUUUAAUAAAUCUUGUAAUUUUUAAAAUUAAUUUAAUACUUUAAAAUUUAAUUAAUUAAUAUUAGAUUAAAUAAAAUAAUUCAGAAUGUCAUCUUUGUAAUUGAGUAAUAAAUAUAUGCAUAUAAUGAAAAAUUUGGCUUAUUUAUACCUUACAAUUUUAAGGGCAAGGAAGUGAUCUAAUGUAGGUUGCUUAAUAUGAAAAGAUGCUUUAAAAUUUAAGAGCUUUUCAUGGAGCUCAUCAAAUGUAAUUGGGGUGUCAUGUGCUUGAACGACAUAGACUAGUUCUCUGUAUUCGUCAACAAGGCCAUAAAAGAUUUUCUCCAUGGCAUCCUCUUCAUCCAUUAGGGCACCAAGGAAAGUAAGUUCAUUGGCACGGGCUUUAAUGGUUUGUAGGAAGGCAGUGAUGCUUUGCAAACCCUUGGUGUGAUUCUUAAGGUGGUUGUUGACUUGUUUAAUGUAGACAUGUGAUAGUUUGACAUAGCUAUUGGUGAAGAUGAUUUAUGCUUCAUGAGAGGUUGUGGCACAGGCAAUGAAUGGAAUUAUGGUGGGUGAAACGAAGCCAAUAAGUGCAUUUAGGAUCAAUUGAUGUUGACGAAGCCAUGAAGAAUAGGUUGGGUUGGGUAUUACGGUGUUGUUAGCAAUGAGAGUGGUGGGUGGACAAGGUUUGGUUUUAUCAAUAUAGCUAAGGAGGUUAAAGCCAAUAAGCAGUGUUUGGAAUUGAAAUCUUUAUGAUAUGUAGUUGGUAGUGGUUAGUUUAAGUGGGGCUUAAGCAAAAACAUUUAUUGAGAUGAGUAUUUGGUGUGACUGAUGGGUGUUGUGAAUAUUGAGAGUAGAAGUUGCAGAAGUGGUGACAUCUUAGGUGGCUAUGAGGUUAUGAUGAUGUGGAGGAGCAUUAGAUGGCUUUGGCAAAGAAAAAGAGGUAAGGAAGAAAAAGUGGUGGUGAGGGUUUUUAGGUCAAGAAGCUUGAAUGCUCUAAUGCCAUAUUGAAAAAUGAGAUUGGUAAAUUAUUGUGUUUUUUUUUUCCUUUGAUUAUGAAGAAUAUAUAUAUACAUGUACAAAGAAUAUAAAUUUGGAAAGUUUCCUAAUUACCUAAAAUCAUAACCUAGAAUAUACUAAUUUAUAGUCAAUAGAUUACUUAUAAAAUGAAACAAAUUAUCUACAAAAGAAAACAAAUUAGUGAUUGAAAGAGAAUAUGGUAAUUUCCUUUAUUAGUGUCAAGUUUAACACCCCCCACAUCAAAAGGUGUAUUUGGAACCAUGUACAUAUUUCUGUUCUUGAAUUUCAUUAAUUAAGAUGUCCAACUUCUUUGCCUUUCAAAGAAAUUUCUCAUUCUCAUCAAUUUGAAAAUUGUAAUGGAAAGCUUCAAAAAGCAUCAAUAGUCUCCCAGUCUAUCACCAAUCAAAAUGCAAAUGCCCCUAUACAAGGUUUGCUACCAUCAUAUGACCUUUAUGUUGAAAUGAUGACAUUGCCCUUUGUAUAGUGGUGUGGCAUGCUUUGAUUUUUUACAAGUUGAAUUAUACUAAAAGUGCUUAUGGAGUCAGUUUAAGGAAAAGUAUUGGAGCUAGACAAGGGUUGCAAUAGGUCAUCACUUUAAUAUGCUGAGCGUUAAGAUCCUUAAUUAGGUUUUGCCAUUCCCAAUACCUUGUUAUAUCCCCUUCCCAAUUCCACAAAUGUUGUGAUCCCAUAUAAGUCUCCCACUUAGUCCUAUGCAUCAAUUAGCACAUAAUACGACCCUAUGCUUAGAAAUUGUACAUGUGCAACAUUGUGAGUUUCAUGUUUGACAAAAAUAUGAAUUCUAGUUAAAAUAAAUCUCGUUAAGAAAACACCUCUCCAUUAGGGACAAGUGAAGUCAUUAAAAUGUAGAGGUUGGCUACUCGUGUUCUAUGUUUGUUUUCUUCUUAUUUUAUUACUUCAUUUCAUGUCUUGCCUUCCAUAUUAUUAGUAUUUGUUUUACUAUUUUUUUUUUCUAAAGUAUAUGUGUUUUGUAGACCCUCCAUUUUGUCCUCCUAGCACAUGUCCUAUUAAGUAUUUGUCCGAUACUUUACAGCAGUUCCUUGAUGGCCCAUUACUACUCGUGUGACCUAUCUUUUCUAAGCCACCUUGGGGACUUUGGUUGAGUUAUUUAUCUAAUCCCGUUGUGACUCUUGGUAGCCCUAUUUAGACUUAGGCCCACUUAGGCACCUUAGCCCAUUUAGAUACACUUGGCCCAUUAGGCACCACCCUAGGCCCAUUUAGACACACUUGGCCCAUUCGGCACCACCCUAAGUCCAUUUAGGCACCCUUGGCCCACUUAGGCACCACUUUAGGCCCACUUAGGCACCUUAGGCCCAUUUAGAUACACUUGGCCCAUUAGGCACCACCCUAAGCCCAUUUAGGCACACUUGGCCCAUUAGGCACCACUUUAGGUCCACUUAGACAGCCCUAAUUUACACCUUAGGCCCACUUAGAUACAAAGACCCAUUAGGCACCACCCUAGUCCCAUUAGGCAACACCUUAGGCCCACUUAGUUUUACCAGUCUUGCUUAGGUCACCUUUCAAGUAGGGUUGCAUGGCUUGUAUGAGUAGCAUGUGCUUGAUUUUCUUAAUUUAUUUUAUUUACUUAUUUGUUAGUUUUAUUCAUUUACUUAUUCACUUUUUUCAAAAAAUUGCAUGAGAAUUGAGAUUUUAGUUUUUUCUAAUUGCAUGAAUUGAUAUCUCAUAUAUAUUCAUAUAUUUACUUUACUUUAUUCAUCUAUUUAUUUUUGUAGGAAAUUGCUUGAGCUUCAUAUUUUAAUUCUUUUAAUGUGUUUGAUAUCUUAGUUUUAAUUGUAUGAUUUUAAUUUUAAAUUUUAAAUUUUCAACUACAUGAUUUUUUUUAUUUUACUAUUUACUUUCUAUUUCACACGGGAUGAGGAAAUAUUUUCUCCUAAUGGCGUCAUUGAAGGUAUUUUCAUCAUUAGGGAUGACAUGAAACAGAGUCAUGGUUGUGGAUUUGUUAAGCUUCCUAAUAGAGAUAUGGCUGGCAGUGGCAGCAAUAAAUGCACUAAGUGGAAAUUACGUGAUGAGGGGUUGUGAUUUUUUUUUUUUUUUUUUUUUUUUUGGAAAGUGGAGAAUCAGUCCAGAGCAUAGCGUCAUUUUUCCUUUUGAAAGGAAAAUUACCAUGGCUGAUUUUGGCAAGUUAAAGGAGAAGGGUGCAGCGUGUAUGUGGACGAAAAGGGGGCUGUGUUCAAGCGGGGGUUGGCUGGUUUUCUUUGGGAGAGAAGACGAUUUGAGGAGGGAUUUUUUUUGGGAGGUGAGGCUGCGAUUUUCAGAGGGAGAUCAGUUCACGUUUCAGAGGCAUUUUUGGGGCUGCGGUUUGAAGGAGAUCAGUCCAUGUUUCAGAGGCAUUUUGGGGGCUGCUAUUUGCAAAGAUCAGUCUGUGUUUUGAAAGGAUUUUAGAGGCUGCUGUUUUGGAACGGAGAGACGCAACUGCUUGUUGAUAUUCACAGGCUAUUCACCCCGCGAUGGUGAAGAUGAGUACAUACCUACCUUGUUGAAUCUGAAGAUGAGAAAGGCAGCCGCACCAUUGGGAGCAAUUCCGGAACAGCCGCACCAGUGAAGGAAGGAAAGAAAGCUGGGUUUCGGACACUUUUGGGUCUAGUUCCUCUCAUCGGAGACACCACAGCCGCACCAGAAUUUUAAGGAGAGAGUCUUCCGUCCGGAUAGCUACAGAUCGGUUCCGAAGCUUGAUCCUCCAUUGCCUGUGCCGCCGCAACACUUUGUGCCGUACCCAUGCAUCUCCGACAACACCCUACUGCCAUUGGAGAUCCGCACCAGCUUGUCAGUCCCGCCACUUAAACACCAGAUUUUUAAGGGAAAUUCCUCUCCAUUAACGCGCAGCACUUUGAGGACUUGCAGUGCAUGGGUAGCCACCACACCAUGCAUCCUUGGAAUUGUUUUUUUUAAAUAAAAAAUCCUACUUGGUGGAAAGUGGCCUUUACCUUCUGAAAAGGCACUUUGAGAACUUGCUGUGCAUGGGUAUCCACCAUGCAUCCUUGGAAUUGUUUUUUAAUUAAAAAAUCCUACUGGUGGAAAGUGGCCUUCACGUUUUGAAAAAGGUGAGGAAGCUGCCAUAGCUGUGAUUGAGAUUAGUUUGCAUUACCAUCCAGCCCGUGAAGUAAGCAUUCGCAUAGAAGCUGCGAAUUGAGGAGGCCAACUUCAGAUUAUGGUGGUGGUUGGCCUUGCGAACGUUGCACCGUCAGUCACGGCUUGGAAGAAGUCGUUAUUUUUAAUAUAUGGCACAACGCGUCAGACUGAAGAGAAGAUCAAGACUUGGGUGAUGGGCAAAUGAAUUUUUAGGCAUUAUUGAAUUCUUCUUUUUCUCUUAUGCGAGCGUCACAGUCAACUGUUCAUUGCCCUAGGUGCUGUACACUCGCCGCCUUCCGCAAGCCCACUUGGAUGAUGGUUUAAGGAACCUGUGUGAACCACAUUUUAUUAAUAGCAACAAUUCAGGAAGCAUAUAUAUAAAACGGAUAGGAUGUGACGAAUGGCAAAAACGGUGUGGAUCAUGUGUUAAAAUGGAUCACUAUCUAUUCUUUCAGCAAAGGACACAAUCAAGCAUGUGGAACAUGAAGAUCAGUGGUCAGCAUUUUAAUAUUAGGAAGACAUCAAAUAUGGAAGGUCUCCACCCGACAGCACGCUGAGUACGGUUGGUUGGGAACUCACUAGCCUUAUCAAAUCGGAUUUGACUCGGAAACAGGCCUCAAAAGAUAGGAGCAUAUCCAGACAAACAUAUGGGUGGGUAUCUCCUGCUUCCGAUAUAGGGGAACCAAUAUUCCACGUCGCAGUUUGAAGCCUGAUCAGAUCAGGAACAGCACACGCACCUUCUGUUGGGUCUCUGCCAGACAACUGAGUGGUGCUCUGAGCUUACAUCUUGGUGUACAAUCUCCUCCUUCAUUUGUUUCUUUGAUCAGGAACUUUCAGUUUUGAAUUGAAUUUUCACAUCCAUUUUUUAACCGAAUAAUUCCGGCUUCAAAAAUCCAUCAUUAGACCUCUUUCAUAGACAAUAAAAUCCUUACUUUCAAUGAACUUUUGUUGCCAAAUUUCCUUUUGGCAUGCACCUUCCUAAUUUUCUCUAUUUCUUUUGAGCAAUUUUCUUGAUUUUCACGAUUUUCAAUAAUCAUGAACAAACUUCAUGGUUCCAAAUAAUGGGACUAUUGAAUUAAUUCGUGCAAAAGCAAUUCGGGAAUUGGUGGAACCCCUACACAAAAUCAUUCUUUUCAAAACUCUCCCUUGCUACCAGUUUUCAUUUAAUCACUGACCCUUUAGCUUUAAAAUUCAUUUUAGCAACUUUAAAAUUUUUUUUUUGAAAAAUUUCCAACACUUGUAUGAUUUUAGCCACUUCUUGAACUUGAAUUUAAAGUUUCGUUUGAGUUAAAAAGUCAUUCUGGAAUAGAAGAUAUAAACGAGUCUUUAGGGGGGCUCCGUUUUCACCCAGUUCUGGACACCCGAGAUCUUUUUACAAAAAUAAAAUUCCAGAUGACUUUUUAAAUUUGAUUCAAUAUUGUUUCUAAAUUCUAGGCUUCUUGAAAUUGAUAUUAGACACAUAAAAUAUUAAAAAAUACGCCUUCUUGAGGGAGAUAUGAUUUUUCAAAGUCGUACCUACUGUGCAUGAUGGAAUCUGGACAUUUGAUUAGUUGGAGCAUUUUAAAAAUAUUUUUAAAUACUAUCCGACCCUGAAUUUAUUUUUAUUGUGAUAUAGACACCUUGAAUGAUGUAUGUGAUUUUUUUUAUGAUUUUAUAUGAUCAUUUAUUAUUAUUAUUAUUAUUAUUAUUAUUUUUUAUGCAUGUCAGUUUCUCUUAUCUAAUCUGGACUUUAUAGAACCUUUAGGUGUCUUUGCUGCAAUAUGUCCUUUGAAUGAGCAUUUGGCUUUUGGUAUGUUGAUAUAGAUGUGUAGGAGUUGUUUCCUGAAAUUUUUCAUAAUUAAAUUCCACUCUAAGCUAUUUUUUUAGAAAUUGUUUUGUUAUGCUUCCUCUUCUAACUGCAUGCUAAUGGUUUUAUACUUUACUCGAAAUUGUUAUUAUUUUUGGAGUCAUUUGAUUUAUCUUAGCUCAAUUUUGGCUUUGGUACUGUAUAUUAGACAUAAUAAAGAUGUUAUAUAAUAUAUACUUGUCCUAACCAUUCUAGCCUUUUUUGAGGAAUCUUAUAAAUUAUGCAUGUUACCCAGGUAUGCUCUCUAUCACCCACUUUCUAAAUUCUGUGAAUAUGCUUGUCACUGUGAACUUGGGUGUCUUGAUAUUUGUUUCAUUGUUCAUUAUUUAUGAUAAAACGCAUGCUAGGUGAUAUGCUAUUUGAACUAACCAUUGAUGUCUUGUGAUAGCGCUUAAGAUGCAACUCAAGUACGCACCCUUUGACUCUCUUUUAUAAUCAUGAUUUGACUUUCUAGCUUAAUAUGUUAAUUCUGAAAUUACCUUAGUCUACUUAGGUACCCUCAAUCAAUUAAUUAAUUGUCACAUUCCCCUUAACUUAGUCAGUAGAGACCUUUGUAGGGCUCAGAGGGGUGCUACCUUUUUAAAGGUACCUUCCCAAUAAGUAACCUGACUCCCAGACCUAGACCCGGGUUUUUCAAAGACAUGCUUUUCCAAAAACUAUGGAGUCACUUUUUUUUAGGGUUUUCUUUCUUGUUUUAUUUUUCCUUUCAAAAUAAAAUAAAAUAAGUGGUGACUCCGACUUUUCUGAAACUAAUUUUUCACAAAAUAAAAGCAAGUCUUGCUGAUCAAGUGGGGACGCACGUGAGAAAUACGGGUCCACACAUGUGUAGGUAUGCAUUUGCAUAUACAAAAUGCAUUAAACAAAAUAUGAUUAAGCCAUUUUCACUGUGUUGAUCAUCAUCUUUGAAUACCUAAACAUUCUCUUUUUAUUUUAGUGGUUUUUUAGCUAGAUGAGCAAUCUUGUCUUUUCUUUUCAUAUGAAAUAAUUCUUUGUGUGAAAUUAAUUUUUUGAUUUUGUUUUCUUUACUUUGAUCUUAUUUUGGUUGUUUAGUUUUGUGAUGGUCAACUUGUUCACUUGCAGCCAUGAUGCCACUAUGAACACACACACACAUCAGCCACACUUUCACUUUCAUCACACACAACUCAGCAUGCUUCACUCACUUUCAGCACACACCACUUUGUUUCCUAAGGAAUUUUCUUCUUUUAGUUGUGUGAUUUUAUGUCAUUAUUUAUGUUUGUUAGUGAUUUCAAAUUUCUUAUCAAUUUACCUUUCUAAAAAUCAAUUCUCAAUUUUUCAAAUUCAUCUUAGACAUUGUUAGGUUAUGAAAAAUCAUUUUUCAAAAUCAUGCAACCACUUUAUUUCAGUAUGCAUGCUUACUUUGUGUUUCAAUGAUUUUCAAUUUUCUUACACUUGAAUACAAUUCAUAACUCUAAAAUAAUGGAUUAAUUCAUGGACUUCAUGAGCUUCAUCAUGAUUAUUGAGGGUUUAGGGAAGUGUGGAUCAAUUACUGAAAAUUAAAUCAGGCCUUGGUGAAGCCCUACAUUCUAUGUUUCCAAAACAACCCCUUAAGUUAUGAGUUUUUGACCUUCAAGAUAUUAAAUUGAGAUUGGACACUUUAGAAAUGAUCAAAAAAUAUUUUUCAUGCUUGGAUGACUUUUUUAAACUUCUUAAAAGUGUUCGAGAAAUUUUAUUUUGAACAAAAAUCACUCUCCAAGCUAAUAAAUAAAAUCAGUUUUUUUGGAAGGUCCAGAUUCACUUCAUUUUUUGAUACAUAACAUAUUUCUAUAAAAUUAAAUUGGUUUGAGAGGUUUUUAAUUUAUUUUGAUAUUUUCUCAUAUUUUAGACUUCUCAAGUAGAAUUUUAGGCUUUUAUUUCACUCAAAAACAAUUUUCCAUGUAUGAGAAACAAACCCAUCUUUUUGUGUAUUAUGCUAAUUCCAAUACGUAGAUGUGAAUGUUUAAUUAAAUUUUUGACUUGAUGAAUAUGUUUUUUAAUAUCCUAAAUAUUUUUCAUGUAAUUUAGACAUCUCAAAUAAGUUGUAAAAUUUUUAGUUUGAUUUUAUCAAACUCUUAAGAUAGUUUUUAAAAUUCAUCUUUGCAUAUAAUCAUAUUCUACUCUAUUUUUGAAUGAUCAAAUUUUUUAUUAAAUAUGGGAUAUAUGUUGUAUAAUUAGGAUUGUUGGACACUUGGGUUCUAUUCAAGACUCAUUAGGGUUGAUGCAAUUUUUUUUUUUUUGAUUUAAUAUCACUUCUAGCUAUUUUCUUAUGGAUUUAUUUUGUGCAUGUAUAUGUUAUGUCUUGUUUUAUGAGUGAUCCUAAGUUUAAUUAAAUCUAGGAUAAUCCAAGUAUAAUUAAGUUUCUGGGGCACUUGCGUUUAUUUGAAACUCUAUAAGGAUGAUGUACAACUUUUGUUUUGAUGAAAUAUCACUUCCAAAUAUUUUUUACGGAUUUAUUUUUGCAUGCCACUAUUAUGACCGUUGUGUAAUUUAUAUGUUUUUAUUUAUUCAACAUCUUUCCACAUAUUUUUUAAUUUCUUUGAUCCUUGUUAUGUGUUGUGGACAUGUUGUACGUAUUUGAUAAACCUAUAUUGUCAUUGCUUUGUUUCAAGAUCUCAUAUUUAGUUUAGUUUUGAGAAAUUAUUAGUUUGGUUGCUCUAUUGAUAUUAUGUUUGCUUUAAUUAUCUUAAAAAUCAUUAGUUUCAUUAUUCUGUUAAUCUCAUGCUUAGUUUAGUUUUUAAACAUUAUUAGUUUGGUUGCUUUGUGGAUAUUACUCGUAGCUUAGUUUCUAUUAAAAACCAUUAGUUUGGUCAUUCCAUUGAUCUCAUGUUUAGUUUAAUUUUUAAAAAUUAUUGGUUUAGUAGCUUUGCUAAUAUUAUGCUUAGUUUAGUUUCUUUGAAAAAUUAUUAGUUUGGUUAUUCUUUUUAUCUCAUGCUUAAUAUAGCUUUUAAAUAUUAUUAGUUUUGUUGUUUUGUUGAUAUUAUGUUUAGUUUAGUUUCUUUUAAAAAUCAUUAGUUUGGUUAUUCCAUUAAUCUCAUUUUUAGUUUAGUUUUUUUUUUAAAUUAUUACUUUAGUUGCUUUGUUGAGGUGAUGUUGGUUAUAAUUCUUGUGAAAAUACAAGCUAUGCUUAAAGGAGAAAAACACCCAAGAGGGGGGGUGAAUUAGGUUUUUCAAAGAUUUUUUCAAUACAACAAAUUCAAGCACACUAUAAACAAGAAAUAAAGAGAUAGAGUUAGAGAAUUCAAACUUGAAUUUUAUAGUGGCUCGGUACUUCCUUGCCUAUGUCCACUCUCCUCAAUAUCCUAACUGAGUGAGGGUUCCACUAGCUUGAAACUUCAACCAAGCUUCCAAUCCUUUACACUUGGAUUCCAGAUCCAAUGGGCUCUUACACAAUCCCUUCAAGAUUCAAACCUCUUGAAGUCUUUAACACUCAAGUUUUAUAAGAAAGAAACCCUCAACCUAGCUCAAAGAUAACUCAAAUACAAAACAAAACUAGGAUGACUCACAAGGGUGAACUAAAAGAUAUGCAAGUGAUGGUUUUAAUGCACUAAGAAAGAAAUGAGAGCUUAUAGGUCAAGAACAAGUAGGUAGACAAUUGAUUGCAAGUGUUCUCUACUUAAUAAAUGAAGUGGAGCUCUCAAUUUAUAGGUUUCUAAGCUCGGGAGCUAAGAAAAGCAAAAGGCAGCCUUGAUUGGUCGAGCUGGGGAUUGAUCAGUUCACUAGCCGUUGGAGUAUUUAAUGUUUGGCAGGUUACCGUUGCCUUGAUCGGAGGUCGACCGGGAAGGGGUGAACCUCAACCGGGAAAAGGAAGCUACUGGAUGAGAGGGAGUGUUUUUGGAACUCCUCGACCGGACCUUGACCGGACAAGGGCAAUUGGUCGAUCGGUUCCCCAACUGGUUGAGCUGGUUGGCUAGAGCCUCGACCGGUUCAGCCUUUUGGCCCCAAAAACCUAUCCUUUUCAAUUCCUUUAUUUUCUAACACUUAGGCAAGGUUUUUAGGUAAAAUAAUAUGCCAAUUUUGAAACGUUUUGCCUAAGGUACAUUUAAUAAAACUCGGGUUUUAAUGAAAUCAAAAUUUUAAAGAAUAAACCGAGUUUUCAAAGAAGUAUGAAAAAUUAUGAAAAUCCUAAGUGCACCCAUGCAUUCAUCUUACAUUCGUUUCCUAUAAUCAAAAGUCUUCCAAUAGUCUCAAUCUUGUAUCCCUUUGGUUCUUUGAUGAAUUUCCGAAUUUAUACCCGAGAUUCUUUAUCAUUCAAAUGAAUUAGUCAUUUAACCAUGGUUUGUUAUCAUCAAAACCGGAUUGAGCGAACCCUUGGGCUAACAAUUCUUUUAAAUAUCAUUAGUUAUUUUAGUUCAUUAAUAAAUUGGUCCCAUAUUUGAAAGUUCAUAUUUUUAGUUUGCUUUAAUUUAAUUUGGUUCAUUUUAAUUAGUUUAAGUACUCUUAUAGUUUUAGUUAAUUCAUUAAUAAAAUUGAUUAUAUGUUUGAAAUUUCACAUUUCUAUUUUACUUUUAUUUAAUUUAAUUCAUCUAUUUAGUUUAGAUAAUUUCAUAAUUUUAGUUCAUUAAUAAAAUUGAUCUCAUGUUUGAAAGUUCAUGUUUUUAGUUUAGUUUGAUUUAAUUUAAUUCAUCUAUUAAGUUUAGGCACUUUUAUAAUUUUUGAUUCAUUAUCAAAAUUGAUUAUAUGUUUGAAAGUUCAUGUUUUUAGUUUGGUUUGAUUUAGUUUGACUCAUUUUAAUUAGUUUAGGUACUUCUAUCAUUUUAGUUCAUUAAUAAAAUUGAUCCCAUAUUUGAAAGUUCAUGUUUUUAGUUUUCUUUGAUUUAAUUUGGUUCAUUUUAAUUAGUUUAGGUACUUUUAUAGUUUUAGUUCAUUAAUAAAAUUGAUUUUAUUUUUGAAAGUUCAUGCCUUUAGUUUACUUUGAUUUAGUUUAAUUCAUCUAUUUAGUUUAGAUACAUUUAUAUAUAGUUUUAGUUCAUUGAUAAAAUUGAUUAUAUGUUUGAAAGUUCUUGUUUUAAGUUUGCUUUGAUUUAAUUUGGUUCAUUUUGGUUAGUUAAGAUAUUUUUAUAGUUUUAUUUCAUUAAUAAAAUUGAUCCCAUGUUUGAAAGUUUAAAUUUUUUAGUUUGCUUUGAUUUCAUGGUUCAUUUUCAUUAGUUUAGGUAUUUUUAUAGUUUUACUUCAUUAAUAAAAUUGAUCCCAUGAUUGGAAGUUCAUGUUUUUAGUUUACUUUGAUUUAAUUUAAUUCAUCUAUUUAGUUUAGGUAUUUUUAUAAUUUUAGUUCAUUAAUAAAAUUCAUCCCAUAUUUGAAAGUACAUGUUUUUAGUUUGCUUUUAUUUAGUUUGACUCAUUUUAAUUAGUUUAAGCACUUUUAUAAUUUUAGUUCAUUAGUAAAAUUAAUUCUAUGUUUGAAAGUUCAUGCUUUUAGUUUAAUUUAGUCAAACUCAUUUUAAUUAGUUUAGGUACUUCUAUAAUUUUAGUUCCUUAGCUGAAUUGAUCCCAUUUUUUUUUAGGUUUUGUUUUAAAAUCAUUAAUGUUAGUUCAUGAUCAUUCUUAUCUUAGUUUAUAUGCUUUUAAAAUCCUAGUGGUUAGUUCAUGAAUCGAUAUCUUAUUAGUUUGUCUAAUCUAAAAUGUUUUGCUUCUUGAUUUAGCAAUCCUUCAUUUAAUUUGAUUUUUUAUUUUUUAUUUAUUUAUUUAUUUGCCGCCUUAGGAAACUCAUGAAGAUAAACCUCUACUCUUACCUAUUUUGCUUGGUUUUUUAUCCUUGUGUUUUGUGGUUUAAAAAUGUAACUUUUCGCUUUUAAGAAGAAAGUAUUUUCUCAAAAUGUUCUUUAUUAAAAUGGAUUUAAAAAACUCCUAUAAUUGUUAGGGUAAAAAAAAAAUCAUUUUCUUAAAAAACAUGCAACCAAGUUUUAAUUGGUUUACACCUUUCUUUUAUUUUCAAUAAAAAUUCUACUUUGAGUGGAAUAUGAAUCCAAACUUGUGAUCCCAAAUGAAUGGGAUAAUUCUCAACUUCGAUGAGUUUUUCAAUAUUCAUGCGAAAUUGGGAAUCCAUAGGCUAAAUUUGUGUAUAUCAAGUGAGGAUUUUGUGAAACCCGUACAUAAAAUCAUUUUUCAAAACCCUUUUAUUGUCAGCUUGUUGGAUUUGUUGCAUCUCUAGAAUAAAAUUUUGAUUUGGCUAAUUUAUGAUGCUCCUAAAAUUUUUUCCCGUGGUUGUAUGAUAUUGUGAACUUCAUGAACUUGAUUUUAGAAAUUUGUUUGAAUCAAAAAUCAUAUUUCAAAUGAAAAUUAUGAAUUAAUUUUUUGGUAGGUUUAGUUUUUGCCUAAUUUUGGAUACCCGAACUAUUUUUUGUAUUUUCAAAUUACUAGAUGAAUUUGAAAAAUUAUUCUGACUUUCGUCCUUAAUUAUAGACUUCUUGAAAUUUAUUUUAUACACAUACAAUAUUAUUUUUUUUUUGCUAAUUAGGAAAAUUAAUUUUCCUUUGUUGUCCCCAUUACAUUAUCCUAAUUUUAAAUAGAGAGGGUCUUUGAUUGUUUUUAAAAUUGAUCCAUAUACUUUCUUACCUUCUUAUUAUUUUCUUGUAAAUUAGACCUUCUGAAUAUAUUUCAUGAUUUUCUUAUGAUUUUAUAGCACUUCUAGGUUUGUUAAAAAAAUCGGUUUACGUAUUCUAUUAAAUUCUAUCAUAUUCAAAACCUUUUGAUAUAUUUUUGUAAAUUGAAAUUAAUCAAGGCUUCAAUAUAUUGUUGGGCUAGUUGGAUGAUAAACUAGACAUGUAGGAGAUGUUCCUUGAAAAUUUUUGUAAUUAAAUUCAGAUUCUAGAUAUUUUCUUUUAGGAUUUGUCUACAUGUUGAAAUUUUUAUAUAAUGUUUUAUUUAUUAUUUAAUUUGGAGUUAAUUAACUAAUCAUUUCUUGAUCUUGGCUUUGGAAUUGUAUUAUAGACAUAAUGAGGAUGUUGUAUGAUAUUUUUUUUUUUUUAAAUGAUAAAAUAAUACUUCAAGAUAUCUGUUUAGAGUUUUUCAAGUGAAUGCAAUUGUUCUACCCUUUGUUGUGUGCUUUGUUCUAUCUAUAAUUUUGGUAUUUUUAAAGUUAUCUUGUACAUAGUUUAUCCUUAACAAUGAGGUGUAUGCAUGUUCUAAGUGAUAGAUGAUAUUUCUUUGGAUUCUUGUCAUUUCUUUUAAGCUAUACAUAUACCAUGUGAAUUAUGAUUCACUAUCACAAUUAUUUAUUAUUGUAAUUGUUCUAACCACCCUCUAGCUUUAUGGAAAUGCCUUGCAAGUUAUUUAUGCAAUCCAUGGACGUCCCCUCAUACUUUUAUCCCUUUAGUUUGGUAAAUAGAUAUGUUUUGUGUGUCAACAUCUUCAUAUUUGAUAUUACUUUGUUAUGUGCUAUGAUUGGUGUUUGAUUCCUUGAAUUAGAUAGACACAUGUUGUAUUUUGUAUUAUUUUUCAAACUAACUUUGAUGUUUUCAUGAAAGUGCUUUAGGUUGCAGUUUAAGUAUUUUCUUUCUCAUAUGAUUGAUUUUUGUGGUUAGAUUGUUUCAGUGUGAAUAACAUUUGUUUGGCCUUAGAUAUAAUCACCUUUGUUAUUUUUAGUAUCCACAAUUUAUCGAUUAAUUAUCGUACUUACCUCAACCUAGUCAAUAUAGACCUAUUUUUAAUGCUUAAAGGGGUGCUACCCUUAUGGUACUUUCCUAAUAGGUAACAUGGCUUUCAUCCAUACUUAGACUUUGUUUUUCAAAGACACUCUUUUUUAAAAUUAAGGAGUCGUUUUUUAGGGUUUUAUUUCUUAUUUUGUUUUCCCUUUUAAAAAUAAAUAAAAAUAAGUGGAGACUGCAUUUUUAUAAAAAUCAAUUUUUCACUACGAGAACGAGUUUCACUGUCAAGUAGGGAUGCAUGUGAAAAAUGCAAGUCCACACAUGUCUUUUCCUUAAAAAAUGAGUCACAUUAUGGCUUUAUUUCUUAUUUUGUUUUUUAAUAAAAAAUAAAGAAAAAAAAGUGGCAAUUCCAACUUUUCAAAUAUAUAUAUAUAUAUAUAUAUAGUUUUUCCUAAUAAAAACGAGUCUCAUCGUCUAGUGAGGAUGCACAUGAAAAAUAUAGAUCUACAAAAUAGUGACUCCACUAGAAAUGUUUAGAGGGUUAAACUUGAACUCAAGUUGAGGGGAAAUGUGACAUUGAAUUAAUUGAUUAGUGGAUACCCUCUCAUUGUGCCUUUGUUAUACGCUUGCAUAUUUUAGGGCAUAGGAGAGGUUAACUUGGUGAUUAUUUUGUAUAUAUUGCAUGUGCCUUACUGUAUAUUGACUAUUGUUAUUAUAUGUGUUUGUAUAUAUCUGCUCAUGUUUGUAUAUAUCUAUUUUGCAUGAUUGUGUGAUGCAUGACUACCUUCCUUCUGCAUAAUGCAUGUUUUGCCUUUUUGUGUAGGAUACACAUUUAUCCCUCUAUCUCAAACUCCUUAGCCUUGGUCGAUUUUCUCCUUUUGAUCUCGUAUUUGGUGGAUGAGACUUGGUGCCUUGUUUGUUUCUCAAGUAAGCUAGUGAUUAGGAGUAUGGUCUAGUUGUGAGCUUUAUGUAUGAUUGGGAGCAUUUAGAGCAUUGUCAUGACAUUAUCAACAUCUUGAGAUUGUCACCUCAGAGUAGAUUACAACAUCAUCAGCCUUACCACAUCAUUUUUAUUUUAUCAUAAUCCUAUUUAGUCACCUCAUCCCUACUAUCACCCCACUUUGCCACAUCAUCCUACCUCACCAUGUCAUCACUUUGCCACAUCCCUAGUGCCUUAACAUCAUUUUAUGUUGUCAUGUCAUCCUUGCCACUUUAUUCUUAUCCUAUUAGCAUUGUUCCUUAUCAUCUCAUUCUUACUGUCAUCCCCAUUUUGCCUCAUUGUCAUACUUUAUCAUUUCACCCAACAUUUUUUUUUAUGUCAUCAUCCUAUCUUGUUGCAGCAUUGUGAUGCCUUACAGAGCAUCACGGCAUCAUUGACGUCACAUCAAUAGAGGUCACCACAUCAUAGCCACUUGGAGUUUGAUCAUUGAAGACUUGUAUAACCCAUGACUAGAUUCAAGAUAUAUGUGUGACUAGUGUGUUUACUUUUUUUGCUUUAGUUUAAGAUGUUUGGAUGCACUUAUGCCACACGCUACACACAUUAGAUUGCCCUGUAUAUGUGUUAAGAGAGGUAACAUGUGCUAACUAGUAGAAAACCUUAACCAUUAGGAAACCACCCUAAGAUUUAGAGGAAGUGCAUGUGUAGAGGUAAUGACCAGCUUGCAUGGAAGCUCCUAGUCUCUUUGGAGGUGUGUAGGAGGUUUUGUACCAACAAUGAGUAUGAUUGCUCCUACUAGGUACCUUUGAUCCUACCUUUUAGAGUCACCUUUACCUUGUAGAAUGAGAAUUAGAUCCUUGGACCUAGGAUACCUACCCACACAUAGGUGCAUUCAUGUAUAGGAAUUUGAUAACAACAAUUUUGCAUCAACAUUAGAGUUCCAUUAACAUAGAUUAGUUAUAUUAUCAUCCUCUUUACUCUUUAUUUGUUGGAUUCAAUUAGUCAAUCUUCUAGGUUAUACAUUCAUCGAUCUUGUAUAGUCUUAUUCCCUUUAGAAUUUUUUCAACCUGAAUAUGUUGUAUAUAAAAAGGAUUUACAUUUUUAAAUGUAUUGUCAUUGUUUUAGGUUUUUGUACAUUGAUGCGAAUCAUGGUAACUUAGCUUUAAAGGCGUAUCAACAAAAUUUAUACCUUGAAUACUAUUACUAAAGUAGCCAAGCUACUAUAGCAUAGUGGUUCUAGGAUCGUUCACUGGGAAGGGUUUUCACAAACACUAGUGAUAUUCAAAUUAGGAAAAUAGGUGAUUUUCUUAUGGAUGUUAGCUUUAAAAGAAUAUGUAAAUGUUUUAGAAAGAUUUAAACUAAUCUAAGCUAACAUUAAAGACUAAAAUGAAAGGGUGUAAAAACAAGUUUCUCAAAGAUAGGAUAGCUAUGCUCUGGCUCUUAUGCAAAUUGGAAAUCUCAGGAUAGGCUCCUCGCGUUGGGGUUGCAACUAUGGUGAUGCUUGCUUCCCGAACCGGUAUGGAUUUAGCAAAUCAAGUUUUAAUCCUUUAAAAUAGCAAAACAGAUGGUAGUGAAUUUCAUCAAUGGUUAUUCACCUUAGACUUCCUUUGAAUGGCUCGUAAGAGAUAACUAAUGGUCUAAAGCUAAAAGCUUACCAAAUAUUGGCAACUCAAAGUCAUUCCAGGUGAUAAACUCACCUUUCAAUGGCCAUUGAAAUUGGUUCUAACGGAUUAAUGCAAAACUUGGAAUUGAAAACCUCACCUUCCAAUAGCUCGUAGGAGAUAACUAAUGGAUAGAAAUCCAAAAGCUUAUCAAGUAUUGGCCGUUGGAAGUUGUCCAAAGGAAAUAAAAACCAAACUUUGAAUUAAUGAACCAUUAAUGAAAAAUGACUACCUUACCUUCCAGGUGCGAGAACCAUGGGAUUGCAUCCAAGCCAUCACCUAACAUCCAUACUUUGAGAAACUAAAAGUUUUAGCCAAUCAUCCUCUGAGGAAAAGCCCUCAGAGGCUGUUUGGCUACUAAGAAAAUAGAAAUGGGGAAGAACAGGAGAAAAGAGAAAAACUGAGCUUUAUAUAUUUCUAAGUAAAUGUACAGAGGAUCGAUCCCUAAAUCAUCCAAUAUCUUUUGGAGGCGUUGUGCACCUCUAUAUAUAACAAAAUUACAAGAUAAAGCCUUAUGUCGGCUGAAUACAAGGUUACAAAAGGAAUUUACACGAGAAAAUAUCAAGGCUAAAAAUAUCUGGGAAGUCGGUGGUGCGUGCGUGGAGAAACAGAGGAUUUCAAAGGCAUUUCGCAAGGUGCCUAAAUCCACCUUGCAAAAUUUCGCAAGGUGCUUUCUUCAUGGUGCGUAAUGGCCAAAUUUCGCACCAUGAAGAAAAUCUCCUUGCGAAAUGGUGUUCCCAUGGCUUGAUGCAGUUGUCUUCCGAAGGCCAUAUCUUCCUCAUUUCAACUCCAAAUCAUACACGGUUUGAAGAGUUGGAUUCUUGACUUCCUGAGCUUUGAAAUGGUAUAUAGCAUAUAGAAAAUGGACUUCGGAAAGUACUCCAAAAGUUCGAAAGAAGACUGCAGCUGCUGUCCUCUAUUUUCUUCACUCUGUUUUCCUCUUCUCCAUUGUUCUUUCCUUGCAUACUUUGAACAACUUUAGCAAAGGGCUAUGGAGCUCCAAAGCUUGGUUCAUUUGUGCUCGUGUUUCCACUUGAAAUUCAAGUAUGUAAACUUCCAAAAUCCUUGCUUUAACUUGUCCAAGUAGCUCCUCCAUCAUUUGGCAUGCUUGAAUUGAUUCAUAAGCUGAUAAAAACAUGUAAACUUGCCACAAAAUGGUUAAAACCAAUUACUAAGGACCUUAAUGAAUUAAUUGGGUUAAAUGAAUAUGAUUACUACUCAAAGGAGCUUAAAACCAUUAUAAUUAGGUCUACAAAAUAGCACUUUUUGGUAGUAAUCAUACAUUAAGUGUAGCAUUCUAGGAUAUGUUAUUUGACAUUUUUUGACCUAAGUCUAGGGUUUUGUGUUCUCUGGUUCAUUGAUAGGUUCCUUAAGUGACUCGUGUUAGUUAGAUUUUUUGAGACCUAGCUGGCUUCUUCUUGGUGAAAUGGUGGGGCGUUUGUCAAAGUUGGUGUGACUAUUUAUUUUUGUUGCAUCAAAGCUAUCCGUCUUGGUUAUUAAGUCUAUGUUAGUCUUGUGGUAUAGUUAGAGUUUGUAUUCUUUGUAGAUUGUUUUGACCUGUUAGUAUCUAUUUCUACUAUGGAUGUACAUUGAUCAUUAGACUCGACCUUUUUCAUUGAAUAUAUGUUUGUCUUAUGGUGCAUGUGUUAGACUUUUGAUAUGUUGCAUAAUUCACUUCCAUAUCAUGAUUAUUGGGCCUAACCCAUCAUAGAGAAUACUGAGCCCAUUAACCUAGGACUAAAGGAUCGACUUAGGGAGCUUAAGAUUGGGGCUCAUUUGUCUUGUGAUCAGAGUUGUACCUUAUUCACUUCCAUUUACACCUUGACCUUACAUCCUAUCUAUCUUGAGUCUUGCUCAACAUUUACCCCUUGACACCAUCACAUGACCUUUACAUCCUUUCUUAUCAUAGCUUAUACAACAUCAUCUACAUGGACAUUGUUUCAAUCUAUUUAUUUGUUCUUUGUACUUGAGACUGAUUUUAUGAGACAAGAAGGGUGGCUUACGAUGAGCAAAGUGGUCGAUUGCACAAGAUCAUUGACUAUUCUAUGGUUGAGAGAAGCAUCUUGAGAUUGUUAUAAAUCAUUAAGAAAUGGGAUAUUUAUGCAUGAUUUUAGAGGGAUGGAAUGCCUACAUUUUGAUAUUCUACACCAAUCUGUAGUGUUGACCAUGUGAGAGUUUAAGAGCAUGAUGUUUGAGGUUUUGACCAGGGAAUGAGUGUCAUCAUUUCAUGAGCCUACUUAUCUAAUCAUGUUGAUGUUCAUGCUAUGAUUCCUAGUGAAAAAAAUGGAGAAAAAAAAAAAAGAAAACACACAAAUUUAAUAUGGUUCGGCAGAUUGCCUGCGUCUAUAGGAACAAAGAAGAAGACUUUCACUAUAUCUCAAUUAGGUUUACAAAAAAGGGUAUUUAUACUAACCCUCAAGUAUUGGAAUUCCUUAAACCAUAUGCCUCUCCUUCCCCCCCCCCCCUCCCCCCCGCAUUCACUCCCCUCAUUCCACUCUACUUCACUCUGGCAUUUGCCCCUUUCUCCAUAUGUCUUUCACUCAAUAUGAGCCACAUACUACAACAAAUCACCUUUGUGUAUAAAGUUACCCUUUGCUAGCCAAUUAAGUCAUGCAUAUUUAGCCUUUUGAUUCAUCACCUUGCUUACCUCAUUUCUCAUACCUAUGGUUAGGGCCUCUUGGCACAUCUUUGCUUAUAGAUAGGAUCGCCUAGGUUGUGGGCUCCUUAGGUGAUUCAUCUUUUGUAUUCAUUAUGUUUGUCUUGAUCAUUUGUAUUAUUUUAGUCGUACAUCUUCUCAAUACUUGUUGUACUUAUUUGAGUCAUUGUUCAUUAUUCCGUCAUUAUGAGUUCAUAUAUGUACAUACAAGUUAGCCUUCUUGUACAUAUAUUGAGAUUUGUAUAGGUUACCUUAGGAUCCUUGUACAUGAUUGCCUUAAUUCAUUGGUUUGAUUAUUGUUAAAAAGAAAAAAAAAAUUAUGAUGUUAGUCUUUGUUGGCGGCUUGUGUGAUAGUUUUGAUCAUUUCAUUAUAUAUAGCCAUCUCAUCUAUACAUCUAGUUAUGAUUGAGUUGUGGGUUUUAUCCCUAACUAUGACAUGUUGCUUCUCUUGUACUCAAUUACACUUUUUAUUUAGAGUUUUAUUCUCAUUCAUCUUGGUUAUGUUCUUUUUUGCUUAUAUAUCGAGUCAUCAUUCAUUAGCAUUAUUUGCUUUACCUCUAGCCAUUGUAUUAUUCCUUUGAUUUCUUGAGCCUAUUUUAAGUCUCACCCUCGUCAUUUCCAUUUCUUUGAGUUAUUCAUGUGGAUGGUUGGUAUUUGUGUAGUUCUUAUCUUGGAUUUGUUUUUCUUUUCAUUGAUUUCAUCUUUUCAUUCAUUAUCAUAUGAAUCAUAGUGUAUUUUUUUUUCAUUCAUUUAGUUAUCUGUAUCAUAAAGCAUAUGUGAGGUUUAUAAUCUUUGAGUUUCUUUAUCUGUUACACUGUGUAUGCUAAAGGCAUGGGGAUUAUAUCAUUAGGAUUACUGAGCUUAAUUUCCCUUUGUUUCUUUUACCUUAUUACCUUAGCUUAAAUUACAUCCUGGGUCUUAAGACCACCUUGGGACCAUGACAUCAUGCAUUAUGCUUGAUAUCUCACACAUGGGUGGCAUUUGAGAUUGGUUAGAGAUCAGUUCAAGUAAUAUGGAUGAGAAACUAUGAGAGGAUUUACACUAAGGCCUAACCUCUCAACAAUUAUUAAUUUUCGAUAUGAUACCUUAUACUAGGGCAUAGCCAUUUCAUUCUCUCUUAUGGAGAAUGAUAGAUCAGGAGUCACUUAAAUUCAUAUCGACAUAUAUCCAUUUUUGAGAUAUAAGAUAAAGUUUGAUUUUGAUUAGACAAUUUACACUAGGGCAUAGCCAUCUCAAGGAGUUUAUACUAGGUCAUAACCCUCUUAUUGGUGCUUAAUUUUUUAGAUAAUAGCUUAUAUUGAGGCAUAGUCACUUCAUUCAUUCUCAUGGACCGUGAUACAUAAGGAGUAACUUGGAUUCAUAUAGACAUAUAUCCAUUUUUUAGAUUUGGGAUUGAGUUUGAUUUUGAUUUGACAAUUUACACUAAGGCAUAAUGACCGAACUUCUCUAUUGUACCAAAAUACUUAGCCUUUUUACGUAGUAACUCUGAUUAAGAAAAACUAGAGAAAGAGUCACUAUGGAUUUUGUAGUAUUCCGGGUAUCGUCCUCAAGGACUAGCUUAUGAAAAUUGUCAAUACUAGAAUAAAUGAAUUGUUUUUGUUUAAAUCUUAAAGUGAAAAAAAAUAUGUGAAUAAUGCGAAACUAAGUAAAAGAAAUUAAAUUAAUAAAAAAAUGAAUAUUGAUUUUAAAUUCAAUUGAUUCAAGUUUGGGGUUUUCCACAAUCCAACCUAGGGUAUAGAAAUUAGAGAAAACAAGGGUCUUUUAAGUAAUAUGAUCUUAGGGUUUUAGGAUCCUUGGCCGCUCGCGAUCAAGUUGAGUUCUAUAACUCAAAAUUGCAUCCGAAACCUAAUUUUUCCUUUUUAAAACAGAUUCCUAAAACCAUCAAAUGAAUGAGAUUGAUUACCAAUUUAAGAUUUGGAUUUUUAACCCUUCCUACUCCUUAUAGCUUUAUUUAGGGGCAAAUAACGGUAGGAAAGAUGAGGAUAACUAAUGAUCAAGAAUUACCAAGAAUCACUAGUAUCAGGUAAUAACCUACUGUAUCAUUCCCUAAAUGAACUCACAAGGAUAGGAUAAAAAAAAUGAUAAAUUGUCACCCAACCAAUAAUUAUUCUCAUUGUUAUAAUAAUUUACCCAUUGUCCUUAUAGGUUUCCUAACCCUUAGGUUUUCAUGCUUCAAGCCCCAAGUUGGCUCUUAGCCUCUCAUGGGGGUGAUGUCACAUUCUCAAUCCAUAAUAGGGUAAAAAUCCAUAAUUUGAAUCAAAAGAAACUAAAAACAAUAUAUUUUAUAAAGAGGAAAAAGAAAACAAACCAAAGUUCUCGUCUUCUUCCACCUUCAAUGUUAAGUUCUCCGAAAAAAAAUCCAAGAUCCCUAAAACCUAGAAUUGAGAGAGUUUAUAUAAUAUCGUCAAUUACCUAACAUGUGGCACACUCUCAUUGGCCACUUAUUACAAAAUCAUUUCCUAAAAAUGAUUAAAAAAAUAAUAAAAGGGUGAUUUCUAGUCAUGUGGGGUCCACUUAAGGCGGAUGGAGUGCCCUAGAUGCAAUUCCCAAGGUAGAGAAGGCAAAACAUCAAAGUGACAGUGGGUGAAUUCGAAAUUGGUGUCAUUUCAAAGUGGAUUUCGAAUUCAUAAGUUGAAUAGAUGCAAUUCCUGAGGUAGAGGAGGUGGAACAUCAAAGUGGCAAUGGGUGAAUUCGAAAUUGGUGUCAUUUCGAAGUGGAUUUCGAAUUCAUAAGUUGAAUUUUGAAAUCAUUUCGAAAUGACCCUUCAGCUUGGUGCAGUUGUCUUCAAAUGGCCAUAACUUCUUCAUUUCAGCUUCGAUUUGCAAACCGUUUGAAGCGUUGGAUUCUUGACUUCCCAAGAUUUGAAAUAAAAAAUAGAAUGUAUACAAUGGACUCUAGUAAGUUCUCUAAAUUUUUCCUCAAAAUCAGAGUAUAUAAUUCCAUCAGAUUUUUGAGUUCUAAAUUUCCAUGCAGCUGAAUCUUGCUUCAUGCCUCAUUUCCCAUGUUUUCUUGCCUUAUUUCUUACUCCAUAAUGGUCAUUUCUCAUCUUCCAAACUCAUGAUAUCCUCGUCUUUCCUUUCCUUACGGUCCAUGAGUCUUGACUCACUUAUUUCCUCAUUUAGCCCUUUCUUGAUCUUUCAAAAUCUAAAGUGAUUCAACUUGCACCAUUUUCUUCCCUUGAACCUGAGAUAAGUCUCCAAAGUACAAAUUAAACUCAUGACUAGGGCCUUAGCAUCUAUUUAGUUCAAGUUAGGUGAUUUGAAUGUCUUUUUGUGCACAAAUCAUAUAGAAUAUGUGCCAUUAGAGCACAUAUUUUGGCUCCAAUCACAUAGCCACCUUAGAAAGUUUAUAUUGGUGUAUAGCCCUCUCAUUGAUGAUUGAUUUUCAAGAUGAUAGUUUAUACUAGGACAUAAUCACUUUAUUCCUUCUCAUGGAGCAUGAUGGAUUAGGAGUCACUUGGAUUCAUAUUGACAUAUAUCUAUUUUUGAGACCUAGGAUAGAGUUUGAUUUGAUUUGAUGAUUUAUACUAGGGUAUAGCCACCUUAAAGAGCUUAUACUAGGGCGUAGCCCUCUCAUCAAUGAUUGUUUUUUUAGAUGAUAUCUUAUACUAAGGCAUGCCUUCAUUCCAUCUCAAUAAGCAUGAUGGAUUAGGAGUCACUUGGAUUGAUAUUGACAUAUAUCCAUUUUUGAGAUAUGGGAUAGAGUUUGAUUUUGAUUUGACAAUUUAUACUAAGGCAUAACCACUAUGCUUGAUUCCCUACACUAGAGCAUAUUCGUCUUUUAGAGGAGAUUUGAAACUCCCUUCACAUUAUAGUAUGAAGAUACUUUAGGGAGUAAAAAUCUAUCUUGAUGAGAUUGUGUAUGUUACAACAUAACCAUUCUAGAUAUUAACUUGCACUGAGGCUUAACAUUUUAGACGUUACCUUAUAUACCAGGGCAUACUCCUUUUAUCAGUGUUUGAUUUUGAAGAUGAUUAAUUUGUUUUGGCCUUACCCAUUUUUACUCAAUAUAUUCAUGUUGGGGCAUAACCCACUCAGUUGGCGAUUGAUUAUUUUUUGAAAUGGCAAUUUAUAUUGAGCAUGACUACUCUGUUUGAAUCCCUACAUUGGGGCAUAACCAUUCUCUUGAAGGUGAUCAGACAUUCUUUUCAUAUUGGAGUAUGAAAGAUGGUUAAGAGAUAUUGAUUUGAUGUCUUUUAUAUUGGGGCAUAACCAUUUGAGGGAGUAUUUAUACUAGGGUAUGACUAUCUUAUUGAUCUUCUAGGACAUUGGAAUUCGACCACUUAAUUAAGGUUUUAUAUAGGUUAUAAAGAUGAUGAUGCCUUGGAUUCGGUCUUCUCACCAUACCUGGUCUGAUUUAGAUACUAUCGUAUAUUUACUUCAUACCAAAACACUCCAUUUUUUCUAUAUCUUCACACUUAUAUCUUGUAUUCAAUCCAUCCAUAUCAUUCCAUCAUGAUGUAUAAAGUUAUUUUGCUUCCAGAUCAUAGGAGCAUGUAAACUAAUCAUGAGUUUCCUAGUCAAACUUUCAUGUGCCUUUUGGAUACUGAAUUUAACAUCUUCCAUGAUGGCAAGGCUUGACAGAUUGUCGAUUGUUUGUAAUGUUUUUCAUUUGAUAGUCUACAUGUCAUGGCAUGACUUGGUGCAUAUUUAGACUUAGAGCUUUAGUUAUCUUUGUUUUUGUCCAUCAUUUGGUUUUAUUUUGAUAACAUGGUCCCAAGACCUAUAGUCCUAUUUAGCUUUUUUAAUUGAAGAUUAGACAUUUUCAUCUUAUUAUCAAUGAGUGCAUCCUAGUGUAUGUCUUUGUUCGUGCCACACCCUAAUUAUCCGACUUUUUUUAUAUUUUCUGUUAAUGUCACGCCUCGACUAUUCGACCUCUUUUAUGUUUUCUUAAUGUCAUGCCCUGAAUAUUCAACCUUUUUUUGUCUCUAUUAGUGUCAUGCUUUGAUUGUCCAACUUUUUCAUGUUUUUUUAGAGCUAUCUUGAUUGUCCAAAAUUUUCAUGUUUUCCUAAAUUCGAGCCCUGACUGUCCAACUUCUUUUAUGUUUUCCUAGAUUCGCACCCUGAUUGUUGGGUCUUCCUUGUGUUUCCUCUAAUGUCCAUGCACUGAAUACAUGACCUUUUUUAAUUUUUAUUUUAUUAGCCUUGAUUUUUUUCUCUAAUCAUUAGCUUCUUCUCUUUUCUUCUUCAUUCUCUUGUUCACCCAUUCAUUCCCCCCUUUGGAUAGUAAGGUCCUUAGUGUUUCACAUAGAUAUUGUCACUACCUUGUUCAGAAGAGUCUCCCUUAAGAUCCACGUAGAUAUUGCAUGUUUCUCUACUAGUAGAUCAAUGAGCACAUUUCAUAACCUUAGAGAGCUUGUGUCUUAUUGGGACAAAUUUGGUGAUCUUUCUUGUACUUUAGUAGAGCCCACUUUGUUUGGUUGGUUUAUACACUUACUUCACUUGUGAACUCUUCUAAAAAUGGACAUAUUUGUAGAUCCCAAAAUUUUCCCUAAGCCUAUUCUCACUUUUUAUUUUAUUUUAUUAUUUUAUUAUUUUAUUUAUUUUAUUUUAUUUUAUUUUUACUUUAUUUUUUUCUUCUUUUCUUUUUCUUUUUUUUUGUUCCUUUCUUGUUUUUCACCUUUUUUUUCUCCCACACACAUGCAACUACAGAACCUUUCCCCUUCUUAUUUUUCCCUCUUCCUUCUCUUUUCUUUGCUUCUUUCUUUUUCCUUCCUUUUUGUUUUUCUUUCUUUUCUUUCUUUUUCUCUCUUCUCUCUACCCACUCUCACUCCCAAACCCAUCUCUAGCCAUCAUCUACCUUCCUCCUCUUUCCCUUGUCUUAUUUAUUCUCCUUUCAUUUUUCUUCUUAUUACCCAUUUCUCUCUCUCACCUUGAAGAUCCAUAACCAUGGCUGCCCCAUACUCAACACUCUCACCACUAGACAGUUGCCAUCAGUGAGCCAUUAUUUGUCUGUGAUCCAUUUUCUCCCUUUGUUUCUCUCUUUUCUUCAUUUUUUUCUUUCUCUUAUCUCACCCAUUUUCUUUUAUUUAUUAUUAUUACUAUUAUUAUUAUCCCAUUCUUUCCUCUUAUCCCUUCUUUCCAUAUUGCAUUCAAGAAAUGGGUAAGAUGCCCUUUUUCAUUUUCUUAUUUCUUUAGUCAUUUUAUUUUUUAUUCAUAAAGUAAUUGUUCUUGAUUGUUGAGUUUGCUUGUUUGGACUUUAGAUAAUUUUGCUUGGAAUUUGCAUAUUAGAUGUUGAUCUUCUUUUAGACUUUAAUAAAUUAAGUUAUCCAAAAAUCUUCUUUUAAAAAAAUAAAAUAGGUCGAAUAAGAUAUUUUCAUUAAAUAAGAAAAAUGGACCCAAAAAUAAGUUUCUAGACAUCCUUUUUAGAUAAAAUAGUCGAAAAAUUUUAUUUUAAUAAAAGAAAUAAUUCAUAAUUUUAAAAUAAAUAAAUAAAUAAAUAAAAAGUUCACAAAUAUUUUUUCAAAUAAAAUAAAAUAAAAAUAAAACAAUCCAGUAAUCUUGUUUUAAUGCAAUAAUAAUUCAAUAAAUAUUCUUUUUAAUAAAAUAAAGUUUUUUUUUAAUAGAAACUUUAGAAAAAAAUAGUUUUUUUUAGGAAUCUUUUUUUUUUUUAACAAAAAUUCAAAAAAAAAUUGAAUAAUAAACGAUCUAGAAAUUUAUUUGUUUAACAAAAUUUUCUAAAAAAAAAUUUGAUUUUUAAAUAAAAUUGUCCAAAAAGUUAAUUUUAAUAAAAUCGUCCAAAAAUUGAUUUUUGAAUAAAAUUCUCUUUCCUUGAUAAGAAUGGGAUUUAAAAUAAUUUUUAUAAAUAAAGGUCUUAAAGAAUUUUUUUUAAAAAAUAAGAAUAGGAUAAGUAAACCUUUAAAUUGAACUGAAAGACAACCCCCCCCCCCCUUUUUUUUUUUUUUAAUAAAUUGGUAAACUAAUCUCUUUCUAGAUGAAAUCCAAAAAUUCUUUCUUAAUAAUGGAAUCCUUGGGAAUAAAUUUGUGAAAAAAAUUUUUCUAAAUAAACUAGUAAGAAUCUUUUUCUAGGUAAAAUAAAAAAUAUAUAUAUUUUUAAUAAAAUUGGGUUGAACCUUAUAACCUUGUAAAUAUCUUUCUUUAAGUUUGUAAAAAAAAAAUUUAAAUAAAUAAAGAUUGAAUCAAAACACUUUUUUAAACAAAUUAGUAAAAUUCACGCCUUCUUAAUAAGGUAAACAAAAAUAAUUUCUUGUAAGUCAAAUAAAAUCUUUUGUAAUAAAUUGAAGCCUUGUGAAUAAAUAAAUUCAAAUCAUUAAUUUGAAAUUGUUGUUAAUAUAAAUGGAUUCUUUGAAAAUUUUUGGAAAUUGUAUUAUGAUAUUUGAAAUAAUAAAAUCUUUCUAAUAAAUUAUUUUGUGCAUUUCUUAUGUAUCAUUUUUGCAUAUCUUUAUAAUUUGUUUUUGCAUUAUUCUAUGUGCUUGUAUUAUUCUUUUUUUCAGUAUCCAUGAUUAAUUAAUUAAUUGUCAUAAUUGCUUUUUACAUGCUUAGUAAAAACCUUUUUAAGGCUUAAAAGGGUGCUACUAUGGUACCUUCCCAAUAGAUAACUUGAUCUUUGGAUUCAAACUCAAUUUUUGACGACAUGUCUUUCUUUAAAAAUGGAGCUACACUAGGGCUUUAUUUCUUAUUUUAUUUUCUUUUAAAAAUAAACAAAAAUAAGUGACAACUCCACCUUUUAAAAAAAAAAAAAUCAGUUUUUUACAAUAAAAAUAAGUCUCACCAUCAAGUAGGGAUGCACAUGAAAAAUGCGGGUUCACAAUUGUAUUCCUUAGGAUUAAAAUAUAAUACAAUUAAUUAGAUGGAUGAUAACGUCAAAUUCAGGAUAGCUUCAUAUUUUUUCCUUUAACUGAAGAUUAAAAUAAAAAGUAAAGUGAUAAUUUUUAAGAUGUAAAAGUUUUAUUAAACAUGAAAGAACUAUUGUGUAAAUAGAAAUAGAAUUAUAGAAUUCUUAUAAGAAAUAACAUUUUUAUGACUUUUAUAUGAAACCUUUUUUAAAAGUUAGAAGUUUUUUUUAAAAAAAUAAUAAUAAUAAUAAUUAAAUAGGUAUAAAAACUUUUAUUCAACUUUUUUUUUUUUAACUCUUACAAGUCAAUCCAAAUAAAAUUUAAACAUAUUUGAAAAUCAUUUUUAAAAAUCCAAAAAAUCACUUAAAAAUAAUUUCUGAACUUUUUUAAAUUUACAUUUAAAUACUAAGUGAUUCUUUUAAAAAUCAUAAUUUUUUUUACGGAUAAAAAUAUUACAAAUAAAAAACAUUUUAAUCACAAUAAAUUUAUCUUGAAUUCAUGAAAUUUCAUUUAUUGUUAUUUAUUUUUUGGGAUUUGAUUCUUUACAAUUAUUUUUGAGUGUUUAUAAAGUAUAAUUAGGUUAUGCCCAAAUUUAUUCCUAUAACUCUAUCCAUCAAAUAUAAGUAGCGUGAAAUUUUGGCCUGUCUCCACCUUUCGUCACUUCUGACAUUGUCAUGCACUGCUUCAUCAACUCCAAACACAACUGCUGAGGAUAGAAGAAAAUAAGACAAUGGAAUGUCAGCUAGAAUAAAAUGAAAGUUUAAUCAUUUAAUCUUUUUUAGCACAGCUUUCCUGCCAACUUAACAUAUUGACAUGGACUUGGACAGUACCGUCAAUUGCAGCAGCUUAGUUAACUGUAAGUGUCUUUUCUCUAAACCAUAAAUUCAAAUGAUCAACUCCUACGUUUUAAUUUACAAAAGCCAGUGAUUUGAAUUUAAGGAAGCAGGAAAGGGUUUACUUGAAUAUAAAAUAAAAAAAAUAAUAAGAGUUGAAAAGUAAUCAAAUCACUAAAAAGACAGAUUUGGAGUUCUUUUGCUAUGGGGUUAGACUCAAUUUGUUCCCAUGCAAUGGAAAUGGACGAUUUUCUUUAUCUUGGUAUAGAUCUUGUAAUAUUUUAUAAAAAUAUAAAUUAUAUGUCAAUUAUUUUAACUUUCGGAAAAAGCGCUUAUUUUAAUUUAAAAUAAAUAAAUAAAAAAGAAUUGAUUUUAUCUCAAUUGUAUAAGACUUCAUAAAAAUUAUCUUAUUUGCAAAAUAUUUUCAGAUGUAAAAGUAAAUAUUAAACAAAGCAUUUGAUGAUCUUUUCCAUAAGUAUCCAUUUAGAUCAUAAUCUAAUUUUAAAAUAUUAGAAUAAAUCAAUUACUCUAAACUAUAUAAUUUAUAAUUUUUUUAUUAUUAAUAUGGUACCUAACCUUCCACGGAAUUGGAAUAAAAUAUGGAUAAUUAAAAAAUGUCAACUAUCCCAUUUCAAACUUUUCUAAUACAACAUGAUAUUUUAUCAUGUUGAAUGAAAUGGGAAUGACCAAAUAUUCUCAAAUCAAAGCUAUAUCUAUUGUGGACAUUGUCUUUUUAUAUUGAAAUGAAUUAAGGUUGAAACAGGAACACAAUGUCAAAUUCUUUUUUUAUAAUCAAAGACUUCCAUGGAAAAUUCCACCAUAGCAUAUCUUAAAGAUUAGUCAAAUUCCAUUAUCUUUAUAGGCUUUUAACAAUCCAAGAAAUUGACAUUAAUAAUCCCAAACACAAUAUUCUGCAACUUUACAUUAUUAUUUUUAUCGUAAUUGAAAAGGAAUACAAACUUAGUCAAACAGAAAAUAAAUCACGAAAGCUAAAUAAUACAAAUAUUCAGUGAAAUCCUUGGCAUGUUAUUUCUUUGCAGCUUCAACAUGGUGGCAUGUCGGAUGGAGGAGGCAGCAUUUGAGCUUCUGGGUGUUUACCAUUUUUCACUAUGAACGCAGUUUCCAUGCCCCAAGUCAGAUGGCGUUCUAUAUGGCAGUGCAUGAACCACACUCCUGCAACAGAGAAAAUAUACCAACGUUACACCUAACUUAAUUGUAAUAUUAAGAAAAAUUAUUUCAUUGGUAUGCAGGUUGGUAGUUUCAAGGGUUUUUUUUCUUUAAUAGAGGACAUGAGUGCUUGCAAUAUACCAGGGUUGGAUGCCUUGAAUCUGAUUGCAACCCAACCAUUCGAAGGAACAAAGAUGGUAUUCUGAAGGGGAGGAUCCACCAGAUUAUACCGCAAAGGGUCUCUAUUUCCAUCGAAAUUCCCAAAUCCCCAUCCAACAACAUAGAAACUGUAUCCAUGGAGAUGCAUGGGGUGGUGUGUCUUUGCAAGCACGGCUGUCCCUUGAAGAAUAAUCUCCACUGUGGAGUUAUACUCGAGCACCCUUACUUCUGUCCCGCUGCUCGACAACUGAUAGGUUAAUGGAAGAUAAUCAUAUGUAAAAUCGAACACCAGUGGUGGAAAGCUAGGAAAGUUAUUUCCAUAUACACCACUGAUGUUAUAAUAGUAAGCUUCUAGUAUGUCAAUUAUAGGCGAAUGAAAGCUUAUGUUGUUUAUACUUGAGGAGAAUCACGUCCCAUUGGGCCCUGCACAUGAAUCAUUGAUGCAUGGGUAUGAGUUCAUAGAAAGAGUGUAAAACAGGUUAGUGCUCAUGCUCAAUGGGACAUUGCAAGGAUGUUCCGCAUCUGCUAAGCUUCGAAGGCCGGCCAUGACCUGAACCGAUGCCUUUGUGUCAUUGUAUGCAGGAAGAUCAGGUGAGGAGGGAGGUGAAGAUGGUGUGUAGUAUCCCCUGUACUGUACAAUAGCUGUGGUGGUUGUGUUAUCAUAAAAGUCUCAAUAUUUUGGGGCAACAGAAUAAGUUAUAGACGUCAUGUAAUAGUGAUCCGGGCGUUGGUUAGCUUCUAGUAAGACAUCAUAGGUUUGGCCAGGAAAUAUUGUGAUAUAAUCUCGUGUCAAUGGUUUCGUGUAGCUACCAUCUGUUCCAACCACUGUCAUUUUAUGCUUGGCUAUGGCGAAGAAGAGAGCCUUGUGCAAGGCAGCAUUGAUUAUGCGAAGUAGAUAGGUCUUUCCAUGAUCCAUUGUUAGCUUGAAUGUGCUUGCAAUUAGAAAGGGAAAGUUGUAUACUUAUGACUAGCUAAAAGAAAAGGAAAAAGUUUCCAUGAGAAUCCACCAAUUAUGAAGUGAUUCAUUGAUUAAGGGUGUAAAUUUGGCUCCAUAGUUUAACAUUAUAUUUGGACUAGCCUUUUCUGAUGUGUUAAAUCAUGGCUCUACCAUCCUCAUAGCUAUAUUCCUCUUUCUUAGCAUUAACCUUUAAAUAUGUUGAUGUUAAUAAGAAAAAGUAGCAUGGUUAACAUAUAAGAAAAUGAAAUCGCGUAUAAUUUUAAAAUGGGAAGUUAAACUUUGUACCUAAUUUUGAGCAUGGAUAUAGAUCAUCGGGUUGUCCAUUUAUCAAUAAAGCAUCAGAGGAGUUGGGGUCACCUCCGGUUGCAAGCCCUUCAUCUCAAACCGCAUUCACAUCACUCUUCCACCAUUCUCCUGCAUGUCAACAACUCCAAUAAUUUUAGAUCUUGCUUUGCUGGUUAAAUCAUAAUAUGUAAAUUAACCUUUAAAAAUAACAACACUUAUACCUAAUAUGAUGGGGACUUCUGUGUUAGGUUUGUGACAAGGAUACUUGGUUCCAUUCUUGGGAUAGAUGAUUAUAUAGCUCCAUGAACAGUAGCUCAGGUACAGUCACUGUGAGCAUGCCACCAUAAAGUGCCUUCCUCAGUAGAAAGGAUGAUCUUCUAGGUAAACUUUGACCCUGGCUAAAUUGGGCAUUGUGUGAUAUACUCGGGACCAUCUGUCCAUGGAUAUCUAGGCAUGGUCACCCCAUGCCUGCAAAACCAUAACUAUACGUUAAAACUAGUACUAAUUUUCAAAGUAACAAAAGAUAGCAUGCAACAAGCAUCAACUGUAUUUCAAUGGAACUGAAGCAAAUAACCCUAAAGUAUUGUUUUAAAUUUGACUUUAUUUUCAAAGCAAUAUAUUGCACCCCCCCCCCCCUCUCUUAGAAAUAAAAGAAUGUAAGCUAUGUCUUUCUCUGAGACACACACAGGACCUACCAGUGAAUGGUGACGUUUUCUUUUCCCCUAUUAUAAACGUCGACAAUGAUCGUGUCUCCUUUCAUAGCAUAUAUAGUUGGUCCCGGAAAUUGUCCAUUUUUUACUGUUAAAAUGUUCUUGGCAGUACAAAGCCUUGUAUAUGAAGCUUCCCUCACUUGCAACCAAUUAAAAGUUAACCAUGCAACCUCAUCCCAAAAGAAAUAUUACAUGCAUGAAUAGUUCCAUCGAUCCAUUCAUGUAAGUGUAUAACCAAUUAGAAAUUGAUGGCAUGCAUGAACGACUCAACGACACCCAUAGCAUGCAUGAACGACUCAAUGACACCCAAGCAUGCAUGAACAACUCAACGACACUAGGGUAAGAGGUCAUACAGUAGAAAAUAAGAGCCAUACUACUCCCUAAAUCUCAUGAUUAGAACGUGGUGUUAAGGCCAGAAUCAUAUAUAAUAGUUACCACAAAAGUAAGCCGACGGGUUGAAGCUUGGCAAUGGAUGCCACCACCAAAAACUAGAAACGCUAAAAUUUGCAAGAGGAAAACCUUCAUGAUCAGCCACAUUUUCCUUGGAAUAAAAGCCUUUUCUCUUGUCCUAAACACAACUCCUUUAAUUCUCUUACUACUUUUGAUGUAUUUCUUUCAUAUAUGAUUCAUUAUAUAGGCAUGGUAAUUCUCUCGGGAUACAAUACUUCCUCUCCACGUGUCAAUAUAAGAGGAAGUAAUAUUGGCUUUCAAUGUUCUUUCAGGACGACUUCAAUGAGCAGGACCACUUCAAAAUAAUUAAUUAUGAUAUUUCUUACAUGAGCAGGACCACUUCAAAAUAAUUAAUUAUGAUAUUUCUUACAUGAGCAGGAUCACUUCAAAAAAAUUAAUUAUGAUAUUUCUUACAAGUUACCUACACUUUACCUUAGAAUAAAUUUAAAAUAUUCUUUCACAAGUCUUUUAUUGAUUAGUUCAACAAAUGUUAAUUAAUUAAAUAUAUGUACCCUUAUCAAGAUUAGUCAUGAAAACUGUUUUUCAUUGACAACUACUUUUAAGAAUUAUUUUUAAAUUAUUUUUUAAGAAUUAUUUUUAUAAACAUUAUUUAACCAACCCUUAUUAUUAAUUUUACUUUUUUUCGUGUUACUUAAGAUAAUUAAUAGUGCAGAACCCAUGACUUUGGUGGUUGGUGGCAGAGUUGUUUUCGUAUUGUUACUUUAUACAAUUAGUCAUGUCAUUGCUUUCGUCUGAAUGGGACAAAGUUGUUUCCCAAUUUUUUUUACCUGAGAUUUGAGAUUGUAAAAGACAAGAUGAUAAGCUAAUUUGGUAUUUCAGAAUUUUCCAUAAAAAAACAGAAAAAUACAUUUUGUAAAAAGUUGAAAAUAGGAUACUAACAACCCUUGUAGUAUCUUUUUUUCUCAACAAAAAGCAGUUUAAUAAUAACAAUAAUAAAUAAUUGUAGAUUUAAAAAAAAUAUUUUUCAAAACAAAUGCAAUCCAUAAUUUAUUUCUUCGAAUGGUAUGCAUAUCUUGAUUAAAUAAAUAAAUUAUGGAAAUGCAUAUAUUUUUAACUUAUUUAUAAAUAGAAAAAAUAAUGAAUAAAUUUUAAGACGUGUAAAAAUUUGAUCAAGUUAAUUUAAACUUUUUUUUUUCACUUUCUUUCUCCUAUUCUUUUUUUCUCACAUUUCCUUUUAAACUUUCGAAAUAAAUUCCCUACUAUUUGUGGAGUUUUAAUACAAAUAACACCUUUAUUAGUUAGACUUACAUUAUAUCACUACCCUCACCAAAGGUAAUGAAGGUCAACAACUUCUCCCUUGUUGACUAGGUCCACUAAUAACUAGAGUUUCAAAACCAAUAAUAAAAUUCACUUACAUACAAAUAAACAAAUCAUAUGAUAUUCCCAAUUUAUUUUAUAAACUAAGGAACAAAUCAUAACAUUUUUAGCAAAAUAUUAUUUGAUCCACUUUAGGGAUUUAAACAUUUUGAUAGUUUAAAAAUAGAUGAAAACAAAUAAGGAAUUAGAAAAUGGUUUACCGUAUCAUUAACCCCUAACUUGAAGAUAUCAUUCAAAAUCACGAAAGAUUUAGUCCACUCCUAAUAUAAUAUAAAUACAAAAUAAUUAUUAAAGACUAAUUAUCUAAAUUAAUGGCUUCCUAAAUUUUUUGUAAAACUUAUUUUAAUUCCAAACCCUCUUCUAAAAAUCUAUAUUUUUUAAUUAAAUUUUUUAUCAACCAUAUUAUUAUUAUCAUUUUUGCUUUGCAUAAUUACAUCAAUAGGUUUUGUUUAAUUAUUAAUGUUAAUAUUCUUUAUUUUUUUCAUGGUAAGUAGAAUAAUUAUUUAUUAAUUUACUACUAUUUUUACUUAUCUCCUACCCACAACCCAAGUCUUAUUAUUAGUUUAUUAUUUCUUUGCCACAACCACUUUCCUCAUUUCCUCAAUUCUUCUUCCUAUUAAUCUCGUGGUUAAAGAAAGAGAAAAUAAUUUAAUAAAUAAAUAAGAACUUACCUUAAAUUUCAUAAUGAAUCAAAUUAAAAAAGUUUCUUCUUUCUAACCCUUCAAACCAAACUUCUCUAAAGGCCUUUCUAUUGUUUAUUUUUCCCUUCUAUUUUAUCUUUUCAGUAUUUAAUAAUGCGGAAAAAUCAAAAUGAUAUAAAGUUUGAAUUACCCAAAAUCUGAAAAAAUAGUUGUUUCACCAUUUAAUUCUUUAUCCCAAGUCAUGAAUGAAACCACACUAAAAUUGAGAAUCACUUUAUUUCACAGUAUAAAGCAUUUCACCUUCUUUUUCAGAUAACUUUUCUUUUCGAGUCUUUAUUUUCCAUAGAAAAGUUUAUUAGGGUGAUUUUUUGGGCAAUUUCUAGUAGUUCCAACUCCUAGAAAUUGUUCCACCUUUGAUAUUUUAUUUGGUUAGGUCAGGUUGGGUCACCUCAACUUGGGAACCCACCCAACUCCAACAAUAUUUAAGUAUUUAAUAAAGUAAAUGAUUGAAUUACCAUGAACAAGUAUAAUGAUCAAAAUAAAAAUUUUACUCUUUUUUGUUAUAAUAUAAAAUCCAACCUCUAAUUGAACAAAUCAUUUACCAUUUAAAAAUAUUCUUAAUAUCUUCAUUUUCUUUUUGUGUUUUUGAAAGUUCAUUUUUAUUUUAACUAGAUCAAAUAAUAUUUGUAUAAUAAUGCCUUUAACAUACAUUUUUUAUGAGUAACACCAAAUAAACAUCUCAACAAAUAUUAUAUAAGAUGAUCAUUAAUUUCACUAUCUUCAUUUUAUUUAUGUUAUUCUUCUUUAUCCAAUGGGUUUAAUUAUGUGUUGUAAAAUGAACAAGGACCUCUAUAGUUAUAAUCUCACCUAAAAAGUUGGAGAAGUUAUCUCUACAUUUAUGGUUCAUGCAUGAAAUAAAUUGUUUUUGUACUUCCAUCAUCAAAGAUGCAUGUAUGUCUAAGAAUGGCAAAAAAAUCUGUUGUUCUUGUAUUGAACAUUUUUAAGCUUUUCUAAGUCAAACAGAUUAAUUUAAAAUUGUUGGAAAGUUUGAAGUUUGAAAUUUGAAUUAUUCAAAUAUUUGUUGAUUUGAAUAAGUCAUCGCAGACUAUUAAGAUUAGAAGUUAAUUUAUUUGUUUUUAAAUCUUAUGAGAUUAGGAGUUAUUUAUUCAAAUAAGGAUUGAAUAUCCACCAGGUUGUUGGGAUAAGAAUUCUAGUUUCCUUAUUUUUAAGGAUUUUUGAAUUCUAGAGUCAACCUAUAAAUCUUGUUGUAUUUCGUAUUAAAAAUAAUAAUAAGAUUUUUGUGCUUUCUGUUUUUUUUUUUCUACUUCGGCUUCAAAAAUAAUUAUUUUUUGAGCUUAAGAGGUUCAAACACCUAUUCACCCUCUCUAGAUGUUACCUAAACUAGAUCAACUAACUUUUAAUGAGGAAAACUCAAAUCAUAGAAUUUGCUCUUUCAGCCAAUGCAACUAGGCUUAGACAAAUUGAAGAGUAAAUAUCCUUUCAAAUCAACCAACUAACCUUUCAUCCAUGGAGACCUUCUCCAAUUUAAAGAUCAUGAAAACCUGUCAAAGCAUUUCUAAAGAAAAAUAAGAGCAUUGUGUCACGGACUUAGUCUUCUUCAAGUGUUUUGGAACUCACUUGUUUUGGUUGGUUAGGUUCUUGGGUGGUACCUUGGCCAAAUGAGGCCUUAACCUCUUUAUAGGCACCUUAGGAAGUCUCUAGAACCUUGAAGGGUUCCUUACAAAUAAAAAAUAAUCUAGAAGCUCCUACACUAGUCUAUGUACAAGAUGACUUUGGAAGAUUCUAGAACACCCCACACUUUUCCAGUGGUCUCCUAGCCAAGUGUAGAUAUGUGUGGAUAUCUCUAGCAUUUUCUAGAAGCUUCCACACUCUUCUACCUUGUAGGUAAGUGUAGAUGUCUCUAGGGGUGUCUACAAGCUUCCUACCUCCUAUAUAAGCCCAUGAGGAGGGUCAUUUGAAGCAUCUUGUGACAAUUGGCUCACCCUAAGGGUUCCUUGGAGAGGCUUUGAUCUUAAUCUUCUCUAUGAGUUGUUGAAAGGGUCUUUCACAACUGGGAUUGGAUUGGAUGGAGCACUUAUAUGAACUAAAAAUGAUAAAUAUUAUAACUACUCAAAAGACAUUUUCACAGAAUUGCCAACCUGCAGAUCAUUUUUAGUUAACCAAAUCUUAAAACAUUAGUCACAUCCGUGGCCAAAAUUAAGUGAAGGCUAAGCACAGAUAGAAGAGGAUCAUCAGGACGCUCUCCUUAUCUCUACCAAGCUAGCUAACAACCUUGAACAGAAUAUUGCUCGAGCAGUCCAUGGCUACUAUUAAAAGGAAAAACCUAUAAAAAAAUAUGAAGAACAAGAAGCAUAAAAAGAAAAUAUAGGCUAAAAUAAAAUGGUUCAAUUUGGGAAUCAACUGCUACGCAAUAUAUGACUAAAUUCUCAGCUAGAUUCUUAUGAGUUCUAACCCCCAAAAGCAUCAAAUGCAGCAGAAAAUCUUGCAAAAGAGAAACCAGUAAGACAAUAACAAUAUGAUAGUUUCAUCUCUACCUUUCAAGUUUGAGCAUCUAGUGCUGAUGCAUCCUCUCAAUGUAGAAGUGGCUUGCUUCAUUAUAUCAGUAUUGUAAAAAGAAGAGGUGUAAGCUCACCAUAAUCUUUAAUAGUGAAGAAACUUGAAUUCUCAUCGGUAGUGCUGCACUGAAAUUCUGGUUGAUUGCCUUCUUUCUCAUCCUGUUGAUAUAGUAGAUGAACCCCACACUUCUUCACCCCAUAAGAUGGGCCAUAGACUUGGAAUGAAGCCUGAAUUUGACUCAGUUUAUUUAGCCAAUUGGCGUGGCCAAUCCCAAUUCGAGAAAUUGGUUGAUACCCAAGCCACAUGUGAUCUGAUUUAAUGAAUCUGUGCCCUUCAUCCGAAGAAUUCUGGUGUUCUUGAUUGAUGGGAGCAAAAAGGUGACCAGUUUUACCUUGAGUCAAAUUCAAAUGACAAAAUAUAUUACCAGGGCAAUCAUGGACAGCACCCUUAACUACAAAAAUAGCGCACACAGCCAAUCCCAUCAACCUAGUAUACACCAAUUUGGAGGCAGAUGUACCAUUACUGUGAAGCCUAUACUCUGUUGGCUGAACCACUAACGAAUUCAACUUCCAGGAACAAAAGUGCCGGAUUCAAUAUGUGGAGUAUAUGGCACCAUCUGGGUCAUGAAAAUCAAUGUCAAGUUAUAUGGAAAUAAUGUAGGAGUAGUGCUCAAAGGAGUAUAAGAAUUAUUCCAUAGGAUUUAAUUGAUUUACUUUUACAAUAUGAUCAAGAGAGAGAGGAGAGAAACCUGGAUUGGGAAUUGAAAUCUUGGUAAUUUAUUUGCCAGACUUUGCAUUUCCCUUAAUGUAGCUGCCACAAAGUUGCUGCUUUCAUUCUCAGACAGUGAAGCAAUUAGAAAAUGUGAAUCGGAGGCCCCCACAUUCCUUGGAUCUGUAGACACUUGAUGGACACAAAAUGUUUUCCGUAACUGUGCAAUCAGGGGCAUCUAUUUCUUCUAUACUUGAUGGAAGCUCUGGUAAUGAUUGAAGCCUCUUGCAAUAACCCAACCUAAGGCCUUUGAGCUGUGAAAGUUGAUUGAGGCUUGCAGGUAGAGUAACAAAAUUGUUUCUGCUCAGAUCUAAAUAUUCCAACGAGCACAGAGAACUAAAGUCAUUGGGAAUUGCUCCUUCCAAUAUGUUGCAAUCACUUAGAUUUAACUUUCUUAGGGAUCUUAAACCAAAGAAAGAAUGCAGUUGAAAACCCCUAGAGCGUCCGAUUUCUGCGGGCAACAACUGGAAAGAGGGGAGUGAAUUCCUUGGAUUGGAUUCUAGUCCUUUACAUCCCUCAAAUGAUAAUACUUCAAGGUUUUCCAAAAGAGAAAUAGAGGGUGGCAGCUCUUUUAUAGCAGUUCCAGCUGCUUCAAGCUUCUCUAAACCUUGUAGGCUCCCCAAACCCUUUGGCAAAUUGUCUAGUUUUGAGCAACCAGAUAGAAUAAGAGUUUGAAGAGAUUUCAACUUACGAAUGCUAUGUGGAAGAAUUGCAAGGCUUUUGCAUUCUCUCAGAUUCAACAGAACAAGUCCACUUAGAUGUUGGAUUGAUGAAGGUAGCUUUUUUAUAGCAGUUCCAUAUAAGAAAAGUUCCAACAAACUCCCCAUAUUUUCCAAGACUUCUGGAAGCUCUUUGAGUUUUAAGCAAUCUGAGAGAAUAAGAAUUUCAAGGGAUCUCAACUUAUAAAUACAGCUUGGUAAUGACUCAAGGUUUUGACAGUUCCUCAGAUUUAAUAGAACAAGUCCAGUCAGAUAUUCAAUCGACAAGGGCAAUCCUUUUAUUGCAGUGCCCUCCAAGGAAAGCUCUGAUAAAUGUUUCAUGCACCCUUGGACCUAUGGAAACUUCUUGAGUUUCCAGCACCCGGAGAGAGUAAGAAUUUCAAGAGAUUCCAAACAGAUGCUUCUUAGAAAGUUGUUCAACUCAACUUUAACUCAUAUUUAGCUCGACAAGCUGUUCAGGAUGAAAAUUUAAUGGGAGGGAUUUCUGAGGGUAUCCAUGCCAAUAUAGACAUCUUAAGUUGUUUGAUAGAAAUUUGAAGUCUCCAGAAAGAAGCAAUUUACAGUCUUUGAAUUGAUUCAGUUUAUUCAUCCUCGUGCAAGCAUCAGAAUCAGCACAUAACUCUUUCCAAGAAAAAUAUUCAAAGCUUCCACAUAGCAGCAUGUUACAGACUUUGAGCAAUCUUAAUUUGUUCAUCUUCAUGAAGGCAUCAAAACUGAAGUGUAGUUCCUUUGAUGCUGACAAGUCAAGGACUAUGCCUUCAACUACUUUAGUCCCCUGCAAUUAACCGGGAAUAGAGUAUGAAUUGGAAAUUAAAAUCACAAAAUUCUAAAAGGAAAAGCACAGAAAGCAUCAAACUAAUGACUUAUUUUCUUUUUUUUUUAGGCAGUGUUCAAGGAAGCAAGUAAGAAGAUAAAAGAAAAUGCAUCUACUAAGACAGAAACUCAGGGAAAAGUUAGCAAAGGAUUCAAAUCAAAUAAUUCCCCCAGCUUUAUAUCUGCCUUUGCAUAAAUAUGCAAUACCUUAUUAAAAUUGUACAUAUAUGUGAGUUUCUCAAAUGAGUUGAAAUUAUCCAAACUUUCUCUUCACCUAGAGCUUAUAUAUACAAAAAGAGAACACACACAUACAAAGCUCAUGUAUUUAUUUCUUACUGUGUUUCUAGUUAAUGCAUCACUGACAUCUUCAUGAAUCCAGAGUCUGUUGUGUUUUUCAGGAUAUUUAAGAGAUUCUUGCCAAACAAUUUCCCAACCCAUUUCUUGUAACAAAUCAUACAUGCACAACUUAUUAUCUGAAACAAUUAUGAGUGACUUAUCAAUGAGAACCCUUAUUCCAAUAUCCGGAAAGAAACCACAACUCGCUAGUAUUUCUGUGACAAAAUCUUUGUCCUCCCAUUUACAAAAGCAUGCAAUAUCGAGAAAUAUAUCUCUCUCUUUGUUGUCUAAUCCAUCAAAACCCAUUUUAAGCACAUUCUGAAUUUCCAUGUUAGGAAUUCUUUUUAGUUUGUCCAAUUCACUUUUCCAUUCAUGUAUGCUCUUGCUAUACAAAAAAGCACCCAAGACUUUAAGAGCUAAGGGAAGGCCCUUACUAUAAUGUAUUACAUCAUAGCAAAGCUGCAUAUAAUCUUCUCCAGGGUCGUUAUGUUUAAAGGCAUACUGACAAAAGAGUUGAAAAGCUUCACUAUCCUCUAAUCCCCUAAAUUCAUAAAUUGCGCUGACUCAAUGUGUAACAAGCAAAUGCUUUUCUCUGCUUGUUAUAAUAAUUCUACUUCCUGAACCAAACCAAUCAUGGUUUCCUGCUAAAUAUUCUAACCGUUCCAAGUUAUCCACAUCAUCAAGAACAAUAAGAAUCCUCUUAGAGUGGAGUCUAUCCUUUACAAAAUUGAUUCUUGUAUUGGAAAUUCCUAAAUUUGGAUUUCCAUCCUUCAAUAUCUUUGAGAGAAGUUCCACUUGUAAAUGACCCAGACCACGUUUUUAUGAGCCUUCUCUAACAUUUUCAAGAAAACAGCAACCCUCAAAUUGAGUGUAAAUUUGCUCAUAAAUAGCUCUAGCAAUAGUUGUCUUACCUAUGACACCCAUGCCCCAAAUUCCUACACUUCGAACAUUAUCCAACCCAAUACACAACGGUGAAUCCAUUCCAACCAGCCCUUCAGCAUAGCACGAGGAUGUACCAAUCAAUUUAUUAGAUAUAUCUGUGACAAGUUCCUCAAUAAGUAUAGAUUCAUGCUUGCAAAUUUUGAGGAAAAAAACUAAUCAUUUAAUGAAUUCAAGGAUCCAUUAAAAAAACAAAAGAGAUAUUAGAUAAAUCAUCAGCGAUUUAGUCUUGUUUUUUGUAACUUAAAAGUCAUAUGGCAAGCUUAUAUCUCAGAUUUUUUCCAGUGUAAGUGUGUGUGUGUGUGUGGGAGAGAGAGAGAGAGAGAACUGUAUUGCUAUCUAGACAGACAGACAAUCAAACUAGAUUAUAAUAGCAAGCAUCUGCCGCACUUCGUAGUAGUCUGCAUGAGGAACUUCUCAGGAUAGAAAUACUAGAAAAGCCAGUGGAUGCAUGUUUAAGACUGCAGUAGCAUUGAUUGAUAGUAGGAUUACUAAUUCCAAGUUAAGCAUAUUGGCAGGCAAAAAUUCUCUUCCAAAUGGUUGAAAAAAUUAGGGAUUACCAUCCAAAAGGUUUUAAAAGCAUGACUAUCCAAUGGGGUUGGGGGACACUACUUAGGCAUGGAAGAGAGAAUGCCAAGAGGUCAUUGGAAAUGAAGAAAAAGCAUUAAUCCAAGGUCAACUUACCAACGGAAUAAAGCACACUAAGGGCAAAUAUGCUCAAGAUAAGGUAAAAGGUUUUACAGUGUAGUCAUAACAUUCUUGCUCAAUGUGAUAAGGACCGACCAAUGUGUAGCUUCAAACACCUUCAGCAGAAAGGAGGGAAAGGGUCAUUCAUAUUAUGGUCAAGUGGGUUGAAAUCACAAUUUGAUGAGGGUCGAGAAAAGUUUGAUGUGUUGGUGGAUUGGAUCCAAGUUAUUCCAUCUUCAUAAUUUUGAUCACAGUCAUGGAGAGAUUUCCUUGCAUAUGUGAGAUCAAGUUCAUCUAAAAAUCAUUCAGUCAUAGGCAGCAAAAUACAACUUAAUCCAUACAUGGGUUUAAGUCAAAUCAUCUUGGAUCAAUCUCUCUAUUGAUCAUCCUAUGAUUUCCAAUUUAUAUGGCUAUGCAAGCUUUAAAGUUUCAGCAUCAUUACAUCAUACACCUAAAAGGCAAAGGAAAAAAAAUUGCAGUUAAAAAUACCUAGCUCGAGAAUCCCAUCCAGAAAUAUUGGCAGCUUCUGUCAAAGCCACUCUCCACUUGAUCACUUUCUCCAUCUGCUCCUUAUAAACCUCUUCAUGCUUAGCAAAUGCUUGUGCAAAACUCCCUGUCUGUUUCCUCACAUGAGAGGGAUCCAUAUUGUAGAAAACUGGUAAAGCUGCAUGUCCCAUCGCCAUGGUGCAGUCAAUAAUCUUGACAAGUUCCUCCAGACACCAUGUUGAAGAAGCAUAGUUUUUAGAGAAAACGAUGACGGAGAAUCUGGACUCUUCGAUGGCUUUUACAAGUGCUGGAGAGAUCUCUUGCCCUCUUCUGAGCUGGUCAUCCAUGAAAGUCUUGACUCCUCUUUAACACAGAGCUCUAUGAAGAUGGUCAGUAAAGCUUCUGCGGGUGUCUUCCCCUCUGAAACUCAGGAACACGUCGUACUUCCAUUGAUGCGUAGAAGGUGAAGAUGAAGAUAAAGAAGCCAUUAAAUUGGAAAUUUGAUAGCUUAAUUGUGGGACAGAAUUAUAAGUGAGUCAGAGAAUGAAUAAAGACUAAACUGAACUGAAAAGAAAAUUAUAUAUGGCUUGACAUGCAAAUAGCAAAUCACUAUGUGCCCAGAAGUUUCUUGUGAUUUUCUUGUGAGCUGCCAUCGAAAAGGCCAGCUUCUAAUAACUUACAAAAUAAAUUUGUUUGGGCCGCUUAGCUUUAUCGUUAGGAAAGUCUUCACAUCCAACUUUUGAUGUAGGUUUACCUUUUUUUUUUUUCAAAUAUUUGCCACCUGUCGCUUGGACAUUGGAGGGAAGUUUUCCAAGUACGAAAACUAGAUGAAACUUUGACCGGCAAAGAAAACGAAAAAGACCUUAAGGAAUUAGAAAAUAUUAUCUUUCAUAUUAAACUUAUCUUUUUGUAAAAGCUCUCUACAAUUAACUAUGUGUUAUCAUAAAGCAUUAUUUAGGCUAUGUUACAUUCUUGGAAAUAAAUAAAAAAAUGUAAGAAAAACAAAAAAGAAAUAAAAUUUAAAAAUUAUUUUUUUCAUUAAUAUAAAUUAAAUAAUUUAAAAUACCUAAGUUUUUUCAAAAUUUUUAGUCAUGGUAGUGGGCCUUUGAUCAACCAAAGAUAGCCCAUCCAUCAUUGGCCAAAGUGAAGCACAACAACCUUAUAUUGGUGAUGUCACAUAGCAAUUCAUUAUUCAUUAUUUUGUUUUCAAACACACAAUAUCAAGAUUUGAGCGUGGGUCUUUCACAAUAUCUUUUAUAUACUAAUAAUUGUAAAUUAAUUACAAUAAAAUUAUUACAAAUAAUUUAAUUUUAAUUAUCUUAUUAUGUCUCUUAUAUAGUGAUUAAAUAUACGACAAUUAUAAAUUUAUAAAUCAAAUUAUUAACAAAUGUUUCCUAAUUCGGUAUAUUAUUGUUUAAUAUUACAAAUUUAUUAUACAUUUAUCAAUUUUUCUUAAAACAAUUUCAAUAUAUAUAUAUAUAUAUAUAUCAGAAUUUUCAUUGAUAUUUCUUUAUAUAUCUAUAAAGUCCAACUAAUGAUAUAUCGGUAAAAAUCAAUAUUUUCAUUCUUACUUAACAUAAGAAAGAAAAUUAUUCAAAUGGUGUGUAAAUUAAUGUGACCUCCUGAUGACAAUGACAACAACAACCAUGAGUCAUAGUUAAUGCACGUGUGUGGUAAAUUAACUUAGUGUUUGACAAAAUAAUUAUUUAUUAUUACUUAAAAUUUAAAAAAUAAAUUUAAAUAUUAAAUCAAAAUAAUUAACUUAUUCUAAAUACUAAAUUUUUUUAUUCUCUGUGUUCAUAUUUGGUGAUAAUCAUGCUUUAUUUUAAGAAUUCUCUUUUUUUUUUAGUCAAUAUUUUGUAGUUAUUUUGUAGUUUCACAAUAGUACUUUUUAAUAUAAAUGUUUAACAAGCUUAAGUUUAUGAAGAAAAAAUAUUAAGAAAAAUUAAUGAGUUUAAAUAUAUCAAUAUAAUAACUUUAAAAAUAUUAAGUUGAUUUUACCAAAAUUAAAGUAAAAAUAAUUCUUCUUAAAAUUAAUUUCAAUAAUUAAGUAAUAAGGAUUAAAUUUCAUCAUACACUCUCUUAAUUAAUAAAUGACAUAACUUCUUUCAACAACUUCUUCAUUCUACUUUUGAAAAAAUAAAAUAAAAUAAAUUUUAAAAUUAACGUGAUAUUUAUUUAUUUAUGUCUAAAAUUUAAAUAUACUUGAAUUUGACUUAAAUCUAAAUAUAGCUUGAUAUCGUUAAGUGUUUAGACUAUUUUUUUUUUUUUACUAGUGUUUAAAUAUUAUUAACCGUUAAAUUGUUAUUUUUAUUAAUAUCAAAAUAUGUGAAGUGUUAAAUUUAUUUAUUUUUGGUUAAAAAUUUAUAAAAGUAAUUAUUAUAUUUCUUCUUAUUUUAAUUUGAAAAGUUAUAAUUUAACAAAAUAGUAAUUUAAUUAACACAUCUAAAAAUAUUAUAAUACAUUAUCAAAGUAAAAAUUUUAUAAUGAUAAUUAUGUAAUUAGUAAAUUAUAUUAUUGUACAAUCCAUUGUUCCAUGUCAUAUAUUAUAGCAUAACUAUGCAUACCCAUCAGUGCAUAGACAUACAUCUUUUGAUAAUCUAUCAUGAAUGUCUCGUGGACUCUAAGUGAAGUAUGUAGCUAUUAUAGUAUAAAGAUGGUGUAGGAAGAGGCUCCAAGUUUACUAGUUCACACUCAACCACAGCAAUAGGGAAUAUAUUGCACAUUAUUUCCAUCUAAAAGAAAGGUAGAAAAGACCUUAGGAAUGGAACUUUUAGAUAACACCUAAGGGUAGCAAUGAGAUGAGUCUAAGAAGGAUCACUUCAAUCUCAAUCUUAUGUCAUUUGUUUAUAUUAAAUGGGGUGAGAUAAGACAAAAUCAUAUUCGCACCUGUCUUGAACUUGGUCCGAGGGCAAGAAGGGUCUCUAAAAAAAUCAGUCUCAUUGUCAUUCUUAGGUAUGCAUCUAUACCAAUGAAAGUUUUUACAUCUAUUAAAAAAUUCAAUGUUCUUGAUAUUAAUUAACUUCACCAAACUACAUACACUUAAUAUCCAUGAAAAAGUGUCAAAAUUCUCAACUAAUCAAUGACAUAAACUACAAUCAAGUUUAGUACAUCGUGACCCUAAAAUACCUCCAAACCCCAUUUCUUGUAGAACCCCCUUCUAAUUAGGUUGCAAGUGUUGAAGUACUUUAUACACCUAAUUAGGCGAACAACAAGUGUCAAGAUAAGACUGCAAGCCAUACAAAUACAUAUGCAUAUAAAUUUAAAAUUGAAAGAAAAUAUUAUCAAAUUUUUAAGUAUUCUAUGACAUAUUUUAAAUAUUUCUUACACAUGAAUUUCAGGAACGAGAAUAGAACCUCCAUCUCCAUAUGAAAUAAAGAGCAAGUACUUGGAAAUGAAGUAUGUUGAAAUGGAAGCUUAUAUGAACCAACAAAGAGAAAAAUAGAAUGCUUAUGGGUGCACAAUAAUGUUUGAUGGAUGGACAGGGCCCAUAAAAUUAAGUAUAAUUAAUUUCAUGGCCUAUUCAACAAGAACCACGGUGUUCCUUAAGUCAGUUGAUGCAUCUAACAAUAUUAAAGACCACAAAUAUAUAUACAAGCUAUUAAAGAGUGUUAUCAAAGAUGUUGGGGAAGAAAAUGUGGUCAAAUUGUCAUAUAUAAUGGGACGGCAUUCGUGAAAGUAGGCAAACUAUUGAUGAAAAAGUUUAACUUAUAUUGGACUUUGUGUGCGACGCACUGCAUCGACUUAAUGUUUGAAGACAUUGGCAAAAGAACAAGUGUUGCAGAAGUGAUAAGCAAUGCCUGUAAGAUAACCAACUUCAUUUACAACCAUGGUUGGUAACUUGCACAAAUGAGAAAGUUUUGUGGUGGAGACAUUGUUCGACCUAAAGCUACGAGGUUUGCUACUAACUAUAUUGCUCUUGAUAGUCUUCUUAAAAAAAAAAGGGUUGAUUUAAAGAAAUUGUUUAAGAGUGAUCAAUGGGCACAACAGAAGCUGAAUCGGAUAAAAAUCGGUCAAGAAAUGGAGAAAUUAAUGUUUGACCAUCCGUAUUGGGACAAAGUGACAAAAGUGGUUUCAUUAUAUGAGCCACUAUAUGUGGUGCUUCUUCUUGUAGAUUCAGAAGUUGUUCCCACAAUGCCCUUUGUGUACGAUCUUAUGCAAGUGAUGAAAGAAAAUCUCAUUCGUCAACAAGCUAGAGAAUGGAUGUUUGAAAUAAUAAAAGGUCGUUAGGAGAAAACACUAAAACAUCCACUUCAUGCAGUAGGUGAUUAACCACUAUCCAUCUUCAUAAGUUCUUAGUCUUGAUGUUAUAUAAUUUUUUUCUCCUAUAAAAUACUAACUUUACUUAAUUUUAUUAUAGCAUAUUUCUUGAAUCCAAGGUUUCAAUACAGACGUGGAGUUGGUAGCGAUCCCGAACCGCUCCAAGCAAUCCAUGACGUUUUUGUGAAAUUAGACCCAAUUGCUGAAUCGCUUAGUCAAUUUGGAAAUGAGGUAAACUAAAAAUAUUUUAUUAAUCAAUUUAUUUGAACAUUUACUAAAAAUAUUAUAUUCACAUAUUGAAUAUUGAAUACAUAGCUUGUACUUUUUCGAGACGCGAAAAAAUGAUUCAGUGAUUGAGCGACGAUUGUCGUAAGGUCAACCAUGGUUCCUGGUGAGUAUUAUUUCUUAAUAGAAAACUAAAUUUAUUAUCAUUAUUGUAAAUUCACAACAUAAGUAUUUAUAUAAUUAUGAAUUUGGUUGUAAUUGAAUGGUGGUUCAUGUAUGAAAAUCAUACACCGACAUUGAACAAAUUGCCCAUCAAAGUUCUUUCAUAAACUGUAUCAUCUUCUACCUGUGAAAGAAAUUGGAGCACAUUCACUCUCAUUCACACAAAGCAAUGAAAUCAUCUAGCUUACCCUCGAUUGUAACAAUUAGUUUUUUGUUAUUACAAUAUGAAGCUAAAGCUGCGUGAUGUGGAGGUAGAAAAUGAUAGAGUUGUUGAGAAAGAUUACCUUGAUCUCCUUGACAUUUCAAUCGAAAUGGGUGAAGAAGAGGAUAAUCAAUUGUUCCAAUGGGUUAGGCCUCUACACUUGGAUGAUGAAAUCAGAAAUCCUAAUCCACGGAUUGUCGCUCAUGCUCGAGAAUUUGGUGUUGACGUUGAUCGAGUGAUGUUUGAAGAAGUUCAUAGUGAGAGUUUUAGCAAAGACAUUGAUGAUUCAUUUGAGGUAGCAUUGAAUUCACAUCCUUCUGUUAACUCCACAAACGUUGGGUGAAGUAGUAGACCUAGUGCUGCUGGUACUUCUGCUUCUGGUUACGAUGGUUCAAGAGGUAGAAUUGAUGAUGAAGGUGAUAAUGCGGGAGGAGAUGUUGGGCAACAACAACAAAGUCAAUAUCCAAUGAGCCCAUUCACCUAUGAAGAUGAUUUCACACAUUGCACCCAAGAUGAAGACCAUGACUCUAGAAAAGUUGGUCCAAGCAUAGGAGCUAUUGGGAAUUCGUAUAGAGGAAGAGAACAGACGAUGGCACCACCAUUUAAUGAGCAGUUAUUUUCAGCUAGUUUUGAGUCUAUAAGUAUAAGGACUCAAUUUAGUGACUCAUCCAAUGAGGUUAACGUUUAUCCUCCUUAUGUGAUGGUUUAUGGUCAACCUUUAAGUUCAAUGGAUGAAGAGUAUGGUAUGCCUAGUCAUUCUCCUUCUACACAAAUGUCAUAUGACUCAUAUCACAUUCCAUGUCAGAUGCAAGGAGGAUUUGACACAAGCACAUGGGUGAACCUAAAGUAUCCCAUCCAUGUGGAGGCAGUGGGUAAGACUCAAGAGAUCUAUGCAUGGCAUCUUCGGAUUUUUAAUCAAUACUAUCGAGACUCAUUAACUUGGUACCAAUAUUGUCUCCAACAACAAGAUGGGAUUCCUUCAUCUAUCAAUUCCAUUGAAUCACAUCGGUCAUCAUUUUGGUACUAAAGGUUCAUUACAUAAUAUGUAUAAAUUAUUGAUAUUUAAUGAAAUCAAAUCUUUCAUCUAGCUUCAUAAUGAGUGUACACUUACAAAAUUUACAUUUUUUAUCGAUCCGACCCGAAAUCAUUAAAUUUAAUAUCGAAAAUCAUAUAUACAUAUAUCAAUUUCUUCAACAAAGCAACUUUAAAAUGUUUAUUAUACUUCUAAAGAUAUAUCUAAUAGGUUUUUUUUUUUUUUUUUUUUUUUUUACAUUUCCUUGACUUUUGAUCACUUUUUGGUCUAUCUAUAUUUUGUGUCAAAAUAUCCAUCGAUAUAUUUAUGAUAUAUCUGAUAUAUCUGUAAAAUCGAAGUAUCGAUAUAUCCGUAAUUAUCGAUAUUUUUAUCCUUGGUCCCCACUCAAUAGUAAGACUCAUUUUUAUUGGUGAAAAAAUAGUUUUGGAAAAGUUAGAGUCUUGAAAAACUUGAGUCUUGGUCCGAGGAUCAGGUUACCUAUUAGGAAGGUAUCUCUAAGAGGUAGCACCCCUCUAAACCCUAAAGAGGUCUCUAAUGACUAAGUCAUGGGAAAAGUGUCAAUUAAUCAAUUGAUUGAAGGUACCUAGGUAGGCUAAGGUGAUUUCAAAACUAGCAUGCCAAAAAAGAAAUCAAAUCACAAUCGUAAAGGACGAUUAGGAUAUGUGCCUGGAAUGCCUCUCAAGCGCUAUCAUAAGAUAUCAAAGUUAGCAUGGAAAUAUAGUACACAAUAUGUAUUUAAUCAGAGCAAAUCGAACAAACAUCUAGGCACCCAAGGAUGGAAUCAAACAUAAAUAAGGCUCACAACAACAUGCAUGUUCAUAGAAUUCCGAAAAGUAAGUGAUAGAGAGCGUACCUGGAUAGCAUGCAUAAUUUAUAAGAUUUCUCCAAAAAUGCUAGAGUGGUUAGGAAAAGUAUAAAUUAUAUAACAUAUUUAUUAUGUCUAAUAUACAGUACCAAAUCCAAAAUUGAGCCAAGGUAAGUCAAAUGACUCCAAAAAGAAUAACAAUUUCAAGCAAAGUACAAGGUCAUUAUCAUGCAAUUAGAAAAGGGAAUAUCACAAAACAAUUUCUAAAGAAUGUCUUGGAGUGGAAUUUAAUUACAAAAAAAUUCAAGAAACAACUCUUACACAUCUAGAACAACAUACCAAAAUCCAAACACUCAUUCAAAUGAUAGAUUGUAACAAAGAUAACCAAAAGUUCCAAAAGGUCCAGAUUAGGUAAAAAAAAGUGGCAUGCAUGAACGAAUUUUAUAAAAAAUAAUAAGAGAUCACAUAAAAUCAUACAAAAAAUCACACACAUCUUUCAAAGUGUCUAUGGCAUAGGAAAAAGAAAUUCAGGGUCGGGUAGUACUCAAAAAUAUUUUUAAUACACUCCAACUAAUCAAAUGUCCAGAUUCCAUCAUGUACAGUAGGUACAAUUUUGAAAAAUCACAUCUCCCUCAAAAAAGCAUAUUUUUUAAUAUUUUAUAUGUCUAAGAUCAAUUUCAUGAAGUUUAGAAUUAAGAAAAAAUAUUGAGUCAAAUUCAAAAAGUCAUCUAUUAUCUUAUUUAUACAGAAAUAUUUCGGGUGUCUAGAAUUAGGUGAAAACAGAGCCCUCCUAAAAACUCAUUUAUAUCUUCUAUUCCAUAAUUGCUUUCUAACUUAAACAAAAUUUUAAAUUCAAAUUCAAGAAAUGAAGAAAAUCAUUCAAGUUUUAGAUUUUUUUUAAAAAAAAAUAUUCUGAAGUUGCUUAAAUGAAUUUUAAAUUUAAAGGGUCAAUGGUUGAGUGAAAACUGGCAGCAAGGAAGAGUCUUGAAAAAUUUUCUUAUGUAGGGGUUCCACCAUUUCCCCAAUUGAUAUACAUGAAUCUAGCCUAGAAUUAUCCCAUUUAUUUGGGACCACAAGCUUGAACUCAUGUCUGACUCAAAACCAUAAUUUUUAUUGAAAAUUGAGAAAGAUGUGAACUGAUUAAGACAUGGUUGCAUAUUAUUUAAGAAAAUGAGAUUUUGAUUCUAAGAACUCUAAAUGAAUUUUUUAAAUAGAUUUUCAAAGGGAUCUUUUGAGAAAUAUAUUUAUUUUAAAAUCAAAGAAAUUAAUUUGAAAACAACAAAACAUAAGAAACAAAAUACCAAGCAAAAAAAACAAAACAAAACAAAACAAAAUCACAAAGUAAAAAUUUUGACAACCAAGCAAACUAAAGUGGUAAGAAUGGAGGCCAAUCUUUGCUAUUUUCUGAUUGCCUCCGAAGAUUAAAUUUGAUAAAGAACUAUCAAAUAAUAAACUAUUAAGACUUAGAUCAUACAAGUUAAUGAAAAUAUUCAUCAAUAAUUAACAACUAGGAUUCAAGAAACACCUAAAUUGAGAAUAACAAAUCAAGGACUAGCACGGGGUUAGCUAAACACAAAAACACAUCUAGACUAAAAAAUAAAUUAAAAUUGAACUAAAUCGAAAUUAAAAACAUAAACUUUAUCUAAUAAGAUUAAUUAAACUAUUGAUUAAAAUCACAAACACAUCUAAACAAAUUAAAAUAAAACUAAAUGGAAAUCAUAAAUAUGAACUUUAUCUAAUAGGAUUAAUUGAACUAUUGAAUUAAAAAUCACAAAUUCAUCUAAACUAAAAAAUAAACUAAAACUAAACUAAAUCGGAAUUACAAACGUGAACUUUAUCUAACAAGAUUAGUUAAACUAAUGAAUUAAAAAUACUAAUACAUUUAAACUAAAAGAUAAAUUAAAACUAAACUAAUUUGGAAUUAAAAAUAUAAACUUUAUCUAAUGGGAUUAUUUAAACUAAUGAAUUAAAACCACAAACACACUUAAACUAAAUGAUAGGUUAAAACUAAGUUAAUUCGGAAUUAAAAAGAAAAAAAAAAAGAAAAAAAAGCAUAAACUUUAUCUUAUAGGAUCAAUUAAACAAUCACCUAAAAGUCCGAAAAACACAUGAAUUGAAAUUGGACCAAACAAGAAUCAAAGUUAACAUACUUAAAAAGUGAAUAAAACAACUUUGGGUCAACUAGACUAACUUAUUAAAAUUUCUAAAAAAAAUGAAAUACAAAAUGAAAAUUGCAUCAAUUAAGAAUUAAAGUUAAAAAAAUAACCUAAACUUCAUUCCAAUAUUUAUUAAUCAAAACUAAUAAGAAAAACUCUAACUUUCAAUCUAAUAAAAAAUUAAAACUAAAAUCUAGAAAUUCCAACUUACCUUCUCUAGAAUUCCUCUAUGGUGGUGCGACUGCUGCUCUCUUCAGUUACAGGCUUGUGCGUGUUAUAGUGGUAUGCGAUUGUCUUCAAUCGCAACCCGUGGGGAAGAGUCCAUCUAUGGGCUGUUGAAAGAUCAGAAUAUAUGGCAUGUUGCUGGUUGUAGUUCCCGUGAGUGUGUGGCCUUAUUCCUCGCCAAAUUCUAAUGGUCGAUCCCUCUUGAUGGUGCAUGCUAGUGUUCAAUGGUGAAUGUGUCAUGGCUACCUCCUUCCAUUUUUAUUUUAUUUUUUAUGAUGAAUACAUGCUCUCCUAUGGGAACAUAUGGUAGCCUUGCCAAAGUCUGGUUUGUGCGGGUUCUUCCUUUUGAAGGCGACGUGUGUGCAUCCCUAAUCUUCCUUUUGUGCACCUUGUUUUCUUUCUUAAAAAUAUGUGAAAAAGACUCUCAUUAGUAGCGUGUGAUUCCCCUAGAGAAUGCCUGGAGAUCUAUUCCUUUUUUGGUGUGUCCAGUGUUUAGAAAGUGGCCUCAUCCUUCCAUAUGUGGCUGCAUGAUCAUCUUUUCUAUAUUACUUGUUGGAAAUUCUCCCCAAUUGUGGCUGUUGCAUCCUCUAAUGGACGGUUGUUCCUCUUUUAAGGCAUGAAUUCUAUCCAUUUUAACAUAGAGAAUCCUAUAAAAAAAAUCCCGUGAAUAUCCACUCUUGCCCCCAAAGACCGUGAACUACUUUCUAAAAGAGAAGUUCCCCUUUCAAAAUUUCUAAUGUCUUCCAUAUCCAAAAUUGGCAGACCACAUCUCCUUAAUCUUCUAUUUCCCCAUUCCCUUUAAAUUUCAUCCAUGAAGAGUAUCCAUCAACACCAUUGAAUCUCACCCGCAUAUACAACCACUUGAAUUCCUUUCAAUUCUCUACCGAAUUCAUCCAUAAAAGUCAUCUUAAAUAGCCACUGAAUUCCUUUAGAUUCACCAUUGAAAAUUUAGCUACCCAAGGUUCCAUCCAAGCCGUGAAGAUCUCAUGCAAAAUAAUAAUAAUAAUAAUAAUAAUAAUUAAUUAAUUAAUUAAUUAAUUAAUUAAUAACAAUAAAAAUAAAAAUAAGAAAUCAUGCAAUUUAAGAUGAAAAUAAAAAUAAUCAAUCAGGCAUACGUAAGAUAAAUUAGAACAUCAAUCCAUGCCAUUAGGAAAGAAUGGAAUCAACCUCACCCAAUUUCCUAGAAAAAAGAUAAAUAAGUAAAUAGACUAAAUAAAUAAAUAUAUAAGUAUCAAUUCAUGCAAUUAGGAAAACUAAAAUCUCAAUUCUCAUGCAAUUUUCUAAAAAAUGAAUAAGUAAAUGAAUAAAAGUAAUAAAAAUAACAUAAAAUAAAAAAUCAAACACAUACUAGUCAUACAAGCCAUGCAACCAUACUUGAAAAGUGACCUAAGCAAGACUAGGUAAACCUAAGUGGGCCAAGACAUGCCAAAAUGAGCCUAAGUGAGCCUUGGUGGGCCUAAGUGAGCCUAAGUGAGCCGAAUGUAUCUAAAUGAGCCCAAUGUGCUAUCCUAAAAGUAUAUCUAAAUGAGCUGUUAAAAAAAGAAAGGAAAAUCCUAAGCCUAACUCAGGGCUACCAAGGGUCACAAUGGAGUUAGAUAAAUCUCUCAACCAAAGUCUCCAAGGUGGCUAAAAAAGGUAAUAGUAUGAGUAGCAAUGAACCACCAAAGAACUACAGUGGAGCACUGGAAGUGAACUUAAAGACAUGUGCUAAAGGGGCAAAAUGGAGGGUCUACACAUCUUCCAACAUUUGAUAUAAAUCUGUAAAAAUUAAGAGAAAAAUAUUUUUAAAAACAAUAUAUUAAGCCUAAAAAUAGGGACUUAAUAAUAAAAUAAAGUAAAAAGAUAAAAUUAAAACCAAAUAUUAAAUAUGAAUAUAGUUUAAGUAUUAAAAGUAUUAUUAUUUAGGUUUAAUCAUUGGGUUUAUUAGAGGUGUUUAUAUAUAUUUCUUUUUUUUUAAUCCCUAUUGAUAUUAAUUAAAGUGAAUUUGUUAUCAAUAGAAUUAAUUUAGUUAUGUUGGUUGAUGUCAACAAGUUAUUUGUAACUAAAUAGAAAAAAUCAAAUAUUUUACUUUUUUUUAUUUAACUAAAAAACAGUCAUCAUCUAAAAUUUUAGAUAAUAUAAACAUUUGACUAGAAACAAACUUCAUAUGGACCAUUGUCAAAUACCAUGCACAGGGAGAAAUCUGGAUCCUCACUUGCUCUUUGAUUCUAAUGUAUUAAAUUUUAUUUUACCUAAAACAAAAUUGUAUUUCAUGUCCUUUAUUAUGAGUGGACAACCAUUUCUUAUGUUAGUUUUAAAUAAAGAACGAAUAUUGAAGAUUGAAGUUGUAAGAAAUUAGGAGAAAAAUUAGGAGAUCCUAAUUUUAAAUAUGUAACAAAGUUCUAUAAUAACUUCAAUCCACGUUUUAAAAUUUGUAUUCCUUUCUAAUAUGGGAGCAAACUUUUCUUUAAUUCUUAUAAAUUUCAUUUGGAAAUGAUUUAAAAAUAAAUAAAUAAAAGCCCUUCUAAAUAUUAAAAAAAAAAACACUUUCUUAUAAAAAUUAAUUAGGUGGUAAGGUCAAAUUUGGGAUAGCUUGUUAUUUUUUGCCUUAACUAAAAAUUAAAAUCGGUAUUAAAGUAAUAAUUUUUAAAGGAUAAUGUUGAUGUUGUAAAAGUCUUAUUAAACAUGAAAUAACUUCUUAUGUAAACAAAAAUAGAAUUAUAAAAUUGUUAUAAGCAAUAACAUUUUUAUGACUUCUAUAUGAAACCCUUUUUAAAAGUUAUAGUUUUUUUUUUUUUUUUUAAAGAAAGAAUUAAAUAGGUAUAAAAACUUUUAUUCAAAUUAAUUUUUUUUAACUCUUAAAAGUCGAUCCAAAUAAAAUUUAAAUAUAUUAGAAAAUUACUUUGAAAAAUCCAAAAAAUCACUUAAAAAUAAUUUAUGAACAUUUUUUUUAUUUUACGUUUAAAUGCUUAAGUAUUUAUUUUUAAAAUCAUUUAUAAUGUCAAAAUAUUUUUUUAUGGAUACAAACAUUACAAAUAAAACAUUUUAAUCCCAAUCAAUGUCAAAGCAUUUUUAAUUUAAUUUUUAAUUCAUGAAAUUUCAUUUAUUGUUAUUUAUUUUUUUGGGAUUUAGUUCUUUACAAUUAUUUUUAAGUGAUUUUUUGGAUUUUUCAAAGUAAUUUUCAAAUAUAUUUAAAUUCUUUACAAUGGUCAAUGAAUAAUUUAUUAAUUUAUUUCUUAAUUCAAUGGCAUUGGAAUCUCAGCUGGAAUAUUCCAAGUCCAUAAAACCAAAGUUUAAUUAUUUAAUCUUUUUUUAGCACACCACUCAUGACCCUACAACUUUCCUACCAACUUAAUUUGUUGACUUGGAGUUGGAGAGUUCGGCCAAUUGCAGCAGCUUAGUUGUCUUUUCUCUAAACCAUAAAUUCAAAUGAUCAGGUCCUACGUUUUAAUUUACAAAAACCAAUUAUUUGUUUUUACUAAUUUUAAUUUAAGAAAGCAGGAAAGGGUUUAAUUUAAUGUAAAAUGAAAAAAAUAAAAAAUGAGAGUUGACAAGUAAUCAAAUCACUAAGAAAUAGAUUUGGAGUUCUCUCGGAGUGAGGUUAGACUCAAUUUAUGCCUAUGCAAUGGAAAUGGAGAUUUUUUUUUUUUCCCUUUAUCUUGGGGUAGAUCUUGUGAUAUUAUUACUAAAAUAGAAGGUAAAAAUAUAAAUUAUAUACCAAGUAUUUUAACUUUAGGAAAAAACACUUAUUUUAAUUUUAAAUAAAUAAAUAAAAAGAAUUGAUUUUAUCUCAAUUGUAUAAGACUUCAUAAAAAUUAUCUUAUUUGCAAAAUAUUUUCAGAUGUAAAAGUAAAAAAAUUAAACAAACCAUUUCAUGAUUUUUUCACUAUUAUCCAUUUAGAUCAAAGUUUAAUUUUAAAUUAUUAGAAUAAGUCAAUUACUCUAAAUUGUAUCAUUUAUAAUUUUUAUAAUUAUUAAUAAGAUACCUAACCUUCUAGAAUUGGAAUAAAAUAUGGACAAGUCAAAAAAUGUCAAAUCAAGAUAAUUAAAAACUAUCCCAUUUCAAACUUUUCUAAUACAACAUGAUAUUUUAUCAUGUCCAAAGAAAUCGUAAUGGCCAAAAGUUUUCAAAUCAAGAUAUAUCUAUUGUGGACAUGGAAUUGGGAGGCUUCUUAGCAUUGUACUGGUCUAUUUAAUGAAUUCUUCAUAUUGAAAUUAAUUAAGGUUGAAACAGGAACACAACAUCAAAUUCUCUUUUUCAUAAUCAAAGACUUCCAUGGAAAAUUCCACCAUAGCAUACGUCAAAGAUUAUUCAAAUUCCAUUAUCUUUAUAGUCGUUUAACAAUCCAAGAAAUUGACAGUAAUAAUCCUAGACACAAUAUUCUGAAAAUUUACAUUAUUCUUUUUAUCUUAAUUGAGUAGAAAAUAAAUCAUGCAAGCUGAAUAAUACGAAUAUUCAAUGAAAUCUUUGGCAUGUUAUUUCUUUGUAACUUCAACAUGGUGGCAUGUUUGAUGGAGGAGGCAGCAUUUGAGCUUUUGAAUGUUUACCAUUUUUCACUAUGAACGCAGUUUCCAUAUGCCAAGGCAGAUGGUGUUCUACAUGGCAGUGCAUGAACCACACUCUUGCAACAAAAAUAUACCAACAUUACACCUAAAUUGUAAUAUUAAGAAAAAUUAUAAUUUUUUUUUUUCCUUUUUUGCCUUUUCCUUCAUCUUGGCAUAGAUCUUGUUAUAUUGUUACUAAAAUAGAAGGUAAAAAUAUAAAUUAUAUACCAAUUAUUUUAACUUUAGGAAAAAGUGCUUAUUUUAAUUUUAAAUAAAGAAAUAAAAAAUAAUUGAUCUUAUCUCAAAUAUACAAGACUUCAUAAAAGUUAUUUUAUUUGAAAAAUAUUUUUAAAUUUAAAAGUAAAAAUUAAACAAACCAUGACCUUUCUCACAAUUAUCCUUUAUAUCAUAGUCUAAUUUUAAAAUAUUAGAAUAAGUCAAUUACUUUACAUUAUAUCAUUUAUAAUUUUUUAAAUUAUUAAUAGGAUACCUAACCUUCUAUAGAAUUGGAAUAAAAUAUGGAUAAGUAAAAAAUGUCAACACAAGAUAUUUUAUAUGUUGAAUGAAAUUGGAAUGGCCAAAAGUUGUCAAAUCAAGAUAGAUUGUACUAGUCUAUUUAAUGAGUUGCUCAUAUUGAAAUUAAUUAAGGUCGAAACAGGAACACAACAUCAAAUUCUCUUUUUCAUAAUCAAAGACUUCCAUGGCAAAUUCCACCAUAGCAUACGUCAAAGAUUAUUAAAAUUUCAUUAUCUUUAUAGACUUUUAACAAUCCAAGAAAUUAACAGUAAUAAUCCCAGACACAAUAUUCUGGAAAUUUACAUUAUUCUUUUUAUCUUAAUUGAGCAGAAUAUAAAUCAUGCAAGUUGAAUAAUACGAAUAUUCAAUGAAAUCUUUGGCAUGUUAUUUCUUUGUAGCUUCAACAUGGUGGCAUGUCGAUGGAGGAGGCAGCAUUUGAGCUUUUGGAUGUUUACCAUUUUUCACUAUGAACGCAGUUUCCAUACCCCAAGUCAGAUGGCGUUCUACAUGGCAGUGCAUGAACCACACUCCUGCAACAAAAAUAUACCAACAUUACACCUAAAUUGUAAUAUUCAGAAAAAUUAUAAUUUAUAUAUAUUUUUUCCUUUAUUGCCUUUUCCUUCAUCUUGGUGUAGAUCUUGUUAUAUUGUUACUAAAAUAGAAGGUAAAAAUAUAAAUUAUAUACCAAUUAUUUUAACUUUAGGAAAAAGUGCUUAUUUUAAUUUUAAAUAAAUAAAUAAAAAAUAAUUGAUUUUAUCGCAAAUAUACAAGACUUCAUAAAAGUUAUUUUAUUUGCAAAAUAUUUUCAAAUGUAAAAGUAAAAAUUAAACAAACCAUGACCUUUGUCACAAGUAUCCUUUAUAUCAUAAUCUAAUUUUAAAAUAUUAGAAUAAGUCAAUUACUUUACAUUAUAUCAUUUAUAAUUUUUUAAAUUAUUAAUAUGAUACCUAACCUUCUAAUGAAUUGGAAUAAAAUAUGGAUAAGUAAAAAAUGUCAACACAAGAUAUUUUAUAUGUUUGAAUGGAAUUGGAAUGGCCAAAAGUUGUCAAAUCAAGAUAGAUUGUACUGGUGUGUUUAAUGAGUUGUUCAUAUUGAAAUUAAUUAAGGUCGAAACAGGAACACAACAUCAAUUUCUCUUUUUAUAAUCAAAGACUUCCAGGGAAAUUCCACCAUAGCAUAUCUCAAAGAUUAGUCAAAUUCCAUUAUCUUUAUAGACUUUUAACAAUCCAAGCAAUUGACAGUAAUAAUCCUAGACACAAUAUUCUGAAAAUUUACAUUAUUCAUUUUAUCUUAAUUGAGUAAAAAAUAAAUCAUGCAAGCUGAAUAAUACGAAUAUUCAAUGAAAUCUUUGGCAUGUUAUUUCUUUGUAGCUUCAACAUGGUGGCAUGUCGGAUGGAGGAGGCAGCAUUUGAGCUUUUGGAUGUUUACUAUUUUUCACUAUGAACGCAGUUUCCAUAUGCCAAGGCAGAUGGUGUUCUACAUGCCAGUGCAUGAACCGCACUCUUGCAACGAAAAUAUACCAACAUUACACCUAAAUUGUAAUAUUAAGAAAAAUUAUAAUUUUUUUUUCCUUUUUUGCCUUUUCCUUCAUCUUGGCAUAGAUCUUGUUAUAUUGUUACUAAAAUAGAAGGUAAAAAUAUAAAUUAUAUACCAAUUAUUUUAACUUUAGGAAAAAGUGCUUAUUUUAAUUUAAAAUAAAGAAAUAAAAAAUAAUUGAUCUUAUCUCAAAUAUACAAGACUUCAUAAAAGUUAUUUUAUUUGCAAAAUAUUUUCAAAUUUAAAAGUAAAAAUUAAACAAACCGUGACCUUUCUCACAAUUUUCCUUUAUAUCAUAAUCUAAUUUUAAAAUAUUAGAAUAAGUCAAUUACUUUAAAUUAUGUCAUUUAUAAUUUUUUAAAUUAUUAAUACCAUACCUAACCUUCUAAUGAAUUGGAAUAAAAUAUGGAUAAGUAAAAAAUGUCAACAUAAGAUAUUUUAUAUGUUGAAUGGAAUGGGAAUGGCCAAAAGUUGUCAAAUCAUGAUAGAUUGUACUGGUCUGUUUAAUGAGUUGUUCAUAUUGAAAUUAAUUAAGGUUGAAACAGGAACACAACAUCAAAUUCUCUUUUUAUAAUCAAAGACUUCCAUGGAAAUUCCACCAUAGCAUAUCUCAAAGAUUAGUCAAAUUCCAUUAUAUUUAUAGACUUUUAACAAUCCAAGAAAUUGACAUUAAUAAUCCUAGACACAAUAUUCUACAACUUUACAUUAUUCUUUUUAUCAACUUUACACAAAAAACUGAAGAGGAAUACUAACUUAAAUCAAAUAGAAAAUAAAUCAUGAAAGCUGAAUAAUACAAAUAUUCAGUGAAAUCUUUAGCGUGUUAUUUCUUUGCAGCUUCAACAUGGUGGCAUGUCCGAUGGAGGAGGCAGCAUUUGAGCUUCCGGGUGUUUACCAUUUUUCACUAUGAACGCAGUUUCCAUGCCCCAAGUCAGAUGGCGUUCUACAUGGCAGUGCAUGAACCACACUCCUGCAACAAAGAAAAUAUACCAACAUUGCACCUAACUUAAUUGUAAUAUUAAGAAAAAUUAUUUCCUUGGUAUACAGGUUUUCAUAAAGGACAUGAGUGCUUGCAACAUACCAGGGUUGGACGCCUCGAAUCUAAUUGCAACCCAACCUUCCGAAGGAACAGAUAUGGUAUUCUGAAGGGGAGGAUCCACCAGAUUAUAGCGUAAAGGGUCCUUAUUUUCAUCGAAAUUCCCAAAUCCCCAUCCAACAAGAUAGAAACUGUGUCCAUGGAGAUGUAUGGGGUGGUGUGUCCCUGAAACCACAGUUGUCCCUUGCAAAACAAUCUCCACUGUGGAGUUAUACUCGAGCAUCCUUACUUCUGUUGCGCUGCUCGGCAACUCAUAGACUAAUGGAAGAUAAUCAGCUGUAAAAUCGAACACCAGUGGUGGAACGCUAGGAAAUUUAUCUCCAUAUACACCACUUAUGUUAUAAUAGUAAGCUUGCAGUAUGUCAACAGUAGGGGUAUCGAAGCUUAUGUUGUUUAUACUUGAGGAGAACCGCGUCCCAUUGGCCCCUGCACAUGAAUCAUUGAUGCAAGGGUACGAGUUUACAGAAACAGUGUAAAUCAGGUUAGUGCUUGUGCUCAAUGGGACAUUGCAAGGAUGUUCAGGAUUUGCUAAGCUUCGGAGGUCAGCCAUGACCUGAACUGAUGCAUUUGUGUCAUUAUAUGCAGGAAGAUAAGGCAAGGAGGGAGGUGAAGAUGGAGUGUAGUAUCCCCUGUACUGUACAAUAGCUGUGGUGGUUGUGUUAUCAUAAAAAUUUUGAUAUUUCGGGGCAACAGAAUAAGUUAUAGCCGCCAUGUAAUAGUGAUCCGGGCGUUGGUUAGCUUCUAAUAAGACAUCGUAGGUUUGGCCAGGAAAUAUUGUAAUAUAAUCUCGUGUCAAUGGUUUCGUGUAGCUACCAUCUGUUCCAACCACUGUCAUUUUAUGCUUGGCAAUGGAGAAGAAAAGAGCCUCCUGCAAGGCAGCAUUGAUUAUGCGAAGUAGAUAAGUCUUUCCAUGAUCCACCGUUAGCUUGAAUGUGCCUGCAAUUAGAAAAGGAAAGUUGUAUACUUAUGACUAGCCAAAAGAAAAAGAAAAAGUUUCCUUGAGGAUCCACCAAUUAUGAAGUGAUUGAUUGAUUAGGGGUGUAAAUUUGGCUCCAUUGUUGAAAAUUAUAUUUGGACUAGCUAGCCUUUUCUCAUGUGUUAAAUCAUGGCUCUAUCAUCCUCAUAGCUAUAUUCCUCUUUCUUAGCAUUAAGCUUUAAAUGUGUUGAUGUUAAUGAGAAAAAGUAAUAUGGUUAACAUACAAGAAAAUGAAAUCAUGUAUAAUUUUAAAAUGGGAAGUGAAACAUUGUACUUGAUUUUGAGCAUGGAUAUAGAUCACCGGGUUGUCCAUUUAUCAAUAACGCAUCAGAGGCAUUAGGAUCAGCUCCAGUUGCGAGCCCUUCAUCUCGAACUGCAUUCACAUCAAUCUUCCACCAUUGCCCUGCAUUUCAACAACUCCAAUAAUUUUAGAUUUUGCUUUGUAAGUUAAUUCAUAAUAUAUAAAUUAACCUUUAAAAGUAACAACACUUAUACCUAAUAUGAUGAGAAAUUCUGUGUUAGGUUUGUGAAACGGAUACUUAGUUCCAUUCUUGGGAUAGACGAUUAUAGCUCCAUGAACGGUGGCUCGAGUCCAGUCACUAUGAGCAUGCCACCAUAUUGUGCCUUCCUCAGAGGAAAGGAUGAUCUUUUGGCUAAACUUAGACCCUGGCUGAAUUGGGCAUUGUGUGAUAUACUCGGGACCAUCUGUCCAUGGAUAUCUAGGCAUGUUCACCCCAUGCCUACAAAACAAUAACUAUACGUUAAAACUAGUACUUAUUUUUGGACUAACUAAAGAUGGCAUGCAACAACAUAUUAUCACAGUAACAAGCGACAUCAACUGUAUUUCAAUGGAACUGAAGUAAAUAACCCUAAAGUAUCGUUUUAAAUUUGACUUUAUUUGCAAAGCAAUAUAUUGCAACCCCCUCUUAAAAAUAAAAGAAUGUAUACCAUGCAAGCAUGCUGCCUUUGCUCUUUCUCUAAGACACACUCAAGACCUACCAGUGAAUGGUGACAUUUUCUUUUCCCCUAUUAUAAACGUCGACAAUGAUCGUCUCUCCUUUCAUAGCAUAUAUAGUUGGCCCCGGAAAUUGUCCAUUUACUGUUAAGAUGUCCUUGGUGCUACAAAGCCUUGUAUAUGAAGCUUCCCUCACCUGCGACCAAUUAAAGGUUCACCACCAACCUCAUCCCAAAAGAAAUAUCACAUGCAUGAAUAGUUGCAUCGAUCCCUUCAUGCAAGUGUAUAACCACUUAAAAAUUGAUAGCAUGCAUGAACGACUCAACGACACCAGGGUAAGGGGUCCUACGAUGGAAAAUGAGAGUCAUACUACCCCCUAAAUAUUAUGAUCAGAAGGUGACGUUAAGGCCAGAAUCAUAUAUAGUAUUUACCACAAAAGUAUGCCGACGGAUUGAAGCUUGGCAAUGGAUGCCACCACCAAAAAGUUGAAAUACUAAAAUUUGUAAGAGGAAAACCUUCAUGAUCAGCCACAUCUUCUUUGGAAUAAAAGCCUCUUCUCUUUUCCUAAACACAACUCCUUCAAUUUUCUUACCACUUUUGCUGUAUGUCUUUCUUAUAUGAUUCAUUAAAUAGUCAUGAUAAUUCUCUCGGGAUACAAUACCUCCUCUCCACGUGUCAAUAUAAGAGGAAGUGAUUUGAAUGUGUAUUGAUUUUUAAUGUUCUUUGACCACUUCAAUGAGCAGGACCACUAUAUAAAAUAAUGAUAUUUGAUCACUUACCAAAUUAAAAUGAACCAAAUGCGUGAAGAAAGCUAACAAUUGUGAAAAAUUCUUACAAGAAAGCUAACAAUUAUGAAAAAUUCUUACAAGUUACGUACAUGUUAUUUUAGAAUAAAUUUAAAAUAUUCUUUCACAAGUCUUUUGUUGAUUAUUUCAAGAAAUGUUAAUUAAGACAUGAAAACUUUGACCUCGCAUACAGUACCCUUACCAAGAUUGGUCAUGGAAACUGUUUUUCAUGGACAGUACGUUUAAGAAUUAUUUUAAAAUUAUUUUUUAAGAAUUAUUUUCGUAAACAUUAUUUAGCAAACCCUUAAUAUUAGUCUCACUUGUUUUCAUGUUACUUAAUACAAUUAGUCAUGAUCAUUGUUUUCGUCUGAAUGGGACAAAAUUGUUUCCCAAUUUUUUUGAAACUUGAGAAUUGACAUGAUGAUAAGCUAAUUUGGUACUUCAUAAUUUUCCAUAAAAAACAUAAAAAUAUAUUUUGUAAAAAGUUGAAAAUAGAAUACGAACAACCCCUUGUAUGUUGUGAAUCACUUAAAACAUCUAUUGGGACUCAUACUAUUUUUUUUCUCAACAAAAAAUAAUUUAAUAAUAAUCAUAAUAAUAAUAAUAAUAAUUAUAGAUUUAAAAAAAUAUUUUUCAAAACAAAUGCAACCUAUAAUUUAUUUGUUCAUAUGAUAUGUAUAACUUGAUUAAAAUGAUUUUAGCUGGCUUACAAAAAUAAAUUAUCUCAAAAGAGAAAAAAAAUGAAAAGUAAAAGAAGAAAUGAUUCAAACUUCCUUGUUUGGUUUAUCGUACACCAUAUACAAAGAAAAAUCAUUAUAUAAAUAAAUUAUGAAAAGAUUUAUAUAUUUUGAAAUUAUUUAUAAACAGAAAUGAUGAAUACAUUUCAAGACAUCUAAAAAUUUUAUCAAGUUAAUUUAAACUUGUUUUUUAUUUUUUUUUUCACAUUUUUUCUCCUAUUUUUUUUCUCACAUUUCCUUUUUAAACUUUUGGAAUAAAUUCCCUACUAUUUGUGGAGCUUUAAUAUAAAUUUUUUCUUACAUAUGAUACUGUAAACCCCAAAAUGUCUCCUCUCUCCUCUCUCCCUUCCUUUUUCUCCUCCACCUACCCUCACCUACCCCGCGAUACCUCUACCCAUAACCCCACCUCCAACGCUUCCCAUAAGCUCUCUUCAUUUUUUUCUUUUUUUUUUCCUCUCCCCCCAUUCUUGAAGGCAAAGGGUCGGUCCCAUUUUUUUGAGCUGCCCUAUUCCACUUGCUUUGGUUCCUCUAGACUGCCAAUUCCCAUAGCACACACGGACGACCAACCCCUAUUUCUUUUCCAGUUUCUUUUCUCCCUGCAGCUCGUCCUAACAUCCACACACACCGACUCCCCCUAUGAUUUCUCUCUCUUCUCUUCAUUUUCUUCUUAGACCACUCCACUCACAGCCCAGAAAACCGACAUUCCCCAUUUUCCAUGGACAACUCUUCCAGCACAACCGCCCCCUCCACUCACCUCUUCUCUUCUUCUUCCAUUUUUUCUUGUUUUGAUUUAUUUUAUUUUCUUCUCUCCUCCAACCAUACCCAUUCUCUCUCCAUCCGCCACCCUCACCGUCGGCCACUGCCGACUAGCAAUCCAGCCAUCCAUGGCUGUUCAAAAAAUGGGUAAAUUUCCUUUUUACUUUAUUUUAUUUUCAUAUUUUUAUCUUUAUUUUUUAUUAUUUUGAUUUGCACAAUAAUUGAUUUGAACUUGGCCUAUUACUUAUUGGUUAUUUAUUUGGCCUUAUUUGAUUAGACUUGAGAUAUUAUUUUCUUUGGUCAUGUGUAUUAUUAAUGUGGGCUUAUUAAUUGAUAUGAAUUUUGGGCUCACAAUAUGGGUGAAAUUUGUUGGAUGACUUAAAUAUUUGAUAUGAGCUUGACCAAUUUGAACUAUUUAAUUUAGACAUGAGAUAAUUGUGGUGUAUAUUAAAUUAGGCUUAGAUUAUGGAAUAUUAAAUUUAGGCCUAGUGAAAUUUGUUUUAAUUUAUCUAAUUUUAAGUUUGGUUGAUUGUGUUUGUAUUUUGGUUAUUAAUUUGAAUAUUUUAGGUUAAGACUUAUAGUAAUUUAGGCUAUUUUUGUUUUUACAUGGGCCUAUUCUGCAAUUUUAUUGACUGAGUACGGAUUUAUGACAUGUGGAACACGACAUUUCAUGGAAGAAAGUGGAACUCAAAAGGCCGUAAGAAGACAUUGAACUUGUUGUAAGCUUGUUUGGGUACACAUUUUAUUUCCCAUUAUUAUUUGAUUUGAUUUUUAUUGGUUUAUGUAAAUAUUUGUUUGUAUAUAUUUAUUGAGUGUGUACAGAUAUCAAACAAACCAAAAAUUUUGUUUAAAUAAGAGGAAUAAUUCAGUAAAUAUGUUUUAACAAAAUAAUAAUUUUAAAAUAUUCUUUUUAAUAAAAGAGAGUUUUUUUUAUUAAUAAGAAUUCAGAAAAAUGCAUUUAGAAAAAUCUAAAAAAAAAAUUGUUUUUAACAAAAUUGUCCAAAAAUUUCUUUGUUUAAUAAAAAUUGUCUAAAAAUUGUUUUGCAAAGAAAGUUGUCCCAAAAAUUAAUUUUUAAUAAAAUUGUCCAAAAAUGAUUUUUUUUUAAUGAAUUCUUUUUCCUUAAUUAAAAUGGGAUUAAAAGUAUUUAUUUAGAAAUAGAGGAUUUAUUUUUUUUUUCUUUUUACUUAAAAAUUCUUUUAUAAAUAAAGUUACGUUUUUCUUUUCAAUAAUUUGUAUAAAUCACUUUUCUUAAAUGAAAACAAUUGAAAUAUUUUUGUAAAUAAAAUUGUAAAAAUUCAUUCAUUUUGUUUUUUGUAAAAACAAGUAAAAAUAAUUUUUGUUGCCAAAUUGAAAUUUUGUAAUAAAUUCUUUUGAUACAAUAAGCGUAAAUAACUUUAUUUGAAAAUUAAAUACAAAUUAAAUUGAAUCAAAUCACUUCAAGAAAAUAUUUUGUAAAUAAAUAAACUGAAAUCACUCAUUCAAAAUUGUUUUUAAUAAAAUCCUUUGGAAUUUUUGGAAAAAUAAUAUUUUUUAAUUAGUUUAAUAAAUCAUUUUGUAUAAUUCUCUUAUUAUUUAUUUUGUGUAUUCUUGUAAUUAGAUUUCAUCAUUAUUUUUGUGUAUAUUGAUUUUCACCAUGACUUGUACAUACUCAUUUGCAUGAUUAUUUUUCUUGGUAUCCAUAAUUAAUUACUUAUUUAUCAUAAUUCCCUUAAUUCGUUUAGUAGAGGCCGUAUGUAUAUGGGCUUAGAGAGGUGCUACGACUCACCACCGUACCUUCCCAAUAGGUAACUUAACCCCCGGAUCCAUUUUUUUUUUUUUUUGCAAAUAUGUCUUUUCCAAAUAAGGAGUUACACAUGGGUUUCUUUCUUACUUUGUUUUUUCUCUUUUUUUAAAAAAAAUUAAAAUAAAUAACAACUCCAAGUGUUUUUCUAAAAUCAAUUUUUCACAAAUAAAUGAAAAGCGAGUCUCGCCAUUCGAGUGGGGACGCAUGUGAAAAAUGUGAGGUCCAUAAAUACAUAUUUAUGCAAUAUUUGGUUAAAUUAUUUUGAAUGUAUAUUUUUACCUUAACAAGAAACUUUUCUUGAAAAUGAAGACUAUUUUUUCCUUAUUUUCAAAAUUGUGUUUCUAUUUUUUAAAUAUAAAAAUUACUAUUUUGAUUUCAAAACAAUGAGCCAUUUUUAAAAGAUAUUUUAGAAAAUAGUUUUUUAGAUAUAUUAAUUGUGACACUUGAAGAUCAAAGACACCAUGGUCAUUUCACUUGUCAAACCCAAGAGUCUAACAUGUGAAUGACCUUAACUAACAAAUCCAACAAGUAAUUAGUUGACAACUUCCUCAAAUUGAUUCAUAACAAUGAUUAGAGUAUAAAUUAAAAAAAAUUAUAAAUUUCUAACCCAAAACUAAUUAAAAAUAUCUAAAUAAUAAAUUCAAAGAUCAUCCCAAAGACUUUAAAGAGUUUUAGAAAUCAAUAGUAAUCUUAAUUUAAAACUCCUAAAUAAUUAAUUGUAAAGCAUAUUUCAAAAGAAACACCCUUCCUAUCUCUAUUUCCCCUCAUUAAUAUCACUUGUACCUAAAAAGUGAAAUAAUAGAAAAGAGUGAACUUAAAAGUUAGUUAGGAAAAAUAGUUCAAUAAGGAGGAUCAAGUAUAAUACAAAGUUAAAUCCUAGGAGCUAUCGCAUCUUUAUAAAAUAAUAAUAAAAAAUUGAUAAGUAGGAGUUCAUUUAAUUCAAUAAUUAAAUUCACUUUUUUUCAAAAAACUAUGCACUUUCAAUUUAAAGAUAGAACUAAAUAAUAUACUUUGCAUACUUAAAUUAUAUUUUAAAAAAUUAUAAAAAAACAUUUUACUUUGACUUAUUAAUAAUAACAUUCUGCCCAAAUAGUAGAAAUUGCAUUAGGUGGCUAUAUGAUCAAACCAACUUUUAUUAUUUAGUAAAAACACUCUCAAAGAAUUUUUUUUAAAUAAAAAUAAAAAUGAUUUCAAACCAUGUAUAGUUUGGGAGUUUUUUUUUUUUAAUGAAAAUAAACAAUUAUUUUAAGUUAUAUGUAUAGUUAUUAUUGUCACUUUCAUUUUCCAUUCUCAUUCUCAUUAUUACUUAACAUUGAAAUGGAAACAAACAUUCAUUUCGACUUUACAUUCCUUGGUGCUUUCAAACAUUAGAACUGGAAUGGACGGAUUUAUUACUGAUCAAGGAAAAAUAGGAAUUGAAAUAAAGGUCAUGUUUGGUAAUUGCUUUUGAAAACAAUUUUGAAAAACAAUUUUUGAGAAAUUUUUUUAAAAAUUGUUCAGUAUCUUGUAAAAAAAAUGUCUAUUUGGGAACUUGAAAUGUUUUUAACCCGUUUUCUAUGUUUUUACAUAUGUUUUAAAAAUAAUUUUUAUUUGUAGUGCUUUAUUUAUUAUCAUUUCCCAUAUUUGUAUAAUUAUUUUUUAAAACGACCCUCAAAAAACAACUUAAAUAAUUAAAAGAUGUUAUCAUAAAACAUCCUAUUAAUAGUUUUAAAAGCAAAAACAAUUUUCUAUUUUUUGGUUGUCAAACAUGGUUUCCUGUUUUUUUAUUCUAAAGAAUAGAAAAUUGAUGCAAAUGUUUUUUCAGAGAACUUUUCUUCCCGAGUUCUCUCAGCCUUUCUUUUCCAUAGAAAAGUUUAUUGGAGUGAUUUUUAGGCAAUUUCUAGUAGUUUCAACUCCUAAAAAUUGCUCCACCCUUGAUAUCUUAUUUGGUUGGAUCGGGUUGGGUCACCCCAACUUGGGCACCCACCCAACUCCAAUAAUAUUUAAGUAUUUAAUAAAGUAAAUGAUUGAAUUAAUAUGAACAAGUAUAAUGAUCAAAACAAAAAUCUUACUAUUUUUUGUUUUAAUAUAAAAUCCAACCUCUAAUUGAACAAAUCAUUUACCAUUUAAAAAAUAUUCUUAAUAUCUUCAUUUUCAUUUUAUGUUUUUGAAAGUUCUUUUUUAUUUUAACUGGAUCAAAUAAUAUUUGAAUAAUAAUGCCUUUAACAUACAUUUUUUAUGAGUAAUACCAAAUAAACAUCUCAACAAAUAUUAUAUAAGAUAAUCAUUAAUUUUACUAUCUUCAUUUUAUUUAUGUUAUUCUUCUUUAUCCAGUGGAUUUAAUUAUGUGUUGUAAAAUGAACAAGGACCUCUAUAGUUAUAAUCUCACCUAAAAAGUUGGGGAUCCGAAGCUAUCUCUACAUUUAUGGUUCAUGCAUGAAAUAAAUUGUUUUUGUACUUCCAUCAUCAAAGAUGCAUGUAUGUCUAAGAAUGGAAAAAGAAUCUGAGGUUGGGAAAAAAAUGAAAAAAAAAUUAUGUUUUUUUUUUAAUUCAUUUCAUUUAUUUUUUUCUUUUCUAUAUAAAAAUUCAAUAUAUAUAACUCUUUAACUAAUUUUAAUUAUAUUUUUCUUUCAUAUUUUAUAUAAUAAAUAAAAAAUAAAAAAUAUAUUUUUUAAUAUUUCAACUAUAACAAGGUGGGAUAAUUAAUUUAUAAUGCUAGGAUAUCCUAACAACCUAACCUUAAAAUUUUCUUAAAUAAAUAAGCACUUCACUAGUCAUAUAUUUUCUUAUUCCACCAUAUUGUGAUUGGCACCAUAGUAUUAACUACUUUGAAGCAUUUUGGUAUGAUUCUCAUCUCAUAAUAAGUCAUUUUUGAAGCAAACACAACAUGCUUGAUAGAAAUCCCUCUUGUUAAAUGAAGCCCAAGGUUUCUUAUUUGUGAGUGUUGAUACAUUAAGUUAUAUAGUUUAAGAUUGAUAAUUUUGUUUCAUUUAUUUUGACUUAGGGCUUUUUUCGAUUAUGUCUCGCUCUCCUUUGAAAACAUGAAGUUGUCGUGUGGUCAAUUGGAAUAACAAAGGUAAGCAUAGAAAGGUAUGAGAAAAGAAAAUUAGAGUUUGUUAAGGUUGGUGGGAACGUCAAGUAAUUCUUAAACUGAGUUAAAUGUUUUUUAUAACAGUUUUAAAGAACUCCUCAAGUACUCUAGUGCUGCAGAGAGCACUUAAGCACUCCUUGGAGCACACAAGUGUGAUAGAAUUUUCUAGAAUUCCAAAACUUUGAUUUUCCAACUUUUAAAAGCUUUAUUUUAGGAAAAUUCAAAAUCUAAUCCACCAUUAUCUUGGCCCUAUAAAAACCUUUCCUAAAGAGGAUUUUCUCUUUUUGAUGCAAAUGUUUCAAAAAACCUAAUUUGCCUUCUUGUUCCCAAAACUUUGAAAAAUGAUUGUCUUUGCUUUUACUAGGUUGAGAAAGAGAUCUACAUCUCCAAAACACUAAAGUAAGAUUCACUAGGAGCACAAGCGGUGUUGUACAAAAAAUGUGACGUAUAGUAGAGAUGAUGGAGGGUAAGACCUAGAGAUAGCUUCCACUAGAUAAAACUAUGUACUAUACUUUCGAAUAGUGGAUUUGUAAUUGGAUGUCUCUAACCCCAUGGAUUUUACAUCUACAUGUUGUGUGAGUGGUUUUCCAUGUAAAAAAUCUUGUGUUCUUGUAUUGAAUAUUUUUAGGCUUUCCUAAAUCAAACGGAUUAAUUUAAAAUAAUUAAUUUUUCAGCCUAAGAGGUUCAAAUACCUAUUCACCCAUUCUAGAUGUUAUCUAAACUAGAUCAACUAACUUUCAAUGAGGAAAACUCAAAUUACAGAAUUUGCACUUUCAGUGAACACUGCUAGGCUUAGACAAAUUGAAGAGUAAAAAUCCUUUCAAAUCAACCAACUAACCUUUCAUCCAUGGAGGCCUUCUCCAAUUUAAAGAUCAUGAAAACCUCUCCAAACAUUUCUAAAGAAAAAUAAGAGCAUUGGCGGAGGGUUCCUUGGAGAGGCUUUGAUCUUAAUCUUUUCCAUGAGUUGUUGAAAGGGUUUUUAACAACUUGGAUUGGAUUGGAUGGAGCACUUAUAUGAACUAAAAAUGAUAAAUAUUAUAACUACUCAAAAGGCAUUUUCACAGAAUUGCCAACCUGCAGAUCAUUUUUAGUUAACCAAAUCUUAAAACAUUAGUCACAUCCAUGGCCAAAAUUAAGUGAAGGCUAAGCACAGAUAGAAGAGGAUCAUCAGGACGCUCUCCUUAGCUCUACCAAGCUAGCUAACAAACUUGAACAGAAUAUAGCUCGAGCAGUCCAUGGCUACUAUUAAAAGGAAAAACCUAUAAAAAAAAUAUGAAGAACAAGAAGCAUAAAAAGAAAAUAUAGGCUAAAAUAAAAUGGUUCAAUUUGGGAAUCAACUGCUACGCAAUAUAUGACUAAAUUCUCAACUAGAUUCUUAUGAGUUCUAACCCCUAAAAGCAUCAAAUCCAGCAGAAAACCUUGCAAAAGAGAAACCAAUAAGACAAUAACAAUAUGAUAGUUUCAUCUCUACCUUUCAAGUUUGAGCAUCUUGUGCUGAUGCAUCCUCUCAAUGUAGAAGUGGCUUGCUUCAUUAUAUCAGUAUUGUAAAAAGAAGAGGUGUAACCUCACCAUAAUCUUUAAUAGUGAAGAAACUUGAAUUCUCAUCGGUAGUGCUGCACUGAAAUUCUGGUUGAUUGUCUUCUUUCUCAUCUUGUCGAUAUAGUAGAUGAACCCCACACUUCUUCACCCCAUAAUUGGGCCAUAGACUUGGAAUGAAGCCUGAAUUUGACUCAGUUUAUUUAACCAAUUGGCAUGGCCAAUCCCAAUUCGAGAAAUUGGUUGAUACCCAAGCCACAUGUGAUCUGAUGUAAUGAAUCUGUGCCCUUCAUCCGAAGAAUUCCGGUGUUCUGGAUUGACGGGAGCAAAAAGGUGACCAGUUUUACCUUGAGUCAAAUUCAAAUGACAAAAUAUAUUAACAGGGCAAUCAUGGACAGCACCCUUAACUACAAAAAUAGCGCACACAGCCAAUCCCAUCAACCUAGUAUUACACCAAUUUGGAGGCUGAUAUACCGUUACUGUGGAGUCUAUACUCUGUUGGCUGAACCACUCAGGAAUUCAACUUCCAGGAACAAAAGUACUGGAUUCAAUAUGUGGAGUAUAUGGCACCAUCUGGGUCAUGAAAAUCAAUGUCAAGUUAUAUGGAAAUAAUGUAGGAGUAGUGCUCAAAGGAGUAUAAGAAUUAUUCCAUAGGAUUUAAUUGAUUUACUUUUACAAUAUGAUCAAGAGAGAGAGGAGAGAAACCUGAAUUGGGAAUUGAAAUCUUGGUAAUUUAUUUGCCAGACUUUGCAUUUCCCUUAAUGUAGCUGCCACAAAGUUGCUGCUUUCAUUCUCAGACUGUCUGAAGCAAUUAGAAAAUGUGAAUCGGAGGCCCCCACAUUCCUUGGAUCUGUAGACACUUGAUGGACACAAAAUGUUUUCCAGAACUGUGCAAUCAUGGGCAUCUAUUUCUUCUAUACUAGAUGGAAGCUCUGGUAAUGAUUGAAGCCUCUUGCAAUAACCCAACCUAAAGCCUUUGAGCUGUGAAAGUUGAUUGAGGGUUGCAGGUAGAGUAACAAAAUUGUUUCUGCUCAGAUCUAAAUAUUCCAAUGAGCACAGAGAGCUAAAGUCAUUGGGAAUUGCUCCUUCCAAUAUGUUGCAAUCACCUAGAUUUAACUUUCUUAGGGAUCUUAAACCAAAGAAAGAAUGCAGUUUGUAGAUCCUCUAUUUUGUCCUCCUAGCACAUGAAUUAUUAGGUGUUUGUUCGGUACUUUACAACAAUUCUCUAGUAACCCAUUACUACUCAUGUAACUUAUCUUUUCUAAGUCACAUUUGAGACUUUGGUUGAGGCAUUUAUCUAACCUCAUCAUGACUCUUAGCAGCCCUAAUUUAGAUUUAGGUUUUUCCUUCCUUUUUAGGAUAGCUUUUAGGUGCACUUUUAGGAUAGCACACUUAGGCAUGUUUAGGUCACUUAGACAAUGUUCUAAUCAUUUUAGGUCAUUUAGACACUGUUCUAAACAUCCUAGUCCCCUUCCAGCUUGCACACAUUCACCCUAGGUCACUUGGCACUUUUUUCAUAAUAGGUCAGUUAGACACUUGUUUAGGUUUGAUUUCUUGAUUGCUAGGUUCUUUAGGUUUCGGUGAGUAUUGGCCUGUUUUUUACUUUUGAUUGCAUGAGAUGUUCUUUUGAUACUUAAUCAUGUGAGUUUGAUGUUUCAAUUUUCAUUAUUAUCAAUUGCAUUAGAUUGGCAUUUCGUUUCUUUUGAUUGCAUGCAUUUGGUACUUGUAUUCAUAUUUUUGUUUAUUUAUUUAAAUUUGCAUGAGGUUGAUUCCUUUAUUUUGCAUUUGGUACCUAUGCCACCCAUGCCCAAAAUUCCUACACUUCGAACAUUAUCCAACCCCAUACAUAAUAGUGAAUCCAUUCCAACCAGCCCUUCAGCGUAGCUCAAGGAUGUCCAUAUCAAUUUAUUAGAUAUAUCUGAGACAAUUUCCUCAAUAAGUAUAGAUUCAUGCCUGCAAAUUUUGAGGAAAAAAAAAACAAUCAUUUAAUGAAUUCAAGGAUCCAUUAAAAAAAAAAAAAAUUAGAUAAAUCAUCAGUGAUUUAGUCAUGUUCUUUGCUUAAAAGUCAUAUGGCAAGCUUAUAUCUCAGAUUUUUUCCAGUUUAAGUGUAUGUGUGUGUGUAUGAGGGAGAGAGAGAGAGAGGGAGAGAACUGUAUUGCUAUCUAGACAGACAGACAAUCGAACUAGAUUAUAAUAGCAAGCAUCUGCUGGCACUUCCUAGUAGUCUGCAUGAGGAACUUCUCAGAAGUGAUCAGGAUAGAAAUACUAGAAAAGCCAGUGGAUGCAUGUUUAAGACUGCAAUAUCAUUGAUUGACAGUAGGAUUACUAAUUCCGAGUUAAGCAUAUUGGCAAGCAAAAAUUCUCUCCCAAAUGGUUGAAAAAAAUUAGGGAAUCCAAAAGGUUUUAAAAGCAUGACUAUCCAAUUGGGUUGGGGCACACUACAUAGGCAUGGAACAGAGCAUGCCAAGGGGCCAUUGGAAAGGAUGAAAAAGCAUUAAUCCAGUAGGGUUGAGGUCAACUUACCAAUGGAAUAAAGCACACUAAGGGGAAAUAUCCUCAAAAUGAGGUAAAAGGUUUUAUAGUGUAGUCAUAACAUUCUUGCUCAAUGUGAUAAGGACUAACCAAUGUGUAGCUCAAUGCUUCAUCGUUAGGAAAGUUCUUCACACCCAACUUUUUAUGUAGUUCUACCCUUUUUUUUUUCAAAUUUUCGUCAUCUGUCGCUUGGACAUUAGAGGGAAGUUUUCCAAGUACAAAAAAUUGACCUUGAACACCCUAAUCAAACUGGAACUUUAAUACAAUGUUUUCGGAACGGGUUUUAAUGAUGGCAUCCAUUAUUGAACCACGAUCGACAAUCUCCUAAAUACAUAAUAUAUAUUUUAUUCAAAUUAAAAAUAAUUUUAAAAAUUAAAAAUUUAUAACAUUUAUUUCUUUAAUUUUAUAUAAUUAUAUUAAUAUUUUCAAUUUUAUUAAGCGAAAUAUCUAUAAUAUUUAAAUUUGAAAAUAUCUACAUAAUCUUGCAUAUAUGUUUAUUUAUAUUAUUUUUUGAAAUAACAUAUAUAAUUUAUUUUUUAUUUUUAUAAUUUUUAACAUCAACAAAAAGAGUAACAGAGUGGUGCAACCAUGCUACCUUGAACUUGUCGUCAAAGCUUAUAUUCCUAUAAUGAUUCGAUAUAGAAAAUAAAAGGAGAUAAUAAAUAGCAUUAUAAGCCUCAUUCAUUCAUUAUGAAGCAAACAUUGGUGAUGUCCCAUUUUGCAAAAUCAAAAAGAGGGUGUUGAAUGUUGGAUUGAAAGUGAUAGGCAAUCUAGCCCAUUUGGCCGAAAAAGAAAAGGGUGUUUAACCGUUUGAUUCUUGAAGAACUAUCCAACUCCAUCAAUCCAAUUGUUGGUUCAAAUAAUUCAAAAUAAACCCUUCAAAAAAAAGGGAUAGGACUGAAAAGGUCAUUUGGUAGUUGGACCAAUUAGAUCGACUAAUUUGGUUCAAUUUUAAAAAAUAUUGCUUUAACAUGUAUGAUAAUAAAAACAAAGAAAUAAAACUAUUUACCAAAAAAUGAAAUUAUUAUAAAAUAAUAGAAAAUGUAACCCAUUUUAAUGAUACGAUAACUUGUAACCAGAUGAAAUUUUAAUCUGAAAAGAAAAAGAAAAAGACUUUAAGGAAUUAGAAAAUAUUAUCUUUUAUAUUAAAUCGUAUCUUUUUGUAAAAGCUCUCUACAAUUAACUAUAUGUUUUCAUAAAACUUCAUUUAAACUAUGUUACAUUCUUGAUAAUUUUAAAAAAAAUGUAAGAAAAAUAAAAAAUAGAUAAAAUUAAUAAAUUAUUUUUUUCAUUAAUAUAAAUUAAAUAAUUUUAAAUACCUAAGUUUUUCAAAAAAAUUAAUCAUGGUAGUGGGCCCUUGAUCAACCAAAGAUAGUCCAUGCAUAACCUGCCAAAGUGAAGUACAACAAAUUAUAAUAGUGAUGUCACGUAGCAAUACAUUAUUUAUUAUUUUAUUUUCCCUUUUCAAUGUAGAUUCCCUUUCUUAAAGCUAUUAAAAAAACACACAAUAUCAAGAUUUGAGUGUGGGUCUUGCACAAUAUCUUUUAUAUAUUAAUAAUUAUAAAUUAAUUAAAAUGAAUUAUUGUAAAUAAAUUAAUUUUAAUUAUUUUAUUAUGUCUUUUAUAGUGAUAAAAUAUAGGACAAAUAAAAAUUUAUAAAUAAAAUUAUUAAUAUUUUAAAAUAUAAAAUAUAAAUAUAUGUGAACAUUUUUUUAUGUCCUUCAAUAUAUCUAUACUUAAUACAUUAUCAUUUUAAUAUUAAUGUUCCCAAUUCAAUAUAUUAUUGUUUUAAUUUAUCCUUCAAUAUAUUAUCAUUUUAGUAUUGAUGUUUCCUAAUUUGAUAUAUUAUUGUCUAAUAUUAUAAAUUUAUUAUAUAUAUAUAUAUAUAUAUAUAUCAAUUUUUUCUUAAAAUAAUUUCUGUAUAUACAUUUUUUUUUUUAAUUUUUUGAGUCAUUUUUAAUAUUUCACGAGUUUUUAUCAAUUUCCAUCUCAUAUAUAUACUAACGAUAAAUCAAUAAAAAAUGAUAUUUUCAUUCUUGCUCAACAUAAGGAAGAAAAUUAUUCAAAUGGUGCCUAGAUUAAUGGGACCUCCUAAUGACAAUGACAUUGACAAUCAUGAGUCAUAAUGUAGACCCCUCUUUCAAGAGCCGGGGGACCUUUAGUUUUUUUUAUGACAUUGGAAAGGGGCCUCAUCAUCACCAGCAGCUGGCAGCACCCUAGACAAGUGGGGGGACCCCUUUCUGCAAGGAGAGCAGCUUCACAGACACGACAAAGACGUGAUGGCCGGCCAUGCUAGUGGGGGAGGGAAGCCAUGUUGGCUGAUGGAGGAAUAGUAGAGCGGGUAGUGGCUUGCUGUGGAAGAUAGAAACAGGAGAGAGAAAGCAUAUACGGGAGGGGAAUCUGAUAUCUGGGGGGAGGAAGCCAUUAGAGGGGUCACAAGGAAGGGAGUUGGUUGGUUCCAUUGAUCUUAAAGGAGAACUUACUAGAGAAGGAGAUAACAGAGAAAGGAGGCAGCUGCAGGUGAGUUUGGGGUGAGUCUCUUGCUCCCUUUGAUUCAUAUUCUCCUCGUCCCUUUCUCAUUUUGGUUUGCUUUGCAUUGCUUAUCAGUCUGGGUUGGAUUUCAUCUUGAAUUUCAUUGAUUUUUCUGGAUCACUUGUUUGUCGUUGUUGAUUUUGCCGUUAUCCUUAUGGUUUAGUUUGGAGUUAACGAGAUCUGUUUCUCACGUAUUUUGUGGCUCUGGCUUGAGAUCUUCCCACCUGUAUCUGCCCAUGGAUACCACCCGACAUGAGGCUUGAUACGCUCAUGUUUUUCUACUUUAUUCCUUGAUUAUCCUUCCCUCGUUUUUUUGUUGCUUUGGCUCCUAUAUUUGUGAUCCUUUCUGUGAAUGAAGACCUAGACACAAAGGCUGUUUCUUGUAUUUGAUAAAACCGAUUAAGCCACCCAUGUUUUCAGAUGAAGCAGGGACGUUGACGAGAUGUAUGCUCUGUUUUUAGGAUCUUUGUUCUUUUUUUAAUAUCUGUAAACAGAGAAGCUUGCAUGCAAAGAGUUCAUCAUCCAAAACUGGCAGUAUCUACCCAUUAUACCCAACGUGCCCAUGGCUGCCCUUCACACCUAUUUCAUACCCAUUCUCCCACAAAUUAAUACCCAUCUAUUCUCAUGCAGACCUAACCGUCAUUCCUAUGCCCACAUCUCAUCCCCACGCAUUUCAAACACCACCAUACCCAUCUCUCGUCUUUCAUGCUACCCACACCCACCAUUCACCAUUUAUUUCCUAUAUCACCAUCCAUCUAAUCCACCAUGUUACCCGCUACCACCGAACCCGUUUUCCCUCGCCUCUUUUUGUUUUACCACCAUUCUCUUUCUUCACCACAUCAAAUAUCCAUUUUCCCCACCAUCCUGAAUUCCCAUGCAAACCUGUCACCAUGCAUGCCCAUAUUUUGCACUCACCAUUAACCAUUUAUCCCACCUGAUUUCAUUAUGUAUUUAUCCAACCAUCUAUCAUCACCCACGCCAUCCAUGAGCAAGAAUACCAGCCCGUUUCCCUCGUUCUCUCUCAUUGCUCGACACGUAUUCCCCCCCAUGCAUGGCCACCUUAGCCCUCAUACCCACUGGUUCUCACAUUCCAUGCACACGGAAUAGGAUCCCCCUACCACAUUCGCCUCAUUCAACUCAACAUCUUCUCAACCAUACCCCAUGACUCCUUUCCCAUUUAUUUCAUUCCCUUCCCCAGUGCAUGAAAUCCCGCACAUGGUCACCCGCGGUGGGUCCAGCUUUGCCACCGGUGUACCGAGAUCACCGGAGCUCGCCCGCCAUCGCAUGACAGUUCAGGUUUUGGAGUCAUGGAUUGUAGUUCAUUCGGUGAUCAUUGGGAUUUCCUUGGGAGCUUCUGAAAGUCUAAAGACAGUCAAGCCUCGUGUGGUUGCAUUGUCUUUCUAUCAGCUCUUUGAAGGUGGUAGGGACCUCAUCCUCGGUGUAGAAGGCAGCUCUCAAAAAUUUGAGAAGUCGCGUUAAUGAGGUGGCCCGGUUUUGGGUGAUACCUAGGUAGAGACAGCAGGGGUCUGAAACCGGUGAUGGCUUUAGUGGAUGACGUUGAAGCCUUUUCUUUCUCUCAAUGGCGUGUAGAUAAAGAGUUUUUAUUUUUAUUUGGACCUUACCAUCACUAUGAUAUUGUUUCUGGGUAUUGGCGUCCUAGCUGGGGCUCUUGCUUCCCAGUGUACCACAAAGACUACAUCUUAUUUUAUUUUAAUCCAUCCUCUAUCUUUUGAUAUCAAGAUUUAUUUUUUUUAUUUUUUUAACUUCGGUUUUUUAAAUUCAGUCUUUAAAACUCCCGUCUUUAACUAAUUCUUCAAAACUCUAAUUUCCGAAUAUAAUUUUCAAUUUCUGAAUUUAACCAUUAUUAUCUUCAUUGUUAUUAUUAUUAUUUAUUCAUUUAUGUAUUUAAAAAUCUCAUCUUUAAACAAUUUUUCAAAAUCCCGACUUCCGAAUUUAAUAUUUUUUUUGUUUGAAAAAUUCCACUAUUCACUUUCAUUCACUUAAAUAUCGUUUUUGUUAAUUAUUAUUACUAUUCCAUAUGCAUUUAUUUAUCCUCCUUUAAAAGUUUCAUUUCCUAAAGCCCAAUUCAUUAAAAAUCUAAGGUCCUAAUUAAAUUUUCAAUCUCAAAAUUUCCACUAUUUCAUUUGUUUAAAUAUUAUGUUUAUUAAUUAUUAUUAUUAUUCCUCAUGUGUUUAUUUAUCCUCCUUUAAAAAUCUCAUCCCUUAAAGUCCAAUUCUUCAAAAACUCGAAGUCCAAAUUUAAUUUUCAAUAUAAAAAAUUCCACUAUUCACGUUCAUUCGCUUAACCAUUAUUUUUGUUAUUAUUAUUAUCAUUCCAUAUUUAUUUAUUUAUUUCUUUUAAAAAUUCAAAUCAUUAAAGUUCAAUCCUUGAAAAAUCUGACUUCCGAAUUUAAUUUUCAAUCUCAAAGAUUCCACUAUUCAUCCAAUACUUAAAGUUCAAUUUUUCAAAAUCCCGUUUUCCAAAUUUAAUUUUCAAUCUCAAAAAUUCCACUAUUCACAUUUAGCUGUUUAAUGAUUAUUUUCGUUAUUAUUAUUAUCCCGUUCAUUUAUUUAUUCACUUAUUCAUAUAUUUAAAAUCUCAUCUCCAAAUAAUUUCUCAAAAUUUCAAUUUCUAAAUUCAAUCUCCAAUCUCUAAAAUUCUAUUUUUUGCAAUUAUUUACCGAAUCUCUAUUAUUUCAUCAUUAUUAUAUUUAUUAAAAUUCCGUCUUUAAAUAAUUCUUCAAAAUUCCGAUUCCCAAAUUUAGUUCUCUGAAAUUCCAAUUCUUUUCAAAUUCAAUUUCUAAAAUUCUCAUUCUUAUAUUUAAUUUCUAAAAAUCCAAUUUUCAAAUAAUCUCUAAGACUCCGAUUUUCAAAAUGAAUUUCAAAAAUCCAGUUUUCCUUCGAACAAUUUUAAUUUCUGUUUGGUAAUGCAUGUGAUAUAUUUCGUGCUCUAUAUUGUGCACUGACUUUGUUUUUAUGAUAGCGCAUCGCUCGUUCGUGGCUCAGGUAUGCAUCAAUUCCUAUUCUGGUCAUUCUCUAUGCAUGUUCUGAUUCUCAUAUGUACAUAAUCGACUCGAGUAUUCAUUGAUUUACUCAUCAAUUGCCACGUCAGCUUCAUUUUAUUAGUAGAGACCCGACUUUAGGGACUUAGAAGGGUGCUACGGUUUUUACCGUACCUUCCUGAUAAGUAACCUGACCCCCGAAUCCGAUCUGGUUUUUCACAGACCACCUUUUCCAAAGUAAGGAGUCACACUUAGGGUUUUCUUUCUUAUUUUAUUUACCCUUUAAAAACAAAAUAAAAAUAAGUGGCGACUCCAAGUCAUUUUUCAAACAAUAAAAUCAUUUUUCAAAGUAAAAUCAAGCUCGCCAUUGAGUGGGAAACGCAUGAGCUGAAAUGCGGGGUCCACAAAAUGGCAACUCCACUGGGGAAUGUUUAGAGGGUCAAGCUUGAACUUAAGAUGAAGCAAACGUGGCAUUUGAUGAGUCGAUUAGUGAGUGCCUGUCUCUUGAUUGCACAUUGGGAGUUCUUGAUGCAUGCUUAGAUGUCGUAUUCAUUUGAGAUUUUGACAUGCUGGAUUAUUGAUGAUUGAUCUUAUUGCAUCACUUAGCGUAUUGAUUCUGAUUUUGGCAUGAUUGUUCUGAUCACUUCACAUGCAUACACUCACCAAUGCAUAUCACUCAGCUUGACAUAUUGAUUCUCUGACUUGUAUACUAUUUUGGAUUGUCUUUGAGCAUGAUGUUUGUAUCACUAUUUGUCUUGAUUGUCGUAUUCUCGCUUAUCUUGUGUGUACAUGAGUGAUAUAUCCUGCUCUGCCUGACUGUAUGAUGCAUGACUGCCCUCCCUCUGCAUGAUUGCAUGGCGUCUGCCUAUGUGGGUCUCACUUCUACCCCCCCUACCUCCAACUCUCUUGGUUUCGGUCAUUCCUUUCAUCUCGGUUCUCACUAUUGCAAGUGUGAGACCUUCUGUGUGCUUGCUCUCUAAUCGAGCCGGAGAUUAGGAGUAGGGUCUAGCGACGAGCUAUAUCGAUGUACGGGAGCAUUCCGGAGAAGGGCGACACUUUGAUGUCGAUUGGAGUCCGAUCAUUGAAGACCUGUAUAGCCCCAAGCUAGGUUUCAUGGAUAGUUGUGCGACCAGUGUGUUUCCUCUUCUGCUUUAGAUUCUUAGGUUUUUCAGAUGCACCCACACCAUUCACUGUGCACUUUAGUUGACCAUUGAGCGUUAAGAGUUUGAGAGGUUUCACCAUAGGAAACCCCCUAGGAUGUCGAGGUAGUGCAUGUGUGGAGAUGAUGACCACCUUGCAUGGAAGCACCCCGUCUCUUUUUGAGGCGUGCAGAUGGUUGCGUACCGCCGGAGGGUACGAUCGCUUCUGCUAGGGAUCUUUUAAAGUCCACCCAUAUCCAUUUAGAGCCACCUUCACCUUGUAAGUUGAGCCAUAGAUCCUCCGAUUAGGACUCCCUCCCUACACGUGGGUGCAUCUGUGGGCCUUCAGAGCCGGUUCAGUAGUAACAGGUUUGGUUACCUUCGCAGUAGUCUCUUAUAUAUCUGCUCAGGAUUGGAUAUCGGUUUGUUUGCUUCCAGGCUACCUUUUGACACAUUUGUUAGACAUUCUUUGUGAAGUUUCUCUUACCCCGCACCUUAUCUAGUAUUUCCACUAUUGUAGGAGUAUCGAUACGUUCAGUCUGGGUUUGACUUCUUGGAUCAGAGUUGGGGGUAGAUUGAUCAAGGUACUGGACCAGUUAGACCAGAGAUCAGAUCAGAGGGAUAUGGAUUCACAGAUAGUUACCGUCGAUCAGUUCGCUGAGGCCAUGGCUUCGAUUCAGGAGGCUAUAGCUAGCCUUGGCCGGAGGAUAGAUGGGCAGCAGGUCCCCCCCGGAUGGUGCCCAGUAUGACCAUACAGUGCCACCACCCCCUCCACCCAGUCAGUCAGCACCACAGGCCAUGUCGUUCACCCUACAUAGCCAGACCGAGGUUGCUCCGCCUCCCGUCACCGUGCCUACCCCAACCUCAGAGGACCCACAUGCUCGCAUGGAUAGGCUUGAGCAGGGGUUGAGGCAGUUGAGGACUUCCGACAGAGCCAUUACUUGGGAGGGUUUUGAUGGAGUGCCGGUAGCUAGCUUGCCGGCUAAGUUCAGGAUGCUUGACAUUGAGAGGUAUACUGGCAUUGGUUGUCCACGCCUCCAUCUCCGAUUAUACAGCACCGUGAUGAGGGCUCAUGGACUGGACGAGUCUCAGAUGAUUACUCUUUUCCCACUAUCUUUGAGUGGGGCGGCCCAGCGUUGGUGCAUCUCUGGAGGCCUCGAGGCGCCGCACAUGGGACGACUUGGCCCAGGAGUUUCUACGACAGUUUUCGUUUAACACUGUCGUAGAUGUAUCGAGGAGGGAGCUCGAGGCUUUGAGACAGAGGGCAGAGGAGUCUGUUUCUUCUUUCAUUUCCCGCUGGCGCGGGAAGAUAGCUGAGAUUAUCGAUAGACCAUCAGAGAGGGACCAGAUUCAGAUGGUUUUGAGGAGCCUACAGCCGCGGAUCACCAGACAUGUGGUAGGGGCCCCGUUCACAGAUUUUGGGUCUCUGGUUAUGGCUUUGUAUGAUGUCGAGGACGACAUCUCGAGAGGAUUAUGGACAGAUUCUUCCCCUAGUGAUAUUAAGGGGAAGAAGCCCUUCGUAGGACCGAGGCCAGUAGAUGUGAGCGCUAUCGGUUCUUCAGUCAGAGGCCUCCUAGGCGUCAUCAGCCGGUCCCACAGCUCCUAGAGACUCAUCCAUCUUACACACCUCAGCAGUUCAGGCCACGGGCACCUUGCCCGGCUUUUGAUCAGACAUAUCAGGCUCAGCCAUUGGCUCUACCUUACUAUGCCACUCAGGGCAUUGACAGGCCUCCUGUUUCAUACACGGCCACUGGACAACCAUGUUACGCUGCACAGUUCACUCCGAGGCCCGCACCUUCAUACCCUAGGCCUCGAGUUCAACAGACCUCUGCACCUUUUGCUUUGAGGAUGUAGAGACAGUUUUCACAAAUAGGCAUGCCGUUGAGCCAGGCUCUUCGGAAGCUUACAGAGGCUGGGUUAUUGACUACUCUCACCCCUCGGCCACCGCCUCAGCCGAUUCCACCUCAGUUCAGGAUGGAUCUACACUGUGCAUACCAUCAGGGGCCUGGACACGAGACCGAUCGAUGCACUGCUUUGAGGCAUGCCAUUCAGGAUUUGAUCGACCAGGGUUUGGUACACUUGGGUCAGCCGAGUGUGACCACGAACCCGUUACCUGCUCACAACACACAUGCAGUCCUUCCACCAGCCGAUGGCAUUCAUUUCUUAGAGUUUGAUGUGAUCGAUGACCACAUCCACAUGCUGAGUGAUGAUGAUUCAGACCCAGAGCCUAUCAUGCCAGAUGUGAUUUAUGAGACGAGUGGGGUGACUCUGGGUCCUCGGAUGCCUGCUCCAUUCCGAUUAGUUCCCGAGGCGGCGUCCGUGCAGGCUGCCACCGUUGAGCUAUUGAUUUUGCCGCAUUACAGUGUCUGGACGCCUUUCAUCUUGAUCCCGGAUGUUGCGGGGGUUCAGGCUCCGUACGUUGAUGAUUCUCAGACUCUGGACAUUCAGUAUGUUCUCCGAGAAGGUAGAGUGAUGAGACAGCCACCUCCAGCUGCUACCGCUAGACCCUUAGGGGAUACGUCAUCCCAAGAGGAGGUCAGAGCAGAGGAUGACGAGAUUUUGAGGCAGUUGCAAAGCACUCAGGCUCGUAUUUCUAUCUGGAGCCUUUUAGCGUCCUCCAGUACUCAUCGGGAUGCACUGACUCGAGCUCUGAGCCAGAUCAGAGUUGAUACCACGACCACUCCUGAGGGACUCAUUCAUAUGAUGACGGCUGGCAGAGCCACUUGUAUCGUCUUUUCCGAUGACGACUUGCCACCAGAGGGUUCUGGCCACACGCGUCCUCUCUAUAUAUCUGUUGGCUGUUCAGGUCGCCGAGUUCCAUCUGUCCUUCUGGACAAUGGCUCGGCCCUGAACGUAUGUCCUCUGGCCACCGCCAUCGCUCUUGGAUACGCACCAUCCGAUUUCGGCCCAUCCACUCAGACCGUUCGCGCGUAUGAUAGCACUCGGAGGGAGGUCAUGGGUACACUAGAGAUUGAGCUACUGAUUGGUCCAGCCACUUUUGUCGCCGUGUUUCAGGUUUUGAGGAUUCCUACAUCCUUUAACCUGCUUCUAGGCCGACCAUGGAUCCAUAGAGCCGGAGCUAUUCCUUCUUCCCUUCAUCAAAAGGUGAAGUUUAUUCAUGAUGGUCGGGUCGUCGUGGUACAGUUUGUAGGGGAUAUGUUCAUUUCGAUCGAGCCCGUACUUGAGAUCAAUCACGCUGAUGAUGAUUUUUUUCUUACCGGAUUCACCUUUGAUGAGGUGCAGACUCUGGAGAUGGAAGACUUCUGUCGAGACUUUGUAGCCCUGUCCUUCGACCAGCACAGCAGCACGGUGGUACUUGAUAUUAUGAGGAGCAUGUCUUAUCUUCCUGGUAUGGGUUUGGGGCGGUGUCAGCACGGGCCUAGUGAGUUCAUGACUUUUCCGGACCGUGAUGUACCAUUCGGGCUUGGAUUCAUUCCCCACUGAGGCCGACUAUCGUCAUAUGGCGCGGCUGCGCAGGAAGAGGGUGAGGGCUCGCUUGACUCAUACGCCCUUUUAUUAUCCUGUCCGCCCAUACACCACGAGCCUAGCUGAUUACUUUGUGAGGGCAUCAGAGCCACAUGCACCAUCUGAUGGGAUCAUCGGAGGACUCAGCACCACUCAGGAGGCUGAGCUUCAGCGCCUCGUCCAACAGUUACAGUUGAGUGACGGAGCCCCUGGCCCUUCGGCUUCUGUGUUGAUUGCUCCUCCCUCCCCAGAUCGCACGAGCCUUAUGACGCUUUGCUUCCCGGAUGAGAUCGAUGAUCACGGGACUUUUGCCGAGAUUGGAGACGUAGUGGAUGGAGCCGUGCCGCAUGACGAGUACGUUGAUGAGAUGCUCGCGAUGAGCUUGAGCCAGACCGAGGAGAUAGCCCCGCCGGAGCUCGCUUCACCAUUUGAUCUCUUCGGGGUGUCCGUCCUCGAGAUCGCCGGGGAGAUCCAGGUUGCCCCCACUCCAGAGGUCGUCGAGGAUGUUAUAGUUGUUGUUGAUUUGUUUGAUGGCCCUGUUGGCCUAGUUGAGGGAGCGUCCGACCUUGUGGACCCACCUCUCCCCUUUGAUGUUUUAUCGGGAUUUGUCUCCCGUCAUGACUAUGUUUCUGACUUUUCAUCUAUGGUUUUGAGCACCUUUGAGUAUUUGCUUGUCUCUCAUGUUAUUGAUUUAUCUGCACCAUCUUCACCCACAUCACAGAUUUUUGACAUUGAUGAUGAGAUUGCACAGCAUGAUUCAGAUGAUGACUCAUCUCCUGCUUCCGAUUCAGACCCCGUUGAUCAGAGAGUUUCACCUGCUGUAGGGGACACCGAGAUUGUUGACUUUGGCACGGCAGAUCAGCCUAGGGAGUUGAGGAUCGGAUCGGAUUUGUCUACAGAUGAGAGAGAUAGCCUCCUCCAACUACUCAGAUCCUACUUGGACGUUUUCGCAUGGUCCUAUGAAGACAUGCCAGGCCUUGAUCCAUCUAUCGUCCAGCAUCGUUUGCCACUUCUGCCCCAGGCCAGACCGGUUAAGCAGAAGUUGAGACAAUUGCACCCUCGUUGGAGCUUGCAGGUGAAAGAUGAGAUCCAGAAGCAGCUCAGUGUAGGAUUCUUAUCAGUGGUUGAGUACCCGGAGUGGCUGGCCAAUGUCGUCCCUGUUCCCAAGAAGGACGGCAAGGUGAGAGUCUGUGUUGAUUUCCGAGAUCUCAACAAGGCCAGUCCUAAGGAUGAUUUUCCUUUUCCACACAUCGACAUGCUAGUUGACAGUACGGCAGGUCAUUCGAUGUUGUCCUUUAUGGACGGAUUUUCCGGGUACAGUCAGAUCUUGAUGGCUCCAGAGGACAUGGAGAAGACGUCCUUCAUUACCGAGUGGGGUACUUAUUGCUAUAGAGUCAUGCCAUUCGGAUUGAAGAACGCAGGAGCCACAUAUCAGAGAGCAGCGACCACACUUUUCCAUGACAUGAUGCAUCGGGAUGUUGAGGUUUACGUAGACGACAUGAUAGUGAAAUCCCGAGAUAGAUCAGAUCAUUUGGAAGCUCUUGAGAGGUUCUUUGAGAGGAUUAGACAGUUCAGAUUGAGACUGAAUCCCAAGAAGUGCACUUUUGGAGUGACUUCUGGGAAACUCUUGGGAUACAUGGUCAGUGAGCGAGGCAUAGAGGUAGAUCCGGACAAGAUUAGAGCCAUUCUUGACAUGCCUGCGCCGAGGACAGAGAGAGAGAGGUCAGAGGCUUCCUGGGCAGACUUCAGUACAUCAGUAGAUUCAUAGCCAGAUUGGGCCACUCGCCGAUUGAGACAUUACAUGACUGAGUAUUCCGUGCACUUGAUAUCCCGUCUAGAUCCUUUGAGAUAUUUGUUUGAUAGGCCCGCCCUAGUCGGUCGCCUCAUGAGAUGGUUGGUACUUCUGACUGAGUUUGACAUCCAUUAUGUCACUCAGAAGUCCAUCAGAGGGAGCAUUGUAGCAGAUCAUCUAGCCUCAUUACCAGUUUCUGAUACCAGAGCUAUUGACGAUGAUUUUCCAGACGAGGAUGUCGCUGCUGUGACUAGUCCGUCGGGGUGGCGCAUGUACUUUGAUGGUGCGGCCAACCAUUCUGGAUAUGGGAUAGACGUCUUGUUGAUAUCCCCUCACGAUGAUCACAUUCCCAGAUCAGUUCGUUUGGCAUUCUCGGAUCGGCAUCCAACCACGAACAACAUUGUUGAGUAUGAGGCUUGUAUCUUGGGAUUAGAGACAGCCCUUGAGCUCGGGAUUAGACAGAUGGAAGUGUUUGGUGACUCCAAUCUGGUGUUGAGACAGAUUCAGGGCGAGUGGAAGACUAGAGAUGUGAAGCUUAAGCCUUAUCAUGCAUAUUUGGAGCUACUGGUUGGGAGAUUUGAUGAUUUGAGAUAUACCCAUCUGCCUAGAGCGCAGAACCAGUUUGCUGAUGCUUUAGCUACUCUAGCUUCCAUGAUCGAUAUUCCCGUUAAUGCCACUGUUCAACCUCUGUUGAUCGAGUCGAGAUCUGCUCCUGCUUACUGUUGACUGAUCGAUGAUGUAGAGUCAAAUGAUGGUUUGCCAUGGUAUCACGACAUAUAUCACUUUUUGAGACUCGGCGUAUAUCCUGAGGCCGCCACGGCCAAGGAUAAGAGAGCAUUGAGACAGUUGGCCACUCGAUUCGUGAUUUGCGGCGAGACACUGUACAAGCGAUCACCUGACGGGGUGCUAUUAUUGUGUUUGGACCGCGCCUCUGCCGAUCGGGUGAUGAGAGAGGUUCAUGCGGGAGUCUGCGGACCACAUAUGGGAGGACAUAUGUUGGCUCGUAAGAUCAUGAGGACAAGAUACUUCUGGUUGACCAUGGAGACAGAUUGCUGCCAGUUUGUUCAGAGGUGUCCCGAGUGUCAGAUACACGGAGAUCUCAUUCACGUGCCGCCCUCCGAGCUGCACGCACUGACUUCACCAUGGCCAUUUUCCAUCUGGGGUAUUGAUAUCAUCGGGAAGAUUUCACCGAAAUCUUCCAGUGGUCAUGAGUUUAUCCUGGUUGCCAUCGAUUACUUCACCAAGUGGGUGGAGGUCGCCUCAUAUGCGAGAUUGACAUCAGCUGGAGUUGCUAGUUUUAUCAUAUCACACAUUAUCUGUCGCUAUGGAGUCCCCCAUGAGUUGAUUUCGAAUAGAGGGGUACAUUUCAGAGCAGAGGUUGACACCUUAGUGCAGAGAUACAGCAUCCGGCAUCAUAGAUCGUCUGCGUACAGGCCGCAGAUGAAUGGGGCAGUAGAGGCCGCGAAUAGGAAUAUCAAGAGGAUAUUACGGAGGAUGGUCGAGACUUCUCGGGAUUGGUCAGAGAAGCUCCCAUUUGCAUUGUGGGCUUAUCGGACUUCUUUUCGCACCUCUACAGGCGCCACACCCUACUCCUUGGCAUAUGGCAUGGAGGCGAUGCUACCCGUUGAGAUUGAGAUGGGUUCGUUGAGAGUAGCACUAGAGCAGCAGAUUCCCGAGGCAGAUUGGGCUCAGGCUCAAUUUGAUCAGCUCAAUCUCCUAGAUGAGAGGAGAUUGAGAGCAGCAGACCAUGUUCGUGCAUAUCAGAGGAAGAUGGCCCGCGCUUUCAAAAAGCGGGUCAAGCCUAGACCACUGCAUGUAGGUGACUUAGUUUUGAAAGUCAUCAGGGGAUUGAUCAGAGAUCCUAGAGGGAAGUUUAGACCCAACUGGAGCGGACCUUAUUUCAUCAGGGAGUUGACCCUAGAGGGCGCUGUAUGGCUGAUGGAUUUAGACGGAAACCGAUUCUCAGAGCCAACCAAUGUGGAUCAGCUAAAGAGGUACUAUGUUUGAGACCAUGGUCGCAGGAUGGGUGGUCGUCAUUUCGGUUAGCUAUUACCUUGUUAUUCCUUUGUGAUACAUAGUCCGUUGCUAGCCCAUUGAGCCUCACAUGCGUAUUAUAGUCUGUCUUUCUUAUCGCCUUGCUCACAUUUUCACACCGGGAUAGGGGCCCUUUAAUGUAUGCAUACAUUGUUUGGUAGUUUCAUGAGCUUUGGACCUAGAGGCAUGUUUUUCUCAUUAUCUUUUCCUAUCACUGCACCUCUGCAUUUUCAUCUUAUCUUAUUGGUUAUGUUAUUCAUCUCUUCUUCCUUAUCCUAUCUACUAUUUGUUUGUCUCAUAUUCUCUCCACCCUGAGUGGUGAGCCUCCUCAGUUCAUCACAUGGAGGAUAGUCACAUCAUUCCCAUCAUCUAUCUCACGGACACUGGUUUAGAGAUCCUUGGUUUGAGAAGGUCAUCUCGUUAGAGAGAGUUUGUUUGUUACCUUAUUACUUAGGAGUGUGUCCAUUUGUUAUUCAUAUCAUCUUUGGGGUUCAUUUGUUCAUGUUUAGGGUAUGUGUAUUUGUAUAUAUGUAAAAAAAAAAAAAAAAAAAAAAUGAAAGAAAAAAAAAAUCAUUAUUAUUAUUAUUAGCACAUGUGUGUAUGUGCAUAGUGUUCUCGGUCAUUGAGUAUGUAUAUUGAUGUUUGGGGUUCAUUUUUAUCGAGUAUGUUCGUUAUCGGGAGUUCGUAUGUGAACUCUCUAAGAUCCCAUGUUAUUUGCAUUGCUUCGUCAUAUCUAUUUGUGAGAGAGAUGAGUGACCCUCUCCUAAGGACUCCGAGUCAUUGUCCUUUCCAUCAUUACAUUCAUUAUUGAUGUGACUUCACUUCAUGUUUGAUCUGAGUCGAUCACCACUUUUCUUCACGUAUUCAUUGUUUCGAUAUCGUUUUUAUCGUUGCUUGUGAUUCAUCUCAUUCCCUUCGCGUCUUGUUCUCUCCUUACAGCGACCCAUCUCAGGUUCGAUGCUCAUUUCUCAUCAUCAUUACACAUAUCACUAUCAGUUCAUCCUGUUUCAUUUGUCUCCUUAUCGAUAUCAUAUUCACGUUAGGCGUCCUCAGAUCCAUGGCUCAUGAGGUUCGCUAUACAUGUUGCAUUUCAUAUAUGAGGGCAUGAGUUUUGAUCAUUGGGUAUUUGAGCCUAGUUUUCUUUCGUUUCUAUCACCCUAUCACCUUGGCCUACGUUACGUCCCGUGUCUUAAGACCACCCUGAGGCCAUGGGAUCAGAUGUCGUCUUCAGCAGCCUCUACUUGGGCAGGUGAUUGAGAUCUGGUUGAUAUUUAGAUAUCGUCAUGCUUUUUCUUCUGGGAGUCGCCUUUUUGAUGUAUAGGUCUGAUUCAGUUGUGUUCGAAUUACUAGGAUCAUAAGUUUGAUGAUGAUUGAUUUGGUGUCACCUGAUUUUUGACCUAUCAUACCUUUGGUGCCACACUGGGGCAUGUCCCAUUUCAUUUGGAGGUUCAUGGAUCCUCACGGACUUGCACGAUCAUCACUUACUGGAUGCUCACUGAGACGUAGACAUGAUCGUUACCUUACGGAGCCCCUGAGAUCCACCCAGCCAGGUCCGCACUUCUCGACACUUGGAUGUCAUCAUGCCUCUCCAUCUGGGAGGUACAUCUUGGAUAUGUGUGCAUGAUUCAGUUAUGGAUUCGGACGACCAUUGUUACAUGUUCGAUGACAGAUGAUUUCAUGUCGCUCGAUUUCUGACUUGUCGUACAUCCGAUGCCCAUACUGGGGCAUAUUUUCCUUUUCAGAUGAGAUUUACGGACUUUCAUGGAGGUCACAUGUGCGAUGAUGGAUGAUUUCAUGACAUUUGUUCUUCGGACCUGUCGCGCACCUGAUGCCAUACUGGGGCAUAUUCCGUUUCGGAGGAUCUUUAUGGAUCUUUGUAGAGGUCACAUGUUCGAGGAUAAACAAUCCCAUGCUAUCUGAUCUCCGACCUAUCAUACAUUUUGAUGCCAUACAGGGGCAUAUUUCGGUUCGGAUGAGAUUUACAGAUCAUGGGGGAGUCGCGUGCCUAUCCUUAUUUGGCGAGAUGUAUGCAGAGAUGAUGAUAUAUUCGCUAUCCUCACGAUGAUUCCUUAGUGGAGCCUAUCGAGAGCCAUCUAGCCAGGCAUGGAUGACCUGAGCUCAUCUGAUUUUUCGACAUAUUACAUUCUCGAUGCCACACUGGGGCAUAUUUCCCAUCAUUGAUCUAGAUUUAUAGAUCCCCACUGGUUUACAUGAUCAUCCACGAUUAUGGGAUAUGCGCCAGGUCGAUGUUCGACUUCAUUUUGUCCGGAUACUCCGAGGAGCCUCUCUUGAGUCAUUCAGCCAGAUUCAUACCCUUUUAUAUAGUCGUGAUUCCUCGAUGGAGUUGUCUCUGUUGCCUGGAUUUCCCGCGUCAUCAUUUCAGAGGGGUACAUAUCAGAUCUGUUACGCGUCCCAUUGGUGUUAUUCUCGGGUCAUCAGGACAGAUCGGGUACAUCUGAUGUCAUACUAGGGCAUAUUGCCUUCAUUUAGCCCUAGAGGCGAUCGUUCUCUCACAUAUCCGUUACAGUUUCCAUCACUCAAUCGAGAUAUAUUGUAUUCACCUCACUAGCCAUUAUUCCUGAGCUCUUCAUCGAUAUGAGCUCUCAACGGAGUGUCGUUCGAGACUCGUAGAGUCCCUUUCAGCCAUUUCCAGCGGAUUGAGAUUUGCAGUGGCAUGCCACACUGGGGUAUACCCCCGUCUUUGAGUACAUCGGCUGUUUUGCACAUCUUUCUCACUACUCAGUCCAUUUCUUGAUCUUUGCGAGUCAUCAUACUGGGGCAUACCCCCUUUAGCAUUUUUCUAUUGGGGCAACCCCCCACAGUCAUUUUUGUUUGGGGCAUCCCCCCACUAUCAUUUUCGUUUGGGGCAUCCUCCCACUGUCAUUUACGUUUGGGGCAUCCCCCCACUGUCAUUUACGUUUGGGGCAUCCACCCACUGUCAUUUACGUUUGGGGCGUCCCCCCACUGUCAUUUACGUUUGGGGCGUCCCCCCACUGUCAUUUUCGUUUGGGGCGUCCCCCCACUGUCAUUUUCGUUUGGGGCAACCCCCCACUGUCAUUUACGUUUGGGGCAUCCCCCUACUGUCAUUUUCGUUUGGGGCAUCCUCUCACUGUCAUUUACGUUUGGGGCAUCCCCCCACUGUCAUUUACGUUUGGGGCAUCCCCCCACAGUCAUUUACGUUUGGGGCAUCCCCCCACUGUCAUCUUUGUUCAGGGCAUUCCCCGUUCUCGUCACUUUGUUUAGGGCAUCCCCCUACUUUAGGUUUGUUUAGGGCAUCCUCCUACCUUUACUUUGUUUAGGGCAUCCCCCUGCUUUUAGCUCGUUUAGGGCAUUCCCCUAUCGUCACUUUGUUUAGGGCAUCCCCCUACCUUUUAGUUUCAUUUAGGGCAUCCCCCUACUGUCGCUUUUGUUUAGGGCAUCCCCCUACCUUUAGUUCAUUUAAAGCAUCAUCUACUGUUAGUUCAUCUGUGGGCCUUCUAGUUUAGCAUUUAGAACUAGCUUUUCGGUUCGGCUUCCAGAGCCAUUAUUUUUCUCAGUUUAGCAUUUAGAAUUUGUUUUUUGGUCGGCUCCUAGAGCUAUUAUUUUCUAGUUUAGUGUUUAGAGUUAGUUAUUUUGGUCGGCUUCUAGAGCUAUUAUUUUCUAAUUUAGUGUUUAGAGUUAGCUUUUCGGUUUGGCUUCCAGAAUUAUUAUUUUCUAGUUUAGUGUUUAGAAUUAGUUUCUGGGUUUGGCUUACAGAGCUAUUAUUUUCUCAAUUUGACGUUCAGAGUCAUCAUCAUCACUUCUCAGUUUCGGCGUUCAAAGCCAUCAUCACUUUUUAGUUUCGGCGUUCAGAGCCAUCACCGUGUUUACAGUUCGGCGUUCAGAGCCAUCAUUGGUUUUCAGAUCGACAUUCAGAGUCGCAUCCUCGAUUUCGACAUUCAGAGUCGUUAUCGCUUCUCAGUUUGACGUUCAGGGUCAUCAUCAUCGCUUUUUAGUUUCUGCGUUCAGAGCCAUCACCGUGUUUACAGUUCGGCGUUCAGAGCCAUCAUCGGUUUUCAGAUCGACAUUCAGAGUCACAUCCUCGAUUUCGACAUUCAGAGUCGUUAUCGCUUCUCAGUUUGACGUUCAGGGUCAUCAUCAUCGCUUUUUAGUUUCGGCGUUCAGAGCCAUCACCGUGUUUACAGUUCGGCGUUCAGAGCCAUCAUCGGUUUUCAGAUCGACAUUCAGAGUCGCAUCCUCGAUUUUGACAUUCAGAGUCGUUAUCGCUUCUCAGUUUGACGUUCAAAGUCAUCAUCAUCACUUUUUAGUUUCGGCGUUCAGACCCAUCACCGUGUUUUCAGUUCGACGUUCAGAGCCAUCGUCGCUUUUCAGUUUUGGCGUUCAGAGCCAUCACCAUUUUCAGUUUGGCGUUCAAAGCCAUCGUCGCUUUUCGGUUUUGGCGUUCGGAGCCAUCGUCACUAUUUUCAGUUCGGCGUUCAGAGCCAUCGUCGCUUUUCAGUUUUGGCGUUCAGAGCCAUCACCAUUUUCUGUUUAGCGUUCAGAGCCAUCGUCGCUUUUCGGUUUUGGCGUUCAGAGCCAUCGUCGCUUUUCAGUUUUGGCGUUCAGAGCCAUCACUAUUUUUAGUUUGGCGUUCAGAGCCAUCAUCGCUUUUCAGUUUUGGCGUUCGGAGCCAUCACUAUUCUCAGUAUCGGAGCCAUCAUCAUCACUAUUUUCAGUUUGGCGUUCAGAGCCAUCAUCACUAUUUUCAGUUCGGCGUUCAGAGCCAUCGUCGCUUUUCAGUUUUAGCAUUCAGAGCCAUCGCCAUUUUCAGUUUGGCGUUCAGAGCCAUCAUCGCUUUUCAGUUUUGGCGUUCAGAGCCAUCACUAUUUUCAGUUUGGCGUUCAGAGCCAUCAUCGCUUUUCAGUUUUGGCGUUCGGAGCCAUCACUAUUCUCAGUAUCGGAGCCAUCAUCAUCACUUCUCAGUCUUGGCGUUCGGAGCCAUCAGCAGUUUCCAUUCGGCGUUUAGAGCCAUCACCACUUCUCAGUUUCGGUGUCCAGAGCCAUCACCACUUCUCCGUUUGGCAUUCAGAGCCAUCGUUAUCACUCCUCAGUUUGACGUUCAUAGUCACAUUCAUCAGUAUCGGCUUUCAGAGCCAUCAUCACAUCUUCGUUCGGCAUUCAGAGCCAUCGUUAUCACUUCUCAGUUUUGGCGUUCAGAGCCAUCACUGUUGCAUUCUCUGUUUCGGUGAUCAGAGCCAUCAUCACUUCCUAGUUUGACGUUUAGAGUCAUCAGCACAUCUUCGUUCGGCAUUCAGAGCCAUCGUUAUCACUCAGUUUGACGUUCAUAGUCACAUUCAUCAGUAUCAGCAUUCAGAGCCAUCAUCAUCACUUCCCAGUUUGACAUUCAGAGCCUUUGUCCACUUUUGAUUCGGUGUUCAGAGCCACAUCUUCAGUCGACAUUCGGUGUUCGAAACCAUUGUAUACACUCAUUCGAAGACCUUGAGUCACCAUCUUCCCGUGUUUUGAGUCAUUUCUCCUCGACUGUAUCAUUCAGGGUCACAGUCCCUGGCAUUCAUAUUCGGUGGUUUCUCUUUUCAUUGCUCAUGACGUAGUCCUUCGAGUUUACGACGCAUACUUCGGUCACGUCGUUGGGCAUCCCCCCCACUGUCAUUUCGCUUGGGGCAUCCCCCCACUGUCAUUUUCGCUUGGGGCAUCCCCCCACUGUCAUUUACGUUUGGGGCAUCCCCCCACUGUCAUUUACGUUUGGGGCAUCCUCCCUACUGUUAUUUACGUUUGGGGCAUCCCCCCACUGUCAUUUACGUUUGAGGCAUCCCCCCACUGUCAUUUACGUUUGGGGCAUCCCCCUACUGUUAUUUACGUUUGGGGCAUCCCCCCACUGUCAUUUCGUUUAGGGCAUCCCCCUAUUUUCAUCUUGUUUAGGGCUUUCCCCCACCGUCAGUUUGCUUAGGGCAUCCCCCUUUUGUUUCAAAUUUAUCACCACCGUAGGUCUUCACCUAUGGGCCCUCUAGUUUAGUGUAGAGUUAGUUUUUUUUUGUUUGGCUUCCAGAGCCAUUAUUUUUCUAGUUUAGCGUUUAGAGUUAGCUUUUUGGUUUGGCUUUCAGAGCUAUUGUUUUCUCAGUUUGGUGUUUGGAGUCAGUCUCGUCAUUCAGAGUCACAGCUCCUAGCAUUCAUAUUCACUGGCAUUGCACGUCUCACCUUCAUGGACUUGCACUUAUUCUCAUUCUCCUCACCUUGUUACCUUGUGCUUAUCGUUUCAGCAUUGCUCUUCUAGGCUUCCCCUUCCAUUGCACAUGAUAUAGCCCUUUGAGUUCACGACACAUGUUUCAGUCAUAUUGUUGGGAUCCCUAGACAUAGCAUUCCCAUGUAAUUCACAUAGGGCGUUCCCUUUAGGCGCAUUCUUUCUCAUACUCUAGGGUGGUUCGACUGUUACUCGUCUUUGAUAUGGUUUUUCAAGUCACUUUUGGAGGCAUCUUAGAGGGAGCCUGGGUCCUCAGUGUAGCUUCAGAAGCGCUUGGAGAUAUGUUUUUCUUUUAGGAUUAGAGUCUUUAUGUUCGUCCACUGACCUAAGUAGGUCCGUAUUUCACUAGUGUUCCUUCAGGGUCUUCUUUUUCUUCGGUAGAGUUUACUCCGUUCCACUCAUCAUUCACACUUUCUUUUCACUCUAGUGUUCAUGUUCCUUACACUUGUGAACUCUACCGAAGAGGGGCAUAUUUGUAGACCCCUCUUUCAAGAGCCGGGGGACCUUUAGUUUUUUUAUGACAUUGGAAAGGGGCCUCAUCAUCACCAGCAGCUGGCAGCACCCUAGGCAAGUGAGGGGACCCCUUUCUGCAAGGAGAGCAGCUUCACAGACACGGCAAAGACGUGAUGGCCGGCCAUGCUAGUGGGGGAGGGAAGCCAUGUUGGCUGAUGGAGGAAUAGUAGAGCGGGUAGUGGCUUGCUGUGGAAGAUAGAAACAGGAGAGAGAAAGCAUAUACGAGAGGGGAGUCUGAUAUCUGGGGGGGAGGAAGCCAUUAGAGGGGUCACAAGGAAGGGAGUUGGUUGGUUCCAUUGAUCUUAAAGGAGAACUUACUAGAGAAGGAGAUAACAGAGAAAGGAGGCAGCUGCAGGUGAGUUUAGGGUGAGUCUCUUGCUCCCUUUGAUUCAUAUUCUCCUCGUCCCUUUCUCAUUUUGGUUUGCUUUGCAUUGCUUAUCAGUCUGGGUUGGAUUUCAUCUUGAAUUUCAUUGAUUUUUCUGGAUCACUUGUUUGUCGUUGUUGAUUUUGCCGUUAUCCUUAUGGUUUAGUUUGGAGUUAACGAGAUCUGUUUCUCACGUAUUUUGUGGCUCUGGCUUGAGAUCUUCCCACCUGUAUCUGCCCAUGGAUACCACCCGACAUGAGGCUUGAUACGCUCAUGUUUUUCUACUUUAUUCCUUGAUUAUCCUUCCCUCGUUUUUUUGUUGCUUUGGCUCCUAUAUUUGUGAUCCUUUCUGUGAAUGAAGACCUAGACACAAAGGCUGUUUCUUGUAUUUGAUAAAACCGAUUAAGCCACCCAUGUUUUCAGAUGAAGCAGGGACGUUGACGAGAUGUAUUCUCUGUUUUUAGGAUCUUUGUUCUUCUUUUAAUAUCUGUAAACAGAGAAGCUUGCAUGCAAAGAGUUCAUCAUCCAAAACUGGCAGUAUCUACCCAUUAUACCCAACGUGCCCAUGGCUGCCCUUCACACCUAUUUCAUACCCAUUCUCCCACAAAUUAAUACCCAUCUAUUCUCAUGCAGACCUAACCGUCAUUCCUAUGCCCACAUCUCAUCCCCACGCAUUUCAAACACCACCAUACCCAUCUCUCGUCUUUCAUGCUACCCACACCCACCAUUCACCAUUUAUUUCCUAUAUCACCAUCCAUCUAAUCCACCAUGUUACCCGCUACCACUGAACCCGUUUUCCCUCGCCUCUUUUUGUUUUACCACCAUUCUCUUUCUUCACCACAUCAAAUAUCCAUUUUCCCCACCAUCCUGAAUUCCCAUGCAAACCUGUCACCAUGCAUGCCCAUAUUUUGCACUCACCAUUAACCAUUUAUCCCACCUGAUUUCAUUAUGUAUUUAUCCAACCAUCUAUCAUCACCCACGCCAUCCAUGAGCAAGAAUACCAGCCCGUUUCCCUCGUUCUCUCUCAUUGCUCGACACGUAUUCCCCCCCAUGCAUGGCCACCUUAGCCCUCAUACCCACUGGUUCUCACAUUCCAUGCUCACGGAAUAGGAUCCCCCUACCACAUUCGCCUCAUUCAACUCAACAUCUUCUCAACCAUACCCCAUGACUCCUUUCCCAUUUAUUUCAUUCCCUUCCCCAGCGCAUGAAAUCCCGCACAUGGUCACCCGCGGUGGGUCCAGCUUUGCCACCGGUGUACCGAGAUCACCGGAGCUCGCCCGCCAUCGCAUGACAGUUCAGGUUUUGGAGUCAUGGAUUGUAGUUCAUUCGGUGAUCAUUGGGAUUUCCUUGGGAGCUUCUGAAAGUCUAAAGACAGUCAAGCCUCGUGUGGUUGCAUUGUCUUUCUAUCAGCUCUUUGAAGGUGGUAGGGACCUCAUCCUUGGUGUAGAAGGCAGCUCUCAAAAAUUUGAGAAGUCGCGUUAAUGAGGUGGCCCGGUUUUGGGUGAUACCUAGGUAGAGACAGCAGGGGUCUGAAACCGGUGAUGGCUUUAGUGGAUGACGUUGAAGCCUUUUCUUUCUUUCUAUGGCGUGUAGAUAGAGAGUUUUUAUUUUUAUUUGGACCCUUACCAUCACUAUGAUAUUGUUUCUGGGUAUUAGCGUCCUAGCUGGGGCUCUUGCUUCCCAGUGUACCACAAAGACUACAUCUUAUUUUAUUUUAAUCCAUCCUCUAUCUUUUGAUAUCAAGAUUUAUUUUUUUUAUUUUUUUAACUUCGGUUUUUUAAAUUCAGUCUUUAAAACUCCCGUCUUUAACUAAUUCUUCAAAACUCUAAUUUCCGAAUAUAAUUUUCAAUUUCUGAAUUUAACCAUUAUUAUCUUCAUUGUUAUUAUUAUUAUUUAUUCAUUUAUGUAUUUAAAAAUCUCAUCUUUAAACAAAUUUUCAAAAUCCCGACUUCCGAAUUUAAUAUUUUUUUUGUUUGAAAAAUUCCACUAUUCACUUUCAUUCACUUAAAUAUCGUUUUUGUUAAUUAUUAUUACUAUUCCAUAUGCAUUUAUUUAUCCUCCUUUAAAAGUUUCAUUUCCUAAAGCCCAAUUCAUUAAAAAUCUAAGGUCCUAAUUAAAUUUUCAAUCUCAAAAUUUCCACUAUUUCAUUUGUUUAAAUAUUAUGUUUAUUAAUUAUUAUUAUUAUUCCUCAUGUGUUUAUUUAUCCUCCUUUAAAAAUCUCAUCCCUUAAAGUCCAAUUCUUCAAAAACUCGACGUCCAAAUUUAAUUUUCAAUAUAAAAAAUUCCACUAUUCACGUUCAUUCGCUUAACCAUUAUUUUUGUUAUUAUUAUUAUCAUUCCAUAUUUAUUUAUUUAUUUCUUUUAAAAAUUCAAAUCAUUAAAGUUCAAUCCUUGAAAAAUCUGACUUCCGAAUUUAAUUUUCAAUCUCAAAGAUUCCACUAUUCAUCCAAUACUUAAAGUUCAAUUUUUCAAAAUCCCGUUUUCCAAAUUUAAUUUUCAAUCUCAAAAAUUCCACUAUUCACAUUUAGCCGUUUAAUGAUUAUUUUCGUUAUUAUUAUUAUCCCGUUCAUUUAUUUAUUCACUUAUUCAUAUAUUUAAAAUCUCAUCUCCAAAUAAUUUCUCAAAAUUUCAAUUUCUAAAUUCAAUCUCCAAUCUCUAAAAUUCUAUUUUUUGCAAUUAUUUACCGAAUCUCUAUUAUUUCAUCAUUAUUAUAUUUAUUAAAAUUCCGUCUUUAAAUAAUUCUUCAAAAUUCCGAUUCCCAAAUUUAGUUCUCUGAAAUUCCAAUUCUUUUCAAAUUCAAUUUCUAAAAUUCUCAUUCUUAUAUUUAAUUUCUAAAAAUCCAAUUUUCAAAUAAUCUCUAAGACUCCGAUUUUCAAAAUGAAUUUCAAAAAUCCAAUUUUCCUUCGAACAAUUUUAAUUUCUGUUUGGUAAUGCAUGUGAUAUAUUUUGUGCUCUAUAUUGUGCACUGACUCUGUUUUUAUGAUAGCGCAUCGCUCGUUCGUGGCUCAGGUAUGCAUCAAUUCCUAUUCUGGUCAUUCUCUAUGCAUGUUCUGAUUCCCAUAUGUACAUAAUCGACUCGAGUAUUCAUUGAUUUACUCAUCAAUUGCCACGUCAGCUUCAUUUUAUUAGUAGAGACCCGACUUUAGGGACUUAGAAGGGUGCUACGGUUUUUACCGUACCUUCCUGAUAAGUAACCUGACCCCCGAAUCGGAUCCGGUUUUUCACAGACCACCUUUUCCAAAGUAAGGAGUCACACUUAAGGUUUUCUUUCUUAUUUUAUUUACCCUUUAAAAACAAAAUAAAAAUAAGUGGCGACUCCAAGUCAUUUUUCAAACAAUAAAAUCAUUUUUCAAAGUAAAAUCAAGCUCGCCAUCGAGUGGGAAACACAUGAGCUGAAAUGCGGGGUCCACACAUAGUUAGGGUAAGUGUGUGGUAAAUUAACUUAGUGUUUCGCAAAAUAUUUAUUUAUCAUCAUUUAAAAUUAAAAAAUAAAUUUAAAUAUUAAAUAAAAAUAAUUAACUUAUUCUAAAUUCUAAUUUUUUUAAUUCUCUUUGUUCAUAUUUGGUGAUAAUCACUUUUAUAUCCAUGACUCUAUGUUCACAAUUUCCCUUUUUUUUUUAGUAAAUAUUUUGUAGUUAUUUUGUUGCUUCACAAUAGUACUUUUUAAUAUAAAUGUUUAUCAAGUUUAAGUUUAUGAAGACAAAUAUUAAGAAAAAUUAACGAGUUUAAUAUAUUUGUAGACCUCUCUUUUGGACUAUUAGACAUUUUUUUUAUCACUAUUAUUUGUUGUUUUUUAUUUUAUUUUAUGUUUAUUUUUCUUUUCCUCACCACCUUCUUGUCGCCUAGGAAGCCUGGUCUUUUUGGGCAAGAUGGUGAAACACCAUCUCUAUAAAGGGAAGUGGGGGACAACUUCCACAAGUGAGCGGGCUGCAUGGGACGCAUGAAGGAUACUGCUACCUCGGCAUGGUGGUGGUUAGGAUGGAAACGUCUCUAAGCGGGGAGUAGUAGAGCUGGUGGAGGCUUGGGGGGAGAAGAAAGGAGGGAGGUCUGAGAGAAAAGGGAGAGAGCUAAAGAAAUAGAGGGCGAGGAACUUUAGCGGAUUUUGAAGAAUCUAUGGAAUCCAGUGCUUGAAACCAAGCAAUCCUUGCUCAAAGGGAGUCGUUCAGCGUUUGAUUGCAACUAGAAUCCCAUUGAUCAACUGUCCUGGGUUAUGCAUGCCCGUCAUAAGUUCUUCAUGGGUUUGGAGGUAGUGGCAGUGUUGGUGCUCUCCUUCGCCAUAAUUUUGAUUCUCAUUGCUUUGGAGGAAUGCCCCUAGUUGCCUUUGGAAUCAUCUAUUUAAGAAUGCACUGAGAAGUUAGAGAUGUUGUCCUUUUUUUAGUGUCAUUUGUUUGAGAUUUUGCUAAUUGUGGCCUAUUCAAGGAUAGACUUGAGAUAUUAAAGAAGCUUAGAUAUGGAAGGAAGUAUAGUCCACACACACUACUUGAGUAGAAAAGAAAAGUAGCAAUGGAUUAUUGGGAAUGACUUCCAGUUUUUACCCUAGGUUAUAUUUCUGCUAUCAUUCGUCUAUUUCUGGUGUGUUUGGGGUGCUGAAUAUUAUGGCUAGUUUGGCCAUUUUGGUUGGGGUGGUUUUUAAGAGACUUGUAUGGAUAUCUCUGGUCUUUUAUAUAGUAAGCUUCAUUACAAAUAGUGACAUUCUUGUGUUAAGCCCUGGUGAAGAGCUCUAGUACAAUCAUAUGUUGACAUAGAAGGCUAAAAUACCCGGAUAUAGGAAUUGGAAAUUCAAUAAAAUGAUUGGUCCUAGAAAGUUCAAGAAAUGUAUUUGAAGAUGGGUCCCAUUAUUAUUAGCUCAUUUCUAUCCUUCCCUAUGUGCCUACUAAUCCCGUGCAUGGCCACUUUAGUCUAUAUGUGACCAAGUCUUGCUUGCUCCUAGUCUUGUAGCCCUUUAUACCCACCACCAUCAGCCUACCCCACAUCACCAAACCCAUCAUACCCCUAUCCUCCACACUCAUUAGCUUACUCCAUUGCCCCUAAUCCACCUAGCCAUCAGCACCUACCCACUAUCAUCCUUCCUAACUUAUCACAGCCCACACAGUCAUCACUCUUUCUCACCCGUCCCACCAUAGCUGCGGUCUCUUUCCAACAACUCAAUAUGUAGCCACCAUGUGCCAUACCCCAUUAUUUUCCUGUGCUCGCAACUCUAUGUGCCACUAUAGGCAUCUCUAAUUCCAUCGUUUUAUUUCCUGGUCAUUCUUUUUCCAUUUUGAUAGCCAUCACAACAGUCGGUGAUUGUCGACUCCUCCACGAUGUGCCAUUGCAACGCUGCUCAUCCACUCAAGACCACUAUGCUCUUCCUUCUUGGUGCUCAUCAUUGUGCUCGAAACUCAGGAUAGCUUCAAAAGCAGUUCCAGUCCCACCUUAGUACCCCUCAGACCCCACCUUUACAUGGACAGGCAUGGCCACUUUUGGGUGUGCCAUUUUCAAAGCUCAAAACUCCUAGUUUCCUUGGUCCCCGACAUGCUCUAGAUAACCCCAUUCUUCCAAAAUCUUGAAAUGGUUCGAUUGAUGGAAGCACAGACCUUUUAUACUAUUGGAAUCCUAAAACUAACAUCACCUACCAUGAGAAACCAACUGCUUUGCCUCAAGUGCCUCAAGUGCGUGUGUGCAAGUCUCCUUGCGUAAACCUAUGCUUAAUAGUUGCGACUCGGAUACCAUUGGGUUUUUAGGGUUUGUACACCUCUAGCUCUCUUUCUCACCAACUUGUCACUACGCUUUGCUUGAAUCAUCUUCGCUCUAAUCUUCUUUCAACUUUUUGAAAAGGCUUACCUAUGUGUUGGAAUGGCCAAUAAUCCUCAUUCUUCUAGGGCACAGUUUCGACCUACAGUUCCGGGAUAAUGACAUCUUUUCAUUCCAGUAGCUUCUCAACAAUUUUCGCCAAUUGGACAAAAUAUUUUUUCACCAAAUGUGGGAGUUCUUUCUGGUUGAAAUUAACCGCCAUAGUUUUUGUCACGACCUAAAUUCUGGGUGACCCAAAAUUUGGCCCAUCACCAUAGGUCAAAGGUUUGACCCUAAGGUUUUCUCUUAAUCCAAGUUGGCAAUCAACCAAAAUGCUCUGAAUUAUUUUUUUUCUAAAGAUAACUCAACUAACAUUCCAAUUUAACACUAUACCAACCAUCACUCAAGAGCUACAAGAUAUAAUAAUUAUCAUUAAGGUCUAGAAAUAAGAGUUCACAGUUGAGCAAAAUAAUCAUAAUAAAGUCUCAUUACAAAUAUAUAGUUUCAAAGUUUGUUAAUACAAGUUCCAAAAUAAACCAACAUAACAAUUACUCUACAAUCCAUUAGGCUGCUCCAAAAUCUCCUGGUGUAUCCUUAAGCACUCCUGUCCCAACUGUGGAUCCUUAGGAGUCACAUCUGCAUCUAAAAAGAAUAUAAGAAGGAAUGGUUUAGCAUUCCACAUUGCUCAAUAAGGUGUCUUACACAUAAAGGGGGUUAAUUUGGGAAUACUAAGGUUCAUGUGUAUACAAAAUAAACACUCUACUAGAAUUUAAUCAACCCAAACAUUUCAGUUUCUAUAGUUAUAACAAUUCAACAAUUUUCAACAAUUAAUAAAAUGCAUGUGGAUAUAUAACACACAGUCAUACAAUGCACUGUCAUUCUCGGGCUUUCACCGAAGUAUAUGCAUUCGUACCCAAGUAUACUUCCCAUUCAGAGUCUUCUCAGAAUAAAUUUUUCGGUCUUUCACCUAAGGAUUUCAUUCCCUUCUUAAUUUGUCUCUCAUGAGCCUUUACUUUUAACAUUAUUUUAUUUUUCUUUCUUUCCCAUUUCAUGCAACCUUACAACAAAUUUUUAUCUUUCUUUCGCACAACCAUGAUGUAUAUGGAAUGUAAUGAGAUUACUUAUCAUCAAUAAAAUUCUCACUAAUCCAAACAUCAAUAAAAUUACAAUUUAUCCCAAAAUUUCAUUUAUUCUCAACAAUCCCAAUAAUUUCAAAAACCAAAUACAAUUAUUUUCCACAAUUAAAUUACCAAAAACAUCCCAAUAAAUUCGCAAAAAUAAAUAAUAUAAAAACCAAUAUUAAUCCAUCAUAAUUUCUACCAUAAUUGUAUUUGUUCUCAAUAAUCCCAAUAUUUUUUUAAUAGCCAAAUAUAAUUAUUUUCCACAAUUAAUUUGCCAAAAAUAUCCCAAUAAAUUCUCAAAAAAAAAAAAAACCAAUAUCAAUCCAACAUAAUUUCUACCAUAAUUGUAUUUAUUCUCAAUAAUCCCAAAUUUUUUUAUAGCCAAACAUAAUUAUUUUCCACAAUUAAAUUACCAAAAAUAUCCUAAUAAAUUUUCAAAAAUCCAAAUAUCAAUAAAACAUCAUUUAUAUCACAAUUUCAUUUAUUCUCAAUAAUCCCAUUAAUUUUAAUAACUCAAAUACAAUCAUUUAACAACCAUAAAAAAAUUACUGUCAUCACAAAAUUUUCAAAAAAAAUCCUAAAUCAUCCAAUAAAAUUUCUCGUAUCACAAAUAUUACCUAUUUAACUCUUAACAACAAAAUUUAUAAUUUGUUUUUCAAGAAAAAAACAUUUAAUUAAAGUUUUAGGGUUAAAAUUCCUUACCAUAGAUCUAAUGAUCCAACUGUUGAAAACUAAAUCCCCCACCAUACAAAUGUUCCUCGUGUCGAGUAGGGUAUUUCUUUGAAAUUUCACGUGAAAUGGACGACGUUUGGCCAUCGAAAGAGCCGACCAAAGAGUUAUGAUUUUUUUUUUAUUAUUUUGUUCUCCAUUACAGUCGCUGAGACACUCCUAUGUAAGUUUUCCUCUUUUUCCCUUUUUUUUUUCUCUUCCAUUUUCUCUUUCUUCACCUUUUCCUUUUCUAUUUCAACGAGCCACUAAAUGUGGAGGCAGCCCAAGCCAAAAAUCCUAUAUAUAUAUAUAUAUAAUAUUACAUUAAUUGUUUUCUUUUCUUAAUUCACUUCAUUUUUUUUUCAUUUUUUACAACGCACAAAAUAAAUUAUCACACACUAUACAAAUAUUUUAAUCUUCUAAAUUUUAUUAUUAAUUAGUUAAAUUUAAUUUUUUUAAUUAAAUGGUUUUAAUUAUUUUCUUUCAUUCUAUUUUUUUUUAUUUAUUUGUUUUUAUUUUCAUUUUUCAUUUUUUGAAAAAUUUCAAUUUCUACGAUCUUAAGAAAUUUCAACUUGAAAUUCCAACAUAACCUAAAAUACUCGAUCAUUACAGUUUUCUCAAGCUAUGCAGCAGCUACCUAGGCCAAACCAGCCUGGUCCCAUUGCAUCUUCAUCACAACCAAUUCCCAUGCCAUACAUUUAGCAAAACAGAGCUCAUACCUUUAGCUUGCCAUAGCCAUUCUAAUGUUACCACUGACUUCAAACUCACCUUUCCACUACCCUUAACCUCUAAUCAAUGGUCCACUUUCUGUGGGGAAGCCCAAAGAGUUGAUGGUGAUGGUGUCAUGGGUUAUGAUUUUGAAAAAUGCACCACCACCAUUGUGUUGACGGCAACCCAGCUUCCUUGAAACAACAUAGGCACAUGGAGCCUUCAAUUUUCCAACAAGGAGGUUGUUCAUGCUUCCAUCACUUCCAUGAAACUAAAGUAUGCCAAAUUUGGUGGUAAAAGCCCAACCUUAGGUUGGUAGAGGUCAUUUAUUAUGAGAAACAUGAUCAGUGGAACAACUACUAAAAUUCGAUUGGUUAGAUGUCCCAAAUGUCGAAAGCUUCUUCCAAAGGUGACAAAAUUUCCUCUAAAUCAGUGUGAUGGAUGUGGCAUGUUUCUAAGAGCCAAAAAUCAUGGAAAAAACACCAAAACUACCCCUUCAGACUCGCAUGAAAUAGGUUAUGUUCAAAGGAAUGGGCUGGUGCAUGUUUCUGCAAAUGAAGAAUCUAGUAGCUCAAGUCAAGAGGCAAUUCCCUCUUCCCCAAGAAAAUAUUCUUUGAACAAAGAAAAUGGGAGGGAUGAUCUUGGGGAUUGUCGUACAGAGCAACCUGAAGUGAACUUCUCAAAUGGGGUUUCUUCAACAACAAAGCAGCCUGAAGAUGCAAACUUCUCAGAUAAAGUUCCUUCAUCAAUAAACCUCAUGAAUGAAGUUUCAUCACCCAUGGAGGAGCAACCUGAAGAUAUAAAAAUCUCAAAUGAAGGUUCAUCAUCCAAUGUGCGGCCUGAAGAUGUCAAUUCCUCGAAUGAAGUAUCUGCAUUGGUGGAGCAACCUAAAGAUCCAAUUUGAAGACAACAAUUGGUAAGGGCCAGAAAUACGAACCGAGUAUUUCCACACAUUAUGAUGAGAGGUCAAAUGUCGUAAUCUCUAAAUAGUCUACCAUUUAACCUACCACUGGCUCCUCUCCACCCCGGGCCCAUGCCUAUGUGUUUCCAUUAUGCAUGGCCACCCUCCAAUGCAAUCCCAAAGGGCACAUGUUCUCAUCUUUUUAACUCUUCACCCUUAUUUUCAAAAUAAAAUAAUAAUAAUAAUAAUAAUAAUAAUAAUCUAUCUUUCAAAUGGUUUUAAAUAUUUAAAUUUAUUUAUUUAUCUAAUUUAAUUUACUUAUUUAUUUUCAUUUAUUUUUAUCUUUUUUAUUAUUAUUAUUAUUCAUUUUAUUAUUUUAAUCUAUUUUAUGUUAUUUAUUUAUUUAUUUUCUCUCAUUCAUUAAAAUCUUUAAGUCACCAAAACCUAAUUUUUAUUAAACUUGUUGCCAUAUUUCAUUCAGGCAUGUAUUUUGUGAUUUUCUUUGGUUUUUAAUAAUUUUCAUGUUUUUCCCAAUUUUUAAUAAGUAUCAAUAUGAUUUUCAUAAUUUCAAAAUAAUGGAAUUUAUGAGAUUAAUUCAUGUAAAAUCAAUUGGGCCUUGGUGGGAGCCCAAUAUUCAUGAUACUCUCGACUUUAAUUGCAAUGCUAUUUGAGUGGUUAAUUAAUUGAUGUUGUCUUACUACAUGAAAUGCAUGUGACUAUUCUGUAAUUAUUCACUAACCCUGUUUCCAUGAUAGAACAUUAUUGAUUCGCUGCUUAAGUACACAUCCUAUUCUCUUUCACUUGCUUGAUCAUUUUUUCCGAUAUACACUCUCAUCAUGGUAAAUCUUUGAUCACCCUUUGUAUUCAUGAUUAAUCAAUCAAUUGUCAUACUUGCUUUGACUUAAUUAGUAGAGAUCUAAUUUUUAGGGCUUAGAGGGGUGCUAUGGUCUAUCAUCACACCUUCUCAAUAGGUAACCUGACCCCCAUACCCAGACUCUGGUUUUCUACAUACUAUUUUUUCUUCAGGGGUCACACUUAGGGUUUUCUUUCUUAUUUUGUUUUCCCUUAAAAAUAAAACAAAAAUAAGUGGCGACUCCAAGUCUUUUCUAAAAAAUAAUAUUUUUCACAAUAAAUGAAAAUCGAGUCUUGUCAUCGAGUGGGAACGCAUCGAGCAAAAUAUGGGAUCCACAAUAUCAAUAUGAUAAUUUUUUUUAAAUUAAUUUAAUUUUACUAAAAUUAAAAUUAAAAUAAUUCAUCUUAAAAUUAACUUCAAUAAUUAAAUAAUAAGAAUUAAGUUUUAUCAUACACACUCUUAAUUAAUAAAUGACAUAAUUUCUUUCGACAACUUUUUCAUUCUACUUUUAAAAAAUAAAUUAAAUUAAAUUUGAAUUAAAAAUUAAGGUGAUAUUUAUUUAUUUAUGUCUAAAUUUUAAAUAUACUUGAAUUUGACUUAAAUCUAAAUAUAGCUUAAUAUAAUUAAGUGUUUAGAUUUUUUUUUUAAUUAAUUAUUCUCUAAAUAUUAUUAAUUGUUAAAUUCUUUAUUUUGAUUAAUAUCAAAAUAUGUGAAGUGUUAAUUUAUUUAUUUAUGGUUAAAAACAUUUAUAAAAGUAAUUAUAUUUCUUCUUAUUUUAAUUUGAAAAGUUAUAAUUUAACAAGAUAGUAAUUUAAUUAACUCAUCUGAAAAAUAUUAUAAUACAUUGUCAAAGUAAAAAUUUUAUAUUGAUAAUUAUGUAAUUAGUAAAUCAUAUUAUUGUACAAUCCAUUGUUCCGUGUCAUAUAUUAUAGCAUAGUUGUGCAUACCCAUCAAUGCAUAGACAUAUAUCUUUUGAUAAUCUAUCAUGAAUGUCUCAUGAACUCUAAGUGAAGUAUGUAGCUAUUAUAGUAUAAAGAUGGCGUAGGAAGAGGCUCUAGGUUUACUAGUUCACACUCAACCAUAGCAAUAGGGAAUAUAUUACACAUUCAUCUAAAACAAAGGUAGAAAAGACCUUAGAAAUGGAACUUUUAGAUAACACCUAAGGGUGGCAAUGGGAUGAGUCUAAGAAAGAUCACCUCAAUCUCAAUCUUGUGUCAUUUUUUUAUAUUAAAUGAGGGUGAGAUAAGACAAAAUCAUAUUUUAACCUAUCUUGAAUUUGGUGUCUAAAAAAAUAAGCCUCAUUGUCAUUCUUAGGUACACAUCUAUACCAAUGAAAGUUUUUACAUCUAUUCAAAAAUUCAAUGUUCUCGAUGUUAAUUAACUUCACUAAACUACCUAUACUUGUAAAUCCAUUUGUUUAUGUCAGCAACUAGUUAUAAAUUAUCAUAUGAGCUUGCAUGGUGUUUUGUGUUCUUCUUAGUUCCUUUUCACCUUACUUCUCAUCAUAUUGGCUCCUUGUAGGACAAACUUGCAAUAAUUCAAUUUUUUUCCUUAUAGAUAUUAUUCAUUUUGGACUAAAUAAAACAAAUACCCCUUAUAUAUAGAUAGUAUAUGUUUUGGUCUAAUGAACUUGUGAGAUUGUUCAAUGUAGAUAUUGUUUACAAUAGUCCAACGAGUCAAGCUUUGCAAAGUCAAAUGUCUCUUGUGAGGCCAAAGAAACAAAGGCAAUUGGUUCUAGUCCAAUGAACCUAUAUGAUUGUUCUAUGUAGAUAUUGUCUACAAUGGUCUAAUGAAUAUGAGGGAUGGAUUUGCAACAACAAAUACCACUUAUGGGACCAAAUAAACAAAAGCUCAAGUUAGGAUUGAAUACCACACUAGCCUAAUAAAUCUUCACAUCUUUAAAAUGGGUGGUUCUUUGAUACCCAUUAUUUAUUUUGGGGGUAUCUACCCACAUUUAAUCCCACUAAUAAAAUGACAUAUAUAAAGUGUAUGAGAUUAUUAUUAUUAUUAUUUUAUUUUUUAUUUUUUUAAAAAUACUUAUCAAAUAGGUAGACAUUGAUGAGAAAUAAUCACAUGCAUCUCAUAUGUAUGUAAAUAUUACAAUUUUCUUUUUAUAAUUUAAGAUUAAAUAUCAAAUACAAUUUGUUAUUUGUUUAAAUACGUAAUCUAAAAUAACAAAAUCCUAUCAACUACUUUUGUAUUCUCAUUAUUUAAAUACCCAAAAGGAGAUAAUAAUUUAAUAUGAAAAUUAAAUAGAUUCAACUACUAUGUUGGAAAAUAUGUAGGAUGUGUUUUGGUAAAUUACAUUUGAAGAUAAAAUUUGAAAUUUCUUAAGGAAGGAAAACAAAAAAUUUGUAUUUCUUGAAGAAGAUAUUGUAUGGAGGAUUUCAAAUAAUUACAAGUGUUAAAGGUAAUAUUUGAUUCUUUUUUAUUUAAAUAUAAAUUUUGAAAGUAGAAAUGUCAUGUUAAAUAGCAUUUGAAUAUGUAAUGAUUUAUAGGAUUUGGAUUUUAGAAUUAGUUUAUUAUUAAUAAGAGCUAAUUUAGUCAUUUGCUAUUAAAUUGUUUUCAAUAUUUUUAUAUCAUUUUUUUAUGUUCAUAAUUAAAUUUGAAGGUCAAAUUUUAUAUGUUUUGAAAAAGGCAAACAAUAAAUUUUAUUUCUUGAAGAAGAUAUCAUAUGAAGGAUUUCAAGCGAUUACAAGUAUUAAAAAGGUAAUAUUUGAUUUUUUUUUUAAAUUUAAAUAUAAAUCUUGUAGGUAGAAAUGUCAUAUUAAAAUAAUAUUUGAAUAUGUAAUGAUUCAUAAGAUAUAGAUUUUUGGAUUUUUUUUUAGUAUGUUAUUGAUUAAAUUGUGAUAAUUUAGUAAUUUUUUAUCAAUUUGUUUCUUAAAAAAUUCAAUAUUUUUCUAUCAUCUUGUUUUAUUUUUGUGUUUAGGAAUCGUAAAGUAUUAUUCAUGACAUUUUUAAAUUUUAAAUCAUAUAUUUUCUAUAUAAAAAAAAAGUGAGAAAAGACAUAAAAUAAUGCAAAAAAAGAUAUGAAAUAUGUGAGAAAGGGUAUAAAUAAUGUGAGAUAAGGUAUAAAAAAUGUGAAAAAAAUGUAUGAAUAAUGUGAGAAAAUGGUAUGAACAAUGUGAUAAAAUGGUAUGAACAACAUGAAAAAAUAUACAAAUAAUAUGAGACAUGGUAUGAAUGAUGUGAGAGGGGUGAUUAGAGCCAAAAUGUGUGCUUUAAUGACACAUAUUCGAUAUGAUUUGUGCACCUAAGGACACUCAAAUCACCCAACUUGACCUAAAUCGAUGCUAAGGCCCUAGCCAUGAGUUUAACUUGUAUUUUGAAGAUUUAUCUCAGGUUCAAGGGAAGAAAAGGGUGCAAGUUGAAUCACUUCAGAUUUUGAAAGAUUAAGAAAAGAUUAAAUGAGGAAAUAAGUGAGUCAAGACUCAUGGACCAUGAGGAAAGGCAAGAAAUUUAGAAUAUGAGUUUAGAAUAUGAGAAAUUUAUGGAGUAAGAAAGAAGGCAAGAAAACAUGGAAAAUGAAGCAUGAAGCAAGAUUCAACUGCAUAGAAAUUUAGAACUCAAAAUCUAAUGGUAACAUAUACUCUGAAUUUGAGGACAAAUUUGGAGCACUUUUCGAAGUUCAUUUUAUACAUACUAUAUAUUAUUUCAAAGCUCAAGAAGUCAAGUGUCCAACACUUCAAAUAGUGUGGAAAUCAAGGUUGAAAUGAAGAAGUUAUGGCCAUUUGAAGACAACUGCACAAAGUUGAAGGGGCAUUUCGAAAUGAUUUCGAAAUUCAACUUAUGAAUUCGAAAUGACCCCAAUUUUGAAUUCAUCCACUAGCACUUUCAUGUUUCGCCUCCUCUACCUCAAGAAUUGCAUCUAGAGCACUGCAUCCACCCUAAGUGGGUCCCACACGACUAGAAAUCACUAUUUUAUUAUUUUUUUAGUCAUUUUUAGGUAAUUAUUUUGUAAUAAGUGGCUAAUGAGAAUGUGCCACAUGUUAGGUAAUUGAUGAUAUUAUGUAAACUCUCUUAGUUCUAGGUUGAAAAGAUCUUGGAUCUUUUUUCUGGAGAGUUUGACAUUAAAGGUGGAAGAAGACGAGAACUUUGGUUUGUUUCCUUUUUGUUCUUUAUUAAAUAUAUUGUUUUUAGUUUCUUUUGAUUCAAAUUAUGGAUUUUUACCCUAUUAUGGAUUGUAAAUGUGACAUCACCCCUAUAAGAGGCUAAGAAGCUAACUUGGGACUUGAAGCAUGAAAACCUAGGGGCUAGGAAACCUAUAGGGACCAUGGGUAAAUUAUUGUAACAAUGAGAUUAAUUAUUGGUUGGGUGAUAAUUUAUCAAUUUUUUUUUUAUAUCUUAUUCUUGUGAGUUAGUUUAGGGAACGAUAUGGUAGGUUAUUACCUGAUACUAGUAAUUCUUGGUAAUUCUUGAUCAUUAGUUAUCCUCGUCUUCCCUAUCGUUAUUUGCCCUAAAAUAAAGUUAUAAGGAGUAGGAAGAGUUAAAAAAGCCAAAUCUUAAAAUGAUAAUCAAUCUCAUUCAUUUUAUGGUUUUAGGAAUCUAUUUUAAAAACGAAAAAUUAGGUUUCAUAUGCAAUUUUGAGUUAUAGAACUCAAAUUGAUCGCGAGCGGCCAAGGAUCCUAAAACCCUAAGAUCAUAUUGCUUAAAAGACCCUUGUUUUCUCUAAUUUAUAUAUCCUAGGUUGGAUUGUGGAAAACCUUAAACUUGAAUCAAUUGAAUUUAAAAUCAAUAUUUGAUUCAUACCCAAUCGGGUGUUUAUCAAAACAUUUAUAAAACCUACAACACCUUAUACUAGGGUAGCAAAGACAAAACUACUAUAGUACAGUGGCUCUAGGAUUGUCCACAAGGAUGAGUUUUCUUUGUACACUUAACAUUAAUGAAAGGAGAAAUGGUGAUUUCCUUUUUGGAAGUUUGUUUUUAAAUGAAAAUAAGAUUGAUUGGAAGGGUUGAUUUUAAGUUAAGCAAAAAUAAACAACUGAAAUUUCUAUAAAGAGAAAGUCUCUUAGAGCUAUAGGUUACUAGGAUCAAGUUCCUGUUGCAAAGUGGGAAAUUUAGGAUCUUCUCCUCGCAUUGGGGAUAAUAACAUAAAGGAUGGUUAUCUCCUGAAUCGGAUUUGUAUUUAGCAAAUAAGUUUUGAUCCAAAGGAUUCUUGAAAAAUGGUAGUUGCUUCCCAUUAAUGGCUUCAAACACUAAAGACCCUCACCUUGAACCACCUUCCAAUGGCUCGUACUUGAUAACUAAUGGACAUCCAUGGAUCUAGCAAUAAGCAUCCAUAGAAUCCUAAAAGCUUACCAAGUAUUGGCCAUUCAAGGUGAUUCUAAGGGAUUAAAGCUGAAACUUGAAAUAUAAACCAUUAAUGAUACACAACUACCUUCAUUUAAAGCAAGGAAAACUCCCACCUUUGCAUCUGGAUCCUUUACCUAGCUUCCAUCACUCCAAGAAACGUGAAACUUAGCCACUCAUCCUUUGAAAAAUCAUCAUCAGAGGGUGUUUGGCUAGAGAGAAAGUGAAAAGAAAAUGAGAAGGAAAGGCAGAGAAACACUCGACUUUACAAAAUAUCUAAAACAUAAUAUCUAACAUAAUAUCUCUGAGAGGUUUUCCAACCCCUAUUAAUAGUUCCUAAACAAACCCUAAAGUCAUUUAUCUAUUACAAAAGGAGUAAAAAGGAAAAAUUACAAUUCUAGAGAAAAAAUCUUCGAAGGUCGAUGCGCAUAAAGUGAUUUUCGCACACCCUACGAAACUUUGGCACACCUUGCAAAAUUUUGGCAUACCUUGCCAAAACUUGGCACACCCUGCCAAAUUUUGGCAUACCCUGCCAAAUUGAUGAUUUUGCCUUGCGAAGUGCUUUGUUUUCCUCCAUCUUGCUACUGGUAGUUUUGGCAACCCCUUGCCAAGUUUGGCAAGGGGUUUUGAAGUGCUCCAAAGCUCGGACUCUUCAUGUGUUCCAAACUCUCCCUCAAUCUUGGCCUGUUUCAGUGAUCAAAAAGCUACCAAAGACAAUAAAACUUACCCAAAUUUGGUUAAUAACAUUUGCUAGGUCCUUAACAUGCCAAUUGGGAUAAAAGGUCUAACUACUACUCAAAAUUGCUUAAUACAAUUAAGUUUAAUCUUAUAAAAAUGCACUUUUUGAGUAGUAAUCAAUAUUCAUUUUGUUAUUAAUUUUAUUUCUUUUACUUAGUAUCACAUUAUUCACAUAUUGUUUUUCACUUUAGGAUUUAAAUAAAAGAAAUUCAUUUAUUCUAAUAUUGACAAUUUCCAUAAGCUAGUUCUUGAGGAUGAUACCCGAAGUACUACAAAAGCCGUAGUGAUUCUUUCUCUAGUUUGUCUUGACUAGAGCUACUAUGUAAAAAGGCUAAGUAUUUUGGUACAACAGAGAAGUUCGGUCAAGGGGAUACAAAUAAUGUGAGGAAAUGUAUGGACAAUAUGAGAAAUGGUACAAAUAAUAUGAGGAAAGGUACAAACAAUGUGAGAAAUGGUAUGAAAAAUGUAAGACAUGGUAUGAACAAUGUAAGAUAGGGUACAAAUAAUGUGAGAUAAAGUACGAAGAAUGUGAGAAAUUGUACGAAAAAUGUGGAAUAAAAAAGGUACGAACAAUGUGAGAAAUUGUGUGAACAAUGCAAGACAUGGUAUAAAUAAUGUGACAGAGUGGGUAUGAAAAAUUUGAAAUAGGAUACGAACAAUAUAAGGAAUGGUACAAACAACAUGAGAAAGGAUAUAAAGAAUAUGAGGAAUGAUAUGAAGAAUGUAAGACAUAGUAUGAAGAAUGUGAGAAAGGGUACAAACAAUGUAAGAAAGAAUAAAAAGAAUGUGAGACAAGGUACAAAUUGUAAGGAAACCUAGAUCACUCUAUUCCAUAUCCUAUAACUAGGUUAGAUGCGUACAAAAAAAUUUCUAAGCUUUUGUAAAUCAUAUGCAUAACAAAAAAAAACAUUUGAAAACUUUAACAAGAUUUUAAAACCAAAAGAGAAAAACUUUACUUUGAUUUGGAUAUUCUCAAAUCAAAUCCAUGUGGUGAAGUUAAAGGCUAAAGUAUCUAGAGGUCUCAAUGAAUCAAACACGAUCUUUGCACCCCAAAGGUGGGGUUUUUUUUUUUGUUUAAGAGGAUAGGCUAUUGCCAUCUACAAACUGGAUGAUAGAAUACAACUAUCUUAAAAACCCUAACCCUUAAGAAGGUAUUUAUAAGGUUCCCUAAUUAGGCUUAAGUGACUUAAGCUUACCAUGGACAUAGGUCACUUAAUUUGACUCAAAAUCGGUCCUAAUCAAUUAAUUGCAUGGCCCUAUUAGGUUAAUUGAUUAAUUAACCUAAUAGGGCCAUGUAAUUAAUCAAUUAACCUAAUUCAGAGGUUUUGUUCACUUAACUUCGUGUAACCUUACGUAAUUACCAAAGCACUCUUAUGCACAAAAUGUUAAUUAAGAGUUAAUCUAACUCUCAUGAACCAUGCCAUUAAGGCAUAUAAACUCGAGUGGGGACAACUAAGACCUAUAGGAUAAUAUUGACUCUUUCAUAAUCCAAUUUUUAAGUUAACUCAACAUUCCACUAUAGAAAAUUAAUUGCACCCCAUUAUCCUAUAUAUAAUGCAAUGAGACACCAAGUGCUAUGGAUUGUGACCCAUUAUCCACUAUAUAUAGUCUUCUCAUAAACUGGCUGGUCGUUCGUAGUUUAACAAGGUAAAAGAUAUCAUCAUUUUAAGAAUACCUUUCAAAUCCUUGAGUUACAUAUGAUCAAACGACUUGCUCUACCUCACUAAGAGCAUACGUCAAAUUCCAUUAAAGAAAUUACUACGUGCCCACAAAUUUUACGAUCACACAUCUUUAGGAUCACCCAAUGGAACACACUCUCUUAAAGUCCAUGAGAUAUCAUGGUGCCUCUAAUGAGAAUACCAAUUGUUAUUGGCUUCCAUCAACAGUGAUUCAAUCCAUAGUAAAUAUAUAUAUGAUCAACUUACGAUCUCAUACUAGGUCAAAGCCUCUACGAACUUUAACAUAAGUUCAACAUUCUAUUAAGGUUGAGAGACAAUACAGUAUAACAGCUUGGUGAAGUCAUGACUACAUGAUAGUCUUAAGUCAUGACUCACCAUAGGUCCUAUUCAAUAUUGUGCAAACUUACACACUAGUGCACUCACCAUGGGAACCCCAUCCCAAUGGCCAAGACCAAUCAUUCCUCCUAUUAAAAGGUAGCGCACUACAACUUCUAAUGGAUUACCUAGGCCCAUGAACUAGCUAUGAACAAGUAAUUUAUUUGUAAGGAACCCAUGACUUGGAUCUUCUAUGCAACUCCUAAUGCACUUAAGGCACGUUUAAUGCAAGAGAUGCAAACCUAAAUGCUUAUAAGGUAUAGCGUAUGAAAUGAAGAUAGAUAAAAGUGACUGGUAAUUUAUUAAUAAAUAAUAAAACUCAAAAGUUUAUUACAUCAUGUGAUGCUUUUAAAGAUUUUAUCAUAAGUCGAACAAUGUGAGACAUGGUACGAACAAUGUAAGAGAGUACAAAUAAUAUAAGAAAUGGUACAAACAAUGUUAGAAAAAAGUAUGAACAAUAUGAGACAAGAUAUGAAAAAUAUGAGGGAGGGUAUGAACAAUGUGAAGGAAGGUACAAACAAUGUGAGAGAGUAGGUAUGAAGAAUGCGAGGAAUAAUACAAAGAAUGUGAUGAAUGAUACGAAGAAUGUGAGACAAGGUAAGAAGAAUGUGGGAAAGCAUACGAACAAUAUGAGAAAGUGCACAAACAAUGUGAGAGAUGAUACGAACAAUAUAAGACAAUGUACAAAACUAUGUGAGAAAGAGUACGAAAGAAAUGGUAUGAAAAAAUAUGGAGAGUAUAAAGAAUAUGGGAUAUUAUACAAAUAAUGUGAGAAAAUGUAUGAUAAAUAUGAGACAUAGUAUGAAUAAUGUGAGAAAUGGCACGAACUAUGUGAGAUAAGCUAUGAAGAAUGUGAGAAAUGGUACAAAUAAUGUGAGAAAUGAUAUUCUUCAUACCAUUUUUCACAUUGUUUAUAUCCUCACUCAUGUACUUUUGUACAUUUUCUCACAUUCUUCAUACAUUGUCUCACAUACAAUAGAUAUUGUUUUAUAAUCCCUAAAUACAAAAAAUUAAAAAAAAAUGAUAUAAAAAUAGUGAAUUUUUUAAAAACCAAAUUGAUAACAAGUAUGGCUAAAUAAUGUACUUCUCUAGCUACUAUUUCUUUUUUUCUUUUAGUUUCUUCAUGGAUAUGAUGGACAAAGGCAAAGGAAAGAAAUUCAUCAUUGAUUUGAAUAAUGAAGACUUUGAUUAGUAAUAUGAUAGUAAUGCAAAAACCGAGUUUGACGAAAAACCCAUGCUAGUUUAAGAGAAUAUUUUGAAUGGUUUAAGACUUGAAGAUGUAUGGGAAAUGGAGUUCAGCUCAAUAGAUGAGGUAGAAGAAUUUUACAAUUUAUACGCUAAAGUUAAUGAAUUCGAUGUUAGAAAGAAUGAUGUUAAACGAGGUAAGAAUUAAAAUAUAGCAUCUCAUAAGUGGGUUUGCUCAAAAGAAGGAUAAAGACAAAUAGAGUGUUUGGAGAAUGAAAUCGAAAAUGAGAACAUAAGACAAUAACUAGAGUUGGUUGUGAGACAUCACUUUGUAUCGGGUUUAACAAACAAAUAAAUAAGUGCAUUAUGAAGGAGUUUAUGGUUGAUCAUAAUCAUCAUUUGGUGGAACCAAAAAUACCCAAUUCCUUCAAUCCCAAAGGGCCAUGAGGAAUGCAUAUAAAGGCUUAUUGAGCACAAUGCGUAGUAUUGGCAUGAGAACUAGACAAAUUAUGGAUUACAUAGUGUAACAAUCAGGUGGAUAUAUUAAUGUUGGCUUCACAAAAAAAGAUCUAUAUAACCAUGUUAAUGUUGAUUGUAGAGUUCAAAUAAGAAAUGGUGAUACAAAGGGUACUCUUUCUUACUUGAGUGGAAAGGCUUAAAUGGAUACAUCAUUUUAUUACAAGUACAAUGUUGAUAAAGACAAUCACCUAGCAAAUUUGUUUUGGGCAAAUUCUACAAGCAGACUGGAUUACACUUAUUUUGGAGAUGUGUUAGCUUUUAAUAGAACUUAUCAGACUAAUGCUAAUAGAAAAUUGUUGGUCAUACUAGUUGACAUUAACCAUCAUUGUCAAACUAUAGUGUUUAGAUGUGCAUUAUUGGUAAAUGAAAGUCUUUACACUUAUACAUGGAUUUUGGAGACAUUUUUGGAUGCAAUGAAUAACAAGAAGCUUUUUUUCAUUAUUAUAGUUUAUGACAAAGCAAUGCAUCAAGCCAUUAAGAGAAUAUUUCUAGAGUAUUAUCAUUGGUUAUGUGCUUAGCAUAUUCAACGCAAGACAUUCACUAAUGCCUAUGUCAAAGAUUUUACUUAUCAUUUUUCUAGGUACAUGUUCAUGGAAGGCACCAUUAAAGAAUUUGAAUGUGCACGGAGUGGCAUGGUGGAAAUAUGUAAUCUCCACGAGCAUAAUUGGGUGAUAGACAUAUAUGCUAAGUGUUCUAGAUAUGUAAAGGCUUAUUUAAAGGUGCAUUUUUUUGUAGGUAUGAAAGCACUCAAAUGUGUAAAAGGAUGAAUGCAUACUUGAAUCGUUUCCUUAAAAAUCAUUUGAAGUUGUUUGAGUUUUUGAAGUAUUUUGAUUGAGCACUCUCAUGUAUUCUUCAUAAUGAGGUAAAGACAAAGUUUGAGACACACGCUUCUUUACUUGUUCUAAAUACCAAACUCUAUGAAAUUGAGAAACAUGUAGAGAUUGUUUUCACUAGGCAAUUGUUUCUCAAAUUUAGGGAUGAGAUAAAGAAUGCAAAACUUUUUUUUCCUUAUUAGUGCAAAAAAUCAUGGAGGUUAUCGUGUCCAUACAUUGAUUGAAUUUAGAAGCUCUGACAAUUUCUUGAAAGUAUUUUAUGGUAAUUGUGAUUAGUUUAUGAAAUGUACUUGUAUGAUGUUUAAGUUAGUUAGUUUUCCAUAUCCCCACAUGAUUGUUGUGAUGAAGAUAGAUCACCUUGAAGAAAUAACUGAGAGUUGUAUCAUGAAAAGGUGGUCUAAGUUAGCAAAAGAAGGGGUUCAAGUUUACCAUGACAAUGAAAGUCAAAAGAUAUGGCUAACAUUAUACAAUAUGGUGUACUCGGCUCCAUGUGUUUACGAAUGUCUUAUUUUGCAUUUCAAUAGAAAAAAACUUUUAAAAAUGUUAGAUGUGAAAUUUAAAGACUCACUUGUCAAAUGGAAGAACUUAGUAAAAAUUCAUUCAAAAGGUUUAUGGGAAAUUUUGAAAGCUACAAAACACCAUGUUCAGGAUCUUGACAUUAUGAAGACCAAAAGUAAUCUAGGUACCUUAAGAGACAAAUUCCAAAAACCAAGGUGUUGUGGAAAAUGUAAGAAAAUAGGACACAUCAUUUUAAAAUGUUCAGUGUUCGUUAACAGUCACAAUGCACCCAUCCACAUUGAAGAUUUCAAUGAGGAAAUGGUAUGGUCAAACUCUUCAUUGAAUUCACUUUUAUAAUUAUUUUCACUUGGUUAAAUUGAUUGAAAAAAAAUUGAAUUAGUUUAUGUUAAUAUAUCACAACAUAGAACAUGGAACAAGACAUAAGACAAAUGAGUUUUAUCAAAAUGUAAGUUUAACAUUUUUUUAAUAAUUUUAAUUAUGACAUGCAAAAUAUUUUUUAUGAGAGUAAUUGAAAAAUUAAAUCAUCAUAGAGAACAGUUGAAACAUUCCACAAUGGUCUAGAAACAAACUUGUAUGAUUCAUGGCUUAGAUCCACCAAAUUACUUCACAAACCAAGAGUCGUAGAGUAACUUGCCUACAACAUAUUUCAUUUAUCUAUAUAUUGGGUGAAUUUCCUAAGCAUUUAAUAUCUAGUCAUAUGAAUUUCCUUUCAAAAUAUUAUGCAUAACUAUAAAUAUUUUCAAUGUAGGUUACCAUAAACCACUUCACAUCUAGAUUUUCGGGUUUGAGUUCUUCGUAUUAGAAUCAAUGAGUAAACUAGCUAUGAUGCAAAAAAACAACUAUUGCAUUUGUUCAUCAUACAAACAAAAAACAACUCUUGAUUAUAUCCCAUACUUUUCUUCUCUUACUUUUUUGCAUGAAUGUGAACUUUAUUUAGUAUUAUGACUUUCUCUCUAUUUUCAUCACCAAGCACUAUUUAAUUGCUAACUUGUGUCCAGUAAGUAUAGACUCUCAAUGGAUAGGGGUUGAAUUUGACUCUAUGUACUUCGAUCUUUGCAUAUGAUUGAUGACAUGCACUCUACAACCCCACCUAGCAUAGAAAAUGAGAAAGAAAAUUGUCUAAUUAAUAAAUAGAAAUAUUAUUUAGAACACGUUAUAUUUGAUAAAAUGGCUAUGCUUGCUUACCCAUUGUCUUGCUCAUGUACCCAAGUAGGCCUUUCAAUGAGCAAACUUGAUAAAUCCUUGUCAUGCCCAUUAGGAUUAAAAAAAUGAGUACACUCUUUGACCUAAUUCAUAUCAUUAUAUCUUUUUAUAAAAUAACAUGAUAAGUUAACAAUUGACACUAAAAAAAUAAUAAAAUUAAUUAAAAUAUAAGAUAUGUCAUUGUUUUCACAGAUGUAGUUCUCAUAUGGUUCCUUUCUCUUGAUGGCAAUGAGUAUAAAAUAUAAAUAUUGCGUUAUUCAAGAUUUAUUACUCACAAAUGCUAAUGAUUUGGACAUGUAUCAUGCAACAAAAUGUAUAUAUAAGCAAAACACACAUUUUAGAAUUGAUAAUUAUUUAUAAGUAUGAUCUGAAUACGAUUUUCAUAAAUAUGCUUUAUCACAAUCCUCCAUUUCAUUUAUCUAUUUGAUUAUGUGUAUAUUUUACUAGACCUUGACAAUUUUCUACCACUAUGCAAAAUCAUUUGCUUACAAAAAAAUCACAAUACUUAUUAGGUUACAUUUUUUACUUUAAUAAGAAAUAUAAUAUGAACAUACCGUAAAUGUAGUGGGUAGGUAGCAUCUCGUAGAUCGUAUUUAUUUGAAUUUCAUUUCAAAAUUUUUAAGUUUGCAUACAAAUAAAUUUAUGAUCUAAAAAAGAAACAAAAGAUAGUUAACAACAUUAGUUAUUUAACAAAAUUAAUAAGAAGUUGGUUUAUUCUUGUAGUUUUUACCACAUCUAGUAAUUCUUGUCUAGGUUCUAAAAUCAUGAAAUCAUUUUUAUGUGCAUGCUCAUAUUGAAAAUUAAAACGAAGUUCACUGCAAAAUUUAGGUAUUUAAUAAGUAUAACUUUCAUAAGAUGACUUGCAUAAAGUAUAUUCAAAAUAAUGAGUUUACAAGCCUUUUGUCUAAUGAAACAUCAAACACAUAAUACACAAUUAGAGAGUCAAGUAUACUUAAGGAAUGUGAAUCCUCCACAUUUAGCAAAAUGGACAUGGGCAUUGUAUAUAUUCAAAACAUUUCUAAUAAGCAUUAGUUAUUGUUCACUAUAUUAUUAAAUAUUUAAACAAAACAACAUCAAUGAAGUAAUUCACUAUAUUUUUUGAUCCAACAAUCAUGCUUUGGAAUUUCUUAGACAUUUUUAUCUUAAUUGAUUGAUGAAUGUAGGGUGACAACUUGGAUGUACUAGGCUUGUGCUCCAUUGUUGUAUGUGUUUUUCAACACAUGAAACAUCAACAAGAACUUAUCAUGUUCAUCAAUUUUAUAUUGAAUGUUCAUGAUGGAAGAAAUAUGUAACUAUGCCACCACAUGAGUCAUUUUCAUUCAAAUUUUCUUCUAGCACAACAUUACUCAUAGGAAGAAGCAAAUGUUUCAAUUCCAUAUAUAUUUUUUAAUUGCUAAAAGCUUAUUCUUUGCAUCUUUCAUCCAUAAGAGGAACAUUUGUUUGUAGGAUAUAUUUUUUCAAUUUCUCAAAAGUCUUCUCCAUACUUACCAAAAUUUCUUCAACCUAGUGACAAAAAAAUGUAAAAUAUUAGAACAAAAAAAAAGUUUGGGAUAUGGAACCUCAUGCACAUAAAUAUAGUAUAAAUAUGUACCUUGUUGUCACGAACUUAGUCUUUUCCUAAGCUCGUGCGACACUUAGAUAGGUUAAGACACUUGAUCUUGCUAAGUCAGUCUUACUCUUGAUGCUUAGCUUGCUAGGCUAAAAUGCUCACGACUUGGAAGCUUUAGAAGGCAUAUUAUGCAACUCUUGAAGAAUGGAAGCUUUUAUUGCUCAAAGGAAGCUUUACAAGUGCUUUGGAACUCACUUGCUUAGUGCUUUGGCCAAAUGAGGCUCUCACCUAUUUAUAGGCACCAAUGGAACUCUCUAGAACCUUGAAGGGUUCCUUACAAAUCAGGAAUAUUCUAGAACACCCUACACAAUUCUAUGUACAAGCCUAUGUAUAAGAAUAUACAAGGAAUAUCUAGAAUUCUCUAGAAAGCCUUAAACUUCUCUCAUGCUUUCCACCAUAGUGUAGAGAUGUAUGGACAUCUCUAGGCAUCUCUAGAACCUUCCACACUCUUCCCACCAAUGGCUAAGUGUAGGAGUCUCCAUAAGCCUCUUGGGCUCUAUAUAAACCCCUAGGGAGGUUGUGGACCCCAUAUUUCGGCUCAUGCGCUUCCACUCGAUGGCGAGCUUGCUUUUUAUUUGAAAAUUUGAUUUUAUUUAUUAGAAAAUGACUUGGAGUCACCACUUAUUUUUGUUUUAUUUUUAAAGGGUAAACAAAAUAAGAAAGAAAAACCCUGAGUGUGACUCAUUAUUUGGAAAAGGUGGUCUGUGAAAACCAAAAAUGGGCUCGGGGGUCAGGUUACUUAUCGAGAAGGUACGGCAAAGACCGUAGCACUCCUCUAAGUCCCUAAAAACGGGUCUCUACUAAUAAAAUGAAGCAAGUAUGGCGAUUGAUAAGCAAAUCAAUGGAUACCGAAUGAAAAUCAAAACAAAAUACUAGAAUGAAUAUGAGAGCCAAAGAACGUACCUGAGUGAUGACCUAAUUUAUUUCAUGGGAAGCAAAGGUUAGUAAACAAAUAUGGAAUAAUCAUGUGCAUAUCAUAGAAUAGAAUAAAUCAAUCACGCAUGGCAAUCAAAUCAACCAAUCAAUCAAUCAGUCAUAAAAUCACGUAUAUGGGGUCCCCACUAAAGCCCAAUUUAUUUUGCAUGAAUCAAUUCCAAUAACUCCAUUAUUCACAAUUACGAAAUUUAAUUCUUUCUUAUUUUAAAAAAUUUUUAAAAUCAUGGAAGUUAUGAAAAUUACUUGUCAGAAGAAAAAGUGGUGGCAAAAUUUUAUUGAAAAAUAGGUUUUUGGAACUUAAAAAUUCUAAGGAUGAAGAAAAACUUAGAGUUUAAAGACUAAAACCUGAAAAUUUAUUUGAAGAAAAGGAUUUGAAAAAUUAUUUUUAAAAAGUUAAAGAUAGUAAAAUGGAAAAAAAAAAAACACUUGUGUCAAAGAUGGCCAUGCAAAAAGUGUGGUCUCUUAUAGCUUCUCUUCCCUGUAGCAAACCCAUCUUCAAAAGUCAUCAUUCCAUCUUUUAGAUUUAUUUUUAGGUGGUCCGAUUGAACUGCUUAUUAGGAGAUGCAAGUGCGAUCAACUCCAUUUGAGUGGCAUUUGGCAAAGUCCUCAUGAGCUUUCAAUGCCAAGUCAUCAUCUUCCCAUUCAUCAUGGAAUGCGUGUGGACGGACAAAAUAAUUCUUUUUGGUUGCAUAAUAUAUUUCCUUUCUCCAUUCUUCGACACCUGGAAUCCUACACUUGCUAGCAAAUCAGUCCAUGUAUUCUAUCCGACAAUGACCAAUGCCACGUGUGUACCACUUAGGUGUGCCUGAAGCCUCAAGCAACAAGUACUAUGCCUCAACAUCUCUCAUCAUCUCCUCUUCCGAUGGGAGUCCAAUCCUACUAGAUAGAACCCCUGCUAUCCAUUUGCUUUGAAAUUCAUACAAGAUGAAGCCAAUACCCAUCAAUGGUAACCCAAUAAAGGAAAGCCAAGCUACUAAAGCCGGUGGAAAAGUGUGCUUGUAUAGUGGUCCAACACAAUUGUCUUCCAUAGUGAUAAUGUCAUUAGUGUCAAGAAAAGGGAAAUGAUACUUGUAUCCUGUGCAAUGCAGAAUAACAUCGGCAAAAAACCACACUCCCAUCAUUAAAUAUCAUAAAGCCGUCCCUGUGGAUGCUUUCUAUCUUUACCAUAGGAUGCAGCUUCAAAUUAUCAUAGCUAGACAUGUUUCCCAAGACUCCAACCUUGGCUGAUCUAGAUGCAAUGUGAACUUCUUUGGCAACUUGAGUAAUGUCCAUAAAGAUAUCAAGAUCACUUGAACCAACCCCUAUCAAAAUUACAACUAGAUCUCGAAAGGGGUCAGGAAUACGAUAAUUAUGGCUGUGCAUUUACUUCCCCGACCAUGCAUCAAUCCCCAAAAUUUCGGCAGUACGAGGCUUUGUGUUAUGCCCAUUGCAAACAACCACUACAUAAAAAGUCUCAUCAGCUAUCACACCAUUUUCCAUUCUAGACCUAACUCUCCACUUUCCAUUAACCAACCCAGCAUAAACCACAUUUGUCUCAAAGCGGACUAACUUAGUGAGCCCAAACGUAGUGGCAUAAUCAUUGAUAUAAAGAAAUACCUCUCGAUGACCUGGAAACCUGCUGGAGUCGUUGUAAGCUUGACCCUUAGAUAUGAAAGGGUAGUCUUGAAACCCUAUAGUCUCACUCCUCAUUACGACUUCGUAUCCAAGAAAGUCAAAACACCAAGAGUAGAGAGAAAUUAGCAAAAACAGAGCAAUGAAGGAAGAAAAUAGGAUGAAGUAUUAAGAGUUAUAGUUCAUCUCUUAGUUAGUGGGCUUGCAGAUGGGUGAAUUAAAAGGUUUUUUUUUUAUUAUUUAAAAUGUCACAGAGAAGGUAAAAUGGCAUUAAAUCAAAUUUCGAGCACAAACAGGAGCAACAGAGGGGCUAGCAACUAUGAAGAAUAAAACAUAAAUCAUCCAAAAGUCAAUAGCAGCGCAUCUCAAUAAUAGUGGAUGAAGAGAAAAAGCAAGAAGAAAAAAAAAACACAGUAGAAAACUCACUUCCGAGAAAAUGUUGGAGGCCUUUAUACUUUGCAAUCCAAGACUCCCUUGUUUGCUCCCCAAGCUCAAAGAACACAUGUCCAAAAAUCUCUCUCUGUCUAAAACAAAAAUGUCUCUCAAGCCUCAAAUAACACCCCCCCUCUCCAGCAAAACUUGUAUCUCCAGCUAAAAAAAAAAAAAAAAAAACCUCACCAUCCCCAGCAAAUAUCUCCCAAAAAGAGCAACCUAAAAGCACCUCCUCUCUCCACUCUCUGUAACUAUUUCCAAAAGAAAAACCUCUCUCUCCCUCUAACCCCCUAGAGCAAAACUUGUCUCUCUUUAAAAAUCUCCUCCCUUUGUAAUCAAAACUUUCUCUAAGCUUCACCCUAAAGCUCACUCUCUUCUUCUUCUGUACAGGUUGCCUUCCAUGGAUUUCUCACUUAGAACCCUCCCCCUUAGCUUGCUGCCUAAAUAACUCCCUCUCUCUACAGUUGGCUCUCCAAGCUAACCCCCUACAAAAACAUCUCCUCUUAAAAAAUAACCGAAGACGCUCAUUCCUAAAGCUUUCUACAGCUCAAAAAUAUCUCUUCCUCUUUUUGUAAAACUUUCUUUCCCCUGGCUCCCUCUCUAUUGUUUUUUUUUCUCAAGCUAACCCUCUCUCCUAAAAAUAUCUACCCUAAAAACAGCUAUGAAGACCUCCCUUCUCUCUUCCAGAUGACACUCCUCCUAACGAAAAACCUCUUUUCGAAUCUCCCUUUACAGGUGUCAACCUUCUAUUGGCUCCUCAAAAAGCACAUCUGAUUCCCUAGCAGCCAAUCAGGAGGCAACACAUGGCUCUUUGAGAGCUCUCCACCUGACAAAAGCUAGUUGUAGGAAUACCUCCCAAAAUGGGGGUCUACAAAUAUGCCCCUCUUCGGUAGAGCUCACGAGUGUAAGGAAUAUGAACACUGGAGUGAAACAGUGUGAAUAGUGAGUGGAAUAAAGUGAACUCUACCAAAGAAGCAAGGAGACCCCCAAAGGGACAUUGGUAAAACACAGACUCACUCAGACCAACAGACGAACACAAAGACUCUAAUCUUAAAAGAAAAAGAUGUCUCAAAGUGCCUCUGAAGUCGCACUAAGGACCCAGGCUCCCUCUAAGACAUCUCCAAAAGUGACUCGAAAGACCAUAUCAAAGAUGAGUAACGGUCGAACCACUCUAAAGUACAGAAAAGACUACACCCAAAUGAGACUGCCCUAUAUGAACUACAUAAGAAUGUCAAUUGUAGGGUGCCCAACAACAUGACCGAAGUAUGUGUCAUGAACUCAAAGGACUUUGUCAUGAGUAGUGGAAAGGGAAGUCUAAAAGAGCAUGAUAAGCAAAUAAUAAGCAUCAGGUGACCAAGUGAAGAGAAUGACUCUGAAUACCCAAAAUAGAGAAACAAUGGUGACUCAAAAUGUCUGGAUAAGUAUGCACAAUUGCUUUGAACGCCAAAACCGAAGACGUGACUCUGAAUGUCAUACUAAACAAAGACCCUGGACGUCAAACUGAACUGAUAGGAAGAAUGAAUGACCGAUUAAUAUGGGUGCGGUCCUGACUCAAACUAAACUCAAACUGAUAGGAAAAUGGUCGAUCUAUAUAGGUGCGGCCCCGAAAUUCUAAUUGAAACUGACAAAACGAUGAAUGACUGAUCGAUAUAGGUGCGGUCCCGAAAAACUCAAACUGACAUAGAAAUGAUAGGAAGAUGGCUGAUUGAUAUAGGUGCGGCCCCGACUCAAAUUGAACACGGAAGAUGAUCAAUCGAUAUAGGUACAGUCCUGAAAAGCUCAAAAUGACAUGGAAAUGAGAGGAAAAUGGCUGAUCAAUAUGGAUGCAGCCCCGAAAACUCAAUCUGUCAUGAAAAAUGACUGAUCAAUAUAGGUGUAGUCUUGAAAAACUCAAACUGAUAGGGAAACAUUAGGAAGAUGGCUGAUUGAUAUAGGUGCGACCCCGAAAAACUCAAACUGUCACGAAAAAUGACCGAUGGAUAUAGGCGCGUCCCGAAAAACUCAAACUAAUAUGGAAAUGAUAAGAAGAUGGCCGAUCGAUAAAAGUGCAGCCCUGAAAAACUCAAACUGACAUGGAAAUGAUAGGAAAAUGGUUGAUUGAUACGGGUGUGGCCCUGAAAACUCAAACUGUCACGAAAAUCACUGAUCGAUAUAGGUGCGGUCCUGAAAAACUCAAACUGACACGGAAAAUGAUUGAUCGAUAUAGGUGCGACCCCGACUCAAACUAAACACAUAAGAUGUGGUGACCGAUCGAUAUAGUUGCGGCCCCAACUCAAACUAAACACAGAAGAUGUGGUGACCGAUUGAUAUAGGUGCGGUCCCGACUCAAGCUGAACACAAACUAAUAGGAAGAUGGUUGAUCGAUAUAGGUGCGACCUCAACUCAAACUGAACACAAACUGAUAGGAAUAUGGCCGAUCAAUAUAGGUACGACCUCGAAAACUCAAAUUGACAUGAAAAAUGAUCGAUCGAUAUAGGUGCGAUCCCGACUCAAACUGAUAGACAUAUGGCCGAUCAAUAUAGGUGCAGCCCCGAAAACUCAAACUGACACGAAAAAUGACUGAUCGAUAUAGGUGCGGCCCCGACUCAAACUAAACACAAACUAAUAGGAAUAUAACCGAUCAAUAUAGGUGCGGCCUCGAAAAACUCAAACUGACACAAAAAAAUGACGAUAUAGGUGUGGCUCCAACUCAAACUGAUAGGAAUAUGAUCGAUCAAUAUAGGUGCGGCCCCCAAAAACUCAAACUGACAUGAAUAAUGAUCUGAUCAAGUAGCCCAAAGCCAGAGGAUACUAAGAUGACGAUGCAAGCAAACUCCAUUGGAGGGGAUAUACCCCGGUAUGACAACUCAUGAAGAUCGACAACUAGGUCAAAAGAUAAAGAAGCAUGUGAAAGGUUCGACGAUCUUAAAGAAUGAGGGUAUGCCCCAAUAUGUGAUUCACGGGGGUCAACAAUUAGAUCAAAAGGCGAAUAAAGCCUAUGGAAGGUCCGAUGAUCCCAAGUAAGAAGGGUAUGCUUCAGUAUGUGACUUGCGGGGGUCAACAACUAGAUCAAAAGGUGAAUGAAGCCUAUGGAAGGUUCGAUGAUCCCGGGUAAGGAGCGUAUGCCCUAGUAUGCAAUAAUGAACAAACAUAAAUGCAAAAUGCCUCCAAACUACUGUACUUUGAAAUAUGCUCAUCUAUCAUGUAAUGAAAAUGUCCAACCUCAGAUAAGUAAUGCCAAACAGGACCAUGUAUCGUGACACCAUGAUGACAAAACAAAACUAGCUGGUGAAUAACAACAAUAAUGGUUAGUGCUCAAAAUGCAAAGAGUAAACAAAUCAACACUCAACAUGCUAACUGUCAAAGUGAAAACAUCGUCACUAAUAAAUCAACAAUCUGUCAUGCCCUGCCAUCAUGGAAGAUGUUGAACCUAAAGUCUGAAAGAUGUAUGAAAACACAACCAAAGUGAUCGAGGACUGAUCUACGCCUCAUCCAAAUCGAGAUAGGGGUGAAGUUAGGUGUUACGGUGGGAUAUGUAGGAUAAAAGAAAGUGAUGAUCAGGCUCUGGUAUGAUAGAAGCAUGAAAGUAUCCAAAUUGAAAUGUCUAAGUACGAAAUAAAAGGUUGUAAGUAUCUGAGAUCAUCCAAGUAUGUCGAGAAGACUAAACCCAAGGUGUCAAUAACUCUAUAAUCUAUCAGAAGUAAUAAUCAUAAACAGAAAGUCAAGUCUUGAUAUCAAAACAUCCGACUAGAUGGCUAUGCUCCAAUAUGCAAUGAGGACAACAUGAAACAAUCCAAUGAUCUCCACAUCAUCUGGUAGAUGCUCCAAUGUAAAGAACUAAUCGAAUAUUCCUCCAAAAGAUGGACAUGCCCUAAUGUAAAGGAUCCAAUAGGGUGGCUAUGCUCCAAUGAAAAAUACUCUCCAUGCCAGCUAUGCCCCUGUAUAUUCGAGUCAUCAACUGCUAAAGAAGAUCAUGCCUGGUGUACGUCAACAAAUCAAUCCAUCUCUACUCCCGAUGCCAAAAAAGGGAAACAUCCCAACAUAAUCCAUAUGAAUCAGAAUCCCUAAGGCUCUAUGAAUGUGAAUGAAGUGGCUAUGCCCCAAUAUAAAUCAUCUGAAGUGACUAUGCUCCAAGAUAAAUCAAAUUCCAUUGCCAAUGAGACGACUAUGCCUCAAUAUGUGUCCUCAAAACAAGGUCAAUGUCAUUCCUCAAUGCUAAAAAUAGAAAUACUACUAUGAUCUCAAUCAUCCUAUGCUUUACAAAAAAAAAAAAAAAUAGAGUGGUUGUAUUUACUAUGCACAAUCUCUAAAGCAAUCAUAUCUCAAAAUAAACCAUCAUCUCAAAAAAACAACCAUCGAUGAGAGGAGUGUGUCUUAAUGCAGAAUAUCAAGUAGAGUGACUGUAUCUCCAAUAAAAGUGCUUUCUGAAAUGGUUAUGCCCCAGUGUAGGAUCAUCCUAAAAGAAACUACCAUCGAUGAGCGGGGUAUGCCCCAGUGUAGAUAACGUCACCUCUGAAAAUCCAUCACUGAUAAGAGGGGUAUGCCCUAGUGUAAAUCAUCAUCUUAAUUCCUCAUCCAUCAUGCACGAAGAAAUAAUCUCCAACAAACCUUGAGUAUUACCCACAUGUGAGCUGGCAAACACCAUGUGAAGUAAUGGCCUUAGGGUGGUCUUCAGACACGGGACAUAAUGUAGACCAAGGUAAUAGGGUGAAAGAAAUAAAAGGAAACUAGGCUCAAAGAUCCCAAUGAUAUAAUCCCCAUACCCCUCAUGCAGGAGAUGCAAUGCGUAGGAAACAUCAUGAGUCCUGGACCUAGGGGUUCCCACACGAAAAGGGAUGAUAAAUGAAUGAACUUAUCAAAUAAGCAAGUAUAAUGUGUGAAUGCUGAACCCAAGUCAAACAUCGAGCAAAAUGAGAAAAGAAAGAAAUCGAAUGAGGUAAAGUAAAAAUGGAGUGAUAAAACAAAGAUAGAAGAAAGUAAAGAGAUAGAAAAGUGAGUGAUUGUCAACCUGCAUCAAAGCAUGGAAAGUAGUCACAUCCAAAAUAGAUGGGAUGAUGGAUAGAGCAAGGAUCCAAAGAUACUAAAGAAAGGUUGCUCGCCUCUCUCACAAAAAUUGAGUGGGUGCCUCAUACUCUCACCCAAAAUAUACCAAGAUAGAAUCUCAUAAAGAAGCUCUCAUACAAACUCCCUCUAACACAUGAACUCAAUGAAGCAAAUUAGCACGUCCAUACACAUGCCCAAUGGAGAAUAAUAAAAUGAAUAAUGCACUAUUUUUUUUUCAAAUACUCUAAUCAAUAAUGAAUGAUCUCCCGUGAAAUACAUAGCCAAAUGAAUAAACCCUCCCCAUGUACUGAUGUAACUUGAAUCCUCACUAACAAGACAACCUCUCAAAAUAAGAUCUCUGAACCAUUGCUCAUAAGGCGGACAGGGGGAAGGAUGUGACAAUCCUCCAUGUAGUGACUUGUGAAAAACCACCACUCAAGGUGAAACAAGGAUAAUGUUGAGUAAUUAAUGAUGAAAGAAAAGACAGAGAAUGAAUAUCACAAGUGGUGAUAUGUGAUAUCAUAAAAUAGUGAUGAAAUGAUGACCAAGUGGAAAAUAUCACAAAUGAAGAUCGAGGAAUGAGGCCUGAAUAUGUAUGUCAAGUCUAAAACUCAUGACGUAUCCUAUCAUAGCAUGCAAGCACUACAGGGUCUCCAACCCGAUGUAAUAGGUAAAUGAGGUGAUGAAAGAAAAGGCUAUGUGCUCGUAUGAGGCUUAAUGGGAUAGUAAUGGGUAACUCUAUAUGCGAGAGUGAUAUGGUAAAUAAGCUCCCGAAAUGAUGGCCACCCAUCCUAUGACCGUAACCUCGAACAUCGUGCUUUAAAGAUCUCACAUGGUCAAUACUAAAGGCUGGCACCCGUCCAACAAAGUCAUGGUGACUCCUUUGAAAUCGUGUGAAAGUUCCCAUCGAUGCUCUGUGAUAAUCAUCAAUGUCCUCUGACAAUCACCUCACUCUAUCAUCAUAAUCUACUAACCAUCAUCUCAUAAAAUCACCAUCUCUAAUCAUCCCAACUCUUUGAAGUCAGGUGCAAUGGCUCAAAUCUGGAUGCUCCAUGACGUCUCAUCUACCUCAACAACAUCAUCAAGCAGUCAAACCACUCUCUCAUCAUGAUCCAUCUAUCAAUCGUGUAGAGCUCACCUCAGGUCAAACUAUCUCAGGCACUACAUGGUCAGAUCAAGGAAAUGAUGGAAAGAAAAGGCAAUGGUACUGUAGCAUGCUAAGGCGAACAAGGGUAGUAAAGUCAUGUAAUGGUACCAGGGGUGGUGUCAUGUCAAGCCCAAAAUGGUUAGGUCAUCAAGUCUAAAAAGUUAGGGUAGAGAUAUGGAUAUGGUGCUGCUUUGAUUAGAAGAUGAAACGAGUCGUAGUCUUGAGUUCACUAGUCGAUCCUCUAAUCCUAGGUCAACAGGCUCAAUAUCCUCCAUGAUAGGUCAGGCCCUAGCGAUCAUGAUGUAAGUGAAAGAUGUCUCAUAUCGAAAGAAUAACACACAUCAACACAUAAUAUGUAAAACAUACUCAUGAGUAGGAGAAGAACAUAUACUUAGGAUAAAAAGAUCAUGUCACUAAAAUGAACCAAUGAGUACAUCAUGUGUGAAAUGAUAAAGGACUAUAAAUGACUAGACUCUCAACAUGAACUAUAAACAAAGACCCUAAACCAAAACCGAACUCAACAAAAUAAAAGCAACUUUGAUGAACUGAAAAUUGGACUCAACAAAAUGGAAAAUGACUCUAAUGAUGACCAUAAUCAGAAUGAAAAGUGCUCUGAGUUGAACUGCUACCAAGUGAUGUACCCAUGCCGACUGAUCCAAGCCCUCAACCCGGGAUGUCCCAAAAUACCAUGCGACCAUCAAUACCAUCAAUAUCCAGAUCGAUCUACUGAAGAUUAGGAGGAGGAGGAACUACAUGUGUAGAUGUGUAGGCAGGGGAUUGGUGGUCACACUUGGCCCAGCCAGGUCGACCAACCUUGAAUCGGUCAAGUCCUGUAUCGCAUGAUGGAGCGUUGAACAAUGCUCAGUAUCGUGCCCCUAAAUCUAAUGAUAUAAGCAAUGCUCAUGUGAGAGGAAAUGAAGAGGAAUAGGAUGUGGCAAAGGACGUGGCACCAAAGGAACAAUCAAACCAGCGUCUCUGAGCUUCUCAAAAGCUCUAGUCAAAGUCAUGCCUAAUGGAGUGAACUAUCUCACGAGUCUCUGUGCAUAUGGUUUAGGUGGUAGGUGAGUAGUGGCUCUCGGAUGUGGUGGUCGUGGUUGCAUGCUGGUCUGAGCAAUGUAAAGCUCCUGAAUAUAAAUUGACUGAUACAGAUACUAGGGAUGAGAGAAAUGAGCUCUGACUGUAGGAGGCCUAUAAGGUGAGUGAUGCGUAGGCCUCUGAUGCUGAUAACUAAUAGCACCAACCUCUCCAGAUCUACUAGAUGAUCCAAUCGACUUCUUCUCCUUACUGUCAGGGAAAAUAAUAGUAUUUAUCCAUAAUCCUUGAGCAAUGGCCUCCUCAACACUAAAAUCUGCAUGAACUAGGCUCUUAAGAUCCUAAAAUGGGAUGCCCACAAGAUGCCUAGUGAACCUCGGCUGUAGGUUCCGAAGAACCAUAUCAAUCUAAUCCUGCUUCGUAGGUCGGUCUAUCAUACCAACCACUUUUUCCCUCCAAUGACUGACAAAGGAAGAAAUAGACUCGUCUGGCCUUUGUCUGGUGGCCUCCAACUCUUGUCUGGAUACAUUAAUGUCGGCACUGAAAGCGAAUUGAGUCAGGAACUCAUGAGCCACAUCUUCCUAGGUACGAAGUCUCGAAGGCUCAACUAAAGCAAACCAUCUCUGAGCUGCUCCCCUAAGUGACAUAGGGAAGAGGGCCACCAAUUGUGAAUCAUCUAUCCUAUGUGCUCUCAUUACUAUGCUGUAUAGCCUCAAAUGGGUCUUGGGAUAGCCAAUCCUGCUAUAACGCUCAAUAUCUGGCAUGCAAAACUUGGCGGGUAAGCUAGCCGCCAGUAUGCCAUCUCUAUCAUCCCAAGUCAAACCUCUAUCUUGCAAUCUGAUUUGUCUCAUCCUAGAAUCAAGCCUCUCAACCCUAGCCUCCUGCUCAGCCAAUCUAGUAUCAUUAAUAGUAGAAACCAUGGGAGGUGGCACUAUGACAGUAGGUAGUGGAAUGGUCUCAUAAAGAUUUGCCAGAUGGAAUGGAGUACCAAGUGAAACCCUAGAUGGUAGAGCUUGUGCUGUCUGAGAUUCAUGAUGAACCGUCUCAUCAGUGACCACACCAACUGGAUGAGGAUCCCGGUAAGAACUCUAUAUUUGAUCCAAACGUCUACUCACUUUGGCCAUGAACUCUUAAAUAGAAGCAAGUGUAGCAAUUAGCUCGUUUGACAUCUCAACUGAACUAUCUAAACUAUGAUUUGAAUAUGCUAUGAUCAAUCGACCUCCAACUCUCCUCUAAGAAUGUGACUCUAGACUUGACCAACUCCUAAACUGACUCCCUACAAUGCAAACAAAUGGAUGAAGGAUGCAAGAAAGAACCUGAUUCGACUCAUGGUAGCUUAGCUUUAAAGGCGUAUCAACAAAAUUUAUACCUUAAAUACUAUUACUAAAGUAGCCAAGCUACUAUAGCAUAGUGGUUCUAGGAUCGUUCACUGGGAAGGGUUUUCGCAAACACUAGUGAUAUUCAAAUUAGGAAAAUAGGUGCUUUUCUUAUGGAUGUUAGCUUUAAAAGAAGAUAUAAAUGUUUUAGAAAGAUUUAAACUAAUCUAAGCUAACAUUAAAGACUAAAAUGAAAAGGUGUAAAAACAAGUUUCUCAAAGAUAGGAUAGCUAUGCUCUGGCUCUUAUACAAAUUGGAAAUCUCAGGAUAGGCUCCUCACGUUGGGGUUGCAACUAUGGUGAUGCUUGCUUCCCGAACCGGUAUGGAUUUAGCAAAUCAAGUUUUAAUCCUUUAAAAUGACAAAACAGAUGGUAGUGAAUUUCAUCAAUGGUUAUUCACCUUAGACUUCCUUUGAAUGGCUCGUAAGAGAUAACUAAUGGUCUAAAGCUAAAAGCUNNNNNNNNNNNNNNNNNNNNNNNNNNNNNNNNNNNNNNNNNNNNNNNNNNNNNNNNNNNNNNNNNNNNNNNNNNNNNNNNNNNNNNNNNNNNNNNNNNNNNNNNNNNNNNNNNNNNNNNNNNNNNNNNNNNNNNNNNNNNNNNNNNNNNNNNNNNNNNNNNNNNNNNNNNNNNNNNNNNNNNNNNNNNNNNNNNNNNNNNNNNNNNNNNNNNNNNNNNNNNNNNNNNNNNNNNNNNNNNNNNNNNNNNNNNNNNNNNNNNNNNNNNNNNNNNNNNNNNNNNNNNNNNNNNNNNNNNNNNNNNNNNNNNNNNNNNNGAGGAAAGCCCUCAGAGGCUGUUUGGCUUCCAAGAAAAUAAAAUAGUAAAGAUAAAAGAGAGACGAGAGAGCUCUGUAUAUAUUCUAAGUGUAAAACGUAACCUAUGUUCUCUAUAUAUUCCAAGAGGUGAUUUCCACCCCUUAUAUAGUCUUUACAAAAGCAAAAGCUUGUGAUUGGUUAGUUACAAGGAUAAGAAAGGAAAUUACAUCACAAAAUACAAAGGAAAAUAUCUAAAGUGGAGUCGGCAAAAGCAGAGGAAAAUUCGCAACACGCAUGGGUUAUGCGAAUUUUGAAGGUGUUAUGCGAAAUUUUCGCAUAACCUAGAGCAGUUGGCUUCCGAAGACCAUAUCUUCCUCAUUUCAACUCCAAAUCGUACACGGUUUGAAGCUUUGGAUUCUUGACUUCCAGAGCUUUGAAAUGGUAUAUAGUAUGUAAAAAAUGGACUUCGGGAAGUGCUCCAAAAGUGAGCAAGAAUACUGCAGCUGCUGUCCUCUUUGCUUCUCUUCACUUUGCUUGCUUUUCCUCUUUUCCAUUGUUCUUUCCUUGCAUACUUUGAAAGACUUUGGCAAAGGGCUAUGGAGCUCCAAAGCUUGGUUCUUCAUGAAUUUGUGCUUCCAAAAGCUUUGCCAUAACUUGUCUAAGUAGCUCCUCCAUCAUUUGGCAUGCUUGAAUUGAUUCAUAAGCUGAUAAAAACAUGUAAACUUGCCACAAAAUGGUUAAAACCAAUUACUAAGGACCUUAAUGAAUUAAUUGGGUUAAAUGAAUAUGAUUACUACUCAAAGGUGCUUAAAACCAUUAUAAUUAGGUCUACAAAAUAACACUUUUUGGUAGUAAUCAGAACCCUAAAAGACAACUGUAUAACAUGUAAGCACAUGAUCCUGAGGUGGCAAUCCUAAAUCUGGAUGUAUAAUGAGAACUCUAGAGUCAUAAAGGUGUCCACUGUGAGAUGGCUACAAAUGUUACUAGAGAAUUCCUAUCAAUAAUCCAAGAUGAAAGAGGUGUGAGAAAUACACUAUCAUAAGAUCGAUACUCCAUCUAUAAACACAUAUCCUUAACUCAACCUUCAACUCGAGCUUCAUAAGAGAAAAAUAAUAAGGUGAUUAAGGCGACUAUCUCGAAAAAGAUGUGAAUGUGAAAUGUGCCUUUCACUUUUUCGUAAUAAAAAUAUAAGCAUCGAGUCGAAAAUCAAAUCAAGUAUCCAACAAAGAAUAAGGUACCGAGCCUGUGAUAGGUGUAUAGUGUAAAAAGAUGAACAUAUCUCAAAGUAUCAAGUAAGUGACAACAAAGUGAAAGGAUGUGUUGAGCCAAGAAAGGAAAAUGAAAGCCCUAAGGAGAAAACAUAGUAAACUCAACGAGUGAAAAGAACAAACUAAGGUGACAUGAUAAAGGUGAUCCAAUCAAUACUCAAACUCAUACCAAUCUCUAAGCACUCUCAACUGGAAACCAAAAGAGAAAACACUGGACCUAGGUGGUGACUAAGUGGCUCUGAAGGCUCUCAGAUGCACCCACAUGUGAGGAAGGAAUCCUAAUCAAAAUAUUUAAGCUCAUCCUACAAGGUCAAAGUGGCCCUAAAAGGAAAUGGGUAGACUUUAAAAGGUCCUUAGUAGAAGUGAUCGUACCCUCUAGCGAUACGCAACCCUUUGCACACCUUCAAAGAGACGGGGUGCUUCCAUGCAAAGUGGUCAUCACCUCCACACAUGCACUGCCUCAACAUCCCAGGGGUUUCCUAUGGUGAAAGCUCUCACAACUCUCAACACUUAGUGGUAAGCUAAGGUGCUCAAUGAAUGGUGUGGGUGCAUCCGAAAAUCCUAUGAAACUAAAAGAAAACACACUAGCCACACAAAUAUCCUAAAAUCUAGCUCUAGGCUAUACAAGUCUUCAAAGUUCAGACUCCAAUCAGUAUCAAUAUGUUGACCACCUCUAGAAUGCUCCCAAACAUAGAUAUAGCCCAUCGCUAAACCCUACUCUUAAUCACUAGCUCGGUCGAAAAGCAAACGAAGCAAAAAGUCUCAUAUCAAAUACCAGACCCUAGAAAACAAGGUCAACCGAGACUAGGGAAUUGGAGAUAAAGGGAUAAGUGUGUGUCCCACAUAGACAAGCAACUCAUGCAAUCACACGAAAUGAGAGAAGUCAUGCAACAAACAGUCAUGCAAAAUAAGUAUAUAUCAUCCAAAUCUACACACAAGCUAAUCGAGAAUAAUAUUUGGCAAUGAUAGCAUGCUCCAUGAUAAUCAAGAUAAUAUACAACUAAGAGAAUCAACCAUGUCAAAGUGAAUGAGAUAAGCAACAAGAAUAAUGUACAUGCCAAGGUGAGCAGAGUGAUCAUACAACAAGGAGAGUCAAUAUGUGAGGGUAAUCAAAUGGAUCAAUCAAUACAAUCAACAUGUUGAUGUCUCAAAUGAAUACCAUAACUAAUCAUGCAUCAAGGAUAGUGACAUCAAGAGCUCUCAAUGUGUGAUAAAAAAUCAAGCAAACAAAAACACAAAGAGAGAUAGGUACCCUCUGAUCGACCAAUCAAAUGCCAUAAUUGCCUCAACUUAUGUUCAAGCUUGACCCUCUAAUCGAUCACCAGUGGAGUUGCCAUUUUAUAGACCCCACAUUUCGACUCAUGCGCUUUCUCUCGAUGGUGAGCUCGCUUUUUAUUUGAAAAUUUGAUUUUAUUUAUUAGAAAAUGACUUGGAGUUGCCACUUAUUUUUCUUUUAUUUUUAAAGGGUAAACAAAAUAAGAAAGAAAAACCCUAAGUAUGACUCCUUAUUUGGAAAAGGUGGUCUAUAAAAACCAAAAAUGGGCUUGGGGGUCAGGUUACUUAUCAGGAAGGUACGGUAAAGACCGUAGCACCCCUUUAAGUCCCUAAAAUCGAGUCUCUACUAAUAAAAUGAAGCAAAUAUGACGAUUGAUAAGCAUAUCAAUGGAUACCGAAUGAAAAUCAAAACAAAAUACUCAAAUGAAUAUGAGAGGCAAAAAACGUACCUGAGUAAUGAACUGAUUUAUUUCAUGGGAAGCAAAGGUUAGUGAACAAACACAGAAUAAUCAUGUGCAUAUCAUAGAAUAGAAUAAAUCAAUCACGCAUGGCAAUCAAAUCAACCAAUCAAUCAAUCAAUCAUAAAAUCAUGUAUAUGGGGCCCCCACCAAAGCCCAAUUUAUUUUGCAUGAAUCAAUUCCAAUAACUCCAUUAUUCGCAAUUACGAAAUUUAAUUCUUACUUAUUUAAAAAAAAUUUAAAAUCAUGGAAGUUAUGAAAAUUACUUGUCAGAAGAAAAAGUGGCGGCAAAAUUUUAUUGAAAAAUAGGUUUUUGGAACUUAAAAAUUCUAAGGAUGAAGAAAAACUUGGAGUUUAAAGACUAAAACCCAGAAAUUUCUUUGAAGAAAAGGAUUUGAAAAAUUAUUUUUAAAAGGUUAAGGAUAGUAAAAUGGAAAAAAAAAAAAAAAAAAGGCACUUGUGUCAAAGGUGGCCAUGCAAAAGGUGUGGUCCCUUGUAGCUUCUCUUCCCUAUAGCCAACCCAUCUUCAAAAGUCAUCAUUCCAUCUUUUAGAUUUAUUUUUAGGUGGUCUGAUUGAACUGCUUAUUAGGAGAUGCAGGUGCGAUCAACUCCAUUUGAGCAACAUUUGGCAAAGUCCUCAUGAGCUUUCAAUGCCAAGUCCUCAUCUUCCUAUUCAUCACGGAAUGUGUGUGGAUGGACAAAAUAAUUCUUUUCAGUUGCAGAAUAUAUUUCCUUUCUCCAUUCUUUGACACUUGGAAUCCUAUACUAGCUAGCAAACCAGUCCAUGUAUUCUAUCUGACAAUGACCAAUGCCACGUGUGUACCACUUAGGUGUGCCUGAAGCCUCAAGCAAUAAGUACUAUGCCUCAACAUCUCUCAUCAUCUCCUCUUUCGAUGGGAGUCCAAUCUGACCAGAUAGAACCCUUGCUAUUCAUUUGCUUUGAAAUUAAUACAAGAUGAAGCCAAUACCCAUCAAUGGUAAACCCAACAAAGGAAAGCCAAGGUGCCAAAGCCGGUGGAAAAGUGUGCUUGUAUAGUGGUCCAACGCAAUUGUCUUCCACAGUGAUAAUGUCAUAUCGAGCCGUCUUAGUGGAUGCUUUCUAUCUUUACCAUAGGAUGCAACCUCAAAUUAUCAUAGCCAAACAUGUUUCCCAAGACUCCAACCUUGGUUGAUCUAGAUGCAAUGUGAACUUCUUUGGCAACUUGAGCAAUGUUCAUAGAGAUAUCAAGAGCACUUGAACCAACCCCUCUCAAAAUUACAACCAGAUCUCGAAAGGGGUCAGGAAUACGAUAAUUGUGGCUAUGCAUUUACUUCCCCGGCCAUGCAUUAAUCCCUAGAAUUUCGGUAGUACGAGGCUCUGUUUCGUGCCCAUUGCAAACAACCACUACAUAAAAAAUCUCAUAAGUUGUCACACCAUUUGCCACUUUAGACUUCGUUCUCCACUUUCCAUUAACCAACCCAACAUAAACCACCUCUGUCCCAAAGCAGACUUACUUAGUGAGCCCAAAUGUAGUGGCAUAAUCGUUGAUAUAAAGAAAGACCUCUCGAUGACCUGGAAACUUUCUAGAGUCGUUGUAGGGUUGACUCUUAGAUACGAAGGGGUAGUCUCAAAACCCCACAGUCUCACUCCUCAUUACGGCUUCAUACCCAAGAAAGUCCAAACACCAAGAACAGAGAUAAAGUAACAAAAACAGAGCAAUGAAGGAAGAAAAUAGGAUGAAGUAUUAAGAGUUAUACUUCAUCUCUUAGUUAGUGGGCUUAUAGAUGGGUGAAUUAAAAAGGUGUAGACCCUCAAUUUUUUCCCUCGACAUCGGCAUUUAUCCUUCGGGUGUCAUAUCCACCCAUUGUUUGCAUAUGGCACCACUAGGGCCUCUUUUGGGCUUAGUCGGUGUCCGAGCCUCGUGUGGGUUUGUCUGUGGUCCAUUGUGGUGCAUAUGUGGUUCAUUUUGGAGGGUCACCAUGGCCAUUUUCCUAUUCGUUCACAUAACGCUAUAGGAAGGAAGUGGGGUCAUCCCGAUGUUUUAGCUUAGUUGGAGUUUAUAGGGGCAUGUUGAGGUUCGGAGCACUUGGGCUUGUUUUGAUCAUAUCUCCCUCAUCCAAAUUUGGAAUCAAGAACCGUUUCUUUUUAUGGAUUCCUUAUUCUUCCAGAAACAUUCUAUAAAAUUUUCAAAAUUUUUUGCAACCGUUCGGCUGGUUGGCAGCCGGUUCAGCAGAUUCAGCCGGUUCAUCAAGUUAGCCGGUGUAGAACACUGAUUUUUGGUAAUUAUUUUGAUCAUAUCUCCCUCUUCCGAAAUCGGAAUCACACACCGUUUUUUUUCAUGGAUUCCUUAUCUACUAGGAACAUUAUGUCAAAUUCUCAGAAUUUUUUUCCAUUAGUUCAACCAGUUGGCAUCCGGUUCGGCCGGUUCAGCCGGUUCAUUGAGUCAGCUGAGGUAAAACACUAAUUCUCGUAAUUUUGAGGCCCAAAUCCUACAUGGCUCAAGCCCGUAAGCUCCAGAUCGGUUUUGGGCAAUGUUGUGGGUCCAUUUUGGGCCUUGGUUUGGGUUCUUUUCAGCCCACCACGAAUCCAUAUGGAUUCUUGGUGGUGAAGCAAGCUGAAAACUGAAGGGAGUGAGCUGGCCUCGUAAGUUUAAGAGAAGUAAUGAGGGAUGUGGUUCCCAUGCUGAUGAAAGGGAUUUUGAUGCUGAAGAGGAAGGAACCCAGGAGGCUUAAAUGCUAAGAGGGGUAUGAGUAUAAAAGGUGAGAGGAUAGGAGAGCAAAGGACAAGAGGGGACAUUUUGGAGAGGGGAAAUUUUGUCGGUGAGAAAAACAAAAGGUCAGUAGCAUCUUCUGAGUUGAGAGUGUGGGGGAAAGCUUCAGCACUGUGGUUUUUUUGAAGAGGAGAGUGACAGCAUCUCAAGUUUGGAAGUCAUCAUCGGCAUACACAGAUCAUAUUUGGUUGAGAUUCUGAGGUAAGCAUGCUGAAUUUUCUUUACUUACAAUUUUUCUUCCUCGUCUUCAUAUGCUUUUUCUCCUUCCUCAUCAUCUUUUCUUCCCUUUGAUAUGAAGAUUGUAUUGCUUGGGUGUGGAUAAUAAAGGCCACACAUGAUUGUUGUUGAUUGGUUAUGAAUGGUUUAGGAACUUUCUGACCGAAUUUGGGGUUUUUUAUUAACCGGCUGAACCGGUUCAACCGGUUCAGCACAAUAGCUGGCUGCCUCUGUCAGCCAUGAAGAACACCUGCCUUUCUUUGUUUGGUUCUCACUCAUCCGGGCUUGGAAUUGAGAACCGUUUCUUUUAUUUGCUUCCUUAAUCACUUAGGAACUUUCUGACUGAAUUUGAGGUUUUUUAUCAACCGGCUGAACCGGUUGGGAACCGGUUCAGCACAAUAGCUGGCUGCCACUGUCAGCCAUGAAGAACACCUAUCUUUCUUUGUCUGGUUCUCACUCAUCCGAGCUCGGAAUUCAGAACCGUUUUUUUUUUCUUCCUUAAUUACUUAGAAACUUUCUGACCGAAUUUGGGAUUUUUUAUCAAUUGGCUGAAUUAGUUGGGAACCGGUUCAACCUGUUCAGCACAAUAGCUGGCUGCCUCUGUCAGCCAUGAGGAACACUUGCUUUUCUUUGUCUGGUUCUCACUCAUCCGAGCUCGGAAUUGAGAACCGUUUCUUUUGUUUGCUUCCUUAAUCAAUUAGGAACUUUCUGAUCGAAUUUGGGAUUUUUUUAUCAACCAGCUGAACCGGUUGGGAACUGGUUCAACCGGUUCAGCACCAUAGUUGGCUGCCUCUGUCAACCAUGAGGAACACCUGCCUUUCUUUUGUUUGAAUCCUCACUCAUUUAGGAGUUUUUUAGAAAAAUUUGGGAAUUCUUCUCAAUAGGUUGUACUAGUUGAGAACUAGUUCAACCUAUUCUACUGGAGGACUUUAGGUAGCCCUCAAUUUUGGCAUUUUUCGAGCCCUUAUCCAUUGGGGCUCAAACCCAUUUGCUAUAGGGCACUUGUGAGCCAUCUUGAAGCUUUAAGUCAGUGUUUGAUUUUAGUUAGUAUGGGCAAUUUUGAAGUUAUGGGUGGUGUGGUCUAGAUGAGUCUAGUUCGAUUUGUAUGGCAUUUGGGGAGUCCCUUACCUCAUUUCAACCAACUAUCUUCCUUUUUGGCACAAGCUUUGAUGCUUGAUUUUGAAUACAUGUUGCGUGACUGACUCACCCUCUACUGUAGCACAUGGCUAGGGACUAUAGGUACGCAUCGUUGGUUUUGAUUGUUGAAUCAUAUGCAUGCAUGGUGCUUAAUCUUGAAUGUUUGUUAUGUGUUUAUCUACCUUUUAUGCAGCGCUUGGUUAGGGACCACAGGUACGCACCCAUUAUUUUGGUUGGUUGAAUUCAUAUGAAUGCCAAAUACCAACUAGGAUUGUGUGAUUCAUGACAUCUAUUUAGCCUAGGGUUUCAUCUUUGACCCAUAUGCUCCCACAUACCCAAUUCAUUAGUAGAGACCGAGUUCCGGGCCUAGAGGGGUGCUACCUCGCAUGAGGUACCUUCCCAAUGGGUAACCUGAUCCCCGGACCCAGAAUCUAGUUUUCGCAGACCGCUUUUUCCAUACUAGGGUCAUUAGGGGUUUUUGUUCUUACUUAAUUUUCCCCAUUUUAAAAAUAAAAAUAAAAAUUAAGUGGCGACUCCAUACAACACCGUUCCUCACCGAGGGCAGGUUUUUCAAAAUCGGAAAACUCAAGUUUUUCAUUCUUUCUUUUCUUUUAAAAGCGAGUCGCGCCGGUCCGGUGGAUCGGGUGAGGGUCCACAAAAGGUUUUUUUUAUUAUUUAAAAUGUCACAAAUGAGGUAAAAUGGGAUAAAAUCAAUUUCCGAGCACAAACAGGAGCAAUAGAGGGGCUAGAAGUUAUGAAGAAUAAAACAUAAAUCAUCCAAAAGUCAAUAGCAGUGCAUCUCAAUCAUAGUGGAUGAAGAGAAAAACCAAAAAGAAAAAAAAAAAAAACAAUGGAAAACUCACUUUUGAGAAAAUGUUGGAGGCCUUUAUACUUUGCAAUCCAAGACUCCCUUGUUUGCUCUCCAACCUCAAGGAACAUAGCUCCAAAAAUCUCUCUCUAUCUAAAACAAAAACGUCUCUCAAGCCUUAGAGAACACCACCCCCCCCCCCCUCUCUCAAGCAAAACUUGCAUCUCUAGCAAAAAAAAAAAAAAAAAAAACCUCACCAUCCCUAACAAAUAUCUCCCAAAAACAGCAACCCAAAAGCACCUCAUCUCUCCACUCUCUAUAACUAUCUCGAAAAGAAAAACCUUUAUAUCACUCUAAUCCUCUAGAGCAAAACCUGUCUCUCUCUAAAAAUCUUCUCCCUCUGUAAUCAAAACUUUCUCUAAGCUUCGCCCUAAAGCUCACUCUCUUUUCCUUCUGUACAGGUUGUCUUCCAUGGUUUUCUUGCUCAAAACCUUCCCCCCUAGCUUGUUGCCUAAACAACUUCCUCUUCCUUCAGCUGACUCUCCAAGCUAACCCCCUACAAAAAUAUCUUCUCUCAAAAAAUAACCAACGACGCUUCUUCCUAAAGCUCUCUGCAACUCAAAAAUAUCUCUCCACCUUUCUGUAAAACUUUCUUUCCCCCGACUCCCUCUCUGUUGUUGUUUUUUUUUUUUCAAGCUAACUCCAUCUCCUAAAAAUAUCUACCCCAAAAACGGCCAUGAAGACUUCCCUCCUUUCUGCCAGAAGACACUCCUCCUAAAGACAAAACCUCCUCCCGAAUCUCCCUUUAUAGGUGUCAGCCGUCUAUUGGCUCCUCAAAAAGCACAUCUGAUUCCCUAGCAGCCAAUCAAGAGGCAACACAUGGCACUUUGAGAGCUCUCCACCUAGCAAAAGCUAGCUACAGGAAUACCUCCCAAAAUGGGAGUCUAUAGAGACUCAUUUGAAGAAUCAUGCGACACUCUCCCUCACCUAAGCCACAGAUAUCCUCGUUGCUCAUUCUGCCCGAAACCACUUAAUCUACUCCUGAAACUACCAUAGUGCAUCUACUGGCUCCCAAUUGGCCUGGCUCUCUAGUAGUUCCUUCCAUUUCACCAAGUACUCUAUAGUAGGAGACACGCUUCGUUUCCCGAUGACUCGAUCUGCAUUGCUAUGUUCUACUUUUUUUUCAUAGAAGGUCACGACCGUUGUUGGUGCCCUUUUAGAUAACCCCCGACUUGAAUCAUCAUUGUAUUUGUAAUAUGGUUUUAAGAAACUUACGUGGAAUAUGAGAUGAAUCUUCAACCUUGGUUACUCAACUUUAUAGGACACCUUGCUGAUCUUCCCAAGUAUGGGGAAAGGUCCUUCAUACCUACUCACAAGGCCCUUAUGCACUAGUCUUAGUGACUUGAAUUGUUGAGGAAUGAGCUCGACAAGCACCAUGUCUCUAACCUUGUACUCUGUGUGACGUCGCUUCUUGUCAGCCCAUUUCUUCAUAUUCCUAGUGGGCUUGUCCAAGUAUUUGUGUGCUAUGUCAGCUUGCUCGUGCCACUCUUUCGCAAACUUGAAAGCCGCUAGACUUUUCCCUAUAUAGCCUAUCGUUAGUGUGUAAAGACUUAAUGGUUACUGCCCUAUGGCUAGCUCAAAUGGGCUUUUGUUGGUUGCCUCACUCCUUUGCAAUUUGUAUGAGAAUUGGGCUACAUCUAGCAAAUUAGCCCAAUCCUUCUGGUUGGCACUCACAAAGUGCCUCAAGUAUAGUUCUAGUAAGGCGUUCACCUUCUUAGUCUGUCCAUCUGUUUGUGGGCGAAAGCUUAUGGAGAAGUGAAAAUUCGAACCUAUAAGCUUGAAGAGAUUUGUCCAAAACUUCCUAAUGAAUCAUAGGUUAUGAUAACUAAUGAUAUAGUUAGGCAACCCUCAAUACUUGACCACGUGUUUUAAGAAUAACCUUGUCGUCUCCUUUGUAGUGCAGUCAAUAGGAGCUACUAUGAAGGUCGCAUACUUAAAGAACCUGUCUACUACUACUAUGAUAGAGUCGUCCUAUGACUUGGGUAGCCCGAUGAUGAAGUCCAUAGUGAUGCUCUCCCAUGGACGCUCUACUAUAGGUAGUGGUUCCAACAGGCCUCUAGGCUGUCGCUACUCCACCUUGUCUUGUUGGCACACAUAAAAAGUCCUCACAUAGGCCUCAACUUCAUCCCGUAUGUAAGGCCAAUAGUAAGUUUACUCAAGUAGUGCCCUUGUGCGUCAUUACCUAGGGUGCCCAACCCACUUGGUUUCAUGACACUCCUUAAUCAGGUUCUGCCUUAUGUUCUCCCACUUAGGCAUGUAGAGUCGUCUUUCUUUAGUGUAGAGUAGGUCGUCUUCCACCCAAAAUCGCUUAGUUUUCUCCUCAUGGGCCAAGACGAUGAGGCUCUUAUCCACUAGAUCAUGUCGUAGUCCAUUUCUCAGAAGAUCCAUUAUGUCCCCUUAGGGUUGGCUCGUCAUGGAUGCUAUCUCUGUCUUACGACUUAGGGCAUCAACCAUAUGAUUAGCGCUUCCUGGCUUAUACUCCAGCGUAUAGUCAAACUUGGCCAGGAAGUCUAGCCACCUAGCUUACUUAGGACUUAGUUUCUUCUAUGUUUGGAAGUAGCUAGUGGCAACAUUGUUAGUCUUCACUAUGAAGUGAGACCCUAGAAAAUAGUGCCUCCAGGUGCGUAAGCAAUGGACGAUGGCAAUCACCUCAUUUUCUUGCACAUUGUAGUGCCUCUCUGUGUCAUUUAGUUUGCGACUCUCGAAGGUUAUCAGAUGCCUAUCUUGCAUAAGGACUCCCCCAAUAGCAAAGUGUGAUGCAUCUGUGUGUACCUUAAAAAUCGUGAUGUGGUCGGGUAGUGCCAAUAUUGGCUCCUUAGUCAUAAUCUUUUUUAGAUCUUCAAAGGCUUGUUGACACCUUUCAUCGCACUCCCAUGCCUUGUUCUUCUUAAGAAGCUCAAUGAGUGGAGCUAACCUUGUCGAAUAACCCUUGUUGAACCACCAAUAAUAGUUAACCAAGCCAAGGACAGACCUUAGUUGAGGUGCCUUAGUAGGUGGAUCACAUUCCUGGAUGGCCUUCACCUUGCUAUCAUCCAUCAUCAACUUUCCAUCCUUGAUGCGAUGCCCUAAAAAGCUCACAUCCUCCUUAGUAAAAGAGCAUUUCUCAUUCUUUACAUAUAGCUUGUUCUACCUUAAGAUCUUAAAGACCUUCCUUAAAUGUUCCACAUGCUCCUCCAAGGUGCUACUGUAGAUGACUAUGUCAUCUAAGUAUACCACCACAAACUUGUUUAAAUAAGGAUGAAAUAUCUUAUUCAUGAAUAUGCAAAAUGUUGUUGGUGCCUUGGUGAGACCGAAAAACAUCACUAAGAACUCGUAUGAGCCAUACCGAGUCACGCAUGUAGUCUUCAGUUCAUCCCUUUCUUCAAUCCUCACUUGGUAAUAGCCUGAUCUCAAGUCCAACUUAGUGAAGUACCUUGCUUUACCAAGUUGAUCAAAGAGAUCAACAAUGAGUGGAAUGGGGUACUUGUUCUUUAUCGUCACCUUGUUAAAUGCCCGAUAGUCGAUGCACAUCCUUAGGAACCCAUCAUGCUUCUUUUGAAACAAGACUGAUACACCACAGGGAGCUUUAGAAGAUUGGAUGAAUCUUAUUUAUAGAAACUCCUUGAAUUGUCUCCUUAGCUCUUCCAACUUGGGCGGUGCCAUCUUAUAUGGCCCCAUAGUAGGGGACUUAGCUCCUGACUCCUACUCAAUUUUAUGGUCUUCUUUUCGUCGAGGUGGGAGUCUUUUAGGCAACUCAGGUGGCAUCACGUUCUUGAACUCAUCAAGGACUCCCUCGAUUUCCUUAGGCAUGGGCUUCCUCGAUCCAUCAUCCUUUUUCCUCCAUAAGGGUGGCCAAGUAAGUCAUCUCCUUCCUCUUUAACCCCUUCUUUACUUGCAUAGCUGAAAAUAUAGGGGUCUUAGGUGAACCUUUGGUGACCAUAGGGACCAUGCAUGACUUUUUCUAGUACCAUUUUAAAGUCUUCCAUGGGUGCUAUUGUGAAGUUGACCCUUCCUUCCCAUGAGCUAAUGUGCAUAGCCACCCCACGUGCUACUCCGUAUGAUCGCUUGGCAGUUGAAUUAAUUGCCUUGAGCCAACCUUCUUCCUCAAAUGCUUAGAGCUCCAGUCUCUUUGCCUCAUCCUCUGAGACAAAGUUAUGAGUGGCACCAAUGUCCACUAGGGCCUUGGUGGCCUUCUCAUUUACAAAGGCCUCUACAUAUAUUAACCCUUUACUUUGAGGCAUCUUAGGCACCGACUUGGCCUUGAGGAUGUUUAGGAGUUGUAAUAAUCCCACAUGAGCCUCGCCCUCCUUCUUUUUUUCCUCGAUCAUGGCAUUUAGGGUUUUCCUCUUGGGGUUGUCCCGCACCCAGUGUGGACUAUCACAUAGGAAGCACUUGGUCUUGGUCAUGAACUCUUUCCGUUUGUCCUUGCCCUUACCAUCCUUGCCACUAGACAUCUUGUUUGAUCCUUCCUUAAGAGUGUACCCCAUUGAUCCAUUGUCUUCCCACUUUUGGCAUGAUUACCCUUGGACUGUGGCAUAGGCUUAUAGGAGUCUCCCCUUUUGUAUUCUACCAAAGACUCCACUAUCGCCAUGGUCGUGGCAAGAUCUUGGAUACCACGUCUCUUCAACUCUUGCUCAGCCCAACUUUGCAAGUUGUUCAUGAAGUUGAAUAGUAGCUCCUCCUCAGACAUGUUGGGUAUCUCAAGCAUAAGUGUAGAGAACUUUUUGACAUACUCAUGGAUCGAGCAUGUGUACUUGAGACGUUUCAUGUUUUUCCUUGCUAGGUAAGCCACAUCCUUAAGGUAGAAUUGCCUUUUGAUUUCUCACUUAAAGGAAUCCCAUGUGUCUAUGGUGCACGUUCCUUUUUCUAUGUUGGCAAACCUUUGACACCACCAUAAAUUAGCAUUAUCGGUGAGGUAAAGGGUCAUGGUAUGUACUUUAGCGGCUUCAUUCGUUAGUAUUAUAGCCUUAAAGUAGAGCUCCAUGUGCAACAAGAAGUUGUCCAGCUCCUUAGCAUUCCUUUUGCCACUGAAUGUGUGUGGCUUGGGCACCUCCACCCUUGGUGCUUCAUGAGUGGCCAUGACUCAUGUUGAUAUGGCAAUCUUGUAGAUAGCUAGCUCUUGUUAAACUUCUUAGUCUUGGGUCUCCAUGCAUGCAACUAAGGAUUCCACUUUUGACUCUAUGACCUUGUCGUGGAAGGACAUGAACUCCUCGUGUGACAUUGGUUGACCUUGUGAGCCUAGCACCUCCUCACGAAGGUCUUGGAUCUUCUCCCUUAGAUCCUCUAAGCCCUUCUCCAUUCCUUUCUCGAUCAAGUCCUCUCUUUCCUAGGUGUCUGCCAUGGCUAGCUCUACCUUGGCUAGUUUUGCCUCCAUGUUGUCGAUGGCAUCACAAGAUUUAUCCUUCCUAUCCCUGCCCCAUACAGUAGGCUCGGUCUCCCUCCCAUGGGUUUGCUCACUAGCCUCUUCCACAUUGGAGCCCGACAUGCUUCCUUUACUAUGCCCGCUUCGUAACCGCACUCUGAUACCAACUGUCACUAACUUAGUCUUUUCCUAAGCUCGUGCAACACUUAGGCAAAUCAAGACACUUGAUCUUGCUAAGUCAGCCUUACUCCCGAUGCUUAGCUUGCUAGGCUAAGACACUCAAGACUUAGAAUCUUUAGGAGGCAUAGUAGGCAACUCUUGAAGAAUGAAAACUUUUAUUACUCAAAGGAAGCUUUACAAGUGCUUUGGAACUCACUUGCAUAGGGCCUUGGCCAAAUGAGGCUCUCAUCUAUUUAUAGGCACUAAUGGAACUCUCUGGAACCUUGGAGGGUUCCUUACAAAUUAGGAAUAUUUUAGAACACCCUACAUAAUUCUAUGUACAAGCCUAUGUAUAAGAAUAUGCAAAGAAUCUCUAGAAUUCUCUAGAAAGCCUUGGACUCCUCUCAUGCCUUUUGCCAUAGUGUAGAGAUGUGUGGGCAUCUCUAGGCAUCUCUAGAACCUUCCGCACUUUUCCCACCAAUGGCUAAGUGUAGGAGUCUCUAGAAGCUUCAUAGUCUCUAUAUAAACCCCUAGAAAGGCUCAUUUGAAGCAUCCUAUGACAUUGUGCCCUUUUUUUUUUUUAUCCAUCAACUUUGACAUUUUGUUUAUCAACACCUUCUAUAUUUUGUAUAUCAACAUCCUUAUAAUCAAAUUUUCUCUUAUCUUUCUCAAUCGCCUUUAUUUUUAUUUUUUGCACUAUUCUUUUUCUUCUCGUCAUCUCCCCACUCAUUUAUAAUGAAUCAUAAUGCAAAUUCAAACCUUUCUUUGUGGAACUGUGGUCUAGGUAGAAUAUUUACAAGUAAUAAAUUUCAAAAUAAUCUUUGAAUUGAAUAUACCACAAAUACUAUUAUUGUUAAAAAUAUCCUAAUAUUUCAAAUUUAUGAGAAGUAUAUUACCAUUGGAAAAAUAAAUAUCUUGAUAUCCCAUUGUUUUGUUUCUUGAAUUUAAAUUCAUUUAUGCUUCGUACAAGGAAGAAGAAUACUAUUUGGACCCAAUUUAUCUUUUUUUAUUUAUGUGAUGUCUUUAAGGAAAUGGAGGAAGAAAUGUUUGACAAGAACUUUCAUCAUUGAAUAUAACAAGGCAUCCACAACAAAUAGUACAAAACAAAUUUUAAAUUCAUUCACACAACCCCUAUCUUUCCGUAUUUGGUUUUCUAACAUCAACAAUGACAAUUUUCCCUUUCUAUCAUAAUACUAUUUGAAAUCAAUCUGUUUGCUUAUGCAUUUCUUUACAUCCAUUGGGGAUAAUUUAAUGGAAGUGUUAAACACACUUAAUGUGUAUGAAAAAGUGUCAAAAUUCUCUACCAAUCAAUGACAUAAACUACAAUCAAGUUUAGUACAUCGUAACCCUAAAAUACCUUCAAACCCCUGUUUCUUGUAUGAACCCCCUUUUGAUUAGGUUACAAAUGUUGAAGUACUUUAUGCACCUGAUUAGGCGAACAACAAGUGUCAAGAUUGCAAGCCAUACAUAUAAAUAUGCAUAUAAAUUUAAAAUUGAAAGAAAAUAUUAUCAAAUUUUUUUUUUACUUUUCAUACAUUUGUUGAGCUUGUACCCCCUUUUUCUUUUUUACAUAUUCAUUGGAUCAUUUCUUUUAUUUCACCAAGAACUUUUUUUUUUCUAGAACUAGAAACCUUUUUCCUUAUUCAACUUGGGAUAUCAUAUACACCCACAACCUAACAUGGUAGUUUUAAAAUUAAUUAGUUAAAAAGAAUGAAAUAAUCCCAAAAUUUGUAAAUGUAACAUGAUUGUGUUUUUGCUUGAAAGUAACCCAUUUUGAAAAAAAUGUAUUUCGCCAUUUCAAUUAUUUAUAUUUAAAUUAAAAAUUUUUUAAUUGAUGUCAUUUUUUCAAAAAGAGGACAAAAAAAAUUGGAAGUUAAAUUUUCGGAUUUAGAUUUUUAAUGAAUAUUUUAAUCAAAUAACCCUUUGUUUUAUAUCACAUAAUGUUUCUUCUUCAUUGUUCUUUAAUCCCUUGUAAUUUAUUUAUUUUUAUAUAUACAACCUAUUAAAUUUGAAAAUUUUAAUAAUUCUUGUAAUGCAUGCCUACAUGCUUAUCACAUGGACCUCUUCAUUUAUAUUAAUAGGGGAUCCAUUUGGUAUUUGAAAAUAGUUAAAGGGGCUUUGCUUGAGAAAAGCUUAGAGAUAAAAAGAAACAAUGUUUUCAGAACCCAACUAGUUAUUGAAUAAAAAAAGUUAUUAUUUCACGAUUUAGUGGUUGAACCAGAAUUUGAACCACAGCCAAACUGGUGACAUUAUAAAGAUAUAAAUUAUAUAUUAAAAAUAAAUUAUAAAAUUAUAAAAUUUAUUUUUCAUCUUUGAUAUUACCAAACUUAAAUCAUGAAUAAAUAUAAAUGUAUUACUAUUUUAAUUUUUAUAAAUAAAAUUUGUAUAACAUUCAUAUGUGAAGAAAUAUAUUAAAAUAGAAGAAAAUUCUUUUAUUCAUAAUUUAUUUUACUUAUAUUAUAUUAUUUUAGUUAUAUUAAAAAAAAUUAAAUAAUUAUGUUAAUUUAGGUUUAGUUUGCAUUUUUAAAAUUAUAAUCAUUAAUAACAAAGUGGUGAUAACCUAAACAUGAUUUAAAGGUCCAUGGUUCAAACCUUCGAUUCCUCAUUGUUUUCUUGGUCCCAUUAGGUGGGCUAGGCUUGGUAUAUGAUGGGCUAACCUUCCACCCAUGAUCCAACCUUUUAGUUGAUGAAAAAAGAAGUGUAACCUAGAACCGACAUACCAUGGUUUAAAGUUACAGUCGCGGUCAUUAACUUGGAGGGUCAUGAGGCACAUCGGUCUUGACAUCUCGACUUGAUAUCCAACGAUAUGAUAAAUAAGAUAAAUAGAAAUUAUAAAAUUAUUAAAUUAUAAAAUAUUAUAAUAAAUAUUAAAAAAAUAAAUAUAAUUAAGCAAACUUAAAAAAUUAAUAAAAUAAAAUAUUAUGAAAAUUAAAAUUGUUCGAUAAGUUUUUAAUAUUGAAAUUGAAACCAAAAACUCUUUAAUUACCAAACUCGAAUUAAAAAAUAAAGUAAAAUGUGAUGAUUUUUACCACACCUUAACAUUUAAAAAUUGAAACAAUAAAAUAACAUAUAUUAUUGAUACUAGCAUUUAAAACAAUAAAUAUAUUGUUGAUAAUGACAUUUAAAACAAUAAAAUAGCGCAUUAGACUUGCAUUCAAAUCUUCAAUUCUCAAACACCACCAACCCACCCAUGAAUAAAGAGAGAGAAGAUAACCCUAGCAAAAGUAGAGAGCUUCCUUUGCAACCCACACCCACUCCUACAUUGACGUUGGUGACAAUAUGGAGAUGAAGUAGGGAGAUGAGAGAUCGACACCCAAGAUUAUUGCUAAUGGAGGAGAUGGGGUCCAAAAAGGUGUUGUAGUCCACCCCGUGGUGAGGUUAGCGAAGAAAUGCCCUCUACCUUUUCUUCUCAUACACCUCAAAGACAAUCAAGACUUGGACUAAAAAACUUUUCAAAGACUUCAUUGGGGUCAUCUUCAUCAUCACGAGUCUUCAAUCAUGGGUCAUGAUUCUCGUGAAAUUUUUUUCUUUUGAAGAGUCAUUGAUUUUUCAAAAAAUUCUUAGUUAUGGUUGUUGUUUUGGUGUUUUCUUUUUCUCAAUUUUGGGUGUUGUUUUGCUAUGAUUUGGAAAGACAUUUGUUUGUGUUAAGUUUAACUAAAAAAAAAAUUAGUAACUUGGAUGAUUCGCCCAAGUUAACUUAGUAUCUCAAUUAAAUCAACUAGGUUUAAUCAAUUCCUGGCCAAGUCUUUACUUAAGAUGGUAUAGGGUAUCGAACUUGGCAUGGAAGGGGUUGAGGCGGAUACAACUUGGUCGAGUCAUACUAGACUGGAUCGAUACUUUGAACCAUGCGACAAACUGGUUCAUUGAUUCAAUAGUCCAACCAUUAGUCUAUCCGAUUCAAGGCCGAUUCAUUGUGUACUCCGACCCAAAGGCCAAGCUAGACCAGGCUCCAAUCGAUAAUCCGACUUGGUUUUGGUUAGAUUUUUUAAUUCAUCCAAACUCUUAGGAAGUUUCAAAUGUAAAUACCAAUAAUAAUAAUGGAAAAUAUAUCAUUAUUUUCUAAUAGUUAAAUUGCAUAUUAUAUAAUGGUAAGGCUUUAGAGGAAUCUUAAAUAUAAAAAACUAAUAUUACCAUCUCUAAUUUCUAAAAAUGAGAAAAAUGAAUUUUAUUUCCAACUACAAUAAAUUGUAUAGUUUGAUAAAUAUAUCAAAAAUGGGUGUCAUAUUCAUCUUAGGGUGUGUUUGGUAUGUAAGAAUGAUGAACGAGAAUGAAUAUUUUGUUUCAAUUCUUAUUUCCCCUUGAAUAGGAAUGAAUUUGGUGAUUCCAAUUCUUGUGUUUGCAUGCAUAUAGGAAUGUAAAGUUGGAAAAACAAUUUGUUUCCAUUUCAAUGUUAAGUAAAAAUGGGAAUGAAAUUAAAAAUAUAUAUAAAUAAAUUAUUAAUAAUAUUCAAACAUAUAGUUUAAAAUAAUUUAAAAAAAAAUGAUUUGUUUUUACUGAAUAAAAAGCUAUCUAUUUCAAUGUAUGAUUUAAAAACAAAAUUAUUUUUAAAAAAAUUUAUACCUAGUUAUUGUUAUUUAGAAACAAUUUUUAAAAAUAAAGUAAACUAGAAAAUUGUUAUUCCAAUUUUUUUUUCAUUGGAGAAAAUAAAUUUCAAAUCAAGUGAAACUUUGUAUUGAAUUUAUUAAUAAGUUUAAUAAUUUUAAAAAAUAAAAUAAAACUCAAAAAAUUUAUGUAACAAUUAUAACAAAAUAAUAGAUAUAAUUAACACUUUAAAUUAUUUAAUAAAUAUUGUAAUUUUUAAGAAUAAUUUAAUAUUUAAAAAACUAAUUAAUUAAUUAUAGAUUAAAUAAAAUAAUUCAAAAUGUCAUCUUCGUAAUUGAAUAAUAAAUAUAUGCAUAUAAUAUUUAAGAGCUUCAUGGAGCUCAUCAAAUGUAAUUGGGGUGUCAUGUGUUUGAAUGACAUAGACUAGUUCUUUGUAUUCGUCAACAAGACCAUAAAAGAUUUUCCCUGUGACAUUCUUUUCAUCCAUUGGGGCACCAAGGAGAGUAAGUUCAUUGGCGCAAGCUUUAAUGGUCCAUAGGAAGGUAGUGAUACUUUGCAAACCCUUGGUGGAAUUCUUAAGGUGGAUAUUGACUUGUUUAAUGUAGACAUGAGAUAGUUUGACACAGGUAUUGGCGAAGAUGAUCUAUGCUUCAUGAGAGGUUGUGGCAUAGGCAAUGAAUGGAAUUAUGGUGGGUGAAAUGGAGCCAAUAAGUGCAUUUAGGAUCAAUUAAUCUUGACAAAGCCAUGAAGAAUAGGCUGGGUUGGGUAUUACGGUGUUGUUGGUAAUGAGAGUGGUGGGUGGACACGUUAUGGUUCCAUCAAUAUAGCUAAGGAGGUCAAAGCCAAUAAAUAAUGUUUGCAAUUGAAACCUUUAUGAUAUGUAGUUGGUAGUGGUUAGUUUAAGUGGGGCUUGAGCAAAAUUAUUUAUUGAAAUGAGUGUUUGGUGUGACUCAUAGGUGUUGUGAAUAUUGAGAGUAGAAGUUGCAAAAGUGGUGGCGUCUUAGGUGGCCAUGAGGCUAUGAUGAUGGGGAGGAGCACUAGAUGGCUUUGGUAGAGAAAAAGAGGUAAGAAGGAAAAACAUGUGGUGGCUAGGGUUUUCAAGUCAAGAAGCUUGAAUGCUUUGGUGCCAUAUUAAAGAAUGAGAUUGGUAAAUUAUUGCAUUUUUUUUUCCUUUGAUUAUGAAGAAUAUACAUACAUGUACAAAGAAUAUAAAUCUAGAAAGUUUAUAAUUACCUAAAAUCAUAACCUAGAAUAUAACUAAUUUACAAUCAAUAGGUUAUUUAUAAAAGGAACAAAUUAUUUACAAAAGAAAACAAAUUAGUGAUUGAAAUAGAAUUUGUUAACUUCCUUUACUAGUGUCAAGUUCAACACUCCCCACAUCAAAAGGUGUAUUUGGAACCAUGUACAUAUCUUUAUUCUUGAAUUUCAUUAAUUAAGAUGUCCAUCAUCAAUCUGGAAAUUGUAAUGGAAAGCUUCAACAAGCAUCAAUAGUCUCCCAAUCUAUCACCAAUCAAAGUGCAAAUGGCACUAUACAAGGUUUGCUACCAUCAUACGACCUAAUAAUAAUAAUAUCUUACCAAAAAUUUAUUCAUUAAAAAAUUAUAUUGAAACAUUUCAAAAAAUUAAUUUACCAAAAUAAUAAUAAUAAUAACAAUAACUUACCAAAAAUUAUAUUGAAACAUUUCAAAAAAAUUAAUUUACCAAAAUAAUAAUAAUAAUAGUAAUAAUAAUAAUAAUAAUAUCUUGCCAAAAAUUUAUUCAUUAAAAAGUUAUAUUGAAACAUUUCAAAAAAAUUAAUUUACCAAAAUGAUAAUAAUAAUAAUAAUAAAUAUUAAUUAAUUAAUUAAUUAAAUAAAUAAAACAAAAAUUACCUUACCAAAAUUCAAGUCAAAAUGAAUAUGUAUCUAAAUUAACUAAUUUGAAAUGCACCUACAAUGCAACCAAGUGGACUAAGUUAAAGUGUAACUAAAUGGAUUGGAAUGAUCUGAAGUGUGACUAAGUGAGCUUGCAUAAAAGAUGCCUAGGUGUGCCUAAGUGGGUUUAAGUGUGUUCAAAUGGGCCAGGUGUGUCUAAAUGAGUUAGGGUGCGUCUAUGUGACCUAAACUAGGCGUGAAGAGUAGCCAAGUUCAUAGUGAGGGUCCUGAUGAGCCCCUUUACACAAGGGUCCCCAAAGAUGGCUUAGAAAAAGAAGUUGUAUGAGUGUCAAUAGGUUACCAAGGAUUGAUCACAAGGUAAAAGAGGAACAUAGGGUAGAAACUAGCAUUACAUGUGCUAAGAGGACAAAAUGGAGGGUCUACAAUAGAUUGAUCAACUUGCUUACCACCUCUUAAGGUAAAGGUUGCUUUGACUUCAUCCUUCUUAGUAGAACUUUCACUUGUCUCUCCAAUUUCAUAGACUCUACUUGGAUUUUAUUGGGGUUGUGAAGAGAAUUCUCUUUUUUAUUCCACUGUAUGCAUGCUUGUGAGUUUAGAAAUAGCAAGUUGCAUAUUAUCAAUUUGUUUGUGUGAGAUUGGUUUGCAAGCUAUCAAAUUUCUGAUUGAAAGAUGUCUCCACAUGGUCUAUUCUUUGGUUUACUUGGGUAUUGAUAUUCUUUUGAUCACCAAUAAAAUCUCCCAAAAUUUUACUCAAGUUUAUAGUAGCUAGCACAACCAAAGAAACUUGUUGUGGAAAGUCUUCCAUGGAUUGUUGGCUUUAUGAGUAUUGGCUUGAAGAAAAUUGUUCUUGUCCACAAUUCCAUGAGAUGUUCGGAUGAUUCUCAACAAGUCUUUCCCCCAUAGCUGGUAUUGUAGGAUAAUCACUCAGUUCAUGUUUUAUAGAUUGACAACUAGAACAUUGCUCCAUGUAAAUUGGAUUAUCAUAUAUCGCAUUCACCUCAUGAAAUACCUUAGCUUUAAGUUCCUCUAGCCUUCUUGUCAAAGCUAUCAUUUUAGCUUGUAGAUCAACAUUUUCAUUCAACAUAUACAUUCCUCCAUUUGAAUUGCUUUGAGACUUGGACUUGUGUAAAUCCCUUUCAUGUGGUUCAUCCCAUGACUUUGAUAUUUCAGCCACAUAAUUCAAAAAUUCAAGGGCUUCAUCGGGACUUUUGCUCAUAAAGUCACCUCCACACAUGGUUUAUAGCAAUUACUUCAUAGUUGGCGACAUACCCUCAUAGAAGUAAUUCACCAACAUCCAUGUGUCAAAACCAUAAUGAGGACAAGCAUUGACUACUUUCAUAUAUCUUUCCUAACAAGCAUAAAAAUUUUCAUUGUCCAAUGUCGCAAAGUUGGUAAUUUGCCUUUCAAGCCACUUGUGUGAUGUGUGUGAAAAAAUUUCUUCUAGAAGGUUGUUUGUAGUUCCAACCAUGACCUUAUACUUUGGGGCCUUAGUGAGUUGAACCACAACUUAGCGUUAUCCUUCAAUGUGAAUGGAAAAAGCUUCAAUCUCAUAAACUUCAUGGAUGUGUUUCCCUCAUGAAAUGUAUGACAUACUUCUUCAAAAUCCUUUAUAUGAAUGUAAGGAUUCUCAUUCUCCAUUCCAUGAAAUUGAGGAAAAAGUGGUACCAAGUGAGUUUUUAUCACAAUAGGCUCAUUAGGAAGAACUAUACAUGAUCUCAUGCCUAUCCUUUGAGGAUGCAUAUAUUCUCUCAUUGAUCUAGACAUGUGAGAAUUGCCAUUGUUUGGUCCUUGUUGAGUUUGUUGAUCUUGCCCUUGAUUUUCCAUUUCCUUAACAAUUGGAUCACAAACCAAAGAUGAUUAGUAAUGUAAGUUCUUUGUAAUCUCUCCCCCAAAAUGUAUUCUCAAUGUAGCAUGCAAUGGAAAGCCUACAAAACAAGCCAAGAAAAACAAAAACAAAAUAAAAAGAACAAAAGAGAAAAAUAAAAAGAAAAAUGAAAUUUGAAAGAAAACUAAGAUGAAAGUGGAGAAUUGGUAAAGAGAACUUCGCCAAUCUUGUGAUGUGGAUCACAAGGGUUAAUCCUCACCAAAAAAAUUUUCCUUAAUCACCUUGGCACCACCCUUGACAACGAUGCCAUUUUUGAUCGAUUGAUUUUUCAUCAUUUAUUGAAUCAAAAAAAAAAAAAAACUUAAUUCACUAUUCUAGAGUAGCUUGUACCAGAUCAAAAAUGGUUUUAGUAGUGGUUUUUAGGUAUUGUCCACUAGGGUGGAUUAUUCUCGGUAAUUAAGGCUUGAAUGAGAGGAUAAGAAAUGAUUAUGAUCAAGUGACAUUGAAUUGAAAAUUCAUAGUGAAAAAUCAAUUUGAUAGUGGUCUCAAAUUGAAAAGAAAAAUGAAAUGUAAAAUAGAAGAAAAUUAAUAGGAAAUGAAAUUCUCAGAGUUAGGAUUUUCUAAAAAAUAAUUUCCAUGGUGAAUAGAUGUUGAGAUCUAAUUUUCAUCAAGAUAAACUGAAAACCUAAAUUUUCAUCUAAACCGAUUUUUGAUUUAGCUUUAGGUUUAGAUCUAAUUUCUUUUCAAACUAGGUUAUUUAAUCCAAGAGAUCAAUUCAAAUCAUAUAUUCAAUUCAUCUUAAAUUUUCUUCUAAUGAUUCACACAAUGCAAUUAUUCAAUUUCUUCAAAUCUAGCUUUAAGAAUUUAAUGAAUCUACCUAGUUUGCAUUGUAGUAAUCAUUCAAGACAAUUUGAAGAGAAAAAUCCCCAAAAAUCAAUUAAUAAAUCAAUUGGAUCAAAUUACCUUUGUAAUUCAAGCUCAUUUAUCUAAUUCACCAUGGAUCUUGCCUCUAGAUGUUUUCUCCUAUGAGAAAAACGAGAUUUAGCCACUCAUGAUUGGAGAUUUGGUCUCACAAGGCAUGUUUGGUUGGUGAGAAAAUAAGAGAAAAUGAAGAAAAAUUAAGAAUUCUAUUGAGAGAGAAAAUCUGGAAAAUUUUGCAAUUAGAAAUGUUCGAAAAGUUCAUCUCAUGAGAAAAUCAAGUUUCUAUUUAUAGGCCAAGGUCAAGUGGACACUUGGCAUCAUCUAAGAGGUUUUCCGAAAACUUCUUCAUUAAGAAAUCUGGAGUUUAAUAAUAAAAUGGUCAUUUCGCACGAUUGUGCAAAAUAAAAAAUGCAACAACAACAAUUUACAUAUUCCUGGAGCAUUUCGCAUGAUUGUGCUAAGUUUUCGUAUGAUCAUGUGAAAUUAGCUUUGAAAUUCCCCUUGGCUUGCAACACAAAUCCACCUUCUGGUCCAUUUUGCAUGAUCAUGCGAAAUUUUUGUAUGAUCAUGCGAAAUUUUUGCAUGAUCAUGCGAAAUGGAAAUAUUAAUUUUUAAACUCUUUUUUGUCAUUUCUUCCAUUUCUUUCUUUUGAAUCCACCUCAACCACUUCCAAAUUAGCUCCAAAUCUUGGUCCAAGUGCAUUGAUUAUUCCUCAUCAUCCACAUUAUUUGCCCUUCCUCAAUUCCAUUUCUCUUUUGUCUCUCAAUGCUUCAAAAAUCACCUUGAAAUAUCUCCAAAACAUUAUAAAAACCAUUAGUAUCUCUUGCAAGGGCAACAAUGUAUUACUUGGGCAUAUUAGGCAUAAUUACUACUCAAAAGGUAUGGAAUUCAUGAGAAUUAUUAUUUAAAAUGUGUUGUUUUUGAGUAGUAAUCAGUUGACUUGAUGAUUAUUUUGUAUAUAUUUCACAUGCCUUAAUGUACAUUGAUUCUUGUUAUUAUAUGUGUUUGCAUAUAUCUACUUAUGUCUGUAUAUAUCUAUUUUGCAUGAUUGUGUGAUGCAUGGCUACCUUGAUUCUGCAUAAUGCAUGUUUUGCUUUUUUGUGUAGGAUACACGUUUAUCCCUCUAUCUCGAACUCCCUGGCCUUGAUCAAUUUUCUUCUUUUGAUCACACAUUUGGUGUGUGAGACUUGGUGCCUUAUUUGUUUCCCGAGUAAGCUAGUGUUUAAAAGUAGGGUCUAGUUGUGGGUUGUAUGUAUGUUUGGGAGCACUUAGAGCAUUGUCAUGACAUCAUCAACUUCUUGAGAUCAUCACCUUAGAGGAUUUAUCAGAAUCCUAUUCGGUCACCUCAUCCCUACUAUCAUCCCACUUUGCCACAUCAUCCUACCUCACCAUGUCAUCACUUUGCCACAUCCCUAGUGCCUUAACAUCAUCUUACGCUGCCAUAUCAUCCUUGUCGCUUUAUUCUUAUCAUAUCAGCACUCUACCUUAUCAUCUCAUUCUUAUUGUCAUCCCCACUUUGCCUCAUCGUCAUAUUUUAUCAUUUCACCCCACAUUUUUUUUAUGUCAUCAUUCUAUAUUGUUGCAACAUCAUGAUGCCUUAGAGAGCAUCACAACAUCAUUGACCUCAUGUUAGUGGAGGUCACCACAUCAUCUCCACUUAGAGUUUGAUCAUUGAAGACUUGUAUAACUUAUGACUAGAUUCAAGAUAAAUGUGUGACCACUGUGUUUAUUUUAAUUUUUUUGCUUUAGUUUAAGAGGUUGUUUAGAUGCACUUAUGCCACACACUAUACACAUUAGAUCAUCUUGUAUGUGUGUUAAGAGAGUUAACAUGUGCUAAACAAUAGAAAACCUUAACCAUUAGGAAACCACCUUAAGAUGUCAAGGAAGUGCACGUGUAGAGGUGAUGACAACCUUGCAUGGAAGCUCUUAGUCUCUUUGGAGGAGUGUAGGAGGUUAUGUACCAACAAUGGGUAUGAUUGCUCCUACUAGAUACCUUUGAUCCUACCUUUUAGAGCCAUCUUUACCUUGUAGAAUGAGAAUUAGAUCCGUGGACCUAGGUAUCUACCCACACGUAGGUGCAUUCAUGUAUAGGAAUUUGAUAACAACAAUUUUGCAUCAACAUUAGAGUUCCAUUAACAUAGAUUAGUUGUAUUAUCAUCCUCUUUACUCUUCAUUAGUUGGAUUCAGUUAGUCAAUCUUCUAGGUUAUACAUUGGUCGAUCUUAUAUAGCCUUCUUCCCUUUAGAAUUUUGUCAACUUGAAGAUGUCUUAUAUAGAAAGGAUUGAUUUUUCUAAAUGUAUUGUCAAUGUUUUAGGUUGUUGUACAUUAAGUGUAGCAUUCUAGGAUAUGUUAUUUGACAUUUUUCAACCUAAGUCUAGGGUUUUGUGUUCCGUGGGUCAUUGAUAGGUUCCUUAGGUAACUCAUGUUAGUUAGAUUUUUGAGGACCUAGCUAGCUUCUUCUAGGUGAGAUGGUGGGUUGUUUGUCAAAGUUGGUGAGACUAUUUAUUUUUGUUGCAUCAAAACUAGUUGUCUUGGUUAUUGAGUUUGUGUUAGUCUUGUAGUGUAGUUAGAGUUUGUAUUCCUUGUCAAGUGUUUUGACUUGUUAGUAUUUGUUUCUAUUAUGGAUGUACAUUGAUCAUUAGACUUGACCUUUUUCAUUGAAUAUAUGUUUGUAUCUUAUGGUGCAUGUGUUAGACUUUUGAUAUGACGCAUUAUUCACUUGCAUAUCACGAUUAUUGGGCCUAACCCAUCAUAGAGGAUACAAAGCCCAUUAACCUAGGACUAAAGGAUCGACUUAGGGAGUUUAAGAUUGCGGCUUAUUUUUCUUAUCAUCAGAGUUGUACCUUAUCCACUUCCAUUUACACUUUGAUCUUUACAUCUUAUCUAUCUUGAGCCUUGUAUAACAUUUACCCUUUGACACCAUCACAUGACCUUUGCAUCCCUUCUUAUCAUAACUUAUACAACAUCAUCUACAUAGACAUAGUUCCAAUCUAUUUAUUUGUUUUUUGUACUUGAGGUUGAUUUUAUGAGACAAGAAGAGUGGCUUACGAUGAGCAAAGUGGUCGAUUGUAUUAGAUCAUUAACUAUUCUAUGGUUGAGAGAAACAUCUUGACAUUGUUACAAAACAUCAAGAAUAGGAUAUUUAUGCAUAAUUUUAGAGGGAUGGAAUGCCUAAAUUUUGAUAUUGUACACCAAUCUUUAGUGUUGACCAUGCCAGAGUUUAAGAGCAUGAUGUUUGAGGUUUUGACGAAAGAAUGGGUGGCCAUCAUUUCAUGAGCCUAUUUAUAUAAUCACCUUUGUGUAUAAAGUUACCCUUUGCUAGCCAAUUGAGUCAUGCAUAUUUGACAUUUUGAUUCAUGACCUUGCUUACCUUGUUUCUCAUACCUAUGGUUAGGGCCUCUCGGCACAUUUUUGCUUAUAGAUAAGAUCACCUAGGUUGUGGGCUCCUCAGCUGAUUCAUCUUUUGCAUUCAUUAUGUUCAUCUUGAUCAUUUGUAUUAUUUCAUAUGUACCUUUUCUCAAUACUUAUUGUACCCAUUUGAUCAUCGUUCAUUAUUCUAUCAUUAUGAGUUCAUAUAUAUACAUAUGACUUAGCCUUCUUGUACAUAUAUUAAGAUUUGUAUAGGUUACCUUAGGAUCCUUGUACAUGAUUGCAUUGAUUCAUUGGUUUGAUUAUUGUUAAAAAGAAGAAAAAAGAAAAAUUAUGAUGUUAGUCUUUGUUGACGACUUGUGUGAUAGUUUUGAUCUUUUCAUUAUAUAUAUCCCUCUUAUCUAUACAUCAAGUUAUGAUUGAGUUGUGGGUUUUAUACCUAACUAUGACAUUUUGCUUCUCUUAUACUGAAUUACUCUUUUUAUUUAGAGUUUUAUUCUCAUUCAUCUUGGUUAUGUUUUUUUUUUUUUUUGCUUAUAUAUUGAGUUAUCAUUCAUUGACAUUAUCUGCUUUACCUCUAGCCAUUGUUCUAUUCCUUUGAUUCUUUUGAGCCUAUUCUAGAGUCUUACCCUUGUCAUUUCCAUUUCUUUGACUCAUUCAUAUGGAUGGUUGGUAUUUGUGUAGUUCUGAUCUUGGUUUUUUUUUUCUUUCUUUUCAUUCAUUCAUGGUAUGUAUCAUAGUGUAUUUUUUUCAUUCAUUCAGUUAUCUAUAUCAUUGAGCAUCUAUGAGGUCUAUAAUCUUUGAGUUUCUUUAUCUAUUACAUUGUGUAUGCCAAAGGCAUGGGGAUUGUAUCAUUAGGAUUAUCGAGAUUAGUUUCCAUUCGUUUCUUUUGCCCUAUUACCUUAGCCUACAUUUCAUCUUAGGUCUCAAGACAACCUUGAGACCAUGACAUUAUGCAUUAUGCUUGAUAGCUCACACGUGGGCGACAUUUGAGAUUGGUUGAAGAUCACUUAGAGCAUUAUGGAUGAGAAACUAUGAGAGGGUUUACACUGGGGCAUAACCUCUCAUCAAUUAUUGAUUUUUGAUAUGAUAGCUUAUACUAGGGCAUUGCCAUUUCAUUCCCUCUCAUGGAGCAUGAUAGAUCAGGAGUCACUCAGAUUCAUAUUGACAUAUAUCUAUUUUUUAGAUAUAGGAUAAAGUUUGAUUUUGAUUAAACAAUUUACACUAUGGCAUAUCCAUCUCAAGGAGUUUAUAUUGGGUUGUAGCUCUUUUAUUGGUGAUUAAUUUUUUAGAUAAUAGCUUAUAUUGAGGCAUAGUCACUUCAUUCCUUCUCAUGGAGCAUGAUAGAUAAGGAGUGACUUAGAUUCAUAUCAACAUAUAUCCAUUUUUUAGAUUUGGGAUUGAGUUUGAUUUUGAUUUGACAAUUUACACUAAGGCACAACCACCUCAAAGAGUUUAUACUGGUGUAUAACCCUCUCAUUGAUGAUUGAUUUUAGAGAUGAUAGCUUAUUCUAAGGCAUAACCACUUUAUUCCUUCUCAUGGAGUAUGAUGGAUUAGGAGUCGCUUGGAUUCAUAUCAACAUAUAUAUAUAUAUAUAUAUAUAUAUAUAUCUAUUUUUGAGAUCUAGGAUAGAGUUUGAUUUUGAUUUGACGAUUUAUACUAGGGAAUAGCCACCUUAGAGAGUUUAUACUAGGGCAUAACCCUCACAUCAAUGAUUGUUUUUUGAGAUGAUAUCUUGUACUAGGGCAUGCCUUCAUUCCCUCUCAUAGAGCAUGAUGGAUUAAGAGUCACAUGGAUUGAUAUCGACAUAUAUCCAUUUUUGAGAUAUGGGAUGGAGUUUGGUUUUGAUUUGACAAUUUAUACUAAGGCAUAACCACUAUGCUCGAUUCCCUACACUAGGACAUAUUUGUCUUCUAGAGGAGAUUUGAUACUCCCUUCACAUUAUAGUAUGAAGAUACUUUAGGGAGUAGAGAUCUAUCUUGAUGAGAUUGUGUAUGUUACAACAUAACCAUUCUAGAGAUUACCUUGCACCAAGGUUUGACAUUUCAAAUGUUACCUUAUAUACUAGGGCAUACACCUCUUAUCAGUGUUUGUUUUGAAGAUGAUUAAUUUGUUUUGGCCUUACCCAAUUUGACUCGAUAUAUUCAUGUUGGGGCAUAACCCACUCAGUUGGUGAUUGAUUAUUUUUCGAAAUGACAAUUUAUACUGAGCAUAACCACGGUUUGAAUCCUUACAUUGGGGCAUAGCCAUUUUCUUGGAAAUGAUCAGACAUUCUUUUCAUAUUGGAGUAUGAGAGAUGCUUGAGAGAUAUUGAUUUGAUGUCUUUUAUAUUGGGGCAUAACCAUUUAAGGGAGUAUUUAUACUGGGGCAUGACCAUCUUAUUGAUCUUCUAGCUAGGAUAUUGAAAUUCGGCCACUUGAUUGAGGUUUUUUAUGGGUUUAGAGAUCAUGACACCUUGGAUUCAGUUUUCUUACCAUACCUGGUCUGAUUUAGAUACCCUCUUACAUUUAUUUCAUACCAAAACACUCCAUUUUUGCUAUCUUCACACUUAUAUCUUGUAUUCAAUCCACCCAUCUCAUUCCAUCAUGACGUAUAAACUUAUUUUGCUUCCAAAUCAUAGGAGGAUGUAGACCAAUCAUGAGUUUCCUAGUCAAACUUUCAUGUGCAUUUUGGAUACUGAAUUUACCCUCUUCCAUGAUGGCAAGGCUUGACAAAUUGUCGAUUGUUUGUGAUAUUUUUCAUUUGAUAGUCUACAUGUCAUGGCAUGACUUGGUGCAUAUUUAGACUUAAAGCUUUAGUUAGCUUUGUUUUUGUCCAUCAUUCAAUUUUAUUUUGAUAACAUGGUCCUAAGACCCAUAGUCCUAUUUAGCUUUUCUAAUUGUGGAUUAGACAUUUUCAUCUUAUUGUUGAUGAGUGUAUCCUAUAGUACAUCGGUUGUUGUAUAACAUUUCGUAUCUUUUGUAUUUUCUUUUUUUAGUCUAAUGUUAGUUGUCUUUUAAUCUUUGGUAUUUUCUUAGUCAUCAUUUGAACCCUAAGUUGUACCAUUACUUCAUCUUUGCCUCACCCUCGAUCAACCUCAAGCCACACUUUUAGGUCAUUAUUCAACCCUCAGUCAAACCUUCGUGUAUCUUUAGGUUUUCUCAUAUUUCCUUAUCUAUCUUGCUCAUCGAUCAGCCUCAACUUUAUUGUUAGAUCAUCUCUUUAUCAUUUUAGAUGAACCUUGAGCUUUAUGGUUAAAUCCUCUCAUCGAUCACCCUCUAACACCAAGCUAUGCCUUUAAAUCAUCAUUUGGCUAAGAACCACAUUUUUAGUAUUAUCCUAAUCACUUUUUCACUCAUCGUGACUAUGCCUUACUAUUAAAGUUUGACCCAUUUUUUAAGUUUUUGUUAGUCACACCUAACUAUUUAACAUUUUAUGUCUCUAUUAGUACUGCACCCUAAUUGUCCAACAUUUUUAUGUUUUUCUAUUAGUGUCAUGCCCUGAUUGUCUGACACCUUUUAUGUUUCUUAAUAUCGUGCCCUACCUGUCUAAACUUUUUUAUGCUUCUUGUUAAAUUCGCACCUUGACUAUUCCAACUUUUUUAUAUUUUUUUUUAGUACUACACCUUGACUAUUUGACCUCAUUUAUGCUUUCUUAGAGUUGUGUCAUGACUGUUUGACCUUUAUGUUUCUUGUUAGUGUCAUGCUAUGACUAUUUGACCUUUUUAUGUCUCCUAUUAGAGUUGUGCCUUGAUUGUCUUACUUUUCAUGUCUUUUCUUACAUUGUGCUUUGAAUUGUCCAACUUUUCUAUGUCUUGUUUUUAGUGUCACACCCUAACUAUCCAACCAUCUUAUACUUAUUUCAUUAUCGUGCUUCAAUUGCCCGGCCUUUUAUGUCUUCUUUUAAUGUCGCAUCCUAACAGUCCAAUCUUUUUAUGUCUUUUUUAAUGCUACGCCUUGAUUGUCUCGCCCUUUAUGUCUUAUUUUAGUGUCGUGUUAUGACUAUUCAACCUUUCUAUGUCUCUUUCAUGUCACGCUUAGAUUGUUUAACCUUUUUAUGCUUCUCCCAUUGUCGUGCCCUAAUCGUCUAGCCUUACUAUAUCAUUUUUAAUGUCCAGCCUUGACUAUCCAACCUUCUUAUGCUUAUCUCAUUAUCGCAUUUCGACUGUUUGGCUUUCAUGUCUUUUUUAAGUAUUAUACCUUGACUGUUCGACCUCCUUUUUAUGUUUCUCUUAAUGUUGCACUCUAACUAUCUAGCUUCUUUAUGUUUCUUUUUUAGUGUUGUGCCUCAAUUGUCAGGCCUUCUUAUGCUUCUCAUAUUGCUGCACCUCGACUAUUCAACCUUUCUAUGUCUUUUUUUUUUUUUUGUGUCGCACCCUGACUAUCUGAUCUUCUUAUGUUUCUUUCAUUAUUGCACUUCUAUUAUUCUGUCUUUCUAUAUAUAUUUUUGAGUGUUUUGCCCUUACUAUUUGGACUUUUUAAGUUUCUUUUAGUGUUGCACCUUGAUUAUCCGACUUCUUUAUGUUUCUAUUUAGUGUCACACCCUAACUGUUUGGCCUCCUUAUAUUUUCUUAAUGUUGCACCUUAAUUGUCUGACUUUUUUAUGUCUUUGUUAGUGUCACAACCUAAUUAUCCAAACUUUUUUUUUUUUAUGUUUUCUAUUAAUGUCAUGCCUCGACUAUCUGACUUCUUUUAUGUUUUCUUAGUAUCGCGCCUUGACUAUUUGACUUCUUUUUGUCUCUAUUAGUGUCAUGCUUUGAUUGUCUAACUUUUUCAUGUUUUUCUAGAGCUAUCUUGACUAUCCUACCUUUUCAUGUUUUCCUAAAGUUGAGCCUUGACUGUCCAACUUUUAUUAUGUUUUCCUAGAGUCGCACCUCGAUUGUUGGGUCUUCUUUGUGUUUUCUCUAGUGUCCAUGUCCUGACUACCCGACCUCUUUUCAUUUUUAUUUUAUUAGCCUUGAGUUUUUUCUCUAAUCAUUAGUAUCCUCUUUUUUCUUCUUACCUCUCUUGUUCACCCAUUCAUUCCCCCCUUUGGAUACCAGGGUCCCUAGUGUUUCACAUAGAUAUUAUCACUACCCUGUUCAAAAGAGUUUCCCUUAAGAUCCACGUAGAUAUUACAUGUUUCUCCACUAAUAGAUCAAUGAGCACAUUUCAUAACCUUAGAGAGCUUGUGUCUUAUUAGGACAAAUUUGGUGAUCUUUCUUGUACUUUAGUAGAGUCCACUUCAUUUAGUUGGUUUAUACACUUACUUCACGUGUGAACUCUUUUGAAAAUGGGCAUAUUUGUAUAUCCCAAAAUUUGCCCUAAGCCCACUCUUACUUUUUAUUUUAUUUUAUUAUUUUAUUAUUAUUAUUUAUUUGAUUUUUACUUUAUUUUUUUCUUCUUUUCUUUUUCUUUUUUUGUUCCUUCCUUGUUUUUCACCUUUUUUUUCCCACAUGUGUGCAACUACAGAACCCUUCCCCUUCUUAUUUUUCCCUCUUUUUUUUUCUUCUUUCUUUUUUGUUUUUCUUUCUUUUCUUUCUUUUUCUCUCUUCUCUCUACCUACCCUCUUUUCCAAACCCAUCUUCAGCUGUCAGCUACCUUCCCUCUUUUUCACUUUUCUUAUUUCUUCUCAUUCUGUUUUUCUUAUUGUUACCCAUUUCUCUCUCUCACCUUGAAGGUCCAUAACCAUGCUUGCCUUAUACUCAACACUCUUACCACUAGACAGUCGCCAUCGACGAGCCAUUAUUUGUCUGUGAUCCCUUUUCUCUCUUUUCUUUAUUUUCUCUCUCUUUCUCUUAUAUCACUCAUUUUCUUUUAUUUAUUUAUUUAUUUAUUUAUUUAUUUAUUUAUUUAUUUAUUUAUUAUUAUUAUUAUUAUCCCAUUCUUUCCCCUUAUCCCUUAUUCCACAUUGCAUUCAUGAAACGAGUAAGAUGUCAUUUUUCAUUUUCUUAUUUCUUUAGUCAUUUUAUUUUUUAUUCCUAUAGUAAUUUUUCUUAAUUGUUGAGUUUGCUUGUUUGGACUUUAGAUAAUUUUGCUUGAAAUUUGCAUAUUAGAUGUUGAUCUUUUCUUGGAUUUUAAUAAAUUAAGUUAUCUAAAAAAUCUUCUUUUAAAAAAAUAAAAUAGGUCCAAUAAGACAUUUUCAUUAAAUAAGAUAAAUGGACCCAAAAAUUUCUUUUAAUAAAAAUAAGUUUUAGACAUCUUUUUUAGAUAAAAUAGUCCAAAAUUUUUAUUUUAAUAAAAGAAACAAUUCAUAAUUUUAAAAUAAAUAAAUAAAUAAAAUGUCCAAAAAUAUUUUUUCAAAUAAAAUAAACUAAAAAUAUAAGUAAAACAAUCCAAUAAUCUUGUUUUAAUGAAAUAACAGUUCAAAAAAUAUUCUUUUUAAUAGAGAAAGUUUUCUUGAUAGAAAGUUGAGAAAAAAGUUUUUUAAGGAAUAUAAAUUUUUUUAAAUAAAAAUUCAAAAAAUUGUUUUUAAUAAUAAACAUUCUAGAAAUUCAUUUGUUUAACAAAAUUUUCCAAAAAUAAAAAAUAAAAAAUUGAGUUUUAAAUAAAAUUGUCUAACAAAAAUAAUUUUAAUAAAAUCAUCCAAAAAUUGAAUUUUGAAUAAAAUUCUCUUUCCUUGAUAAGAAUGGGAUUAUAAAUCAUUUUUAUAAAGAAAGGUCUUACUAAUUUUUUUUUAAUAAGAAUAGGAUAAGUAAACCUUCAAAUCGAAUGAAAGACAUUUUUUUAAUAAAUUGGUAAACUAAUCUCUUUCUAGAUGAAAUCCAAAAAUUCUUUCUUAAUAAAAUUGGAAUCCUUGGGAAUAAAUUUGUGAAAUUCUUUCUCUAAAUAAAUUAGUAAUAAAGAAUCUUUUUCUAGGUAAAAUAAAAAUAUAUAUAUUUUUAAAAAAACUAGGUUGAGAUUCCUUCUUAUAAACUUGUAAAUAUCUUUCUUUAAGUUUGUAGAUUUUUUUUUUUUAAAUAAAUAAAGAUUGAAUCAAAACACUUUUUAAAAUAAAUUAGUAAAAUUCACCCCUUCUUAAUAAGGUAAACAAAAAUCAUUUCUUGUAAAUCAAAUAAAAUCUUUUGUAAUAAAUUGAAGCCUUGUGAAUAAAUAAAUUCAAAUCACUAAUUUGAAAUUGUUGUUAAUAUAAAUGAAUUAUUUGAAAUAAUAAAAUCUUUCUAAUAAAUUAUUUUGUGUAUUUCUUAUCUAUCAUUUUUUCAUAUCCUUAUAAUUUGCUUUUGCAUUAUUCCAUAUACAUGUAUUAUUUUUUUUCAAUAUCCAUGAUUAAUUAAUUAAUUAUCAUAAUUCCCUUUUAUAUGCUUAGUAAAAACCUUUUUAAGGCUUAAAACGGUGCUAUUAUGAUACCUUCCCAAUGGGUAACUUGACCUUUGGAUUCAGACUCAGUUUUUUCUUACACAUCUUGUGGACUUGCGUUUCUCACGUGCGCCCCCACUUGAUAAGUGAGACUCGCUUUUAUUUGUGAAAAAUUUUAUUUUUUGAAAAGUCAGAGUCGCCACUUAUUUUAUUUUAUUUUAAAGGGAAAAUAAAACAAGAAAUAAAACCCUGAAAAAUGACUCCAUAGUUUUUGGAAAACUCGAGUUUAGGUUCAGGGAUCAGGUUACUUGUUGGGAAGGUACCUCUAAAAAGGUAGCACCAUCUAAGCCCUACAAAGGUCUCUACUGACUAAGUUAAGGGAAAUGUGGCAAUUAAUUGAUUAAUUGAGGAUACCUAGGUAGACUAAGGUGAUUUCAAAAAAUAUAGCAUGCCAAACAAGAUCAAAUCACAAUAAAGGAGAGUUAGGAUGCAUACCUGAACCGUUUCUCUAACGUUUUCAUAAAACAUUAGAGUUAGCAUAGAAAUAUAACACACGACAUGUAUUUAAUCAUAGCAAAUCAAGCACACAUCUAAGCACCUAAAGAUCACAUCAAACAUAAAUGAAAUUCACAAUAACAUGCAUGUUCAUAAAAUUUCGAAAGAGCGUACCUGGAUAGCAUGCAUAUUUUAUAAGAUUCCUCAAAAAAAAAAAACCUAGAGUGGUUAGGACAAGUAUAUAUCAUAUAAAAUCUUUAUUAUGUCUAAUAUACAUUGCCAAAGCCAAAAUCGAGCUAAGAUAAAUCAAAUAACUCCAAAAAUAAUACCAAUUCAAGCAAGUAUUGAGUCAUCAGCACGCAUAUAAUAAAGGGAGCAUCAAAAAAAUAAUUUCUAAAAAAAUGUCUCGGAGUGGAAUUUAAUCACAAAAAAUUGUGGGAAACAACUCCUACACAUCUAGAACAAGAUACCAAAAUCCAAACACUCAUUCAAAUGUCAAAUUGCAGAAAAGAUGCUCAAAAGUUCCACAAAGUCUAGAUUAGAUAAGAAAAAAAAAGUGACAUGCAUAAACGAAUUUAAAAAUAAUAAUAAAUGAUCACAUAAAAUCAUACAAAAAAUCACACACAUAUUUCAAAAUGUCUAUAUCACAUAAAAAAUGAAUUCAAGGUCGGAUAGUACUCAAAAACAUUUUUAAAACACUUAAGCUAAUCAACUAUCUAUAAUUUAGCAUGCAUAGUAGGUACAACUUUUAAAAAUCAUAUCUCCCUCAAAAAAACAUAUUUUUAAAUAUUUUAUGUGUCCAAUAUCAAUUUUAAAAAGCCUAUAAUUGAGGAAAAAUAUUGAAUCAAAUUUAAAAAGCCAUCUGGUAUUUUAUUUUUGCAAAAAUAUCUUAGGUAUCCAGAACUGGGUGAAAAUGGAGCCCCCCUAAAGACUUGUUUAUAUCUUCUAUUCCAGAAUGGCUUUCUAACUCAAACGAAACUUUAAAUUCAAGUUUGAGAAAUGAGGAAAGUCAUACAAGUUUUGGAAAUAUUUUAAAAAUAUUAUAAAGUUGCUAAAAUGAAUUUUAAAUCUAAAGGGUCAGUGGCUGAGCGAAAACUUGGUAGCAAGGAAGAGGUUUGAAACAUUUUCUUAUGUAGGGGUUUCACCAAUUCCCCAAUUAGUAUACACAAAUUUAGCCUAGAAUAAUCCCAUUUAUUUGGGACCACAAGCUUUGAUUCGUAUUUUAUUCAAAACCAAGAUUUUUAUUGAAAACUGAGAAGGAUGCAAACCAAUCAAAAAAAUGAUUGCAUAUUAUUUUAAGAAAAUGAGAUUGCAAUUCUAAGGACUCUAAUUCAAUUUUUAAAAUACAUUUUUAUGAGGAACAUUUUGAGAAAAGUAUCUUAUUCUAAAAAAAAAUAUUUUGAAAAAAACAACAAAAUGUACAAGACAAAACAUCAGGCAAAACAAAAGAAAACAAAAUCACCAAGAAGAAUUUUUGACAACCCAAAAAAAAAAUUGAAGUCGUGAGAAUGGAGACCAAUCUUCACUAUUUUCCGAUGGCCUCUGAAAAGUAAAUUUUACCAAAGACUACCUAAGCAAUAAACUAUUCAAACUUAAAUGAAUUAAAUUAAUGACUAAUAUUAAAAAAAACAUAUCAAUUAAGAGUAAUAAUAACAAAUUAGCACGUGAUCGAUUAAACAUACAAACACACCUUAGACCAAUUCAAAUGGACCAAAUCAAAUCAAGGCAAACAAUAAUUUUCAAUUUAAGAAUUAAUUUUAUUAACGAACUAAUAUUAUGGAAAAUACCUAAAUUGAAUUGAUGAGGGAAGUUAAAUCAGAAUAAACUAAGGACAUUCACAUUUGAAUAUAGAAUUGAUUUUAUUAAUAACUUAAAAUUAUUAACACAUCUAAAAUAAUUAAAAUGAAUCAAUUUAAAUGAAAGCAAACUAAAAACAAAAUAUGAAUUCAAGGAAUCUACUCUCUAAAUAAACUUACAUUAUUAAAAUGAAAUCUAGGCUUAAAAAAAAUAUUUUUAACACUAAUUAAGGCAAGUCUAAAAUCAAAUAUUUAACACUUAAAUUAAUUAUUUUAACAAACAAAAAUUUUACAAGAGCACCUUAACCUAAAUUUAAAUAAAAACACUAACCAUAAUAUAUUUUAAAACGAGAUAUCUAACCUAUAGAAUUAAUCUAUUGACACAUGGAUAAAAAGACAACACAUAAAUAAAUAAUAUAAUUAAAAAAAACAAAAUAUGAAUUAAUGGAGUCAAUUUUCUAAAUAAACUUACAUUACAAAAAUGAAAUCUAAGCUUAAAAUGAAUUAAACACUAAUUAAAGUCAAUCUAAACUUAAAUUCUUAACACGCAUGAUCAAUUAUUUUAACAAACUAAAAUUUUACCUUAACCAAAAAUUAAAUUAUAAAAUUACCUGAGACUAAAUUUCUAACCUAUAAAAUUAAACUCAUAAUCAAAUGGAUAAGUUGAUAACACAUAGACAAAUAAAUAUGAAUGAAACGAAAUACGAACUCAUGGAAUUAAAUAAUUUUUUAUUUUUUAUUUUUAAUAAACUUACGUUACUAAAAUAAAUUUGAGCUUAACAAACAUUUUUAACACUAAUUAAGGCAAGUUUAAAAUAUAAUAUUUAACACAUAAAAAUCAAUCAUUUCAACAAACUAAAAUUUUACUUAAACCUAAAACCAAUUCAAAUGACCUAUGGACUUUUUUUAUCAUUUUUUUUUUAAGAAAAAAUGAAUUUUUAACUCAUAGGUUCAAUAUUGUUAACAAAUAAAUAUAUAAAUAGAUUACAAAGCAUUAAAUUGAUGGCAAACAAAUAAACAAAUAAUCAAUAAUUAAGUGAAUCAAGACUAAAUUGAAUAAAGAACAAAUUAUAUAUAUAUAUAUUCAAAGUAAAGCUACAUAAAAUUAUGUUUUCUAAUCUUUAAACACAUGCUGCCAUAUUUAAAGCAAUUCACGCUGGAGCUAGUAAUGUUGGUCAAACCACCCAAUACAAUAAUAAUUUCACUAAUAAUAAUAAUAAUAAUAAUAAUAAUCUAGAUGUGCAUUGUUAUUGAAAACACAUAUAAUAACAAUUCUAAUCUUUAAACUCAUGCUGCCAUAUCCAAACCAAUACAUCUAGUAAAAGUCAAACCACCCAAUGUAAUAAUAAUUCCACUUGAAAAAGUAAUCUAGACUUGCACUGUUACUAAAAACCCAUACUAAAAAAAAACAAAUAACGCACCUAGUUGGCUUACCAAACAACUUGGUGGUGUGUAGCUGCUUUCAUUUCUCCAACGGUGCUCGGGAACAAUGGCGUGCUGGUUGAUGGGAAAUGAUAUUAUCUUUCCUCAUCCAAUACGUUUUCAAGGAUGUGCGGAUGGAUGGGUUGUUGUCCAGAUGGUCCAUUCGGUGAGUUUAAAUGUCGUCUCCCUUCGCUCUGAAAACUCCCUGUCGAUCCCUUCAAACAGCCGUAUUUAUCACGUUCUCAAAAACUCUUCCUUUCGAUCCCUUCAAAUAGCCCCUCUCAUUCUGUAAAAAAAAAAAAAAAAUCUUCUUUUUGAUACCCUCUAACAACCCUUCUAUCUCUGUAAAACCCUCCCUCUCUUAUCCCAAAACGACAACCUAGUGAUGAUAAAAAAAAUCAACAACAGCCCGUUGAUAAAAAAAAAAAAAAUCAGUAGCAGCCCGAUGAUGAUAAAAAAUCAUAGCAGCAGCAAUCCGCUCUUCCUUUUUUUUUUUUUUUUUUUUUCUUUAUGGCAGCCUCCUCCACUCUGAAAAACUCCUUCCCGCUCAUUUUAAAAUGGCACCCUUCCUCCCCUUAUUACCGAUCACUUCAAAUAUCCUCCCUCCCACGUUGUCCUCCUCUCAUUUUUUCUCAAAACUCUGUCAAACUCCUCUCUCUCAAUCAAUCCGUGGUUCCUCUCAUUAGUCCCGUUGACUCUACCAACAUGGAAAAAAUCCCUCACCAGUCUAGAGAAAACCAGUAAUCUUCCGCAUCAGUCCAACAUGAUUAGAACCCUCUCAUUUUGAACCUAGCCUUCAUUCCAUUCCUAUACACACCGAACAUCUUCUUUUCACCUGCCAAAAUCAGCUUUGGUAAGUUUCUAAACCUUCCCAUCUCUCUCUUUCUUCCCUUUUUCGUAUCUGUCUUGGGUUGAAUGCUCUUUCAAAUCACGGUCGAAUCUCCCUUCCAUAGAACCAUGCAAUAAAAAUAGUAAAAACAAAAUCAUCCAAUUAAAUAGUAAUAAUAAUAAUAAUAAUAAUAAUAAUAAUAAUAAUAAAUAAAUAAAUAAUAAUAAAGAUGAUUAAUCAUAUACAUGUACAAGAUAACCAAAAUAUUAUUUCAUGAUAAAGAAACAUAACGUUAGUAUCUUAUAAUCUCCUAAAAAUAAAUAAAUAAAAGAACAAAUAAACUAAAACCCACUUAAAACAAAAAUCAAACAAAUAGAAUUCCAGAAGACAAACCUCAGUGUACUAAGCUUAAAGAACUACCCAAGGGAUUCUAAGUGGGCCUAAAGUGGUGCCUAAGUGGACCUAGGAUGCCUAAGUAGGCCUAGAGUGAUACAUAAGUGGGCCUAAGUGGGCUUAGAGUGGGCCUAAGUGUAUCUAAGUGAACCUAGGAUGCCUAAGUGAGCUUAAAGUGGUGCCUAAUGGGUUAGGCAUGUCUAAUGGGCCUAAGGUGUACUAAGUGAACCUAAGGUGCCUAAGUGGUGCCUAAGUGGGCCUAAGUCUAAAUAGGGCUGCCAAAAGUCACAAUGGGGUUAGGUAAAUCCCUCAACCAAAAUCUCUAAGGUGGCUUAGAAAAAAUACGCUACAUGAGUAGCAAUGGGCCACCACGAAAUUACUGUCAAGUAUCGAACAAAUACCUAAUAGGACACGUGUUAGGAGAACAAAAUGGAGGGUCUACACAUCUUUUCUUUAAAAAUGGAGUUACACUAAGGUUGUAUUUCUUAUUUUGUUCUCUUUAAAAAAAAACCAAAAAUAAGUAACGACUCAAACUUUAAAAAAAAAAAAAAAUCAGUUUUUUACAAUAAAAACAAGUCUCACCAUCAAGUAGAAACACACAUGACAAAUGUAGGUUCACAAUUAUAUUUAGACUUAAAAUAUAAUACAAUUACUAAAUCAACGAAUGUUGUAAGUUUUAAAAUCUUUAAUCAUAAAAUAUUCAAAGCACAAUGAAACAAAUAGUUUUCAAAAGAAAAAAAAUGUUUAAAAUGGAAAAUCUAACAAUAAAGACAAUGAAACAAGGUGAUAUGGUAGGAGUUAAAUAGAAAAUUCUUUUAUCCAUGAAUUUAUAGUUUAUUUAGUAGAAAAAAGUUCAAAAGAAAUAUUGCAUACAUUAAUGGAUUAAGUAGAUAAAAGGGAUUUAAGUAAUUUGAUAUUUAUGCUUUAGUUAGAUAACAUAAAAUAGAAAUUUGAUAUUAUUAGUUUCCAUACUGAGUUUAGAAAUCUAUCAAAUGGAUGUUAGAUUAUCUUUCUUUGAAUGCUUAUAUAAAUUAAGUGUAUAUGGGGCAAUCUAAAGGAUUUAUUGUUAUAGGACAAGAACACAAAGUUAGGGAUAGAUACAUUUAGCUAGGUUGGUUUUUAACCAAUCCAAGAAUCAAAUAGGAGUUCAUUGGUUUUAACUAAAGUACAACAAAUUUAUUUAUUUACUCAAACUAAUCCAACCUAAUAUCAGUUCGAUUCACUUUCGUUAACUCAAUUUAGACAAAAAUAUUAAGUCUAUAUGUUUUUUUUCCACAUUGAUCAUACAACCAAAAUGAUCAAAUUGUUUUAGAUAAAUUUUUUUUUAUAUACAAAUAAUACAAUUAAAAAUUUUAAAAAUAAUGUGUAGGAGUUGACCUGUAGGUUAUUUGCUUGUUGGGAGUAAGUCAAUGAGUAGUAUUAUUGACAUAUUGGGUGCUUGUGACUUGAAAUUAUAUUAUCAUCAUUAUUAAGUCUCAAAGUACAAGGAUUUUAAGUUUUGGAUCAUGCUUAUGCCAUAAGCAACUUUUAAUUUGUAAUAAAGCCAUACAAGUUAGGCUCCAAGCCUCCAACACCAAACUAUAGCACAGCUAAGUUGGCUUUGGAUGAGCAUAGUUUGACUCACAAAGUCCUAAGAUUCUCCACAACACUCCAAAAUCCAAGCAAUUAUAUUUAUCCCACUCCUCUACUACUUGGGUUUGUUUGCUAGUCCACUUUUGGUAAGUGAACUAGGUUGAAUCUUCCAUAAGCCAAGUACAUAAAGUAGUUUGAUCUCUAGUUUCACUGUACUACCAAAAUAGAGUAAUUCAAGUAAGAAGACUUCUAAAGAGAAUAGUCUAGAGGGCUACUACAAAUGAGAAUAGUCUUUUAAACAUAUGUAAUCGAUUGUGCAUUACUUAAGUAAGAAGACUUCUAAAGUUGGAUAAGUUGUUUAGAAUUUUUAAGAGGGAAUUUGUAAACAUCAUAGAAUUGAUUUUAGAGACAUUUACUAAGUUCUAUCAUGAUAAUAAAGUAUUAAGGAAAAACUGUACCACCAAAACCAAGUUGUAUUUGUUAAUAAUACUUACUACAUUUCUAUUAAGAAAGAAAUUAUCUAGUGGUAGAAGACAAGUUGAUCAUUUUAGUUUGUGAAGUUUUCACUACCCAAGCUAACAUCAAAAGCUAUAACAAGACAAAUCCCAAUAAGGUAAGAUAAAAGGCUACAUAGAAGGGACAUCUUGCUCCUUGUUGAAAACCUCAUUCAAUUGCAAAUCUACUACAUCAAGAAUGCUCCCUCUUCUAUAAUUUUCUCAUUCCCAAUGUACAACACUAUUAUUAUAGUUGCUCUACAUGUUUUUUUUUUUUUUUUGGUUAUAGCAAUAACUUCAUUGGUGUGUUAAAUUCUCUUAUAGGUAAUUCCUCAAACAUGUUGUCCUCAUUGUUGCUAUUAAGUCUUGUAGUAUGAAACUAAAAAUUAAAAUUCUUGUAAUUAAAAUCAAAUGGAAGCACAAGAAUUAAAAAAAGCAAACACAAGAGAAACACUCAAAUCCAAUUACAAAGAGUAGCAUCAAAUUUUCCAUAUCUACAAAAUUCAAAUGUUUAGAUUUCCAAAAAUGAAAAUAAUAAUAAUAAUAAGGUUCAUUGAGAGAAGACAUACAUCUACAAAACAUCAAGGUGUAAGGUUAAGAGAGAAGAAUUCAAUCCAUACCUGAUAUGGAGACAUGGAGUCGAACACAUUGACUAGAUUUGAAUAAUGGAAUUCAUCUAUGGGAACUUGUGUACCAUAAGAGGGUUGGUUUUUGGAGGCACUGGAAGGUGGUCGGAGUAAUGGUUGUGGCCAUUGAAAGGGCCAAUGGUGGUGGGAAGCCAUAGUCGCUGGUGAAGAGGAAGGUAGGUGAAUUGGAGACUUGGUAAAGAAGAUAAUGCAAGCUUGAUAAAAUUUCCUCCAUCUUUUCCUUCUCUCUUAUUUUCCUCACUAAUUUUUAAGGAAAAUAGUAGAAAAAAGAUUACAAUAUUUUCUUUAGUAUUUUCCUUUAUAUUUUUUUUUCUAUCAUAUUUUUCAUGUCACACAAACUAAGGAAAAUAACUUUCCACAUUUUUUUUUCCUUUCCUUUACAUUUUCUGAAAACUAAACACAACUUUUAUAAAUAAAAAUUAAGAAUUACAGUAAGAUUGUAUAUUCUUCCUCUUUCUUCCUGCAUUUCUACAUCCAAUACUCUAUUUUACAUCAUAUUUUUACUCCCUUCUUCAAUUAGCAUUCCUCCCUUUAUAUAGAGUUAUCUUCACACCAAUUCAUAAGAUUAGAAAGAUGAAUGAACAUUGGGGCAAGGUUGGACAACUGGUGGCAGCUAUUCAGGGCUAGAAGUCAACUUUUGCUCGACUUUUUGGGCAUGGGCAGCAACAUGUGGACCCCUCUUUAGCAUGAAAAUGGCUAGAACAUGUUAAGCUCUCUUAUUAGAUGAUGUGUCAACUAUAGGGCAAUCAUAGGGUGGGGAAUAUAUGGCAAUUAUGCACAAAAAAAAAAAAUGAAAAAUAGAAAAAUUGGUAUCCAAUUAUAUAGAAAGACAUCUUCCAACAUUUGAUAUAAAUAAAUAAAAAUUAAGAGAAAAAUAUUUUUUUUUUAAAACAUAUUAAACCUAAAAUAGGGACUUAAUAAUAAAAUCAAGUAAAAAGGUAAAAUUAAAACCAAAUAUUAAAUAUGAAUAUAGUUUAAAUAUUAAAAAUAUUAUUAUUUAGGUUUAAUCAUUGGGUUUGCUAGAGGAGUUUAUAUAUAUAUAUAUUUCUUUUUUUUUUUUUAUAAUCCUAUGUUGAUGAUAUUAAUGCAUUGAAUUUGAUGUUACCUAAAACAAAAUUAUAUUUCAUGUCCUCUAUUAUAAGUGGACAACCAUUCCUCAUGUUAGAUUUUAGAUAAAGAACGAAUAUUGAAGAUUGGAGUUGUAAGAAAUUAGGAGAUCCUAAUUUUAAAUAUGUAACAAAGUUCUAUAAUCACUUCAAUUCACGUUUAAAAGUAGUAUUUCUUUCUAAUAUGGGAGCAAACUUUUCUUUCUUUUUUAUAAAUUUCAUUUGAGAAUGAUUUUAAAAUAAAUAAAUAAAAGCCCUGCUAAAUAUUAAAAAAAGACACUUAUAAAAAUUAAUGAGGUGGAUGGUAAGGUCAAAUUCGGGAUAGCUUCAUAUUUUUUUGCUUUAAGUGAAAAUUAAAGUAAUAAUUUUUAAGAUGUUGUAAAAUUUUUAUUAAACAUAAAAGAACUUCUUGUGUAAACAAAAAUAGAAUUAUAGAAUUCUUAUAAGAAAUAACAUUUGUAUGACUUCUAUGUGAAACCUUUUUUUUAACUCUUAAAAGUCCAUCCAAAUAAGAUUAAAACAUAUUUGAAAAUCAUUUUUAAAAAUCCAAAAAUGACUUAAAAAUAAUUUCUGAACUUUUUUUAAAUUUACAUUUAAAUACUAAAUGAUUCUUUUAAAAAUCAUUUAUAAUGUCAAAAUAUUUUUUUAUGGAUAAAAAUAUUACAAAUAAAAAACGUUUUAAUCACAACUAAUUUAUUUUUAAUUCAUGAAAUUUCAUUUAUUGUUAUUUAUUUUUUGGGAUUUAAUUCUUUACAAUUAUUUUUGAGUGUUUAUAAAGUAUAAUUAGGUUAUGCCCAAAUUUAUUCCUUUAACUCUAUCCAUCAGAUAUAAGUAGCGUGAAAUUUUGGCCCGUCUCCACAUUUCUUCGCUUCUGACAUUGACAUGCACUGCUUCGUGAACUCCAAACACAACGGCUAAGGAUCGAAGAAAAUGAGACAAUGGUCAAUGAAUAAUUUAUUAAUUUAUUUCUUAAUUUAAUAGCAUUGAAAUGUCAACUGGAACAAAAUGAAAGCUUAAUUUAAUACCACUCAUGACAACUUUCCUGCCAACUUAACAUAUUGACUUGGACUUGGAGGGUUCGGUCAAUUGCGGCAGCUUAGUUAAUUGUUAGUGUCUUUUCUGUAAACCAUAAAUUUAAAUGAUCAACUCCUACGUUUUAAUUUAGAAAAGCCAGUGAUUUGUUUUUACUAGUUAUUUGAAUUUAAGGAAGGAGGAAAGGGUUUACUUUAAUAUAAAAUAAAAAAAAUAAAAAAUAAAAAAUGAGAGUUGAAAAGUAAUUAAAUCACUAAAAAAAAAAACAGAUUUGGAGUUCUUUCGGUGUGGGGUUAGACUCAAUUUGUACUCAUGCAAUGGAAAUGGACAAUUUUUUUUUUUCCUUUUCCUUUAUCUUGGUGUAGAUCUUGUAAUAUUUUAUAAAAAUAUAAACUAUAUGCCAAUUAUUUUAACUUUAGGAAAAAACACUUAUUCUAAUUUAAAAUAAGUAAAUAAAAAAAGAACUGAUUUUAUCUCAAUUGUAUAAGACUUCAGAAAAAUUAUCUUAUUUGCAAAAUAUUUUCAGAUGUAAAAGUAAAAAUUAAACAAACCAUUUGAUGAUCUUUUUCAUAAGUAUCCAUUUAGAUCAUACUCUAAUUUAAAAAUAUUAGAAUAAAUCAAUUACUCUAAACUAUAUCAUUUAUAAUUUUUUUGAUUAUUAAUAUGCCUUCCAAGGAAUUGGAAUAAAAUAUGGAUAAUUAAAAAAUGUCAACUAUCCCAUUUCUAACUUUUCUAAUACGACAUGAUAUUUUAUCAUGUUGAAUGAAGUGGGUAUGGCCAAAAAUUGUCAACACAAUAGAUAAAGAUAUAUCUAUUGUGGACAUGGCAUUCAGAGGCUUCUUAACAUUGUAUUGGGCUAUUUAAUGAGUUGUUCAUAUUGAAAUUAAUUAAGGUUGAAACAGGAACACAACAUCUUUAUAGAUUUUUAACAAUCCAAGAAAUUGACAUUAAUAAUCCCAAAUACAAUAUUCUGCUACUUAACAUUAUUCUUUUUAUCUUAAUUGAAGAGGAAUACUAACUUAGUCAAAUAGAAAAUAAAUCACGAAAGCUUAAUAAUACAAAUAUUCAGUGAAAUCUUUGGCAUGUUAUUUCUUUGCAGCUUCAACAUGGUGGCAUGUCGGAUGGAGGAGGCAGCAUUUGAGCUUCUGGGUGUUUACCAUUUUUCACUAUGAACGCAGUUUCCAUGCCCCAAGUCAGAUGGCGUUCUACAUGGCAGUGCAUGAACCAUACUCCUGCAACAGAGAAAAUAUACCAACAUUACACCUAACUUAAUUGUAAUAUUAAGAAAAAUUAUUUCAUUGGUAUGCAGGUUGGCAAUUUCAAGGGUUUUUUUCUUUAAUAGAGGACAUGAAUUCUUGUAACAUACCAGGAUUGGAUGCCUCGAAUCUGAUUGCAACCCAACCUUUCGAAGGAACAGAAAUGGUAUUCUGAAGAGGAGGAUCCACCAGAUUAUAGCGCAAAGGGUCCCUAUUUCCAUCGAAAUUCCCAAAUCCCCAUCCAACAACAUAGAAACUGUAUCCAUGGAGAUGCAUGGGGUGAUGUGUCUCUGCAAGCACGGCUGUCCCUUGAAAAAUAAUCUCCACUGUGGAGUUAUACUCGAGCACCCUUACUUCUGUUCCGCUACUCGGCAACUGAUAGGUUAAUGGAAGAUAAUCAUAUGUAAAAUCGAACACAAAUGAUGGAAAGCUAGGAAAGUUAUUUCCAUAUACACCACUGAUGUUAAAAUAGUAAGCUUCCAAUAUGUCAAUUGUAGGCAAAUCGAAGGUUAUGUUGUUUAUACUUGAGGAGAACCGCGUCCCAUUGGGCCCUGCACAUGAAUCAUUGACGCAUGGGUACGAGUUCAUAGAAAGAAUGUAAAACAGGUUAGUGCUCGUGCUCAAUGGGACAUUGCAAGGAUGUUCCGCAUCUGCUAAGCUUCGGAGGCCGGCCAUGACCUGAACCGAUGCAUUUGUGUCAUUGUAUGCAGGAAGAUAAGGCAAGGAGGGAGGUGAAGAUGGAGUGUAGUAUCCCCUGUACUGUACAAUAGCUGUGGUGGUUGUGUUAUCAUAAAAGUUUUGAUAUUGAGGGGCAACAGAAUAAGUUAUAGCCGCCAUGUAAUAUUGAUCUGGGCGUUGGUUAGCUUCUAGUAAGACAUCGUAGGUUUGGCCAGGAAAUAUUGUGAUAUAAUCUCGUGUCAAUGGUUUCGUGUAGCUACCAUCUGUUCCAACCACUGUCAUUUUAUGCUUGUCAAUGGCAAAGAAAAGAGCCUCGUGCAAGGCAGCAUUGAUUAUGCGAAGUAGAUAUGUCUUUCCAUGAUCCACCGUUAGCUUGAAUGUGCCUGCAAUUAGAAAGGGAAAGUUGUAUACUUAUGACUAGCCAAAAGAAAAAGAAAAAAUUUCCAUGAGGAUCCACCAAUUAUGAAGUGAUUGAUUGAUUAAGGGUGUAAAUUUGGCUCCAUAGUUCAAAAUUAUAUUUGGACUAGAUGUGUUAAAUCAUAGCUCUAUCAUCCUUAUAGCUAUAUUCCUCUUUCUUAGCAUUAAGCUUUAAAUAUGUUGAUGUUAAUAAGAAAAAGUAAUAUGGUUAACAUAUAAGAAAAUGAAAUCAUGUACAAUUUUAAAAUGGAAAGUUAAUCUUUGUACUUGAUUUUGAGCAUGGAUAUAGAUCACCGGGUUGUCCAUUUAUCAAUAAAGCAUCAGAGGGGUCGGGGUCGCCUCCGGUUGCAAGCCCUUCAUCUCGAACCGUAUUCACAUCACUCUUCCAC
RNAcentral lists this long non-coding RNA (245931 nucleotides) under Vitis vinifera (wine grape). RNAcentral's name for it is "long non-coding RNA (VVIN_LNC006212)". Lineage: Eukaryota; Viridiplantae; Streptophyta; Magnoliopsida; Vitales; Vitaceae. The record is from RNAcentral.